Molecule: long non-coding RNA, 276290 nt
Filed under: Vitis vinifera (wine grape)
Lineage: Eukaryota; Viridiplantae; Streptophyta; Magnoliopsida; Vitales; Vitaceae
Description: long non-coding RNA (VVIN_LNC001392)
Rfam family: tRNA (bases 20770-20841)
Source: RNAcentral
AAGACACAUGGUUAAAUUUUUGUUGUCAACGCCAACAAAUCCAUGUAAGGUGAUGCUUUUCACUAAGAAGAGACUCUAAGAUUAGAUUCCCAAUGUAUAGAGUGUUUGCGCAGUAAACAAAUCAAUCACUUAUCAUUUAUAUAACAGUAGAAGUGUAUGGAGAGUGGGACUAACCUUGGAAGCAAAGGUCCCCUGAGGCCAGUUGAGCAACCCGGCAACCAUUUGCCCUGUUUGAUUGCAAUCGUCAUCAAUGGCCUAGAAAACCCAUGCCCACAUCAGAAAACAACAAUCCACCAUAAAAAGAGUCUAGGAUUUUCACGGAAUCCGCAAAUUUAUUUUUAAAUCGUUACCAAAAACCCUAAUCUCUGGGCACGAAUUCACAGACCUGUUUGCCCAGAAUAAGGAGGCCAGGCUUCUCCACAUCGACGAGAGCUUUGAGAAGCUUAGCAACUGAAAGUGGGUACAGAGUGGCGGAAGCUUCGACGUGGAUGGCCCUAUCGGCGCCCAUGGCGAGACCCGUUCUGAGCGUGUCGACGCACUGGCUGGGACCCACACUGACAGCGAUAACCUCCGACGCCAGACCCGAUUCCUUGAUCCUCAGAGCCUCUUCCAAACCUAUCUCACAAAAGGGGUUCAUCGACAUCUUGACGUUGCUGGUCUCCACGCCGCUCUGAUCGUGGGUUGGCGAUUGUUAUUGGAUGAUGAUGAAAUUACAGAUACUGAAUAACUUGAGAGUUUGGAUUUGGGUUACCUUGUCGGAUUUGACUCUGAUCUUGACAGCGUAGUCCACAACACGCUUUAUCGCCACCAUUAUCUUCAUCUCGUAUAUGGGUGGUUAUCUUCUCCGGCACAAGGGUAUUGGCAAAUGACUGAUGAUGAAGGACGAGGAUAUUCGCCCGAGCCCUACUGCACGACACCACAUCCGCUUAUAAAAUCUUUUGAUACGGAUAAGUACAAGGGAAGUGGAAAAAAAGGAUUAUUAAGAAAAAUAAAUAUAUUACCAAAAAAAUUAUUUAAAAUUUUGUUCAUGUAGAAAGAACCCGUGAAUCAGAUCGAAAAAAUUAUAUUAAAACUGCUGUAUAGCCGAAAAUUGUGUACAGAAUUUAUUUUAACAUUGUAUUAUUGAAUUUUUUAUUCAAAAAUUGCUUAACGUGAGAUAGAAAUUAAAAAAUCAUUAGUAAUUUUGUCCGAAAGUUGUUAUAUUUCAUGUGUUUUAAAAAUAGAUGUAAUUUAUUCCUAUUUGCAUUUUUAACGUACAUUUAAUUAAAUAACCCAAAAAGUUAUUGAGUUCACAUCAUCUAUGGAGUCUACCUCUCUUUGCUUUUGUUGCUUCCAAAAAUACCAUACUCCCAUAUUUUUUUGGUUCUACUCAUUUUACUUUAUUUUUUUCAUUCCAUUCAUUCCACGUGAAGUCUUCAAUCCUAAUAACAUUUACUAUAUUACAAUUAAGUUUAAUUUUUAAAAAACUUAAUUAGGGUUAAAUUUCCUUUGAGAGAACUUCAUUACAAUUAUUUGAGUUGUACGUUAAGUUUCAUUUAAAAAUAACUUAUUUAAAAAGAUGUUAAGCUUCCCCUAUUUUAUUUAUAAAGUUUAAUAUCUAUUUGAUUUUAUAUUUGAAAUCCAACUAAAACCUAAUAACGAAUUGUUGUAAAAAAACUCCAAUCAAAAUACUAACAAAAAUUAAAACAUAAAACUCUGAUAAAAAAUUGUUAAAAAAUCCAACAAAAAAACAAUCAUAAAAAACCCUAAUCAAAAACAUCAUGGAAGUUUAAAUGAAAUUGCCAAAAAAUAAAAAGUAUAGAAAACCCUAACAAAAAAACAACACCAAAACACCUGACAAAAAACAAUUACAAAUUCUAGCACAAAAACCCCCAAUUAAAAAUAUCUAUAAAGAAAAACCUAAAAAAAACCAAUUAUAAAACCUCCAACAAAAAAUAAAGAGAAAGAUGAAGAAUAUGAAAAAUUUUGAAGAAGAAAGAAACAUGAGAGAACUAUCAUUGAUCUUUAUUUGUUAAUCUUUGUUAUAUGUUUGAACUUCACUAGAAAAUGAGAGAGAGAGCAUAAACCUAAAGAGAGAAAGAGCUGAAAAUGAGAGGAGAAAUGAAUCACAAUGAGGGGAAUGACAAUUUGAGGAAAUAUAGAAGGGUUAAAUCAUUUGAACUAGGUUAACGUUUUUAUUAAAAAAAAAGAGUAAUGAAGGUCCUUGUUCUAAUUUCAAGAGUAUGUCUGUUAAUUACCAAAUGUGGCAACUCUAAAUAAAAUCCUUUGUUAUCAACUAAAACUAAAAGUCCCAUUACAUCAUAUCCAACUUUCAUUUGUUAUCAACAAAGUAAAACUAUAUACAACUAUUAUCACCAUCUCUCCUAUUUUGAUGUUAUUUUCUUAGAUGAAUUUGUAAAUCAAAAUUUACACCACCCAUAAAUUUUUUGAGCUUCCUAUUUAACACAACUUCAAUUUGUUAUACUUUGAACAUCACAAAGAUAAAGUAAUCAACAUUUUGCUUGGACAAGUUUUUCUUCUCUAAAGUUUAGAGUCCUAUUUCACUUCCCGUUUAUGGGUUGUUAGUUCAUCUAAUAUCUCACCAUCAUCCAUUCCAUGUACUGUGUUUCCGAAAUGAGUUGAUUCCACAUCCUAAAUGUCUGUGCAAAUUAAUAAGGAAUGUCGAGUUACCAAUUUUCUUAAAAGCUUAAUCUUGCAAGAUUUGGAUUCAAAAUGCAUAUCAUGCUCUCUUUAACACCCCUCCCCCCUCUCACAUGUAGCCCUAUACCCACACGUAGAGAAAUAGACUUAUAGGAAAAUUGGUAGUUUAAUAUAGUAUCAGCACUUGGUUUGGUGGGAGGUCUCCUGUUUGAGUCACCUCUCCACAAUUUACAUUUCUCCUAUUUGUUUAAUUUACAGUUCUUCCCUUAAUCUGUAAUUCUUUGGAUAUAAAUUUUCCCCCUAAUUUGUAGUUUUGUGGAUAUGAAUCUCUCUUCCAUGUUCAGGUAUGGGGCCACACAUAAGAGAGGGUGUUAAAGAGCAUGAUAUGCAUAUUAAACCCAAAUCCUAUAAGUUAAAACUUUUAGGAAAAUUGGUAGUUUAACGCUUUUAGGAAAAUUGGUAGUUCAACAUGUGUACACCCCAUUUUGGGGACUGCUAUUGCUCCCACUUCUUUUUGUCAAAUGGUGGAGCUUUUUAGGAGCACAUGUUGUAUUUGGAAAGGCUAUUAGAAAAUGGCAACAUGACUGUUAAUGGAAGUAAUGAUUUUCUAAAAAGGCAACCAUGGGAAGACACAUAACAAAGAUGUUUGGGGAGGAGGGAGAGUGUGCAUCAAGACUACUCAUGAGGGGUAAGAAACAAAAAAAAAAAAGUGUCGAAGAUAACUAAAAAAUUGGAGAAACAUAAAGGAAUAAGGAUUUUAGGGCUAUGGAUGGUGAACAAGAGUGAAUUAUGGGUGUCUAGGACAGCUAGGAAUGGUGAGAGGAGUAGGGAGCUGUAGAAGGUGAUGAGCUAGGUAAGAUGUAUUUUCGAGAAAGAAAAGAACCAAAGAAAGAAGGUGGUGAAUUAAGUGAGACACGUCUCAGAGAAGCAGAGAAAGUUGGCUUGAAGCCAAGCAAACUUUUGCUUGAGAUGAGCAUUGCCUAGUAAGAUUGUUUCGAUUCAUCGAUUAUUACUGAUCAUCAUACUUCUCUUGUCUUAUAUUCAUGUGAUUAUUUUACAUUGAUUGUGGGGUUGCUUUGGUUUGGUUAUUAUGGCUUCAUCCUCUAUUUCUUUAGUUUUAUUCAAGGAUAAAUCUAAUUGUGCUUUGAUUAGUUAUUCCAUAUUUGAAAAUCUUUGUGUAUUUUGGGUUUUUUCUCUUUAGAUAUUUUCUAGAUUAAUCCACUGACCUUUAAACCCACAAAUAAAGAAAAAUGAAAUGAGUUUUUUCAUAUUUGUUGGGUGUUUGGCCCUUGUUUAUCUUUUUUUAAAGCUUUAUUCCUUUAUAUUCUCUAUUUCUCCCCAUUUUGUACAUGGGUGUUUCAAUCAGAGUCUCUAUUUUGGCUUCCACAUUUGAGAUUUCUUUUAUGAGCGAAGACCCAAAAAUGGAGACUGGCUUCUUGUAAUUGAUAAAAUAGUUAGUCACCCAUUAGCUUAGAUGAAGCAUAGAUGUUAACCGGAUUGUGAACAUGGAUACUCUAUUUUGGGCCUAUUAGGCCUUCCAAUCCUCUCUUAGUUUCAUUAUUCUUGAGGAUAGUGUUUGGUUGUGUCUGCUACUUAUUCUGUGGCUUCGGUGGUCUGUUUGUUUAUUCUUGGCUAUUAUCAAUGCUAACAAUGGGAAAGAGACUGGUUUUGGUUAUGCUCUUACGGAUUUGAAGGUGAUCAAAGGGUCCAGUGAAGAGAAGAUUAGUAGGUCAUAUUAGGUUAAUUAAUUAAUUAGGACAUGUUUUGAGUUAUAUUAAGUAAUACAAGCUCUUAGUGGGCUUAAGUAACUUAAGCCUAGUGGGGAAUGCCAUAAAUACCCCUUAGGGGUUAGCAUUUCCAUAGGUUUUUCUAGAGAGUCAUCUUUCACCUCCAAAGAAGGAGAGUCAUAGCCUUUACCAUUUUUUCCAUCAUUAUCGAAGUGUGUCAAGAUUAAGGUUUAAGUCAUUGAGCGGAAGACUCCAGGUUUAUGAGACUUCAUACAACUUCGUUUUUCAUUUUCAUCAAAUGGAAUUAAUUUGAAAACAUUUGAAUCUGAAGUAUGGUUUUUGUUAGCAUAUUUCGAAUCCCUUUAAAGUUUAAAAAUGCAAAUUUUCCACUAUGUAUAGGAUUUAAAAUCGCUUAAGAUAGUUAAACAUGUUCCCCACUUGAUCUGAAUUGGGAAACGGAGAAAUCUGAUAUUUUCCCAUCACAAGGUAGGAUAAGAACUUGUGAUUGAUCUUUAUGGAUUGGACUAAUUAAUUAAUUGGAACCUAAUUAGGCUAAUUAAUUAAUUAAGACCUAAGCAAACUAGUUUAAGUUACACAAGCCUAGGAUGGACUUAAGUGACUUAAGCCCAUGGGAAGCUUAUAUAAACUCCUUUAGGGGUUAGGGUUUCAAACUUUUAUCAUCUAGUCUUCAAUUCCUUAAAGAGAAUAGAACUCGAGCCAACAACUCUCCUAAAGGAUUCUAUUGCUCCGUGUCAAGAUUCGAAAAAAAACUAUUUGAUGGAAGGUUGUUAUGUUUAUGAGAUUCGUUAUGUUUUUUUACACCUUUUCACUAAAUGGAAUUGAUAUAGGAAUGUUCAUAUCUCAAGUGCAACACACUUAUUCUCUUUAGAUUUAUAUUGCUUAUGGUUUUUUUUUUUUUUGUCAUGGUUUUCCGUUAAGAUUAGAUUAAGAGAGCCCUAUGUCAUAGAAUGCUUCAAAUGAGCCUCCCCGGGGGUUUGUAUAGAGCCCAUGAAGCUUCUAGAGACUCCUAUACUUAGCCAUUGGUGGGAAGAGUGUGAAAGGUUCUACAGAUGUCUAGAGAUAUUUACACAUCUCUACACUAUGGUGGAAGGCAUGAGAGGAGUCUAAGGCAUUCUAAAGAAUUAUAAAGAUCUCUUAUAUAUUCUUGUACAUAGGCUUGUACAUAGAAUUGUGUAGGAAGUUAUAGAUUAUUCUUGAGCUGUAAGGAACCCUCCAAGGUUCCAGAGAGUUCCAUUGGUGCCUAUAAAUAGGUGAAUGCCUCAUUUGGCCAAGACACUAAGCAAGUGAAUUCCAAAACACUUGUAAAGCUUCCUUUGAAUAAUAAAAGUUUCAAUUCUUCAAGAGUUGCCUAUUAUGCCUUCUAAAACUUCUAAGUCAUGAGCAUCUUAACCUAACAAGUUAAGCAUUGGGAGUAAUGCUAACUUAGCAAGAUCAAGGAUCUUGACUUGUCUAAGUGUUGCACGAUCUUAGGAAAAGAUUAAGUUUGUGACAGUUGGUUUCAAAGUGUGACUACGAAGUGAGCAUAGUAAAGGAAACAUGUCGAGCUUCAACAUGGAGGAAACUAGUGAGCAAACCCGUGGGAAAGAAACCGAGCCUACUGCAUAGGACAGGGACAUGAAGGAUAAAUCUCGUAAUGCCAUAGCCAACGUGGAGGCAAGGCUAGCCAAGGUGGAGCUAGCCAUGGCAGACACCCGGGAAGGGGUGGACUUAAUCGAGCAAGGCAUGGAAAAUGGCUUAGAGGAUCUAAAUGAGCAUAUCCAAGACCUUCAUGAGAGAGUGCUAGGCUUACAAGUUCGGCCGAUGUCAUAUGAGGAGUUCAUGUCCUUCCAAAACGAGGUCAUGAGCAUGUUUGCUAGCAUGGAGUCGAAGGUGGAGGCCUUGGCUGCACGCAUAGAGGCCCAAGACCAAGAGGUUCAACAAGAGCUAGCUAUCUACAAGACUGUCUUAUCAGCACGAGUCAUGGCCACUCAUGAGGCACUAAGGGUGGAAGUGCCCAAACCACACACGUUCAAUGGCAAGAGGGAUGCCAAGGAGUUGGACAAUUUCUUGUGGCACAUGGAGCUCUACUUUGAGGUUAUAACACUAAUAGAUGAAGCCACUAAGGUAUGUACCACAACCCUCUACCUCACCAAUAAAGCUACUCUAUGGUGGCGUCAGAGGUUUGCCAAUAUAGAAAAAGAAAUGUGCACCAUAGACACAUGGGAUGCCUUUAAGCAAAAGAUCAAAAAACAAUUAUACCUUAAUGAUGUGGCUUACCUAGCAAGGAAAAACACAAAAUGUCUUAAGCACACAGACUCGAUCCGUGAGUAUGUCAAAGAAUUCUCUACACUUAUGCUUGAGAUACCCAACAUGUCUGAGGAAAAGCUACUAUUCAACUUCAUGGACAACUUGCAAAGCUGGGCCGAGCAAGAGUUAAGGAGAAGUGGUGUCCAAGACCUAGCCACGGCCAUGGCGGUAGCGAAGUCCUUGGUGGAAUACAAAAAGGGAGACUCUUUUAAGCCCAAGCCACAGUCUAAGGGUAAUCAUGCUAAAGGUGGGGAAACAAGGGAUCAAGGAGGUACACUCCUAAGGAAUGAUCAAGCAAGACCUCUGGUGGCAAGGAUGGUAAGGGUAAGGAUAAACGGAAAUAGUUCACGCCUAAGAUCAAUUGCUUCCUAUGUGAUGGUCCACAUUGGGCGCGAGACUACCUCAAAAGAAAAGCCCUAAAUGCCAUGAUCGAGGAAAAGUAGAAGGAAGACAAUGCUCAUGUGGGAUCAUUACAACUCUUAAAUGAUAUCAAGGCUAAGUCAGUGCUUAAGACACCUCAAAGUAAAAGUCUAAUGUACAUAGAAGCCCUUGUAAAUAGGAAGGCUACCAAGGCUUUGGUGGACACUAGUGUCACUCAUAACUUUGUCUCGAAGGAUAAGACAAAGAACUUAGAGCUCCAAGCAUCUAAGGAAGGAGGUUGGCUCAAGGCAAUUAAUUAAGUUUCCAAGCCAUCACACGAAGUAGCACGCAGGGUGGCAAUGCACAUUGGCUCAUGGGAAGGAAUGGUCGACUUCACAGUGGCACCCAUGGACUACUUCAAGAUGGUACUGGGAAUGAACUUCCUAUAGAAAGACAAGGUCAUGCCACUACACUUCCUACAUUUAAUGGUUAUCCUAGAGGAUGAAAAGUCAUGCAUAGUCCUUACGGUCACCGAAGGUUCACCCAAGACCCCUAUGAUAUCGGUUAUGCAAGUAAAGAAGGGAUCAAAGAGGAAAGAGGUGACCUACCUCACCACUCUUAAGGAGGAAAAUGAUGAUGAGUUGGGGGAGCCCAUGCCUAAGGAAAUCAAGAGAGUCUUUGAUGAGUUCAAGGACGUGAUGUUGCCUAAGUUGCCUAAAAGACUCCUUCCUAGAAGAGAGAAAGAUCAUAAGAUCGAGUUAGAUGCAGGAACUAAGCCCCUUGCUAUGGGGCCAUAUAGGAUGGCACAACCCAAGCUGAAAGAGCUAAGGAAACAACUUAAGGAGUUGUUGGAUGCAGGGUUUAUCCAACCAUCCAAGACUCCCUAUGGCGCACCGAUUUUAUUUCAAAAGAACCAUGAUGGGUCCCUACAGAUGUGCAUCGAUUACCAAGCACUCAAUAAGGUAACAAUAUAGAAUAAGUACCCCAUUCCACUCAUUGUUGAUCUAUUUGAUCAACUUGGUAAAGCAAGGUAUUUCACUAAGUUGGACUUGAGAUCAGGCUACUACCAAGUGAGGAUUGUGGAAGGAGACAAACUGAAGACUACAUGUGUGACCCGAUAUGGCUCAUAUGAGUUCUUAGUGAUGCUCUUCGAUCUCACCAAUGUACCAACAAUGUUUUGGACACUCAUGAAUAAGAUCUUCCAUCCCUAUUUAGACUAGUUUGUGGUGGUAUACUAAGAUGACAUAGUCAUCUACAAUAGCAUCUUAGAGGAGCACGUGGAGCAUUUAAGGAAGGUCUUCAAGAUCUUAAGGUAAAACGAGUUAUAUGUAAAGAAGAAGAAAUGCUCAUUUGUUAAAGAGGAUGUGAGCUUCCUAGGGCAUCGCAUCAAAGAUGGCAAGCUGAUGAUGGAUGACAACAAGAUGAAGGUCAUCUAGGAAUGGGAUCCACCUACUAAGGUACCUCAACUAAAGUCUUUCCUUGGCUUGGCUAACUAUUACCAGUGGUUCAUCAAGGGUUACUCUACAAAGACAGCUUCACUCACUAAUCUUCUUAAGAAGAACAAGGCAUGGGUGUGAGACAAAAGGUGGCAACAAGCCUUUGAAGAUCUAAAAAGUGUUGUGAUUGAGGAGCCAAUGUUGGCAUUACCCAACCACAUGAAGGUUUUUAAGAUACACACAGAUGCCUCAAACUUUGCUAUUAGGGAAGUUCUGAUAAGAUAGACAUCUAAUCGCCUUCAAGAGUUGCAAGCUAAAUGACAUAGAGAGACGCUACAUGGUACAAGAAAAUGAUAUGACUGUCAUUGUCUAUUACUUGCACACCUGAAGACACUAUCUUCUAGGGUCUCACUUCAUAGUGAAAACCGACAAUGUUGUCAUUAGUUACUUCUAAACACAGAAAAGUCCUAAGUAAGCUAGGUGGCAAGACUUUCUGGUUGAGUUUGACGAUGCGCUGGAGUAUAAGACAAAAAGUACUAAUCAUGUGAAUGACGCCCUAAGCCGUAAUGUAGAGCUAGCAUUCAUGACGAGCCAGCCCCAAUGAGACAUAAUAGAUCUUCUAAGAGAGGGGUUGCAACAUGAUCUAGUGGCUAAGAGCCUUAUUACCUUGGCCCAUGAGGGAAAAACUAAGUGUUUUUAGGUAGAGGACGACCUACUCUACACUAAGGGGAGACUACUCUACGUGCUUAAGUGGGGGAACAUAAGGUAGAACUUGAUUAAGGAGUGCCAUGACACCAAGUGGGUUGGGCACCUUGGGCAACGACGCAUAAAGAGCACUACUCGAGUCAGCUUACUACUGAUCUUAGAUACAAGAUGAAGUUGAGGCAUAUGUGAGGACUUGUCUUGUGUGCUAACAAGACAAGGUAAAACAACAACAACCUAGAGGCUUGUUGGAGCCACUACCUAUAGCAGAGCGUCCAUGGGAGAGCAUCACCAUGGACUUCAUCAUCGGGCUACCUAAGUUGGAGGGCUAUGGCUCGAUCAUAGUGGUAGUGGAUAUGUUCUCUAAGUAUGUGACCUUCAUAGUAGCCUCUACUGACUGUACUGCAAAGGAGACAGCAAGGCUAUUCUUGAAACACAUGGUCAAAUACUGGGGGUCGCCUAAUUACAUCAUCAGUGAUCGCGAUUUGCAUUUCACUAGGAAGUUUUGGACAAAGCUCUUUAAGCUUAUGGGUUUGAAGCUUCACUUCUUCACAAGCUUUUCACCCGUAAACAGAUAGGCAGAUUGAGAGGGUGAACGCCUUAUUAGAGUUAUACUUAUCCUUCAUGAGUGUCAACCAAAAGGAAUGGACUAAGUUGCUAGAUGUAAUCCAAUUUUCAUACAACUUGCAAAGAAGUGAGACAACCAACAAGAGCCCGUUCAAGCUAGCCAUAGGGCAGCAACCAUUGACUCCUCACACACUACCAAUAGGCUAUACGAAGAGAAGUUCAGCGGCUUUGAAGUUCACUAAGGGGUGACACGAGCCAACUGACAUAAUAGCUCAUACUUGGAUAGGGCCGCUAGAAAGAUGAAGAAGUGGGCUGACAAAAAGCGACAUCACACUGAGUACAAGGUCGGAGACAUGGUCUUUGUCAAGCUCCUUCCUAAAAAAUUCAAGUCACUAAGGCCGGUACAUAAAGGCCUUAUGAUGAGGUAUAAAGGACAUUUCCCCAUACUUGGAAAGGUCGGCAAGGUGUCCUAUAGAGUUGAGUUACCACCGAGGUUGAAGAUUCAUAUCGUCUUCCACGUAAGUUACAUAAAAUCAUAUCACGAAGACAAGAAUUAUCCAAGCCAAGGGAUGUCCUAGAUGACACCUACAUCGAUUAUGACCUUCUAUGACAAGGAAGUAGAACACAUCAUUGCAGGCUGAGUCAUCAAGAGAUGAGGCGUGCCUCCUGCUACGGAGUACUUGGUGAAAUGGAAGGGACUACCAGAGAACGAGACUAGCUGGGAGCCAAUAGAUGCACUAUGGCAAUUUCAGGAGCACAUUAAGUGGUUCUAGGUGGAAGGUGCGACAAGGACGUUUACGGUUUAGGUAGGGGAGAGUGUCAUAGAAUGCUUCAAAUGAGCCUCCCCAGGGGUUUAUAUAGAGCCUAAGAAGCUUUUGGAGACUCCUACACUUAGUCAUUGGUGGGAAAAUGGUGGAAGGUUCUAAAGAUGUCUAAAGAUAUCCACACAUCUCUACACUAUGGUGGAAGGUAUGAGAGAAGUCCAAGGCUUUCUAGAAAAUUCUAGAGAUCUCUUGUAUAUUCUUGUACAUAGGCUUGUACAUAGAAUUGUGUAGGAAGUUUUAGAUUAUUCUUGAGUUGUAAGGAACCCUCCAAGAUUCCAAAGAGUUUCAUUGGUGCCUAUAAAUAGGUGAAGGCCUCAUUUGGCCAAGGCACCAAGCAAGUGAGUUCCAAAGCACUUGUAAAGCUUCUUUUAAGUAAUAAAAGCUUCCAUCCUUCAAGAUUUAUCUACUACGCCUUAUAAAGCUUUCAAGUUGUGAGCAUCUUAACCUAGCAAGCUGAGCAUUGGGAGCAAAACUGACUUAGCAAGAUCAAGGGUCUUGACUUGUCUAAGUGUCGCACGAGCUUAGGAAAAGACUAAGUUCAUGACACCUAGGACUAGUAGCAUGCACCCUAAGUAAUCCAAGGCUAGAAAUGAAAUGAUACAAGGAUUCCCAACACUUGACUUAAUUCCUUAGAAAUUGAAACUCAAUAAAAAACAUUAGUGUCAUUAACCUCAUUUUUUUUAUUACCAAUACUUAAUUAGGGGAAACCUUGAGCUAACAACCUCCUCAUUUUUUAUGAUGAUAAAACUGUACCAUCUAAAGAAAGCUUUCCUUAAUGUAUGCAUAUUAUAAGCAAUUUAAACAUUCAUCAUAAAAGAUGGAAAACAUAAACUCAAAUGGAGACAUGGAUAUAUAGAUAUAAGAGACAUCAUAAAGGUUGCAACAUGAUCGUAUAUCCGAAAUAGCAUCCAAAAGCAUGUCAUCCAAAAAAAAAUCAACCAUAAUAACCAUGUUCAAAUUGUCCCAAAAAGGAAAAAAAUAUAUAUAUGAAACAAAAAGUAUUAAAUAGUUUACUAAAUGUUAUGCCCUAGAUACCUAAAGAUAUCUCCCCCUUAGGCAACAUCGAAACAAUGAGGGAACUAUAUGGCUCAAGGUUGAGGUGGUGGAAACAAGGAACAUAGGACAGCUAUUGAAGAAGCUAAAAUUCUUCAUAAAUGAUUGAAUUUUAUUUCACCAUGAGAAACAAUACAAAGAGGGAUUUUUUUUUUUUUUUUUUUUUUUUUAUCAAGGGGAAGACCCCUUUCUCUUUACUACUUAUCCCUUUUAAUAAAAAUUCUUCCACAUUUUUCCACUUUAUUUUGCCAACAUUCUUUCAACCCCUUUUGCACAAAAAUGCCAAAGAUAGUAUUAGGAUAACCUUUUACAACCAUUGCUAACUUUUGACACAAGUUGCUAAAAAUUGUUGAAGAUUUGCUUUUAAUGUCAGGUAGGAUAGCAGAUUGGUUCUAAUUGAAGGUCAUUUCUUGUGGAGGACCUUACUUAUAAGUGAGAUGAUUGUUCCUAUCUUCAUGGUUUUAUGUUGUAUAGUUAUAGAGACUUUUUAGAGGCUAUCAGCUUUAGAGCAAAUUUAUGUUGUUUGUUAGGGAUUAAGUAUUUUAUUCAAAUUGGGUGAAUGGUACUACCUCUUUACUUGAGAUGGCUUUGAGAUUGGGUGGUUGAAUAGUAGUACUUUGGAAUGGUCUAGUUUUUGUUCGCUUUAGCUAUCAUUUUCUUAUGCUGUGUCUAUAGACGAGUGGAGACGUCAUUUGGAAAUUGGUCAAAUUGCCCGUGAAAUUGAUCAAAUUGUCAAGUUGUCAUCCUAAAAUUGACUAAACCUAGUUUGUAAAAAUGAGAAACGACCGUCACUAGCGACUAACAUCUUCUCAAGCUAAGUAUUAAUAGAUCCAAUCUGAGCAUAAAGGGCAUCUUAAUGUUGCAGGUUCAAUGCUCAUGAAGCAUAAUAUUUUGGAUACUUGGUGUGAGACACCUCAGCAUAAGUCUAAUCCAUAAGGAUAGUCUCCUCAGGAGGUUGAGAUGUGGGCAAUUGAAUGGUGGCAUCCAUGCCCUUGGUUUGCAUCUCCUGUUGAACAUCCUCACCCCCUAAUCCUUUAUGGUCACCCUCAGUCUCUAUCUAUAGAAUCUCUGCCUCUUACUCAACCCGGUCUUCAUUCAUAGCAGGACCCUUUCUUUUUCUUUCCAAUGAUCCAUUAGGCAAUUUCUCAAACAGCAUUCGGUCUGGAUUUUACGUUAUAGGUAUCAUAGGAUGAGGCCUGAAUGUUUUUUUCUCUUCUUAUGUCCACAUUGAAUGCUUUCAGGAUUUUUGUGAUCAGUCUUCUUCCGUUGGCCACUACUUUAGAAUUGCUUUUACAACAGUUUUUCAUGUGUUGAAAGAUGAUAAGGAAACCUUAGAAUGGAUCGGAGUCAAUAGAAAAUGCUACAUAAUAGGACACCUUGUCUCUAUGUCCACCCUUAGGUAGAAAAAUAUGUUUGAUCAUGUGGUGGUGCACCCUAGAGAUAAUGCUCAAGGCAUGGGCAUGGAGCUUUGAAGUCACUGUGUCGAUGGGUAAGUUACAUAUCCUCUAGAAAGCCCUACCUAGGUUAAAACUAGACACUAUAGGCCAUCCCUUCGUCUCAAAUAAACAAAGUCCCCCACAAAGGAUCUCCAAAAUAUCACAAAGCAUAUCAAUAUUUAGUUUAAUUCAACUCCUCUAACAAAUGUGCUAAUUGGCCUUCAUAUAUUUUAGGUUCAAGUAAAAUACCUGAACAAGGUUGGGGUAUGUAGGCUCUCUUGAUGAGAUGGUAUUGGUGAGUAUUUUUUUUUCUUCAAUACAAAACUAUUACAACACUUGGUUUUUUUUUUUUCUAAAAAAAAAAGAAAAAUAAAAAUAGUUUUAUAUUAUACUUAGUUUCAAGAAAAAUAAUAAUCAAAGCAAAAUGAAAAAAAAAUUCUCAUAUUGGUUUCUCGUGAAAAAUAUAAAAGCAAAUAAAAUACAAUUAAAAUUAAUUAAAAUCUUAUGUAUUUUUAAAUUAUUAAUUUUUAUAUAAAAAAUGAAAAAUAGUAUAAUGAAUUUAGAAGAAUAUAUAAAAAUAAUGUAUUAACUUUAAAUCUUUUUUUCUUUAUAUAUAUAUUUUCCCUUCAAUUUUCUAAUACCAACACAUAAUAAGGUUAAUGUCUUCUAGCCAACCAAUUGUAAGUCAAUUUUCAUAGAGCUUUUUUUUUUUUUUUUUUUUACAUGCCACCAAGUAGUUAUAUAAGCAUUUUUGCAUGUUAUUGUUAUCCAACAUACAAUAACUAUAACAUCCAAUUAUUAUGAACAUGAACAAUAAAAUUAGAUGCAACUAACUAUUUAGUGUAUAACAAGAAGUUGGUGAAGUAAUUCAUCCUAACAUGAUUCAACAAUUUUUGUUUAUUUUUCAAGAUUAAUUAUAACAUACCCAUUCUAUUAAAGUUGUUGAGAUAUUUGAGCAAAACUAAAAAUCAACAUUAAUUCAUUUUAUACCCACAAGAGAAAUAAGAUUUGUUUUUUUGUUUGAUAAUAAAGUAGUUGUAGUUAUUAAUGAUAAUUUUGAUCCUAAUUUAAUAGGUAUCCAAAAAAAAAGGAAAAAUGCAAGUAAACCAAUUCUUAUCUAACACAAUUAUUACCACCUUAAAAUCCUGAGGGGUAGCUCAGUUGAUCAGUUCGAGUCCCUUUAGGACCAUGAAAAGCUUACCCGAUGGUUCACCUUAAGAAAAGCAAAGCAUUUAUAUAAUUCAACUGGUAGUUGAUAAGUCUUAGAAAGGGUUUUGCCAUCAUUGGCUUCUCAGUAAAGGGCAAAUUUGGGUUGUGGCUGACAAUUAUUGAAUUUGUGAAGAAAUAUGUGAAGAAAGGAAACAAAAAGAGUUGAGGACAGAAUUCUUCAAUUAAAAAAUGGUUAGCCCAUGAACCCAUUCUUCAAACAGUAAGCCAAUGAGCCAAUGAGCCAAAAAGAAAGAAGAACAGCUGGUUUCAUCUUUUUAUCUUAAUGACUUUGACAACCCAUCUUUCUUUUAAAUACUUGUGACUUUGGAAUAUAAUUAAAAUGAAACUUUGGAAUGCCCACAUCUGAUUCACGGCCUUUUUACCUGUUUUCUUGUUUAACAUUUUUUUAAAUAUUAUAACAGAUGGAAAAACAUGAUUCUAACAGGCUGGAAAAUAGUGGAAGUUGGAACACCAACCAUAACCAAACUAUACCUUCCAUCUUUCUCCAACACUCGGAAUUAUUGAUACAAGUUGGUGGUUUUAUGAUUGUUUCUAUUGAGGGGACCCCUCUCCAUUUCCAAUUUCAAUGGAAAGGUUCUUCUUUCCCUACUUUUUUUUUUUGUUUUUCAAAUUCUUGUAGUUUUGUCUGUCUCUCUCAACAAAGCAAACUGCAAUCACUAAUUCAAAGAAAAGGAAUCCUAAAUGAAAAGAAAAGAAAGGAAAGGAAUGGUAAUUUAGGCUAUGAUGAUGCUCCUAUAUAAUGGCUGUAAGUCAAUAACAACACACUGGACCCGCCUCCUAUCUCAAAAGAUCACAAACCCAAAUAUCAUAUACUUCCAAAUUUCAAUUUGGUUCCCUGUUUAUAUCACAAUCUGUCCUAUAUCCUCUUAAUACAUCUAAAAUCUCUCUAUAUCAUAAAAAUAAUGAUGGAAAAAAAAAUUAAAAAGAAAGAAGGAAAAAAUGACAAAAAAAAAAAAACCUUGGUGCUGCUAUGGGUCCAUAGGAAUUGGCAGGACUGCACUUCUGGAUCCCCUUCCAUGGCCAAAAGAAAAGAAUGAUCUUCGGAAUCUGCUGCUGCAACCUUCACUAGGGCUGAAGUCACUGACAGGCCUGUUCUGUUGCAAAAUCUCUUGAAUUGCUAAAUACAGCUGCCUGUCGUUGGAUGAGUCCAUUGAAAAAGACCUCCUGAUGGGUUGGAUUGAGAACUGAUCAUCUUUGCCUCUAGUGUCAAUGCACUCAUCACCCAUGCUUGCAACAUGAUGAAACUUCCUUGCCUUUUUAGGCACAAUUCUCUGCUCUAGCUUCCUAGGUGAUGGACUAAUUGAUGGCGCAGAUAACUCUCUGGAAUUCAGUCUUUCUGGUGGCCUAAGCAGUGAUGAAUCAGCAGAACUAUCAUUUCCCAAUUCAAUUACUACAAAAUCUUCAUCCCCUCCUAUGUAAUUAUUGGCGUAGGGGCUUGGAUCUUGGGGGGAAGAGCUAGGAGCAAUGAUUUGGUGAACAGGAAACCGGGGUGUGGUUGAAAUGCUUGUUCUGCAAAGUGGGCAAUUAGCAUUGCUUUGAAGCCACACGUCUAUGCAAUCUAUAUGAAAUAUGUGACUGCAGUUUGGUAUGAUUCUUAGCUUCUCUUCUUCUUGAAACUCAUUCAAGCAAACCGCACACUCGCAAUGGCUUCUUUCUCCAAACUCUCUGCCACCUCCUUUCCUGAACUGGAAUAUUGGGAUUGAUCUGAUGACUGACUCGUCCAGGCCUCGACUCUCGAUUGCUGGGGAGUACACCAUUAAAGGGUCUUCCGGGUGCCGACUCCUUGAGAAAGAAAAUCGUCUCAGCAGAUCAAUCCGGUGCCAAUUGAGGCAGCAUUUGAUUACAAAGAUGUAGUAGCUCACCAGCAAGAAAGCAGUGGCCAGGAUUCCUAUUACGGCAAUGGCUAUAAUGGGGAAACUGGUGUCCGAGGAAUGAGAGGGAGAAGGAAGCACUGAGCUCGCCUGGCUUUUGAUGGGAGAAAAGGCUUGUGAUCCAUGGAUGGAGGAGUCUGUGCUCACAAGAUCCAUGAGAGAGGCUAUGAAAAACAUUUAGAAAUGAGUCUAUUCGGAUCUUCAAUUCACAGAAACAUGCAAAUGCUAGAAUAAAAUCGACAGACACUCAGAUAUAGACCCUACAGUUGUAAUGCAGCAUACCAUAAAUGUGAUUGAGUGAGUGAGGCUGAAACAGCAAAUGGGUCACUUCAAGAUCUCAACAAGACAGAAAACCCAUGUUGAAUUCACCAGGAGAGUAUUGAAAAGGGAAAAAUUAAGGACAUAUAGCUGUAUUGAAAGUUGAAACAAAUGCAGAAACAUAGAGAAGAGAGAGAGAGGGAGAAAACCCAGGAGGGUUGAAUGAGAGCGCUGCUGGGGAAGACAUCAAAACGCUUCAAAUUCAAUGAGAAUCUGUUGGGGACCUCUUUAAGAGGACUGCACAAAGCCUGAGCGUAGGGUACGUGGUUGGUUGGUGAAUUUCUCGGCUUCCAAAAGAGAAAUUUGGUGAGAAAAUUUUCAAGUCUCUUGAUUAUAGUAACGUAGCGUUUAUUUUAAUUUUAUGUAACCGAAACUAAUGGGCUGGUUCAAAAAAAUAAAAAAUAAAAAAAGGAACUUUCUAGGAUAGGCCAGCAGUCCACCGUUGGUCAUGUGGUUUCUUUUGCAUGUCCACAUCUUCCAACUAGUGGAGGUCCCUGUCACAACAGUAAGAAAACACCCAAUUGAAUAAAAGUAUGAACUUUUGGCUCCCAAUAUUACUUAUGCCCUCAUUCAAUACCUCAAAUAAAGCAGAGAUUUUGUGUCCCAACUUUUAUGAUUUCAUUUCAUCUUACUUCAAAUGCUAAUGACAAAAGUCCAAGUAUAUUCUGUAAUCACCCACACCCCAAUAGUUUUGAAUCACACUUGAAAUAGUUCCCAUGCUUUCUUAAUAAUUUAGAUAAUUAUUUACAGAAAAAAAAAUUCAGAACAGGAUGAUAAUCAUUUUGUGAUAGCAUGGAAGAAACUUUACUAGCCACUUUGGCCCCAUGAAGUUGAGUACUUGAUGCCAAUUAAUGGCAGGGUGGAAAAUAGAGAAAAGGGAUCAUAGUCAAAUCUAGAGUACAAGGCAUUGAAUCUUUGUUAAUAAUUAACAAAUGGGUAAAGCAUGGGUCACAGGGUCUACAGUUUGGAUUGCAAAAACCUCAGGCUUCUAUAAAAAGCUCAUCCAUUAUCAAUCAUCAAUCUGAAAGCCAGAAAGUCCAAGGCACAUGCAACCCACGACAGGGGUAAGAUUUCUGCAUCAUGUCCCUGAGUUGCAUUCACAUCAUAUGUUUCCCUCCGGGCCGUUCCAAUUUGAAAUCUCAUGGAAAUCUUCAAGAGCAAGGCUACAGAGUUUAAGAUAAUACUAGGGGUGGGUCCUGAUGGGAAAAGAGGUAGUGUAGGAUAGUCAAUAAAGGGCAUGUGUCUCUGGUGUGAAGUCAAAUCCAGUGUACCAUCCUCAAUGGAAAAUUUAGAAAUAGAACCGACACUCUACAGACUGCCGUGUUGACAGAUUAGAGAAAGACAAACCCACUUACACUUGCCUCAAAACCCAGUCCUGCCAUUUCAAAGGCAAAAAAAAAGGGUUUCUUUUUAUAGUCAAAGGUUGAGGCCUGGCCUGGCCUAGCAAAGAAACUUCACCUACUCUUUUCUUAUUUUUCAAAUUAAGGCCAUUCAACUUUUCCUGUUUGCAGGCUUGCUGCCAUAUCUUACUCCAAAAAAGGUGAAAACCCAAAAGAAAAAGAGUGUUUGCUUCAAUGGAAAACUCAUGUUUAAUAAAUUCACCGCACGAGUUUUGUUCCAGCUUUUCCUAUGAAAGCUGUGAUGCGUUUGGUAUGAAGUUGAUUUUGUUCCUAAAAAUUUUGAUCUUGGCGUGGAAGGCAACUUUUUCCUUUUCCCCCUUUUUCUUUUUGAAAAGUUCGGCAUUAGUUACCAAAUGUCCUUUUACUUGCAUGUAGGACAGCGGAAGCAUUACACAUCGCAGCAAAAUCCCAUUUACCCGAAUUUUCCACUAACUCUUUUUAUUUUUUACCAUCAUUUUUUAAUAGAAGUGAUGCACUCUUCAAAUUACAUGAAGCUUUUAAGAAGGUAAUAACCCGUUUCAAAGCGAACUUAACCUACAGAGUAUGUUUUAAAAAUAUUUAGGUAUUUGAUAAAAUUUAAAAAAUAUUUUUUAAAAUCUUUAAAAUGAUUUGUAAUAUUGAAAAUUUAUUUAUACUUUUUUUAAUAAAAAAACAUUUUAUAGGUAAUUUUUCUAAAAUACUUUUAGAGAAAAUGUCUUCCCUUCACUAUAAAUAUUAUAUACUAUCAAAUACACUUUAAAAAUCUGUUUAACAAUAAUUUUAUAAAGUGUUUUUAAUUUUAAAAAUAUUUUUAAAAACAAAUUAAAUUUUUGAUAAAAUUUAAAAAAUCUUUUUAAAAAUUUUGAAAAAUAUCUCGUAAUAUUAAAAAAUAUAUAUAUUUAUAAUGUUUUUUAUAUAAAUACUCAAAAUUCAUUUAAUAGUGAUUUUAGGAAAUGUUUUUAAUAUUUCUAAUACUUGAAAAUUUUUUAUCAUUUAAGUAUUAAAAAUAUUAAAAACACUUUAUAAAAUCACUUUCAAAUGGACUCUUAAUGAUUUUACUAAAAACACUUUUCAUAGAAAACAUUUAUAAAAAAUAAUUAUGAAAUACACUCUAAAUUAAGUAAAAGUUGUUUUUAACAUUACCACUAUUUAUUAAUAGUGCAUUUGUUUAAAAUAUUUAUAUGAAAAAUUCAUUAGGGUGGGAUAUAAAUAUAGAAGUGUUUUUCUUUAUAUAUUUUUUAUAAUAAAAAAUGAUUUUUGAAAUUAUAAAAUUUGAAUUUAAGAAUCAUUUGAUAAUAAUUUUUGUUAAAGCACCUUUAAUACGUGGUGCUUCUAUUGAUAGCGCUUUCAUUUCUAUGAAUGGCUAUAAAUUAUAUUUGAAUAAAUUUUUUAUAAUGUAUUAUAUAAUAAAAAAAAAGUCAUUUUUAAAAAAAUUAUACAUUAAAUGAUUAUUCAAAUAGUAUUUCCUAAAUUUUAUUAAACAUUUUUUUCAAAAAAAAAAAAAAAGUUUUCAAAUACUAGAAAACGUUUUUAAUCUCUCACACGAUCACAUCCAAACAAGUCCUAAUGCUACUCCUAGAAACACUCCAAAACAAAAGUCUUCCUCUAUUAAUGUUCAUAAAAUCCACAUAUAUUCUUCCAUCGUUUUUUCAAAAUUCAAAAUCAUUUCUAAAACAUCAAAUCAUGUUCUUUGGAUUGGCUGACUUGUUUUUUGAAAAUAGAAGGCUCAUUAUUGACGUCCGUUGACUUCAUAACCCAGUCUUGAUCUCUUGAUGGAGGGCAUAAAUGUAAAUUGGACGAAACCCUAGGGUGCGCUAGAGUGUAGAGGAUGAAAGGUUGGAAAAAGGAUGAGGUGGGGGUGUAAUAAAGAGGAGGGUUGGGAGAAUGGGACAUGUGUAGGUGAAGCAUUAAAUUCAAGACUAUGCUUACCAACAACAUAUAAAUAAAUAAAUAAAUAAAUAUAGGAACAGCACAUGGGGUGAGUAGGAGACAUCAGAAGAUGUGAACAACCCCUUGUCAGUCCAAUUUGCGUCUUUUAUCUACUCUAUUAUCUAUAUCGAUUUUCGUAUUUAUUUAUUUAUUUAUUUAUUUUUACCAUUUGAUUUUGCAUGGAUGUCGAAGGGUUUAUUGGCUGCCACGUGUAGGGUUAUGGUCAAGAUCACGUGGGGUGCCUACAUGGGAGUCACGUGAGUGCAUGAGGCAGGCUUGAAUUGCAGGAGGAGCAGGAGCAGAGCAGUGGCUGUUGUCUUAAGACUUUGCUCUCUUGGUGGAACUGCAGCUUAAGCAGCAUCCACGUGUUGUCACGUGCAAUGCGAGCCAUCCACACCACCAGUUUCUUUUUAGUGAUUUUCUAAAGUCAGUUAAGGUUGCAGUCAAUACCUUCAAAUGUUGACAGAGUUAGGGAUCUUUGUUAAAUGGAUUUUAUUAAGAUAUUAGUAAGUUAAUUAAUUGAGGGUCAACAUAACAGAUGGGUCGGGUUGGGUUGAAUCUGAAUUUAAAACGAUUUAAUUUAUGUUUAAUCAAAUUUAACAUUUAACUCGAAGCACUCAACUUAAGUUUAAUUGAAUCUUAGUUUUCAAAACAUUAUUUAAAUUUGGGUCAUUUGGAUUAAAGUCAAAUGGGUUAGAUUAAUCGGGUUAUAUGGUUCAAAAUCCACUUACCUUAUUUUUUAUACAUUAAUAUUAAAAUUUAAAUAAAAAAUAUUAGAAGAAAUUUCAAACUUGGGAUUAGUUGAUUGUAGCCAUGCAUUUGGAUGUUGGUAUUCUUGUUUCUUGUCUUGUUUCCAAAUACCCUUUCAAAUCGCUUUGUUAUUCAAUAGCAUCCUCCCGAUCAUUUAAAAAUUUAAAGAGCAUUGGUAUGAUGGAGGAAUUCAGAAAUUUUAGUUGAAUAAGUAAAAUUUUUCUCUCAUAAAACCAAAUAGCCUCUAUAGCUCAGUGGUAGAGCGUCAGUCUUGUAAACUGAAGGUCUGUAGUUCGAUCCUGCAUGGAGGCAACUUUUUAUAUUUCAUGAUCCAUUAUGCUCUAGUGAUUUAGUUUUCAUUAUAAUUUUAGAUUAAAAAAUUACAUCAACAUUUGAUAAGUUGGUUAUGACUUUGAUAUAAGGAUGAAACUAUCAAUAAUAUAUAUAAAUAUUUUGACACAAAAUAUCUAAUAUAUUAAAAAAUUAAAAAAAAACUCUAAAAAACAUUAUAAAAUUAUAUAUAUAAUUUAUCAUAUUUAAUAAUAAUAUCUUCUACCCUAAUAAAAAAUAUAAAUUUUAUAAGCAUACAUUUAUUAUUACAUUGUAUUAUAUAUUAUUUUACAAGAAUAUUAUGAUAACAUGUCUAAUUUUAAAAUAUAUUUAAUAUUAAAAUUAUCAUCAAUUUUAAUUUAAAUGUAUUUAAUGAUAUCAAAUAAUAUAUAUAUAUAUAAUUUUUUAAUAUUUAUAUAUUUUUAUAUUUAAUAAAUAUAUAAAUUAUGUAAAAAAAAAAGACCUAUUAAGAAGAUUAUGUUUUUAUAUUUGGAUCAAAAUUAAGUUUUUCCGAUAAAAUAUAUGAAACUAUUGAUAAAUUAUUGAUUGAAACGUGAAAAAAAAAAUUCAAAAAAUAGAUGAGAUAUUAGUAAAAUAUCCGAAAAUAUUGAUUGAUGAAUAUAUCAUUUCAAAUUUUGCAUCAACAUCCACAUAUGUUGGAUAUAUUGGCCAAAUAUAUUUAAACCUUGUUUCCAUGAGAAGUCUUUCCUUCAACAAUUUCAAAAGGUUAAUGAGGUGGUUUCCAAGAGAUGUGUGUAGGGGUCUCCAACGGGCGGGCCGGGCCAGCGGGCUUUUUGAAAUAAGCCAAAAUGGCUUUCAAAAAAGGGAAGGGAGAGGAUUUAAACCCCUUCCUUCAUGCUUAAAUUUCAAGGUUCUAACCAAUUGAACUACAUUCCUUUAAUGUUUAUUAAUUGAGUUAGUUAUAUAUAUAUAUAAAAAUAAAGUAUAUUAUUUUUUAAAGGGGCGGGCCUACGGGCUGGGCCGGGCCGAAAGCGGGCCACGGGCCACGGGCUUUUUGGAGACCCUUGGAUGUGUGCAAUCACAUUUGGUAUUAUAGGUGACAAAGUUUGAUAAAUGAGUAAUUAUUAGGUUAACUUAUAAAAUCCGAAUUUGAUUUAAAUUGAUUCAUUUAAUAAUCCCAUUUAUUUACCCAAUUAAAACUUUAAAUUAUUUAACUUAUAUUUAAUUUAAUUAAAAUUUGUUUUUAAAUAAAUAGAUCAAUUAAAACAUAAACAUAUUUGAUUGAAACAUUAAUAAUAUAGAUUUAAAUAAGACCUAAUUCAACCUAACGAUCAAAUAGAAAUAUCUAAUUAUUAAAUAAAUUAAACAUGUUACUUGCUUAAUAAUUAUGUGACAUUUGAAUUUAUGCUUUUGAUAUAAUUAUUAUUUAUAUCAGGUUUAUAUAAUGAAAUAUCUAGACUUUGACACCAGUCAACAUUGUCCACCAAUACAGAUUGCAACUCUUAUAUGCUACAUCACAUCAUGUUGAAGGAAGAGGAUGACGUUCAUUGGCAGCAGAGCCUCCAAUCAUAAGGAGCUUGAGCAAAUUCAAUCUCAACACUGAAAUUCACUAGAAAAAAAGUUUAUUAUUGAUACUUCAUUUGUGUAAAAGCAUUAUAUUUCUUGCAUCAAUCGUAAAGCAUGACAUUCCAGUAGGUACGGAAGAGAAAAUUUGUUAUGAAUUGAAAAAUCUGUCAAGCUUAAUUUGGAGGGCCCAAAAUUGACACGUUUAAGAGCUCUAUCAUUAGCCCAAUGAUAAGAGUCCAUUUCUUGAGUUUCAAGGAAGGCCCAAGUUUAACUUAGAGGGCCCAAUCUUGGUACCUUCUAAAAGGUGCAAACUUUGGCCCAAUUAUAAAAGCUUAUCCUUGCUUCCUAAGCAUCAAUGAUAUAUUUGAUCGAAGUAUUCACAUAACUAUCACGAAAUGAAAUGAAAUGAAAAUGUAUAAGUAAAUGAUGAUUUUGAGUUAUUUACUGACAAUAAAGAAUUAGGUGGUGUUUGUUUUUUUUUUUUUGGCUUUUUACUAAAAGCAAUUUGUUUUCAGAAUUUAGGUUAUUUAUUUUUCUAUUUUUUCAUGACUUAUUAUAAACUUUUUACUAAAUAAGAAAAUCCAAAAUAUAUAGUUUUUUCUAAAUAGAAAAAAUAACAUAUUGGUUUUCUUUUUUUUUUACUUUUUAAUAUUUAAUAGAAAUAAAAUAUUAUAAAAACAAACAACCUAAUAUUUAACACUAUUAAGUAUUAAGGUUUUAUUUAGAAUUAAGUAAAAAAACAAACACUACCUUAAAAUGAAAAGUAUGUAUAAUGACCUUAUACAAAAAAAGUCUCAUUAUUUUCUUCCAAAGAACUCAUACUUUUGUUUUUCAACUAUUACUUUGUUUUUAUUUUUUAAAUAAUAUUUCAAGUUUUUUUUAAUAAUACCUUUCUCUUUAUUAGAUAAUUUUAAUGACUUUAAAAGUAUUUUAAUAUAUUAAUUUAUUAUAUAAUUUUAAUGAUUUAAAAAUAUUUAAAUGUUGAAAUAUUUAUUUUCAAGUCUAAUUUUAAUUAUUUAUUUUUUGAAGUAUUUAAAUAUAUAAUAAAUGUGGGAUUAUGUAAAUCUAGUUGUAAUUAUUUAUUUCAUUCUAUUCAUGUUUUUAGUUGAAUUUGCUCAAAAUUUACACCUCUUUAUUUAAAGAUCAUGGAUUAGUUAGGUGUCUUGAGAUUUUUUUUCUCUCAAGACACUACUUGUUACACUAGAAAAUAAUUUGUGGCUAUAUUUUUUAGGCAAAAAGAAUUAUAUGUUAAAACUUCCUUUAUUGACUAGUUUAUCAUAGGGUGUAGAGGAAAGUUUGUGAUGUCUUUUUAUGUCAACUUUGGGAGAAAAAUAUCACUUUAGCAUUUUCCUUAGAAAAUUUUCAUACAUAAUUGAUUUUGGAACUAUGGAGGAGCAUAAGUAGGGAUAGAUAAUUCGAUUUUGGAAAAAUUAUAAUAGCUUUUCAACUUGGUGUUAAUGAUAUAUUGUUUAUUUCUUAUUUUUUUUCCAUUUUAAUAUAUAAUUGGGGAUUUUAAACUUGUAGAACAAGGCUUUUUCAAUUGAAUUGACACGUACAUAUGAAAGUUCUCUUUGGUUGCUAAUCACAUUUUUUUUUCUUUUGCUUUUUGUUUUUAUCAUAAUGAAUAUUGAACUCGAAAUUCAGUUUUUAAAAUCUUAUGAUGUUUUAAAGUUUAUAAAUAUUAUUGAUUUUUAUAAAUGAUGUUAUUCAUAUCUUGGUAAAGACAAUAUUUUCAUAUCGGUCAAGAUGAUUAAUAACAUAUAAGUUCAUAAAGAAAAACCUAUUGAUUAAUGGAUAUUUAAUGAUUUUUAUUAGGAAUGUUUUUUAAUUAGUUUCAAUACUCAUCUUUUAGAGCAUACAUAUAGGGUUUUAGAUGCUACAUUGGUUUUCAGCUUGUGAUUUAAAUUAUUGAAGCAAAAAAUGAGGGUUUUGCUUUAUGGAACUAUCUAAAGGGAGGUGAAUUAGGCGGUCUUCCUUUUUAAAAUCCAAAAAUUAGAUUUUUAAUACUUAUAUUAGUUAUACAUGUGUUCAAUAAUUAAAACAAAGAACAAGUCCAUAAUUUACAUGUGAUGUGCAUGGAAAAACACCUACAAAUUCUCUCAAAUACUUUACAAAUGAAAAAAAAAUCAAGGAUCGAUCAAUCACAGAGCAACUUCACUAAAUAUGAAAACAUGACUAUACAAUUUUACUUGGAUGAGGUGCUACCUUCUCUUAAGGGUUUUUACACUAGCCAACAAUUACACUCACCUUCACUCUCACCAUGCACCUCUAUUGUGCUCCAUAGUAAACACUUUAAUGACUGUAGCAAGAUUGCGAUAAAUUACUGCGAUUAAUUUGAGAGUGUUGAUAAUGAACAAAAAAUAAUGAUAAUUAACUAGAGAGCAUAUGAUUUUGUAAAAACACCAAAAAGAGGCAUAGUUAUAAGUGAAAACUUUAAUGGAUUGGAUUGAAUAUAUAAUUGAAGUAUGAAUGAAAAAUUACCAAAACAAUGUUCAAAACCGUGCUAAUCAAAGCACAAUCACUUGAGUACUCUCAUGGGGCACUUGAAUGCUCCUUUUAAUCACCGUAAUGCUGAAAUUAAUAAUUUGUCUCAAAUUGUUUUUCCAAAACAUAAAGCAAAAUAUUAUAAAUUUAUAUAAUCAAACCCAAUUUCAUCUUAAAGCUAGCCUACUUAGUCUUAAUUCAUGUCCAAAAAUACUCAUACUUGUCAAAGAAUGAAUAUGGUAUAAACAAAUUCUUUAUUUUCAAUUAUAUUCAAUUAUUGAAAGAAUAAAUCGGUUUACAUACAUUUUGAACAAAGGUAUAUACACAUAGACUAAAUCAAGGAAAUGAGGAAAUCAAUCACAAUCAAAUCAAAAUCAAAUGAUAGGUUGAUAUCUAGGAGAAGGUUAAGUUAGAACCAACUCAUGUAUUCAAUAUUCCCCCUUAAGAUGGCAUAUGGAGAUCAUGAAUAUCAAACCUAGAAAGUAAGGGAUAUGAAAUAUCUAUACCAAGGGAUUUUAUGAAAUAUCAACCAAUUGUUGUUGUGAUUAAACAAAUUGAAUAAGAAUAAUUUCAUUUCGAAUCUUUUCAUAGAUCAAGUGACAAUCAAUUUCAACGUGUUUAUUCUGUUCAUGGAAAAUUAGAUUAAUAGCAAUGUAUAGAGUUGUAUUAUUGUCACAAUAUAGAUGCAUUGACCAAGGAUGAUGAACUCCAAAAUCUAUAAGUAAAUAUUGCAACCAAUGCAAGUAGUAAUCAUUAAAUAAUAUUUCACUUUUCUUCAUGAGUGUUAUAUCAUUGAUUGCUUUUUAGAUCUUCAAGAGAUUGAUAGGCCACCAAGUAAAAUACAAUACCCUAUAAUUGAACAUCAAGAUUAUGCACAAUAGGCAUGGAGGAAGGCAAAAGAAUUCCUUGACCUAGACGAUUUUUUAAAUAGUAUAACACUCAUGUACUUGUGAGAUAAUUGAGACUACAUUGGCUUGUCAAGAAUUUGAACAUAAUUAGCAAUAUUAAGCCCUAUCAUUAUGAGUCAAAGUAACUUCCCAAUCAAAUGCCUAUAAUAAGAAGCAUCCAACAAAGGUUCUCUAUCUAAUUUACUCAAUUCCAAAUUUUGUUUCCUAGGAGUUUUUAAAGUUACAUGUUCCAAGAAAACCAAAAUCUUUUAGUACUUCUAGAGCAUGUUUUCAAUAACUUAAAUAAAUCUCAUUCUUAAAAUAUGUCAUUUCAAUGAUGAUGAAGUACUUUAAUUUUCCAAUCUCUUAGUUAGUUUGAAAAUGCUAUAUAGGUUUUCCUUGACCACCUUAAUUCCUUUAAGAUCAUUCAUUGUAAUAAUUAUAUCAUAAAUGUAAACAAGAAUGAUUGUGAAAUAGUUAUUUGAGGCUUGAGCAAAUAAGAAGUAAUAUGUACGUCUUGGCUUGCUUGUAAACCAUAAACAUCAAUGUGAUAGAUAAUUUGGCAAACCAUCAACGUGAAGCUUGCUCAAGGCCAUAAAGGGAUUUUUUAACUUUGCAAAUCAUAUUUUUGGUUCUAGAUUUCCUACAAACUUGGUGGAAGCUGCAUGUAUACCUCUUUAUCUAAGUCUUCAUAAAGAAAAACAUCGUUGAUGUCAAGUUGGUGAAGAUGUCAAAUUCUAAUUAUACAAUAAUUAGGGGUGACAAUGUGUCUUAUCGUGUUGAGGUGAGAAAUAGUGAAAAUUUACUUAAUCCGACUAUGACCCGUUUGAUAAUCGUGUCAAAAUAACCUAACAUGAAUACAAUUAGUUUAUUUCAUGUAACAUGACCCUUUUAACAUGUUUAAUAAAUAUAUUAACUUGGAUUAUGUAUUAAUUGACAUGAAUAACUCAUUAACUUGAUUUCAACCCCUUAAACUCAUUAACACAAUUCCAACCCAAUAAACUCGUUAAUAUGAUUUAACUCAUUAAACUUGUUAAUAGGAUUAUAACCUCUUUAACCUAUUUAAAAUUUUAAAUUUAUAAAUAAUAAAAUACUUCUAGAAAGUUUAAUUUUUAAAAUUUGAACUAUAAUACAUGUAUGCACCAAUUUCAUGAAGUCCUGAAAAAUUAGCAAAAUUAUAGAAAAAUAAUAUAAACAAAAAUUUGUAUUAAAAUUAAUAAGUAUGGGCUACAAUAUUAGUCAUAGUACUGCUUAUUUCUGAAUGACUUUAUUAAAAAGCGAAGAAUACAUGUGUAGUUCUUAUGUGAUUUCUUAAACUUGUAAGGCGAUUUUAUAAAGUUUUUUUUUUCUUUGUGAAACCUCUUUUUCUAUGUGAAAUUGUUUUGCCGAUUUGAAAUCUUCAUUAAAGGAAGUUACUAUUAUUUAUAAUUGAAAUUAGAGAAUGAAAUGUGGAAUCCCCAUGAUUUAGUUGCUUAAUUCAAGGAAUUUGAUUAAUUGAUUUUGGUAACUUGUCUCAUAAAAUUUUCUAACAAGAAUAUUUAUUUUUAAUCUCUUUUAUUUCAAUUGGAAUAUUUGUUUCCUUUGUAAAUUUGUCAAUAGAAUAUUUAUUUAUUUAUUUAAUUCUCUUUUGACUACAAUGAGAAGAUUUGAUUUUGUUUGUAAGACUAAAUUUUAUAACCUUUCAAAUUUGGCCAAGUGACACCUUUUGAAUAUAUGUCACAUGUCAAAUGUGUGUGACUCAUUAGUUGUUGAACCUAAAUUUUCUUGAAUUAGAAAGCUAUACUUUUGAAGACUAAUUUAGUGAUAAUUUAAUUCAUUAAAUUUUUUUGGUGUCUACAGUAUAUUUAUAAUAUGAAAAGUAAAUUAAAAUUUUAAUUUUUUUACUUGUUUAUUAUUUUAUUUAUUAUUUAAUGAUAAAUAUUUUUAUUCUUUAUUGAAAUAUAUAAAAUUUUAAUUAAUAUUUUAAUUUUUUUAAUUUCUAUAUAUAAAAUAUAUAGAUUUAUAUGGUCUAAUUGAGUCAUUAAAAUAAAUAGGGUAAAUAACUCACACAUAAGUGAUGGAUCAUUCUAACAUGAUUAAAUUAACAAGUUAGAUGAAUUGAGUAGUCAAAUACAAACAUGAUUUGUUUAUUAAAUAAGUUAUAUGAAUUGAUACGAUUAUGACAUCAACUCAAUUAAACUUAACUCAAAUAAGCUUUGUCUUUUAUUUUAAGUUGUCUAGUUGUUCACACAAAUUUUCUCAAAAUAAAGAAAUUAUAUAUAAAAUUGUAAAUUUGAUUAUUUGAGGGGACCAUUUUCAAUACUCUUUUUUAAGUAAUCUGGUGUUUAAUUUUGAAUCAAAGGGGCUUUCAUUAACAAAUAAUAGACUGUAGUUUUCAUAUAAGAAGAAAUCUCAAGCCUUUUUUUCUUGAAGGAAUCUUUAAAUUUUCUUUGAUACUUUAAAAAAUCAAUCUUCUUUGAUUUUUUAAGAAAUCUUUGAAUUUUCUUAAAGUCUUCAAAAAAAAAAAAAAAAAAAAAACUGAGUUUAAGGAAUUUUUUUAAUAACUCUCCAAAUUUCUUUGAUAUUCCAAAGUGUCCUUUAGAAGGGGACAAAUCCUCUAUUUACAGGAUUGAGAGUUUUAUUUUAAUAUUAUCUCUUAAUUUUUAAGAAAUAACUCUCUUAUUUAUGAUAAUUACUAUUUAUUUUAUUUAUCAUAAUUAGUUGCCUAUGAUAAUUAUCAUAAUUAAUUUUUCUAGAGAUAAAUAAUUAUAUAUAUUUAAUUAAUCAUGAUAACUAUAAUAUUUAUUUAAUUUUUUAUUAAAUUAUUUUACAUAACAUAUCAAUAUAUAUUAUUAGUCAAUUAUUAACACCGAAAAUUAAUGAGUUGGCAUAAAAUUUAUCUCUCUAUAAUAGUAUCAAAGCGAGCCUUAAUAAUAACAUUGCUUAUAGUCAAUUUCACAUGCCAACUUUUUACUGGGCAUUGGCGAUUUCAAUUUUGAUAGUCCGGUUAGAAAAAGUAGGUAAAGAUUAUUUGAUGUGGUAGGUCAUUUCUUUCAUAAAGACGAUGGCGGUGAAUUCAUGAGACAGGUGAUAAAGGAGAGAUUCUUUCUUUUGGCUUUGGAAUUUUAAUGAGGUCCUCGAUCCUCAUCCAAAAUACACCUCUCCAAUUAUAAAAAUCUUAUUAAAAAAAAAAAGAUUUGACAUGUGCCUUUCGAACUGCUGGUUUUCUGUUCCAAAAAUGAGAAUGGUUUCAAGUGGAUGAAGGAAGGUGAAGAACCCUUGGUUUUGUUAAGCGAAAAGCCACAUGAUUAAAUAAACAUAAGGCGGCAAAGGCUGAAAAUUUAAAAUUAUACUAAGGAACCCACCCCACAGGGCGACUACACUUUUGGUGAAGCCACGAGAAUGAAAGAUAUCGAAGGUGACACCAAGACAUUAAGCAGCACCAAGGUUUCGAUAUAUUAUAAGAUGGGAUCUUAUGAAAGACGAUCUCUAAUCUCUCUCCAAUCUCUUCUUUAACCUUUUCUUACUUAAAUCCAUUUCCAUGGUAGGGCACAUGUCCAGCUGACCCUACCCCCUCACCUACCUAUACUGCUAUACCCUUUUGUAUAAUUUGAUAUGGAUUGGAAGCCACCCCAACAUCUUUCUAAUUGCUCGUAAAUGUUGAGGUGCCUUUCCAUUUUGAGGCUGCCCUAAUGUGUGGCUGAAGUACGUAGGAAAAAAAAAUUGUGAUACAUGCACUGACGAAUCAAAUCCCAAUGUCAAAUUAUUAGACUCACCUGGUUCUUAAAUUAUUGUGAAUGCCGCUGGCCAUGGAUAAAUGGAAUUAGUGCGUGGCUUAAUGAAAAUUUAUUUUGAAAGGGAUAUUAAUUUGAGAGAAUUUUGGCUGAUACUUGGAGUUGAACGUAAGCAUAUAUGACCUCAUUUCGGGUGUGAUAUUGUGCUUAUAACGAACCUUUCGUUCUUUCCAAUUCCAGUGGGUAUUAAAUAAUUAAAGAAUUCAUGGUUCGAAGGCGAAAGGUAGAAGACCAAAAAGGGAUUACAAAGCCAUCGGCUUGACCAUCCAGAUGCAAUGGAUACAAACUUUGGACUCUAUCGAAAGUUCUUUGGGCACGUGCCCAAGUGUCCUACCCAUAUGAUAAGUUACACGUGGCUAAUUGCGGACCGGUUGCUCGUGCUAAACAGGGUACUUUUUCUACGCAUAUAAGAUGUUUCACUAGUGGGGCUUCACCAUGCAAACUCAUGGAUGAAGACCCUGAGGCCAAGAUGAAGGAACAGAAAGAAGGCGGAGGAGAGGUUCGGUAUCGAGGCGUUCGGAGGCGGCCAUGGGGGAAGUUUGCUGCGGAGAUACGUGACUCGACUAGGCAUGGAGCGCGCGUCUGGCUCGGGACUUUCAAUUCUGCGGAGGAGGCUGCAAGAGCAUAUGACCGAGCUGCUUAUGCCAUGAGGGGUUCCUUGGCGAUUCUCAACUUCCCUAAUGAGUAUCAUACACCCGGCACGGCUAGCUCUUCAGCUUCAUCCUCAAUGCCCGAAGGUGAUCAGCAGGGAAAACAAGUCAUUGAAUUGGAGUACUUGGAUGAUAAGCUGCUAGAGGAUCUUCUCGACUCUGAAGACAAAAAGAACAAGAAAACCUGAAGUUUCUGCUGCCUCGAAUCCCCUGAAAUCUAGUGCUUCAUCGAAAAAAAAUCCCCUCGCUCCUGAUUAACAACAUUUUUAUUUUAGUCAAUGAAUGUGUUCUCGGAUCAUUAUAAGUAUUUCUGCCGAAGUCCAUUGAUUUUUGGAGACUGAAAAAUGUCAGAAAAAUUGGUGCGAACAGGUUUACUCCUUUCUAAAUUAUGCAAUUGAAGUAUUUGGAUUAGUGCGCAGUGUAAACAUCAAGGAAAGCAUGAUCCACUAUUUUAAGGAGCCUAAGUGCUUUCCCCUUUACUCUUUUAGGAUGUCUUUUCAGUGAAGAAAGUUGGGAGACCACCACUUACCCUUUUGAUUGGUAUAUAACUGCCAACUAAUAACUGGACUAACAUUUGGCCCGUCUGGCCCUACUUCUUUGACUUUGUUGUUAAUUUAUAACUUUAUGUGAAGUGGGGGCUGUUUGGGAAUGUGUGAAGCAAGGAUUUGAGCCGACUUCGCCUAAUCUGAUUCUCCAUAAGUGACUUCAUUUUAUCAUAUUGGUGUUUUUUUUCUUCUUCUUUUUAAAUGGCUGGGGAGGAGGGGAUUUGGGAGGGAUGCAAUGCCAUGGUUGCAUGCUGGAUUAUCCUUCCAAAUGAAACAUCCAUUUGGUUUCUAGUAACUAAUUGCAAACAAUUAAAGAGAAUAAAAUUUUAAGAUGAUUAAACAAUAAGUACCUAUGUCCAUGAAAAGGAGAGAAGUUCACUCAUGGGUGUUCAUGAAAGACAUCACAAAGAACCAUCAAUAUGAGAAGAAUCCUGAUACAAUUAACUUUCAUGCAUAAGAAAAGACGCUCAAAAAAGAAUAAUGCUUACAAGGAAAGAAUCUCACUACGAUCAACUGAAAAAAUAUUCCAAUUUAAUUGGAAAUCCUUACAUGGGAAGAAUAUCAAUAAAAUCAACUAAAAAAAUAUUUUAAUUUUAUAUCAAAAUAUUUGUGAUUUAACCCGUAUCAUUUCAUCAUGACUUCUUAUAAAUUUUGUUCCUUUUUAUCAACACCACCCCUUGAGUUGGAGCAUAAAUAUUUAUUAAGCUAACUUGAACAAGAUCUUGAGAAAUUUUGUCGCAGGAUUUGUUUGCACUUUUUUUUUUCAAAUAAAGUCAUAAUUAACUUUAAUAUGUUUAAUCAUUUCAUGAAAUACUAGAUUUUAAGCAAUGUUGAUAGCAUACUUAUGCCUGAAAGCUUUAUCCCAAAUCACAUGAGUACAUGAAGUGAUUGCAUCAUUAAUGGUAGUAUUAUUACUUUAUAUUCAACUUCUCCACUUGAUAGGAUGCAUGAAAGCAUUGUGCUUUCUUCUGUUUCAAGUAAUAAAGAUUAUCACCAAGAAAGGUGCAAUUAAUACCUAGUAACAGAGUACCUAGUGGUAGCAUGCACCUAUCCACUGAACUUGUACUCGACUCUAUGAGUGUACGUUACAUAGUCCUUUUUUCGAAGUCUAAAUGUCCCUUGAUAAAACCUUCUAAUAUUUGAGGUUUUGGUAACAUUCAUGUAUCAAUGAACAAAUUAAUUUACUAGCUAAACUUUAAAAUUAGGCAAUGUUUUUCAAUGGGUGAUCAAGAUCUUGGAAUUUUCAAUGUUGUUUGAAUAGCUUCCACACACAAGCAUAUUUUCUCCUAUUUAGGAAUAAUCCCUUUUUUGAAGGUGUGAUCUUUAUGCUCAAAAAAUAAAGAUACUCAAAAAUUUAAUAUUGACCUUCUCGUGAAGGAAAAGCUUUAUAACUAAUUUUUUUUGUGCAUUAUAUAUAUCCUCAAUAUAGACUUUAAAAAAAAAAGAAGUAACUCCCUCUACAAAGAGUGAAGAGUCAAUUAAACUUUUUUUUUUUUAAAAAAAAGGAACCAAUUACUCGUAAAAGUAAUGAUUAUUUUUACAUACCAAACUUGAGGAGAUUACUUAAGAUCACAAAAGUUUUUAUUAAAUUGCAAGCUAGAUGCAUUUGAAACGAUCGUUGAUGUCUUAGCAACACCUUAUGUAACUCAUCAAUCUUUAUGUAAAAAUGCAUUUUUAACACCCAUAUAAAAUAAUGAUCAAUCCUAAUUUAAUAGAAACAAAUGGUAAUACAUGAAUAUCAUUCAUAUUAAUGAGAAAAGUAAAUAUUGAUUUAUAAUCAACUUCUUAAGUUUGUGUCAAUGCCUUAAUCAUUAGUUUAACUUUGUCAUUCAAUGAUACCAUCAUUACGACAUUUAAUUAACUUAGAUUUGCGUAAAUCCCUUAAUCACUAGUCUAGCUUUAUGUCAUUCAAUGGUACCAUCAUUAUGGUAUUUAAUUGAUCUUAUACCCCCAAUUUGUAUACCCCAUGUUUUUCUUAAUUUACCAUACAUCACUUAACAAUGUUCCAUGCAUGGAUUUUGUUAAGUGCCUUAAGUUCCUUUUGCAUAGCCUUUCUCCAAAUUGGAUGAGGAUUGGCUUCAUUAAUGUCAUUAGACUCAUGAUAUAUGGAACUCAAACAAUUGUUAAGUGAUUUUGUAUAUAUAUAAAAAAAAAAUUGUAAUUAAUGUGGUAGGCAUAAAAAUCUCACAAAUGAGGAUUGAUUAAUUGUUAUAAUUGAGCAACAUGCUUGAGGCUUAGUCACAAUACUAGAACUUGAAGUCAGACAUUCUCUUCAAAUAAGGACGUAUAUACAUUAUAUUGGAUCUCCAUUAAACAAGUAAAGAACUAUUUAGUAGACAAUGAAACCUCAUUGAUCAAUGGUGGUAGAGAGACACAUGAUGACCAGACUAUUCCCCUGGAAAUGAGAAUAAAAAAUAUCAUUAGCCGCAAAAAUCUCAAAAAAAUUUAGAUAAUGGGAUAUAAAGAGUUUAUGAAUUUUACAAUCAUAACUCUUAUACUGGUUUAAGUGGUAGAGUAAUCAAGAACACAAAACGAGUUUGAUGAGUGGUUGAGAUAUGAACAAAGCAAAGAUUUCCAAAGACACCAAAAUCAGAAAUCUCAAUUUUUGGGCUAAGGAUUUCAAGAAGAAAUUUAAAAUUAACUACAUGACUAGAAAAUUUGUUCAUCAAGGAAAUAGAAGUAACGAUAUCAUAACAUCAUAAUUAAUCAAUAUUUUUAAUAACAUGCAUUUGGAACAUGAUAUACCGGCUUUCUAAUAAUCAAUGAUUUUUGGUUCAACCACACCAUUUUGUUUUGGGAUGCCAAUACAACAAGUUUAACGAANNNNNNNNNNNNNNNNNNNNNNNNNNNNNNNNNNNNNNNNNNNNNNNNNNNNNNNNNNNNNNNNNNNNNNNNNNNNNNNNNNNNNNNNNNNNNNNNNNNNAUGUAAGUGCCAAAUUAGGUAGUGUCGACAAUGAAAUGGAAAUUUUGGAAUAUAGAAACAACCUCAUUUUUAUGUUCUAAUAAGUAAACCUAUGUAGCAUAAGAAUAGUCAUUAAAAAAAAAGGUAACAAAAUGUUGAUUUCCAUCCUAUGGAUCAAUUAGGACACAACCCCAAGGUAAACUAAUUUGAAAGUUGCAACAAAAAUGGAAAGAGAUGAAAAAAUAAUAGAGGAAUUUAAGGUUGUUUCAAAAUUUCAAGACAUGCUAAGAAACACAUGAGAUUAUAGAUGAUUAGGUAACAACCUUGGUUAAGUAUAUUCAACAUAUAUAUCCCACGAGGAUAAAUAUCUUCACUAAACUUUUCCUAUUAUUCAAUCCCCUAAUACCAUACAAGUGAAAAAUUAAUGUCACGGUCAAAAAUUUUAAUAAGCUUCCAAAGAGAUAAUAAUUUUGGGGAAAAAAACAACCUAAGAAACCUAUGAAUUGAGAUAAUUUAGGAAAAAACUAAAUGUUCGUUAGCUCUAGAAGGGAAUUGAAGCUCAUCAUCAAUAAAGAUUGUUGCUAUCUCGAAUAAUAUCAAGUAAACCAUUAAGAUCGCUAUUAAUGGUAUGAUUAGCAGCACCAAUUAUCGACAAAAAAAUUAUUAAAAAUAUAAGAAAUGAGAGCUUUAAGAUUAUCUAAUUGAUUUGUAAACCUAGGUAAGUGAAUCAGUAUUACGUUUUGUUAAGGAAGCUUAGAUCCAAUUGGUAUCAUUCACCAAGUUAUUGGAUUAAAUUACACUAUCAAACUUUGGCUUUAAAUGAGAAUGAAGAAUCUAACCACAAUCCUUAUUGGGAUUAGAUAUGUUAUUGCAAUAAUGUUUACAAUCGGAUGAGUGCUAAUUUCUAUUGAAAUCAUGAAGCAAUCUCUGAUCAUUGGUCUUCUUUGUAGAAACAUGAGCAUUGAAUUUAAAAUUAAUAAUUGUUACUUGGGAUUCAACCUUCAUAAUCAUUGCCUGGGUUUCCUAAUCACUUUCAAGAAUUACUUAUAUAGUGAAGGCACUCGAAACUAAUCAAAUUUGUCCUCUUAUAAAGUUGUCAUAUUCAAGCUUCAGAAUAGCCAAUAAUUGAAAAACUUAUCAUACUCCGCAAUUUGUUGAAGAAUAUUUGGGUCUAUUGAAGGGGACAAUAUAGGGAAUAUUUGUCCCAUAUGCUCAAAAUGUUCAAUUAACAAAGUGUUCUGUAUGUUUAGGGAUUUGUUAGCUUUAAUUACACAAAACAUUAGCAGUUUUAGAGAAAAUUAAUUUUUUUUUGCAAUCUUAGGUUCCAUGAAAUUAAAAAGCCAAUAACAAGUCAAUAUGGCUUGAGACCCAGUCAUCAUAUUCAAAGUCAUCCAACUUAGAAGCAUUCAUUUUGCCACUAACAUGUGCUAAUUUCCAUUUUCUAUCUUUCAAGAGAAAAAGACUGCUCUUAACCAUGGCAAAUAAUUGAACCCAUUAAGAAGAUUGAGGAAAGUAUCAUAUGAGGGUUGUCAUUUUCCUCCAUGACAAAGAAAAAGCAACAGAGAAAAACUCAUAAUAUUAGAAAGAGAAUGAAAGAAAUUGAGUCAUAGAUACACACAGAAGAAUCCAAAAAUAAAGCAAUAAUACAACCACAAAUAUGAGAAGAAGCUCAAUUACAAAGAAAGGAACUCAAUACAAUCAACUAAAAAGCGUUCCGAAGUUCAUACGAAAAUAUUCAUAAUGUGAAGAUCAUUUCAUGAUUCCUACAAUUUCUUCCUUCUACCAGUCCACUCCAUACAAGGUUUGAUCAACAACUUCUUCAUUGAUUUUCUGGUCUCUCUCCGGUGUAUCAUAGAGCAUUUUUGACAUGUUUCUGCAAGAUACACUUGUUAACUUUAAGCGACAUAAGUGCAAAAAAAUAAGAUCAUGUUGUAUUGCCUGUGCUUCCACUCUGCCUUGUUUAGUACUAUUAUGGAGCAGUACUUCCAUAUAGAACCAGUGAUCUCCAGUUCAUUAUGUUGCCUUCUUUAAACUAACUUUAAUUAUCUAUACAUAUAAAACAAAGUGGUCCCAUCAAGGGGCUAAAUCAAGAAUCAAGUGGGGCGAACAGGAAACAGUGGCAUCAAUUUUUAAGUCCAUAAGCUUUAAUAAAAGGAAUAAAACCAAGGAUAUGAAUAUGUUAUUUUUUCAUUUGUUCAUGCACUGGAAGAUCUUUCCUCUUCAAGCAUUGAACCAGCAUCCUUCUGUGCAAGUUGCUGUCGGAACCUUCUAUAAUUGUCAGAAGUCUGUUUCUGAAAUAUACAGAUAAAACUUUUAGCAAGUCUUGACAUUGCUCAUCACUAGGACAUUGUACUAGGAUACCAAUUCAUCUAAUUAGGGUUAAGUUGGCAUCUCGUACACUAUUUUUUAUUUUUCCUUCAUCUUUUGUUCCCAUUUGCAGUGGAAGUGGCACUUAGAAUAUCUGAUCAUGAAGAAUUAGCUUUCGGUGAGAUGAUACUAGGUCAAUUGCCAUUAUCUUUUUGAGUUACUGUGCGAGCAAUCUUGAAAAUAUUUUGGGAUAAAUAGAAUUUGUGCUUAUCAUAAACAUGCUAAACAUCCAAAUCAAGUGCUUUUACUAUUGAUAUCAAAUCAGUAAUUGAUUUUAACCUUUAUGCUUAUCUUUCAGAUUCUCAAUUAUGUAUCUUGAAUAAUGAUAUUAAGCAGAAAUCAUGAAUUGAAUUGCUUUAAUUAACUGUGCCUUAUCAAGCUUGUCAGCAGUGCUAUUGCUACCGCGAAUCAAAUUCGCUGUGCUUCCCGCCUUCUCCAAAUAAGCCACAAGCCCAAUUAUAUCCGCCCUCCUCCCAUCUCCAAGGGAUCAAAAAAUAAAAUGACUUCAAUCAAUUUUCAAGUUUUCCAUCUUGAUCAGUAGACCACCCGGCAUGAAUGUUACCCUCAGUUUAGGAAUAGGAAUUCCUUUUACUAAUCAUUUGGCACUAAAAACUAUGACCCCUAGCAAUUCAUUCCCUCCAUUAGAUAUCUGGGGGCAUCUUGGCUCAGCCAAAAAUGAUAAGUCAUUGCAUUUCACAUUGCAUUCAUUUGUAUUAAUGAGCUAAUUUUUUUUCACAGAAUGUGAUGUGAAUCGAAUUACUUCCAACCAUGUGUCUCUAUAAGGGUUUAACAAAUGUAAUUUGCAUUGUCUGUACACUUUUUUUUCGGUUUCUUUUCUUUUUUAUGCAUGAUUCAUUAGUCCACGGAUCUUCUAUGCAAAGUGUGCAGGCCAAACACCUCCUUCAAUGCAUUAUUCUAGAAGUUAAGACUCAGUUUACUCCUUAAUUGAUCUGUUCCAUUUACUUCAAAUCAUUUGAUUACAUUAAAUGAAUCUUGAAAUUCAAAAAUGCAUCAAAGUUAAAAGACCUUCCAAUGCAUUAAGAAAUCAUCUGAUACAAAUAUAUGUGAACCUGCAACAACAAUAAUGUCAAAAUGGAAAACUUAGGUAGAAAAUAUUAGAACGGAAACUUACGACGAACUCAAUUUUUGGCGCCUUUCUUCUUCUCAUCUUCUGAUCCAAGAAGCUCUUCCAACACCGUGUCAUCCAAACACUCGAACUCAAUGACUUGCUUUUCUUGCCCAGAAGAGGAACCUCCCAUCUCUAAACUCCUACAAGGCCCAGAAGAUGACGAGGAAGACGAUGAGGAUGGUGAUGGUGGGGGGCGAUGGGAGCCCAUGAUUUCAGAAUAGUACUCAUUAGGAAAGUUAAGAAUGGCAAGAUGACCCCUUAAGUUAAAGGCCGCUCGAUCAUAGGCGCGAGCUGCAUCCUCCGCCCUGUCAAAUGUGCCUAGCCAUAGACGAGCACCUUGCCUAGACGGAUCCCUAAUCUCGGCUGCAAACUUCCCCCAUGGCCUCCUCCUCACCCCUCGGUAUCGAACUUCUUCCUUUUCCUUCCCUUCCUGCUCCUGCUUCUCAUUCCCUUUCGAAUGAUCUUCCAUGCUAAACGUGUCGAUUUGCUAGGCGCAAUUUUUUUGGUUUCAAAUGUGCUGGUUUACGAGAGGCAUGGAUGCUUAUGUAUAUAUAUGGUUGCCACAGUCAGGUCUGACGUCACCGCUCAAUGUAUGUUCCACAGCGUGGGUUGACGAGCUUUCUGAGGGGGUUUCCUCGAAUUCAAAGCAAGUAUAAAAAUUCGAUUCUCCGACCUUUCCAAUGAGGAUCGAACAGGCCUUUUAUUAGAACCGUAUGAUAACUCCACACUGUUUUCAAAUAGUCAAUGUGAUCUAGAUUCUUCGUUAAUUUUUUCCACCUGACUGAUUGUUUACAAUUUUAUUUUUCACCGUCCCAAAUUUAAACCAUUUACGCGAUUCCCUGGAUUGCAUUUUUCUUUAAUGUUGACUUUACGAGGCAAUAGGACCCCCCAGCAACCCCACUAGGGCGACUUCAUGGGAACCAGAUUACUUUUGGAUCCAGAUAUGGUCCAGAAGAAAUAAGACAAAUCAAUUAAUGUCCACUAAAGUUUUGAUGGAACCCUUAGUCCGUGUUUCCUGUGGAUGUAUGUAUUGUAUGCACCUCAAUUUUCACCAAUCCCUGCUACGAGUCCCUUUAAUUUUGACGUUAUAAAUGUUUUUCCUGACAUUAGCAGAGUGUUUUUCUGCCGUCUUUGAGGACCUUCCACGGCCCAUAAACUAAUAAGGAUCGUCCAGUGAAUUUAGUCUUCCCCAGUUAAUUAUCCUGCGAGGGAAACUUGGGCAGUAAGUUGCCUACAUGAGUGGCUCCCGCCUACAUGAGUCAAGGGACCAUACGUCAGGACGACAACCAGUGUGGUCACACCAAAGUGGGUUGCCUGGACUCCAGGGUGGUCGCUUCAAAGUUGUCAAAUGAAGGCUAGCUUGGCAAGUUUUGGAAAACAAUUAUUGAAAAACAUUUUUCAUGAAUAACAGUUUCUAUGAACAGAUUUUAAGAAAGUUUAUUUUGUGAUUUUUAGGAAUAUUUUUAAUUUAAAUUUUUAUAUUUUUAAUUUUUUAUUAAUUUAUUGAUUAUUUAAUAUUAGCUUAAUUAAUGGAUUUUUCUUGGUCCCAAAUUAUUAAUUUAUCAAGAUUUAAUCGCAUCCAUAAUUAGUCUAAUUUCUUUUGGAGUGAGUGUGACAAAGUGCAAAUUUCUAGAGUUUUAUUAAUGUUAUUCAAUGUCAUAAUUUAACUAAUUAUAUUAAUUAUUUAUUAAUCAAAAUAAAUCAUUCACUUGAAAUAUGAUAAUUUAAAUUAAAAGUUUCAAUUAUUUAUUAAUUAGCAAAGUAUGAACUUUUCUUCUUGUUUUAUUAUUGUUAUUCCAUGUAUAUAAUUUAAUUAACUGUUUCCAAUAUUAAUCAAUAAAAAUAGAAUAUAAGCAUGAGAAGAAUUAGUAAAAUUCAUUGAUUUGGAAUUAGAUAGCUAGAGGAAGAACUUCAUCAUCUUCCCAUUACUUAAAUUUGUAUAAAUUCUAAAUAUUUAAACCCCCCCCCCCCCCCCCCCCCCCAAAAAAAAAAAAAAUGGUAAAGAAAGACUCCCCAAGCUUUCUUGGUUGGUGUUACCCUAAAAUUUGUACAAUAAGAUGAACCAUUUGGCUUAAAGCUUGGUGCGAAACCCCUUAUCAAUUGAAAAUAUCAAUGAAGUUGUUGAAUGGUUUUAGAGGACUAUUCUUAUGCAGAGUGGCAUAAGAAGCGAGGAGAUGAAGAGCGGAGAGACGUUAACAUCGGAUGCUGCUACGAAGGUGGGAAUACGGUUAAUUAAUUAGAUUUUGUGAUGGCUUUGAGUUUGAAGGAGUUAGUUUAAUGGGUAUUAUUAGUGAACUGAUAAUUGGAUUUGAUGUAAAGAAGGUUGGUCCAUUGGAUUAGCAAUUGGUUUGGCCUUUUGGGGGCCCCAUUUCCAAAUGCAUUGCCUUUUACAAGCAUUCAACAUCGCUGGACGUAACCAGGCUUGGUUCACCUAAAAGUAUCGCAUGGAUUGAAUUGACUAAGUUUUCAUUGUAGACUAGCCUUGAUUUUCCCUUGACCUGCCCACCAAAUCCUGAUGCCCACGCGAGGGAAUACCUCAAUUUUCUAAUAAUUUAUGCAGUUUCUCUUCAAAGCUCGUGUGAUCACUUGGGUCGGUAAAAUAAUGCAUUCCUCUACUUUUUCUCCCUUCCUAGAUGCAUGUUAUACCAUUAAUUCAAAUGUGAACAUGGGCUUGGCUUUGAAACUUGGUUCAAGGCCCAACAUGUUGACCCACAAUUGAGGUGUAAUUGAAUUUGUACACUUUUCGACUUUGAUACCAUUUGUCAUUACCAUUGACAUUGGGUCAUUGUUGAUUUUGAGUCCACAACUUUUAAGGUUGUUAUUACAAUUUUAAAUUGCGCCCACCCAAUUUAUAUGCAUUAUCCCUUAUAAAUACCGAUAACCUCUCUUUCUUCGAUAAUAUAAAAUGUCACAUAUAUUAUAUAUCUCAAUGUUUUCUUUUACUUUUUUUUUUUUUAUCGAUCGACAUUCUCUCUCAGAUGAUAUGAGAUGUCACAUAUAUUAUAUGUUUCAAUGUUUCUUUUACUUUUUCUCUUUUUCCUCAUGAUUGACAUUGUCUUUCUCAAAUGAUAUGAGUUGUCACAUAUAUUUUAUGUCUCAAUGUUUUCUUUAACUUUUUUUCUCUCUUCUUUAAUGAUCGACGUUCCUUUUCUCAGAUGAUAUGAAAUGUCAUAUAUAUUAUAUGGCUUAAUGUUUUCUUUUACUUAUUCUUUCUUUAUUAAUAAUCGACAUUUUAAGCAAUAUGUGAAUAUAAAGCAUUAAAAUUAUCUCCAUCGUUUUUGGAUGUGGUAUAAAUACACAAUUCUUAUUUUUGUUUUAAAUAUUUCUAUUGCUAUCUAUUGAAAUUUUAUGCAUGAAGCUACCAAGUUAAUUAUACAUAUAUCUUAAGAUUUUUUUUUUUUUUUUUUAUAGGAUAUAUUGUCCAUGAAUAUUUUCUGCAAUGGUAUCUUGUUUGAUUACUAUAAGAAAUAAUAUAUAUAUAUAUAUAUAUAUAUAUAUAUAUAUAUAUAUAUAUAUAUAUAUAUAUUAUAUUUCAAUGUUUCAUAUUUGCUUAAAAUAAAAAUUAUAUUUUAUCACAAUAUUUGGUAUUAAAAAAAAUGAAAUCUCUCUCAUUUAUUAUUACAAAAAAAUUAUAAUUUAUAAUUUUCUAAAUAAGUUUUAUUUAUUUGCUAACUAUAUUCAUGAUUAAAAGAUUUAAAAUUUAUAAAUAAAAAAUAUUAUGUCAUGUCAUUAAAUAAAUAAAAAUAUAUGUAUAUAUUAAAAUUAUGUUUUAUUGUAGCUUUUAAUAUUUUUUUUUUUAUUCUUUUCUUUUUUGAACUACAAUUUUAAUUUUUUUUAAUCAAAAUUUUUUAAUUUACAAAACGAGUAACAUAAAACUUGCCUUUGAACUUUAUUGGAAUGUUAUAUACUACCAUUUGGCUUUCAAGACAUUAGAAAAGGCAUAAGUGUCCCUUUUAUUUUUCCGAAAGGCAUAUUAGACUAUAGUAGGAAGUGUUGUAUAGAGGCAACUAAAAGUUGCCUUUAACUUUAUGAAGUCAUAUACUCCUCUUUGGCUUUGAUGACAUCAACUAGCAAAUUGGAUUUUGUUUCCUUUGCAACAUUUUUCCAUCCAUUAGCCAGUUUUUUUAUACUGUUUGGUGCUUGCCAACAUGGCACACACUAUGGUUCUUAAAAAGUAUUUUUUUUUUUAAGAUACUACGAAAUAAAAUACACGAUUGAAAGAUGAGUCACAAUAAUUUUCAAAACUAAAUUUUUUAAUAUUGUUAAGAAAAUUUGACCACCAAAUGAUUGAUUUUAAAUUACAAAUACUUUUGUUAGCUAAGAAAUUUGUUGUUCUAUUUGUUUCCCUAUAAAUAUGACAACAAUCAUAAAUAUUUUCAUUUUAAGAUAAUUUUCAAAUAUCUUCCAUUAAUAAUAUAAUAGAAUUAGGAAUUUUUUUUUUAGUUAUAACAAUCUAUAAUUAUUUAAGAGUCUUCCUCAAUCUCUAGGUUUAAGAACUUAUUGUUCUUAACAACUAACAUGUCAUCUCUUAAAAUAAUACAUUCUGCAAUAAUUAUUGAAAUAUGAUAUAAUAUAUAUAUCUACUUACAACCAUUUUUGUAGUACCAUUAGAAUUUUUAAUUACCCAUUCUAAAGUAUUUUUAUUCUCUAUUCUUAAACCAUCAAAAUUUAAUUUAAAUCUUUCAUUAAUUGGAUAAAUCCAAUGAAUCUAACAAGUUAAAGGAUUAUGAAUCCGACAAAACAGUUGAUAAUAAAUUAAUAAUGCCAUUAAUAUGAUUUUAAUGUGAAACACAAUUAUCACAUUUAAUACAGUUAGUCCUUGUAUGAUUAAUGUUUUGGAAGCUAAAAUCAAUCUUUUGACUAUAAUAAGAGUUUCUACUAUUUCUAUUUUUGGAUGAUUUUAUAUUUUUCUUAUUGUUUUAGUUUAAUACAAAAAAUAAAAAUAAAAUUACAUUAGUAGAAUUUUUUUAACUUACUCAAAAACCUAUUUUAGUUGAAUGAUUUUUUUAAAAAAAAUAUAAAUAUUUUGUUAAAAGGGAUAAAAUAACCUUACCUUGUGAAAAAGACCUCUUCACCCAAGAUUACUUGUUCAUAAUCCUUUUAAGACGAAAAUGCCCCCUUCCUAAAAAAUAUUUCAUCUUAAACUUAUUUUUCUUUUUAUUGCCCUUUGUUCCAUCCUUCCGGCUUGGGAGAGAAAUUCAUUCUUCUUUUGCGAAGAAAAAUUCCUAUUGCGAUUUUUCAUUUCAAGUGGAAAAAAAAAUUCUUAUUUCAUUUUAAAGAAAUUGUACAUUUUCAAUCUUUCUCUUUGUUCCUAGUUGAGGGUUUUUUUUGUAAUUUUAUCUUAACACUACAAAUUUAAAGGUGAGAUUAAAUCUUAAUGGUUAUUAGUUAAAUCACAUAUCUAACUUUGUUUUUGUCAGGACCUAUAAUAUGAUUGGAACCACCAUCCAAACUUCAUUAGGUGGGAUACUCCCCACCCUCCCCCUCCCCCCGCGAAAUCCUUGGAUUUUAGUUUUGACUUGGAUUUCAAUUGCCCGUAUCAAUUUUUCUUUAUUUAUUAAUUUAUUAAUUUUCAACUUUAACAAAAGCCUUGAAUCAUAUUUAAAUUCAAAUAACUUAAUCCUAAUUAAGUUCUUUUUAAAUAAAAAUUAAUCAUUGAAAAGUUCAUGUGACUAUUAUAAUUGAGAAUUUAUCCCAAGUUGGGUUUUUUGCAAAUAAAAUUUUAUUAUAGGACAUCAUGAUGCAACAUAACAUAAGGUUGUUACUUAAGUUUGUUUUGACCUUGUAAUAUGUUAAAAUGAAAAUGAAGCCAUUGUAACAGGAGAGAAUGAUGAAGCUGUGGAGAGAGCUUAACAAAGCUUGGGUUGGAGAGACUUCACAGGAAGAGAGAGAGAGAAAUAAAGGGUAAAAUUAUCAAAAGAGAAAAGAAAAAAAAAAAAAAAAAAGAAGGUUAUGUCUUCAAAUAAUCAAUAAGAGAUGUCAUUUUUCUAAUUUUCAAAGUUCUUUUGGUCCUUCUCUACAAAUAUCCCUAUAAAAAUAUUAUAAUAUCAAGUUAAUUUGUCAAUACCAAAAUUUAUAUUUUAUAUUAGGGCGACUAAAUAACAUAUAGAAAGAAUUUUAAAUGAGUAAAUCAAAUCAAUUUUGAAACCAAAACUUAAUAAUUACCAAACUUGUAAUCUUAGUCAUUAAAAGUGUACGAUGAAAUCUAAAUUAUUAAGCAAUGAAACAAAAAAUUAAGAUUAAAAUACAAAACGUUAAAAUCAAGAUACAAACUAUUAAAAUGUAAGUGGGAUAUGAGAUGAUAUUAUAAAAAAUAGUGUGAUCCAACAAAAAGUCUAGUACAUCAUUAUCUUCACUUCCAACCAUGUUUAAAAGGUCACAAGUUCUAGCGGUUUCCAAGGACAAUGUUAAAAAUAAUAAAAAUAAAUCCAAUUAAAUAUUAAUUAAUUUAUUUGAAUUUGAGUCCGACAAAAUAGUUGGUAAUAAGUUAAUAAUGCCAUUAAUAUGAUUUUAAUGUGAAACACAAUUAUCACAUUUAAUACCCGUUAGUCCUUGUAUGAUUAACUUUUUAGAAAUUAAUAUCAAUCUUUUGAUUAUAAUAAGAGUUUCUACUAUUUAUAUUUUUGGAUGAUUUUAUAUUUUUCUUAUUGUUUUAGUUUAAUACAAAAAAAUAAAAAUAAAAUUACAUUAGUAGAAUUUUUUUUAACUUAUUCAAAAAACCUAUUGUAAGGUGAAUGGUUUUUUUAUUUUUUUUUUAAAUAUAAAUAUUUUCUUAAAAGGGAUAAAAUAACCUUACCUUGUGAAAAAAGGCCUCUUCACCCAAAUUUACUUGUGCAUAAUCCUUUUCAGACGAAAAUGCCCCCUUCCUAAAAAAUAUUUCAUCUUAAACUUAUUUUUCAUUUUUAUAACCCUUUGUUCCAUCCUUAUGAUUUGGGAGAGGAAGUCAUUCUUCUCUUGUGAAGAAAAAAUUCCUACUGCCAUUUUUCAUUUCAAGUGAAGAAAAAUAUUUAUAUUUCAUUUUAAACAAAUUGUACAUUUUCAAUCUCUCUUUGUUCCUAGUUGAGGUUUUUUUUUUUUUUUUUUUUUUUUGUAAUUUUAUCUUAAUUGUACAAAUUCGAAGAUGAGAUUAAAUCUAUAAUGGUUAUUGGUUAAAUCACUUAUCUAACUUUGUUCUUGACAGAUCGUAUAAUAUGAUUGGAACCACCAUCCUAACUUUAUUAGGUGGGAUCCCUUUUUUUUUUUCCCCAAACCCUUGGAUUUUAGUUUUGACUUAUAUUUCAAUUGUCUGUAUCACUUUUUCUUUAUUUAUUAAUUUUCAACAAGUUCUUUAACAAAAGCCUUGAAUCAUAUUUAAAUUCAAAUAACUUAAUCCCCAUUAAGUUCUUUUUAAAUGAAACUUAAUCAUGUGAAAGUUCAUGUGACUAUUAUAAUUGAGAAUUUAUUCUUAGUUGGGUUUUUUGUAAAUAAAAUUUAGUUAUAGGACUGUGAUGAUCCGUUCUCAACCGUAUAAAUAUUGUUCGUUUUGAAUUCAAAAUAACUUUUACGGCUUUAAAACAUGUUUACAAGAUUAAGAGGAGUCCAUAUUUAUAUAGCUUCACGAACUUUCCCCCCUAUUCGAUGUGGGAUGUCACAAGGACAUCAUGAUGCAACGUAUAACAUAAGAUUGUUUCUUAAGUUUGUCUAACCUUGUAAUGUGUUAAAAUGAAGAUGAAGCCAUUAUAACAGAAGAGAAUGAUGAAGUUGUAGAGAGAGCUUAACAAAGCUUGGGUUGGAGAGACUUCAUAGGAAGAGAGAGAGAGAGAGAGAGAGAAAUAAAGGGUAAAAUUAUCAAAAAAGAAAAAAGAAAAAAAAGAGGGUGAUGUCUCCAAAUAAUCAAUAAGAGAUGUCAUUUUUCUAAUUUCAAAGUUCUUCUGGCCCUUCUCUACAAAUAUCCCUAUAAAAACAUUAUAAUAUCAAGUUAAUUUGUUGAUACCAAAAUUUAUAUAUUAUAUUAGGAUGACUAAAUAACAUAUAGAAAGAAUUUUAAAUGAGUAAAUCAAAUCAAUUUUGAAAUCAAAACUUAAUACCUACCAAACUUGUAAUCUUAGUCAUUUAAAGUGUUCCAUGAAAUCUAAAUUAUUAAGCAGUGAAACAAAAAAUAUAAGAUUAAAAUACAAAACGUUGAAAUCAAGAUUCAAACUAUUAAAACGUAAGUGGAGACGUAAGAUGAUGUCAUAAAAAAUAGUGGGAUCCAACAAAAAGUCUAUUAAUCAUUAUCUUCACUUCCAAUCAUGUUUAAAAGGUCACAAGUUCUAGCGGCUUUCAAGGACGAUGUUAAAAAUAAUAAAAAUAAAUCCAAUUAAAUAUUAAUUAAUUUAUUUGAACAAUAGAUAGGACCAAAAUAAUAUUCUAAAAGGAAUCAUAGGGAAGUCCUUGGACAACCUACGACAUUGAACAAAGGUACAGUGAGACAAUGCACUUAGCCCUUCCUUGUCAUUGCGAUGAAUAUAAAAAGACACCCUGAUUGAGGGUGCCCCACUAAGCCAAGAGUGAUUCUUUUGUAUUGUAUAACGUGAAUAUUUUUGAACUUUGAAUGACCCUUCCUAUAGUCAUCAUUGUCAAAACUAGAAAAUCAGAAAGAUGCGAUGUACGAAGGCACCAUUGAAUAAGAGGCUUAAUUCUCUUUGGCAAUUAGGAUAAAGUUUCAAAAUAGAAAAAUUAAACAAAUGUACAGUGUACGGACACUUGGGCAUUGCCUAUUUGUUUUGUUCUUCUAGAGUUGUAUAUGGUAAAGGUCAUAUUGGGUUGGUUCUAUUUGGUUAUUGAAGUCGGCUAGAAUAUUAGAUUUGGUUUCAAUCUAAUCCCAUAUGAUAUUAGAAUACCAGCCCAUACAGAAUUUUUGACCAAAUAUAAUAUUUCUUUUAAAUAUAAAUAUAGUAAUUAAUUUUAGUCUAAGAUUAAUUAUGUAGUUUCCUAAAGAGACCACUUCCUAAACGGUAGCUAUGUGGAAGUUGGGCCAGGUCCUGCCGAGAAGGUUUCCACGAGCUGAGCCCAAAACUGAGUAGCUGUGAUGGGAUCAUUCUAGCAUUCAGCCUGAAACUUGUAACAUAACGGAUCGAGAGGCCUGAACUCCAAGACCAUGGUUCGUCAGCCCAUUAACUUCAACAGCACGCAUUUUAGAGGACUGGGCUUGCAAGGGGUGAGGUUUCCGGGCCGCGACCCCAAAUAUGAACAGCCUCAGAAGUGAUAUUGCUUACUGGCACGUGAAGAGCGCAAGCGUAACUAGAAGAUUUGUAAUGCCGCUUUAAUUGUUUGAUUAUAGAAUCCCACGCAUUACGCAUGGAAAGUGUAAAAGAUAAAAGAUGUAGAAUUUUUUCUUAGAGAAAAGUUCGUUUGGAUAUAGUUAUUGUUUUUUUUUUAAAUAAUAAUUGUUUUUUUUAUAAAUUAUAGAUAAUCUUAGAAAUUUAUCUUUAAAAAAAUAGUUUUUAAAAAUAUUUAAGGAGAAUAAAAGUGAUAAAAAAAAACUUUACAAUUUCAAAUUUUUAAAAAAUGAAAAUUAUUUUUAAGAAUAUAAGUUAAUCUCCUGCAUUUAAAUCUUAGGUGGUUUUUGUUUUUUUUACUUUUCGCUGAAAACAAUUUGUUUUCAAAAUUUAGGUCAUUUGUUUUUUCUAUUUUUUCAUGAUUUAUUAUAAAUUUUUUACUAAAUAAAAAAAAUCAAAAUAUGUAACUUUUUCUAAAUAAAAAAAAUAACGUAUUGAUUUUUCUUUACUUUUUAAUACUUAAUAGAUAUAAAAUACUACAAAAACAAAAAAUCUAAUAUUUAACACUAUUAAGCAUUAAAGUUCUAUUUAGAAUUAAGUAAAAAAACAAACACCACCUUAUAUUUUAUAUAAAAGUUACUUAUAUUUUGGUUUUUGGAAAUAAAAAAUAUAAAGCAUAUCCAAACAUGAGCUUAGCUAUUUUAAAUCAUAUCAAAAUAAUAAUCCCAAUAAGGUAAAUGGACUUUUAUACGGAGAAUAAUCUUUAAGGUUUUCAUUUUUAUUGGAUUUUUUUUUUGUGGUGUUUUUUCAAUCCAUCUUCUCAAUUAAUUCCUUAAAAUUAUUUUACUGUUUUUUUUUUUUUCAGUUUCUAAAUAUUUGAUUUUUCCAAAAUGCUUAAAUGGAAGACACUAAUUUUUCAAGAUAUUUGGUAUUACAAUUUUCCCUGUUCUCCCUAUUAUCUAUCAGAUUCAUGGCCCUUUUGUUUUUUCAUUGGUUUUCAAUUUAAUUUUCCAAAUAUUACAUUGUUGUGUUUUGAAUUUGUGAAACCAAUUUUAUAUAUAUAUAUAGUAUGUAAGUCUACUUUGGGUAACAUGUACAGAGAGGUUUUCAUGUGUUUGAAACCUUUUACCUCAAAAAUUAAUUAUUUUUAAUUUUAUAAUAAAUCUUUUUUUAUUUUUUAUUUUAUUUAGGAAAGCCUAUAUUUAAACUACAUGUUUGCAACGCAACACCAUACAUACUCCUAGUGGAACUUACCUUAGUGCUUGAGGGGGAUGCAGAUCUUCUUCUAAACCUAACUAAUAAGCAUAAAAUUGUUCACUAAUUAGCAUAUCUAGUAAAUCAUACAAAUUGGCAAUAUUUCAUGUUUUUCAUGUUUUGUCAAUAAAAGGCGUCUUGACCAUUUUGUGAGUUUUGUAAUAAAUAAAAAAAAAAAAAAAAAAAGGGCAAAAGGUGACUAAAAUGAGGCACUUUGGAAAGGUUAAUAACCUAAAAGGAAGAUGAAUUAAUACCCCCUUAUUCCUCUUCAAAAACCAUUGAGAAAAUGCAAGAAAUGCUCUUAGUUGUAUGCUAGGCUAACAGCCUAGCAACCAUAAUACCCUUCUUUGCAAUUGUAAGCAUUUUUUUUUUUUUUUUGAAGGCCAAACAACGUUGCAAACUUCCCAAAUCCCUUCUUUAUUUUUUAUUUUUUUAUUUUUGUUUUUAGAAGGAGAAUGAAUUUGAUGACAAACUCCUUGUCAAUCUUAUCCAAACCACGAUCGAACAGAACUCCUUGUCAAUCUUAUCCAAACCGUGUUCCACCUCAAAAACAUGUGUAGGACUUAAGGCAGCAACUGGCAAGCAUGACUGAUAGGGCCAAGUGCCCUUGUCUCUACAAUCCAUUAAGUUAACCAAGGGCAGUGAACCAUCAUUCUUUUCAAAAGCUUCAUUCCGUGUUGAAAAUGUGAGACUGAAGCAUGGUGCCCCCAAAAAUAACGAUCUAUUUACUAGCAGCAUGCCUGGACCCAUUAAAAAUACUCUACUUUAGGAAUAGAAAAAAUUACAUCUUUAUCCAAUAAUUUUAUAACAAUUCAGACGUUUCAGUCUAUAAAUAAUUGUACAUAGUUGCCAACGUUUAGCUAGUUUCAAAUGAAUAGCCUAGGUUCAUGCACCAGUUUGGCUGGUGGAGGAAAGGGAUUCGAGACAUUGAACCCUCUUUUUAGUGUGCCAAAUAUUCCACAAAAAUCACUACCUUCUCUUUGUGUUUGUUCACUUUUAGUUUAUAUUUAAUAAAUCUAUGUUUUCGAGUAGAGGUUGGGUUCAGGUGCGACCCACGUCACCUCUCGGACGGUCUUGAAAAAGGAGACCGGACCACGUAAUUUCAAAUGUAGUGACCAUCUCACUUUUACCUCCAUCCUUGAAGAUGGUUUCCCAAAUCAAUAUUAAUCUUUUGUUUACGACAAUAUCGAUCACUUUAUGUCUAUAUCGUUGUUAAUUUACCUUUUUUUUUUAGCCACAUUAUUUGAAAAUUGAUGCAAACUUUACCAACAUCUUGGUACCAUUUUAAAAUAUUAGAGUUAUUUGAUUAAAAAAAUAAAAUAAUCUCGAUAACUUGUUUAUAAAAUAAAUAUCUUUUAACAUUUAGACUAUUCUCACGCAUGCUUUAAAAUUGUAAAGAUAUUCAUAAAGUGGAACUUUAGACUUAAUCAAUAUCGAUCACUUUAUGUCUCUAUUGUUGUUAUAUUUUUUUUUUACAACAUUAUUUGAAAAUUGAUGCAAACUUUACCAACAUCCUAAUACCAUUUUAAAAUAUUAGAGUUAUUUGAUUAAAAAAAUAAAAUAAUCCCGACAACUUGUUUAUAAAAUAAAUAUCUUUUAAUAUUUAGACUAUUUUCACCAUGCUUUAAAAUCAUAAAGAUAUUUAUAUUCAUAAAGUGGAACUUUAGACUUAAACAUGAUAAUAGUUUUUUUACAAUAUUAUAAUUAUUUUAUCGUUUUAAUUAAGCCCUUUAUCAUACAUAUAAAUGUAAAUUAAUGCUAAAUUUUUAAAGCAACGUAUAACCUUUUACAUCUUUUUUUAAGAUGGUGCGAAAAUCCUAUGAAAAAUAAUAAAAGUCGAUGCAUAAGAAGAUUGUUUUGAUAAUUCAAUAGAAAAAUUCUUUUAAAAUGAUAUUAAAAAAUACCCAUAGAGCCUUUAUUAAAAAAAUCAAUUAUUUUCAUAAUAAAAAUUAUAAUUUUUUAUUAUGUAUUAUUAUUUUUAAGUAUCUUUAUUACAAAUACUUUUUUUGAGUUUAUGAGAGGAAUCAACAGGUUGGUACAAGCUUAGGCGUCCUCGUACAUGUUCCCGCUGUGCAAGGUUUUUGUCUUGUUUCGAGCUAGUCGGAAUUUACGUGUUUGAUAACGUUUUGUCCUAUUUUUGUAACGCUUUAAAGGGCGGCCCACCGUUGGAACAGUUCAAGCCAUCCAAAUCAGCCCGGAGGGUUAUGGCGACGUGGCAUGACGCCUACCACCUUAGUUCACAUGAACCCUAUGAUCGUACUACCCUCACAUGACAUCUGUGAUUCUUCACCUCCAAACCCUCUUUAACUUGGUAAUGUAUUCAAAGCUUCAUCAAAUCAUAGCGAUUAGCGACCCUCUUCCACCCUAAUUUUAUAAUAAAAAAUAAAUCUUAGUGGACAUUAAAGUAGUAUUUUGUGGGGGGAAAGAAAAACUCUAUGGGCGUAUCCACUAAAUACGAGCCAAGUAUAAGAGUUAUCACCAUGGAAUCAAAUUAUGAAGCAUUGACAUUUUAAUUGUAUUCAGAUUUGAGGAGGGCACCGCGGCACCAGCUGGCCCAGUGUAGUCUGCUAGCCUACCCGCCAUAAUGACCAAAUUAAUAAAGUAAAAAGGAUUACAGGGAUAUUCCCAACUUUAUUCUGGGUCUGAGCUGGAACUUGGGAGUUAUCACGAUCAACGGGAAAGAUGGUGGGUAGGGGACGAGGAUUGAGGGCUCCAUAUUCACAUCAGUGAAAAACGAAAUGUAUUGAGACAAGUCUUCUAAGGAUUUUCUAGCGUAUUAUAUGGUUUAAAUGAUUAUAAAUCUGUAGUUACUGGUAAAGAGUAGAGAGUGAAGACGAAAGACGUUGAGUGAAAAGGAAGGAGGAGAGGGGAUGGGGCCAUCUUACCGUGUCGGGGAGGAUCCAUAAAAGGACUACGUUCCCUGAAUCUGUAGGCAUCAUGCCUCGCCUAACGGGUUAGUCAAAAUACAGUGAUGUGUGUGAGUUGGGGGCCUCACUCCUCAUUUCUUUCCUUCUUUUCACCCCCACCCCCACUUUUUUUUUUUUUUUUUCGAAUUUUUCUUUGUCCUUUUCUCUCACUUGCGCACGCGGGAGAAGGACCACAAACUAGACAAUUCCUCUGCUCACGUGACCCCGAGUUUUUAAAUAUUUGCCUAUUUGGAAAAUAGUCAUGAAUCAUGAUCGUUAACAAACAAUCUUCACUUUAUUUAUUUAAGAUCUAUUUUUUGGAGCUCUAGUUUAGUUUAUUAUUAUUAUUAUUAUUAUUAUUAUUAUUAUUAUUAUUAUUUAGUAACUCCUCUUAUAUUAAUGAAAAAGAGAGGAGGAAUCCAAACUUGUUUAUUCUUCCUCUUUUAAGGUGUUUGUUUUUUUUAUUUUAUUUUUAUGCUUCAUAUGUCUUCAAUUUCUUAGCAUUUGUCUUAUAUUUCUUCUUAUCCGAUUCAUUAUUGCAUCCUUGGUCAAUCUUUCACGAGGAGUGCCUACUUUUUUCCUUUUUAUUAUUUAAUUCACUUUAUCUUUAUAUUUUCCUUUUACACUUUAUUUCCAAUUCAAAACGUGUCAAAAAAAAAAAUUGGUAACAAAAAAAAAAAAAAAAAUCAAUUGUAAUGAUUCUUAUAUAAUUUUAUUUAAUUUUUAUUAAACAAUAAAGAAAUUAAAAAUAUAUAAAUUUUUAAAUAAUUAUUAUAGUCUUUCAUUUUUGUGUAUAAUUUCUUUUGCAAGAAAUAGUGUAGGCUUUCCACGGUCUAAAGGAAAUGGAAUAUCAAAUGAGAAGGUAAUAAUAAUAAAGUGAGUUAUAGAUACUAAUCAAACUAAUCCACUAAUGAAUUAUUUAUUUUUAUUUCACAUGGACAAAUCCUAAAAGUUGGAGUUCUAAUUUACUUUUAUGUUAAGCUUUUUUAAGUAAAAAUCUUUUAUUAUUAUAAUUUAUAGACAAAAAGAAACCCAUUAAUGUGAUGGAUAAAAAAUUUCAAUUUAAAAAAAAAAAAAUUAAAGUUGCUAAAUUUUUGUAUUUAUUAUUUCAAACUCAUUUAAAUAAUUUAAAAAUAUGUCUUCAAUUAAUUUUAAUGAAACAAAGCAUGAUUUUUUUUUAAUUUUUUUUUCUUUACCAAAUAAAGCAUUAUUAUAAUACGUUGAUUAAAUUUUCAUCAUGUCUCUCAAGAUUUGGAUUAAAUAUACUUAGUUGUCAUAAAUUUGAAAUUUUAUUUAAUGUAUUUUUUAUUUUAAAUUAAAAAGAUGAAUGCAAAUAAAAAAAAUAUGUAUAUUUUAUAAAAUUUUAAAUUAAACGAAGGAUACGUGUAUUUAACCAAGGUGAAUGAAAUUAAUCCAAAUACUUUUUGGUAACUUGCAAAAUAUCUUGACGAAAUCAUUAUGGCAGGCAUCGUACAAGCUCAACCCUUGUCGCCUUGCUAGAAAUAGAGAAACAAAAAGACCCCCAAAUUGGGUUGCAUCCUAAAUAUGAAGAAGUGGUAACAAAGGAAGAAAAAAUGCUGUGUUAUUGAAUAGUUAAUACAUUGAACAUGAUAUGUUACAUAGAGAGCCAGAUUAAUCCUAGUGGAAUUCCACUGUCACGAUGGUAACCUAGGGUUAUGUUUGGUUAUUGAAAAUACCAAGAAAAGAAAAAAAAAUAUAAAGGAAAAUAAUUUUUUCAUUUUUGAUUGUCUUAUAAAAGAUAUAAAAAAAAAACAAAUAUAAUUAAAACUAAUUAAAAAUUUAGGUAUUUUUAAAUUAUUUAAUUUUUAUAUUAAUGAGCGAAAAUAAAUAAAAUAAGUUUAAAAUAACAAAAAAAAUAAUUUACCGAUUUUUAAUCUAUAUUUUAUUUUACUUUUUCUUUGUAUUUUUUUUUUCUUAUAUUUUCCCUCAAAUUUUCUGAAUCAAACAUAGCAAAAAAGGAGCUACCCCUUUCGAAAGAAACUCCCAAGAAUUUCAAAGAAACCUGCUGAGAUAAUGAAUGAGGGAUCACUGUCGGUAAACAGUAUCCAUUCUUUUGGGAGGACUUUCAAACUGAGAAGUUGUUUUCAUGACUUGGAAACAAAAUUUUGAGCUCUAAGGGGGUCUGUAUUUGGGCCCUAAAAUUCAAUCCAUCAAUCUGAAAAAUGCUUAGGAUAAUGAUUUGAUUUAGCCACAAUCACUAAACAAAUUCCAGAGGAAAAUUUCGCUACUCAUAGGUGGCUGAUUCUCAUAAAAAGACAUCGUGGUAGGGUGUCUCAAGUGCAGGCUCACCAUCAACUUGCUGCCCUUUUUAGAUUAUUGUAAAAUGAUUUCACAUGAAGCCCAAUGCAAAACUUUGAAAGAAAAGGUUGGUGGAGACGUGAAGAAUAUGUAACCCAUAGGCCAUAACUAGUACCGAAGAUUAUUGAACAAACAUUCAAGGUUUUUGUAUAGACGAAACUGAAAAGAAUGUGUACCAGACUCAGGCGUUCAGAUCAGAUGAUGCCGUAAUGUGGAUUGUGGAGGAGCAUUGUGCAGACAGAUAAUGAGAUUCUGAAAGCGAGGCCACUGAUGGGCCCUUGGAAGGGGGGCGUGCCUUCAAAAUUAUAUAUAUAUAUAUAUAUAUGUCAUUGAAAAUUGGAAGCAACUUUUCUUCUUAAGUUAUUUUAAUCGAAGAAGAAACAAAAAGUUAAAAACAUACAUUAUUCUUCCUUCUUACGAGGUUUCCGGGUCUAAAUUACUAUGGUCUCUGCAACUGGCGUCGUUUUCUCUCCCCUCUCUCUAUUUUCCCUUUAUUUUUUCACUUUUAGAAAGAAGCAUCCCAUCAAGAAUCUACUACAACCCUACGCUUCCAUUUUGAUUUAGAAAGUUAAAAAUAAGUUUAAGUUAAAAAAAAAUAUUUUCUUAUAUAAUUAUUUAAACUUAUUUCUUUUCCUUUUUAUAUAAAGAAACAAAUAUUUUGCAAAUAAAUAAAUUUCUAAUUAUUUUCAUUAACAUAAUAAUAAUAUUUUUCAUAUGACUUUAAUCACAAUUUUUUUUACCACUUGUCCAAGGCGGUGAGAGGUGAUAAAAUGUAUUAAAAAAACGAUUAAAUUGCAUUAGGUAUAGAAGUUUUGUGCUUCAAUUAUCACUUAUAAAAAUAAAAUAAAAAUAGUCAAAUUUGAGUGUGCAAGUUGGUAUUCGUAUGUAGAAGGAAUUGGGGGAUUUGGGGGUCCUAACAAAUUUGAUAUGAUUGAUGGAAGGAAAUGAUUAUUAUAGGAUAAAGUCCGAAUGAAACGCUGACGAGGGGGGAAAAACAACAGUGGCAAUGCACUAUCCACAGAUCCAUGAUUGAUUUAUGUUAGCAAUAAUGAAUUAUUUUGACUUUGAUAACCUUGGUUAAGAGAAUUUGGUCUUGUUAUUAUCAUUUUUUCAAAAAAAAAAAGUGUAGGUAACUAGGUAGUUGAUUUAUUAGAAUUUAGAAAUGAGGAUCCCCUCCUCCUGCAAGAGCCGUGACAGACAUGCCUGCUUUCUUGCCAGAUUAUACCAAUGUGCCCAAAUAAUCCCCCAUCUAUCAUCUCUGCACCCUGGAACACGUCACUCCCUCCUUUGAGCAAUAAAAUAUCUCUUUUAUUUUCUUUUGAACCACUCUUCUAUUUCUUUGUACCAGACUGGACCCAUUUAAAUUCUUCGCUACGCUGUUCCCAAGGACUACGAGAAUCAAAAUAGCAAAAUUCUUGAAUCAUUUUAAUGGGUUCAGAAACCACAUGUUUCUCUAGAUCAUAAGAGGAAAAUCUUUUUGGAUGGUGUUUGUGUUGUGUUGUGUUCAAUAUUAAAUACUCAAUUAAAUAAGCUAAAUCAAAUAUCACAUGAAAAAUAAUCAAAUUAAAAAUAGGGAGAAUUAUGUUUUGAGGGUAGAUGGACCCCAAAUUAACAAAAGGUUCAUGUAACUCUUCAAAUUGAGCCCAGACCCAAUGAAAAUAUGGAAAUUGAGUUGAAGUAUAUCAUCAUUCAGUAUUUCCAAAAAUGUCCUUUGUUGAUUUUGAGAAAAAAAUUAAUAUUUUUGAAAAAUAUUUUUAUGUAAUUUAAUAUUUUUUUAAAUACUUUUAUUUAAUUUAAUAUUUUUAAAAAAUAAAUUUAUUUAAUUUAAUAUUUUAAAAAAUAUUUAAUUUAAUAUAUUUUUUAAAUACUUUAAUUUAAUUUAAUAUUUUUGAAAAAAAUUUUAAUUUAAUAUUUUUGAAAAAAAAAUUAUUUAAUUUAAUAUUUUUUAAAACUAUUUUUAUUUAAUUUAGUAUUUUUGAAAAAAAAUUAUUUAACUUAAUUUUAUAAAAUAUUUUAUAUGUGUUCUUAAAGGGUAUAUUUGUCCGUUACUAUUUCAUAUCCUUCAACUCAAUUUAAAGAGUUAUAUGGACCUUUUGUUAAUUUGGGGACCCAUCUACCCUCAAAAGAUAAUUCUCCCUUAAAAAUAUAAAUUUAAAUAUGACAUAAUUAUUAAAUAUGUUAGAUCUUGUAUGAGUUUAUAAGAUUUAUGUUUCAAAAUAACAUGUUUAUAAUUCAUCUAUUGAUUUAUAAUCAAAUUUUAAAUAAAUUAAAGUUAUUCAAGUUAAUAAAUAUGAUUUAUGUUAUAAAGACUAACUAAAAAAUAAUUUAUUAAUUAAACGGAUCCUGGUCAAUAAAAAUUUGAUUUAAAUACGAUCAUACUUAAUCAAAACUUAGGUCAAAUUGUAUUGAUAAAUUACAUCAAAACCUUGUUGUGUUCAAUAUUUUAUAUUAAACUAUUUUUUAAUAAAAUUAUUUUUAUAAAUAUAAUAUUACAUCAUUUGGAGAAACAAAAUAGUAUUAUAUUGAUUUUACAUAUAAAGCAACCAGUUAACCCCUCAUUAUUUUGAUCCAUUUCACAUCCAUAUCAUUCUCAUAAUUUUUUUAUAAUAUAUUAACAUGAUGGACGGUAAUUGAGGGUAGAAAAAAAAGAUGAGAAGAAUAAAAUAAUGUGAAUCCUCUCUAAAUGUUACAUCUUCUGACAAAUGAAGUCUAUAGAAAUGUGUAAAAAAAAAAAAAACACUUAAUUGUGAGGUUCACUUGAUUUAGCAAAAAAUUAAUAUUUUAUUUGUUGUGUGAUUUAAAAAUAAUAUUUUAUUUUUAAAAAUAAAAAAUUAUUUUUAAAGUUUUUUAACACUAUUUUACUAUUGUUCUUUGAAAUAAUUUUUAAAAUUAAAAUGAAAUAACUAAUAAUUUUUAGAUAAUAAAUUAAAGUUGUUUUUAUUAGAUUUUAAAAAUAAAAGAAAAAUAUAAAACCAUUUGAUCAAAUUUUUUUAAACUUAUUUUUAAAAGGUUUUUUUUUUUUUUUUUUUUUUUCUAUCCUAAGUUAAAAGAUAAAAAAUAAUUUUUAAAGAUAGGUUACGAGCAAAUGCCACAAACUUUUUUCUUCUCUUUCCCUUGUUCGGAUAGAAGUGAAAAAUAUCCUCCCAUGGAUCGACAUUACGUGAGCCAUCACCAUUCCCCAACUGCAAUUCAACCGCCAAAGCUGAGGUGUCAUUAUUAGUUUGAACAAAAGUCAGCAUUGUCCACGUGGUGACAAGCGGAACUGACCCAACUUGCAAGGCAAAAAAAUAAAUAAAAUAAAAUGAAAAAAUCAGAUCACCAUUAUGACGUCAGUCCAAUUGCUGACCUGGCCGCCGUCCCCCAUUUGACCCACGUGUUCAUUUAACCCAUUCGCCGUAUGCCGUGGCUCCCCACCCAUAUGGCCAUAUCUGCCAUUUAUUUUAUCCGUUGCCUCCAUUCGGUUUUUGGAUUUUACCCAUUCGCCCUCGUCUAUUCCCAUUUCCGUAUUUGCCCACCAAGGAAAUUCAAUUCCCAUGCUUUUGUUUUACAUUCAAAUCCUCCCCCCUCUAUAUAAAGGAGGGAGUAGGGCUUGAAAGUUUCUCAAGCCAACAUGGACUGUUGAGAGUGAAAGACAGAGGAGCCACAAACAAAUAUCACUCACUCAAACCAAAGCCAAAACCAAUACCGAAUUCAAUUCAAAUGACUUCUUUCUCUCUCAUCAAUUCCCUGAAUUCCGAUUCCGAUUUCAAUUUGUUAUCGGAUUCUUUUUCCUGGGAAAACUCCCUACCUUUCAAUGAAAACGACUCCCAGGAGAUGCUCCUCCUGGGCAUGCUGGCCAGCUCCACUCAGGAAACCUCAGAAACAGUUUCUUUGAAUCGAGUGAAGGAGGAAGAAGUGACUUCCCAGGAAAAUCCCGAGAAGGAGAAGUCAUACAGAGGCGUUAGGAGGCGGCCAUGGGGGAAAUUCGCAGCAGAAAUAAGGGACUCGACCAGGCAUGGCAUAAGGGUGUGGCUGGGAACAUUUGACAGUGCAGAGGCAGCUGCUCUGGCCUAUGAUCAAGCUGCUUUUGCGAUGCGGGGCCCUGCGGCAGUCCUCAAUUUCCCGGUGGAAAGAGUGAAGGAAUCGAUGCAGGAGAUCAAGUGCAUCUUGGAGGAGGGGGGCUCACCAGUGGUGGCCCUCAAGAAGAGGCACUCUAUGCGGAGAAAAAGUCCUUGCAAGAAACAUAAAAGUGAAGAGGUGAGGUUAGAAAAUGUGGUAGUGCUGGAGGAUUUGGGUACUGAAUACUUGGAACAGCUCCUCACUUUCUCUGAGACCUCUAGUCCUUGAUCAUCAUCAUCCAUCACCUGGAUAGCUUCUUCUCUUUGCUCUGUUUCUUACUUUUCUCUCUCUCUCUCUCUCUCUCUCUCUUUUUUUUUUAUGUAAUUUUUCUUAAUGUAUUUUUGGAGAUGGCGGGGGUGUAGUGGUGGCAAUUAUCCAUCUAGAAUUUUUCAAAAGAUAUGUUCUUUUGUUUCUUUGUAUAAAGUUGAAAAGUGGGGAUCAAUUGUGAUGGUGCUCUAUGUUCAUCCACCCAAUUUAUAUAAUCAAGGUGAUUAAUGUUUUUUGAUAUCAACAAUUUGUGAAUGACAUAGAGAGAGAGAGAGAGAGAGACCUUAUUUUCUACACUCAUUACGGUGGUUUCCAUUUGGGGAAGGAAAAGGAAAUGGCUAAGAAUGUUACCAAAAGAAGUGGGGUGGCUUUCAUAUGCGUGGUGGCAUACUUGCAUACAAACUUUUCAAUUGUGUUCUGCAUGCCACUCGGGUCAAUUUCAUUUCUUUUACUCCUAGUAGCCUAAUUGGAUUUCCUUUUUCUCAUGAGACAUCAAAUAAAUUUCAUUUUUUUAUAUUUAAAUAGUUAGGUAAGUUUGAUAGUGAGUUAUAUUUUAUACAUUAAUUCAUCUUUUAGAAUGUUGUCUACAAUAUAAACAGUGUAAUUAAUUUCAUCAUUACAGAACAGUCAUCUUAUAAAAUAACAUAAAAAUUAUUGGAUCACUUGUAUGGCACCACUGAUUUGGACUUGGUAUGGCUCUGUUUGGCUUCAUAGAAAAAAUUUGGACCCAAUUUGAAUGUCUUGCAUAAAAAGAGAUACGUCCCACUUUGAAUGAUAUUGAAGAAAAAAAUUUCUGAUGAAGAAUAUAUUGUUGGCAGGGUCAUGCAGGCCAAUAGGGAAACGAUAAAUUCAGAAGAAUGAGUCCAAACCAGUGGGCUUGAAAAUUAAGAAGAGAAUUGCUGUAUAAAACAAUCAUUUCUUAAUCGAGUUCACUUUCUGAAUAAUCGUCACUUUGAGAAUGCAUACUUAGGAAGAUGAUGAUCCUUAAUGGGAAUAAUCAAAGGCAUCAAAAAAUUGUUCUGGAACAAUUCUUGAUUGUCUCCAGUAAAAUUCAAAGUCAAAAGUCAAAAGUCCAGUCGGUCAACACCAAACCAGGCCAGUCCAAAAGACAUUAAUUUGCAAUCUAGAAUCUAUGAUGAGGUGGCGAAAUCAAACCUUGGCUUUUCACCAGGGAAUGGUACUCUGAAUUUGGUCAGUUCACUGUUUCGAGUGAAUAGGGUGUAGUAAUUAGUAAAUCAUAUUUUAGAUUUGUGUCACAAGUUACAAGGGAUAUGGGCUGACGUUCAAUUUUGGCGACAAUUUGUGGGCCCGUAUAUUUGUUGAGAUGUGGAAAUUGGGUGUGUGCUUUUUUCUGCUACCACAUAAAUAUAUUUCUUUGAAUUGAAGAGUGUUUCAGACCAUUUUUUUUCAAGUCACAAAUGGACAACUGAUUGAGAUUGUAUUGGUGAGAGUAGGAGUUUAUUUUGGGCUGGUUGAGCGAAGUUGAAAGUCGAGUUGGACCUAACCCUUGAAUUCAGCAGACUACAGUCCGAUCCUGUAUUUUGGAUUUAGGGAACCUUCUUUCCCAGAAGCUUCGUCUGGGUUUUAAAGUCUAAAUGUGGCUACUCUUAAACAUUGGAGAAAGGAUGAGCGUUCACAAGCAAAUGGGUAAUUGUGGAUGGUUCAAGGACCUGGCCAGCUGGUCUUCAAGUUUGGAUGCCGGUUUGGGCCUGAGAGAGUCUUUGCAAAGUGACUUCACUUCAGCCUAUGAGAUCAAGAUAUCAUGGUGAUGUCCGAUCACUUAGGUUUCAUUUUCACCUCGGAUUACCGUUACCAUGUUCAUGAAUAAAAAUAAAUAAAUAAAUGAAGCCUUAUAGAGAAAUUAAUGAAGUGAGCUAUACAAGCAACUGGGCCAGGAGCCUACAAGGCAGAAAUUCCCUGCCCUAGACUAGGCCGAAUAAAUUAGAUGAAUGAAUUGGGGAAACCUGGGCCAGCCACACAUCCUCCUGAAGGCUGAUGUCGAACUCGCUUACGAGGAAUGGACAUGGGAGAUUGGGCUGGGACCAAAUAACCAAUUGACAGCCCUAUCCUUGUGGCAAGACGUCAGUAAAAUGGUUCAUUCUGAUUUUACGCUGCCAUUCAAUUUAAUUUUAAUUUUUGUUUAAAGCGAUGUACAAAUUGAAUGGUGUCUAGUCACUUAAAGAGUGGUUCAUAAUACACUUAAUUUAAACAAAAAAGAAAUUAUUAGAUAGGGGAUUCUCCAAUAAAAACCACCCCAUCUUGUCAGCAAGUCCGGAAACUUCCUUCACUUAGGGCGUAUUUGUUUUUUUAACUUUAAUAUUAAAGAAAGUUGGUUAAACCUUAUGACACUUUUAUAUUAUUUUAUGAAUUUUUUUUAAUUUUUAUUUUAAUGGAAUUUUAACUUUAAUACAAGUUGGAGUAAUUCUUAUCUUAAAAACAAAUCAAAAUUACUUUAAUUUUAUAUAGAAAUAAACUUACAGUAAAUUUACCAUGAAAAUUUCUAAGUCAAAUACACCAUAAGUGCUAGUAUUUUAUAAUAUUUAGAAACAUGUUAAAUUAUUAUUAUUAUUUUUUAAAAUUAUUAGUUUUCAUAUUAGUUUUAGGGAAACUUGUGCUUUAGGUCUUUUAUUUGCAAAUAAUAUGGUUUUCAAAUCCUAAGAAUAGAAAAUAUGAGAAUCAACUGUUAAUGUGGAAAAUAAUAUCAAUUUUGUGCAAUCUCUAUUGACUCAUUUUUUUGUGCCUAGAUUGCCUUCACCCACUUCCAUGUCAACAACCACAUUAAUAGAUUGUUUUUUUUUUAUAAAACAAAUAAUUAUUAUGUUUAAAAUUUUGGGGAAACUCUCUAUCUCUCUUACUUCUUCACUACAUCCGAGACCCAUCUUCCUUAAACGUUUGCCUCUCAUUUUGCCCUAACCCCAAAUCUCAUAAAUUUCUCAUUUUCUUGCCUCAUUUGAAAUAUGAAGAUGACCGAUUCUCAAACAUCUCUGUCUCUCUCUUCACGUUUUGACCAGUCUAAUUGGAAACCCAUUUUCCAAAAACCUUCUUUCUUUCAUUUUGCCCUAACCCCACUAUCUCCCUCUUCAAGACCUAAUCACCCAAACUCGAUAUCUAUCUUCCCAAAACCUUCAAGCAAACUGAACUAGACCCAUAUCUUCUUUUUUCAUCAUCAAAGGUGAAAUUUUUUUAAGGCUUUUGGAAACCGAAUUGGAGCUUUCCCUUCUUCUGGGAUUAAUCAUUCGCAAGUGAGUUUUCCAUUUAAGGCUUUGUUUGGCUGUUGAAAUCUUGGGAUCAAAGGUCUUUUAUUUUCAGGUUUCUUGUAUUUUGCUUUAUUUUCUUGUAUAUAACAAUAAUCAUUGUAACAUAUGCUAGUAGUUACCCUUGGUGCAACUUUACAUUUCCAAAUACCCUAAAGUCCAAAGCUUUUAAUUCCCUUUUCAAAGCUUUCAACUUUGAAAGCAGACUAAACCAUAAGAACUAUGAAACUUAUAUCUCUAUCACCACUAAUUAAGCAUGUCUAUGAAUCCUUCCACUUUAAGUCACUUAUUCUCAAACCAAGAAGGGCUCCUCUCAUUCUCACCCCACCUCAUCUAAAUGAGGGAAAUGAUCAAUUGCAGCCAUGCUUUGCACCAAAUUAGAGAAGUGAUCCUCCCAAUCAUCCAUUACCAAAAAUUGAUCAUGCUGAUGAGAUCAUAAGAGUCUAUUCGGAACUCCCAGUUUACUUGCCUCUUAUCUCAGGAUCCUCCAUUACCCCCUGUCUUUCCAACAUCAAAUCAACUUGCAAACAAUUCCUUUGUAGAUAAAAUGUUUUUAAUAUUGCAAAAGGGGACUUAUCAUAAUGGUUGAAUCGAUUUAUUUGAUAUAAUCACUCAAAUUCAAGCUUAAAAUUGAUCAUAAUAAAAUGUUUUUAAUAUUGUUAAAAGGAGAUUAUAAUGGUUUUAUUUGAUAUCAUUACUAAAAUUCAAGCUUUCAAACAUGCUCUACAAAGAAGUUCUAAAAGACUACAAGAAAGAGUUUCCACUAAAGAAAAACAAUGAAACCAUUUCUACUAAAGACAAACAAUGAAACCACAGAUGCUUUGUGAAAUAUGUACCCGCACAAUCCAACAAACUUUAGAAAUUCACAAACACUACCUAGAAUUUUUGCUGACCAGCAAAAAAUUUAUGCAAUUUAAUUCUUAUUGUUAUUAUUAUUUUCAAUGUGAACAAAUAUGAUUGAAUUAUGAAGUAUUUGGCCAGAAGAGGAUCUUGCCUAAUUAUAGUCAUUAAACAACCAUUUAUACCAUAGCCUCUAGACUUUAAAAAGUUUAUAAAACUCAAGGGCUUCCACCCAAUUUCUAGAUAUCUCCAUAACAUUCUUCUGACUAUUAGAAAGCAAUUACCACUUUAAUUUUUCAUUUCAUGAGUGUUCAAUUCAGAAAAAGACCAGGAUCGAACUUGCGAUCAUGCAGUCGAAAAUCCACCUGUGCAUGAAACUAUUGCCUCACGAUUGCAAACUCAAGUUGGAGUCCAGUAACAACUCUAGGUUUGCUGAUGUGCUCCAUUUGAAAUAAAGGAACUAAAGAAUACUUUAUAAAGAUUAAUUACCUUCAUAUUUUAGGUUGGGGUUAAGGCAAAAUGUGAUAGAUUGAGAGGAAGAAAAUAUAUCUUGUUCAGGAAGCCAAUAUUUUGGAGUUCACCUUUCCAUUCGAGUCCACUCUGCUAUAGCAAAAUCAGAGUCACAACUAUGCCUCUUUAAGCUAUCCUUUAAUUGGAUGAAUUGCAGAUUUGGUUGCUGAGAAAGUGGAUAAGAAAGAAAAAUGCAUACUGUAGCUUGAGAUUAAGAGUUUGUUUUCUAAAAUGAGAGAAAGGGAAAGAGAAAAAAUGCAUAUUGUAGCUUGAGAUUAAGGGUUUGUUUUCUAAAAUGAGAGAAAGGGGAAGAGAAAUGUUCGACAACUUUGAGAUGACAAAUUUUUAGAUUUGGAAAAUUUGAGAUGAGUCUCAGGUUUUUUUUUUUUUUUUUUUGUCUUUGUCUUUGUUUUUUUUUUUUUUUUUUGUUUUUUUCCCAAAAACAACCUGUUAAUGUGGUUGUUGACAUAGAAGUGGGUGAGGGCAAAAUGGGCAUAGAAAAAAGAGUCAACACAAAGUGCACAAAACCCAUAUUAUUUUCCACAUUAAUGACUGAUUCUCAUAUUUCUUGUUCUUGGGAUUUGAAAACCAUAUUAUUUGCAAAUGGACCUCCCAAAGCACAGGUUUCCCUUAGUUUUAUGUCUCCAUCUACAUUUUACAUAUAAAUAGAUUAUUUUAUAAAAUUUGUUUUGUAGAUAUAUUAGUUAAUAAUUAUAUAAUUAAUGAUAUAGAAAACAUAUAAAAAUCAUAUUUAAAAAAGAUAAUUACAUAUUCCUCAACAAUCCAUCCCAAGAAUUCGAGGUUGAGUUGAAAACAUGUAGAGUCUUUGAUGUUAUUAUAAUCAUAUCCAACACAUAUGAUUAUUGUUUAUGAGAUAUUAUUAGAAAGUUUGUCUUAAAAUAAUUGAUUUAUUACCCACCUUUAGCAAAUGCCCAUUUUUGCGUCUUUCAAAAUUUUCAUUUUUUUUUUGUUUAAAAGAAGUAUUGUAAAGAAUGAUGAAAUAAGAAAUUUGUUGAGAAAGUGUGAGUAAAUAAUUUUACAUAAAAAGAGAUUUAAUACUUGAUAAAUAAAAUAAUAAAAUCAUGAUUUCUAGUUGUAUAGGGCCGGGUGGAUGGAGUGGCUAAGAUGUAAUUCUUGAAAUAGAGGAGACAACAUCAAUGUAUAAAAGUUUAACAGAGAAGGAAAGUGUGUUUGAAUGACUUUAUUUUCUUCAUUUAAAGUUUUGACGAUGAGUGUUUAUACAAGAUAAAUUUUCAAAUGAUAGGACUCCUAUUUACAUGGAGUUUGUGAUAUACUAUGAUUAUACAAAUUUAAAAUUCAAACAGAUUCAUGAGUUGAUAGGAGUCUGCUCAAUACGCCCCUUCAAAAUGGUGGGAGAUAGCACACCAAUCUUGACUCGAAGGGCCUAAACUCGUGCAGAAGAUGAGGGCUUUGUUAGAGCAUCGACAAGUUGAUCCGUGGUUGACAUAUGGGACACCUUGAGCUCACCUGAUUAAACCUUGUUUCAAACAAAAUGAAAAUCAAUCGCCGAUGUGUUUCAUGGAGAGUGAAACAUGGGAUUUGCACAAAGAUAUGUUGCACCCACGUUAUCACAAGAGAUAGGAGGUGGUGAUAAAUUUGAAACACUAAGUUUUGAGAGAAGAGAAUUAACCCAAAGAACCUUUGAGGCUGUAGAGGCCACGACGUGAUAUUUCGCUUCAGUGGAAGAGCGUGCUAUGAACUUUUGUUUCCUCGAUGACCAAUACACAAGAUUGUGACCAAGAAAAACAAUGGGAGCAUUGGUGGAGGAUCUGACAUAAGGAUUCCUUGCCCAUUCAACAUUCGAAUAUGCAUGUAGAUUGAUGGGCGAUUUCUUAUGCAAGAACAGACCAUGCACCAUUGUGCCGACUAAGUAUCUAAGCAAUCUUUUAACACAAGACCAAUGUGUUGAUGUUGGAUGGUGCAUAAAUUGAGAUAAUUUAUUCAUCAAGAAGGUGAUGUCAGGGCUAGUAAGAGAGAAGUAUUGAAGGCUUCCAACAAUUGACAUAUAUUUAGUGGGACCAGGAAAAGAGGUGUCAUCACACAGAUUUGGAACAUUGUUGAGGAACAUCAAUGAUUGAACUGGUUUGGUAGCCACCAUUUGUGUUUUCUUAAGAAGCUCUCGAAUGUACUUGAGAUAAAAAUAAUCCUUUGGAAGUAUGUAUCAUUUCAACACCAAGAAUAAAAGAUGAAGUCCUGAGAUCCUUAAUGGAGAAUUUGACUGCUAAUUGAGAGAUCACGCGAGCACGAAAAACAUUAUUGUUACUUGUUAAAAUAAGAUCAUCAAUAUAAAUAAGUAGGUAAACAAUGAGACCACUCUUUUUAAAAAUGAAGAGGGAUGUCUCGGUUUAGGAGUUGACGAAGGCUAUUGAGAGGAGAAAUUGGCAAAGUUCAUGAUACCAUGAUCGUGGAGCUUGUUUAAAGCCAUAAAAAGCCUUACAAAGUUGGCAAAUGUGAUGAUGUGUGUAUUCGUGAACCCAGGAGGUUGAAUCAUGUAAACAUCUUCAUGAAGUGUCCUAUGCUAGAAUGCAUUAUUAAUGUCCAAUUCAUGAGUUGAUAGGAGUCUGCUCAAUACAAUGUGGGAGUGUGAUUUCAAAAUUAGGGUAAUUUCGAAAUGGAUUUUGUAUUCACAAGUUGAAUUUCAAAAUUAUUUUGAAAUGGUCUUUUAACUUUAAGCAGUUGUGUUCAAAAGGUCAUAACUUCUUCGUUUCAAUUUUGAUUUACACAUUGUUUAAAACAUUGGACUCUUUACUUCCCGAGCUUCAAAACGAUAUAUAGUAUGCUCAAAAAUGACAUCAGGAUUGGUUCAAAUUUCAUCUUGAUAUUAGAGUACAUGUUGUGAUUAGAUUUUGAGUUCCAAAUUUCCAUGUAAACUUGAUUGCAUUUGCUUCAAACCUCCUUCAUUAUGGUUGCUUGCCCUCUAUCUCACUUUGCAACAUUUGUUACUAGUAUUUUAUGUCCAUGACUUACUCAUUUCAACCUUUCUUGGAUUCUUCAUGGUUCACAAAUUAUGGAUUCUUCAUGGUUCACAAAUUGAGUCUUUCAAUUAUGCAUGUUUAACUCCUAUUUCCUUGGUUGAUAAUGACUUUUACACUUAUCAUUUUCUUUUAUUCUUUAAACCUGAAUUUAGACUUACAAAAAAAAGUUAGAUCCAUAACUAGGGUCUUAGCAUCAAUUUGAGUUAAGUUGGAUGAUUUGAAAAUUUUAUAUUACAUAAAUCAUAUCAUACAUGUGCCAUUGGAGUGCACAUUUUGGCUCUAAUCAUGUUCCAACCCAUUGUUUUACUCUUGCAUGAAGUAUGUGGCCAUUGAUUUUAAUUUUAUUUGCGAUUAGGUUCAAAAUGGUGCUUUUGUGUUGCUCAUGUGUCAUCAGAAGAUCAACUAAUGGAUUCUCUAACAAAACUACUACAUCAUAGUCAUUUUUUUUUUUCUUAAGACCAAGAUUGAGAUCUCCAAUCGGAGCCAACUCCAUCUUGGGGGCAUGUUAGUGAAAGAUAAAAUUUAUCUUUAAUUUAAAUAUUAAUAUUUAUCAGUUAUUAGUUUUAAUUAGAGUAAAAGAUAGAGUUUAAAUUGGAGUAGGAGAUAAACUUGUGUUUGAACUAGAAUAGAAGAUAAAGUAUAAAGAUUUAUGUUUGAAUUAGAAUAAAAUAUAAAGUUUGAAUUAGAGUAGAAGAUAAACUUGUUCUUUAUUUGUAUAUAAAUAUUCAUCAAUUCUUGAGAAGAAGAUUAUUUCAUAGUUUUUCUAUCUUCUUUUUUCUUCAUACAUAUCUGCAAGAAAUUGAAGAUUUCAAGUAAAAUAUUUUCUGUUUUAAAUAGUGAAAAAAGCUAGAAAUUCACUUUGUUAUCUCUUGGGGUAAAUUGACAAGGUUUAACGUUAAGAAGGUGAAUUAUUUUUUCAGAAAAACUGAAGUAGCUAGGAUAUCUGGCCAGUUGUGAUCGAUAAAAAAGUUGUAAAAUCUCUCAUAUACUAAACAGGUUUUGGAUGUUGGUAUGGUAAAUCCAUCUGCAGUCAUUCGUCAUCUCAUCUAGUGAGAUGUUUGGGAGGUGGUGACCGCCGGAUUGGGUUUCAUUUGGUUAAAUCUGUCAGUGGGUUGGCUACUACCCGAGCCUCUUGCUUUGGGGGAGGUGGGUUCUAGAUAUAAUGUUCAAACCAUUUUAGUUAUCAUAUGCAUGACAUGUAAGCAUAAUCUCUUUAUCACUUCUUCAAUGGGAGUUCAUGGUUAGGAAUUGACUUCUUUUCUUCUGGGAUGCUUGGCAUGUAAUGGACAAAGUUACUUUUAUAUCGAUCGAAUUUCUAGUAUUAUAGUGAAGACUUACCCUUUUGACAUUUUAUAUCGAAUUAUAGAAGAUGAAAGGGACAUACAUGCAAUCGACUGACGCUUUAGUGAAUAUGCUGAAAAUAUGCUGAUGCUGUGGAGAUCGUAUGAGGACAGAGGAAAAAGAUAGAAAUGGAUAUAUAAUUAGACCUAGGUUUUUAUUAAAUGAGAUGGGGAACAUAGAGUGAGGGAAAAUCAAAAUUUUUGGCUGCAGUUCACAUUGGUGAUAUUUUGGAUUGACAAAGACUAACGACUUUUCUAUUUUUCUUUUCGGCCUGACUGGAUAGUUGGACAUGGACAAUACAGAAUCCACAGAAGGAUUGUUGGGACCGCUGAAAAUUAGCUAGAAGAAGCUGAGGAAGUAGUCUACGUAGUCAAAUACCAAACACAAAGAAAGAAAGAAAUGGAUAUCAUGGAUGCCUAGAGUUAUACUCCUAAUACCGUCACAGGUAUUUUUCUUUCCUCCUUUUUUUUUCUACGAUAAUUAGAGCAUUUCUCCUCCUCCUCCUCCUCCUCCCCCCACCCCACCACCAAAAAAUAAAAAAAUAAAUUAUUGCAAGUAACACUUCAAAUAUUAAUUUAUACAUUCUAAAGUAUAUAUUCAUGAAAUAACUUGAGUAUCAUACAUUAGUUCUCAAAAAAAAAAAAAAAAAAAAAAAAAAAUUACUGGAAGAGAAAAGUUUAAGAAAACAUAAAAAUAUUCAACUACUAUUUUAAAGAGAAAAUUUAAUUUUUACACUAUAAAUUUGAAGAGAACUUUUACAUGCAUCUUAUAUAAACUACCAUUUUUUGCUAAAAGGCUUAAAUUUGUCAAAAAUACCCCUUAGGUGCUUAACGUUCUGGUCAUAAUAUAAUUGGCAUCUUUUCUCAAACAUAAGGCCUGUGUGUGGGAACAAGAUUUAAUGUUAAUGAGCUUCGCCACCGACAUUUAGUUCCAGAAAUCAUUAUUUUAAUAGAGUGGGCUCAAUUUACAACUUUAAUUAAACUCUAACCAACUGCAUUGUGAAAUGAAUAUGUUUCUUUCGUGGUGAAUCCAAUGAGUUGGGAGUCAAACUUUGCUUCAUUGUGUAUAGAUGAAAUGUUAAGACUCCAUGUAACCUCAAACAUUUCCGCAAUNNNNNNNNNNNNNNNNNNNNNNNNNNNNNNNNNNNNNNNNNNNNNNNNNNNNNNNNNNNNNNNNNNNNNNNNNNNNNNNNNNNNNNNNNNNNNNNNNNNNUUCUUUCGUGGUGAAUCCAAUGAGUUGGAGUCAAACUUGCUUCAUUGUGUAUAGAUGAAAUGUUAAGACUCCAUGUAACUCAAACAUUUCCGCAAUGAGCGGGAGUUCUAAAUUUAAUAAUUGAAAUUGUCAGUGGAACCAGUGGACAAGAGUUGGUUUGUGGUUGACAAACUUAUCCGUUUGAUCUUUACUUGAACAGUUCCAGUGUGUGGAUGGGUACUGAUGAAGUGUGCGCAUUUAUUUUGAGAAGCCUGCUUGUUCGCAUAGAUUUUAACGACAUGAACAUUGUGGUAAGGUUAGAGAGUAAUGCGAAUGUAGGAGCUUAUAUUAGAAAUGACACAAACACGUAAAUAGAAGUAAUCUAUAUAUGAUAUUACUCAUGGACUACAAGCAAAGAAGUACAAUACAUGGAGUAAGUGAUGAAAUGAGCAUUCCUCACUACUACUGCUUGACUGAUGGAACAUGAUGCACGAGAUAGCAUAAGUAGUAGUAGGAAGCAGCUCUUAUUUGUGGCGUCGGUAUACAUCAUACUAGGUAGAUGGUUCAAUUGGCAUGGAUGGGUGGUGGAGCCUUGAAGUGCUUGUGAUGGGGAGCCCACGGCUUCUUCUCAGGAGUUGGUGGCUUCUUGUAUGGAGUUGAUGGAGGUGUUUCUACUGGAGGGUGGCCAGGGUAGUGACCCUGGGGUGGUGAAGGUUCUUUUGUCGGUGGUGGCCUCACUAUUAUUGGCGGUAGAGUUGGUGGCUUGGGCGUUGGCGGUGGUCUCACUACUCUUGGGGGUAGAGUUGGUGUCUUGUGUUUUGGUGGUGGAGGUGGCUUAACAGGAGUUGGUGGCUUGUAUUCUGGGGGUGGUUUCUCCACCGGAGGUGGCUUAUAAACUGGAGUUGGUGGCUUGUAUUCUGGGGGUGGCUUCUCCACUGGUGGUGGCCUGUAAACAGGGGUUGGUGGCUUAUAUUCUGGGGGAGGCUUCUCCACUGGAGGCGACUUAUAAACAGGGGUUGGUGGCUUGUAUUCCGGGGGUGGCUUCUCUACGGGAGGUGGCCUGUAAACAGGGGUUGGUGGCUUCUCCACCGGAGGUGGCUUAUAAACGGGGGUUGGUGGCUUGUAUUCUGGGGGUGGUUUCCCCAGUGGUGGAGACUUGUAAACAGGAAGAGGUGGUUUGUGCUCAUAUGGGGGUGGCUUGUGGUCAUUAGCAAGUGAGGGAGUGGUGAGGACCACCAAUCCAAGGAACAACACGAGUGAGCAAGCAGAAGACAUGUUUGGGCUCUGGUGAUGCACAAGUAGAAGAAAUGGGAACCAUUUAUAAUGCUUCGAGACCUUGGUUAGCACCAAAAUAUGUCAAAAUCUUGAUUACUUCAUUUCAUACAUAGAUUUAAAAUUAUUUCAAUCAACCAUGAUCCUUAAUUUUCUGGGUGGUCCAUAAAUGUAAUGGGGUCAAUUUGGGACCUAACAAGCUGAGAAGUUUGACAAUGCUGCAAGGCUUCAUCCGAAAGUCCGGGGAAGAAUAUUAGGAGUUACACUCCGUUUCCUUUUUUGGGUGCAUUUUUCUCCUUUAACAUUCUAUUCCCUUUUACAUUAGCAUUUGAUCUUAGCUCAUUUCAAGUACAAGUUUCUUGAACCCUAUACCAUUGUCAAAGUUGAGUAACCAUCUCUACUUUGCUCAAGAAACAUAAAAGACAAUGACAAUAAAGAAAAAGGAGAGAGACCAUACGUGACUUGGUUUAUAGGUGGCUUUGUGUUGACAUUUGAGUAUGGAAGCCGACAUGCAUCUUAGCUUCGAUUUUAAUUAAAUUUGUACAUUAGUGUCUGUGUCAUUCAUUUUGGUAUAAAAGGUCUCUUGAUUUCGUAAGUUUGGUAAGAACCGUUGAAAAUAGCAGUAGCAGCACAUGGUCCACUUUCUUUCACAAAAUAAUUUUAAAAGUUUAGAAGCAUAGGAGGUAACAUUAGUGGCCUUGUGGCUCAGCCACGAGUACUAUGUGGUGCUCGAGAAAUUGAGUUUAAUUUCCUUCCGAUAGUUCAUGAUAAGGUCCGUCACUGUCCUGAGACAGAUUGCGUUUUUUCUUUUUUCCUUUUUUAGUGUUUUAUUGACUAGCUAGGUGUGACUUUUCCUACUUUAAGGCACGAGGCAGAAAAGAAACUGGGAUUUAGUGCUUAAGAAGGCAAAUUUAAUUCGAUUUGGAUCUAAAAUUUGCCAGCAACAUGAGAUUUUCCAGCCUAUCGUUGCUCCACAUAUAGACAAGGCACUUGUAGAAGUGGCUUGUUUGUAGCCAUUCCCGAUAUUUGGACUCACUUGAUUCACCGGACACUUUGAUAAAAUUUAAUAUUUAUUAUUUAAUAAUUUAAAUUGAUUUAAAAUUAAAUUAUACCGAAGUUGUGAUUUAAAAAUUAUUAUUUAAUUCUUACUUUUAAAUAUGAAGAUUAUUUGAUAAAAAUAAUUUAAAAUUUAUUAUAAAUUAUCAAAUUAACAUAUUUAUCCUUAUAAAUUAUAAUUAAAACAGAAAAGGUCAAAUGAUUUGAGUAUCCAUAGAUGUGGUAAAAUAAUAAAAAAGAUUAUAAAAACAAUUAUGAUAAAUAAAGAUAAAAAGUAAAAUGAAUAUGUGAAUUUAAAGAAUAAAUUAAUUAUUUUUAUUUAUUACUUAAAAUUAUUUUUGACUUUAAAUUAUAUUAUUAAAUUAUUUUACCAAACAUACUUAAUUUAGUUAAUAAUUUAAAUUUAAUUUAAGUUAUUAAAUUGAUUCACCAAAUACCCACUUAAUCAAAGACUGAAGUAUACAUUAUUUGGCCAAAUGCAGCUAUUGAAAUUUAACUUUUUCCAAACUUAUUCAUUUUGUGGAAAUAUUUUUAGAAAUGAUUUUAAAAAUGCACUAUUCUGUGUGUUGAUUUUAUAUUUUGGCAUUAAUCCAACAUAGAAAACGGUUCUUAUUUUCGCUGUUAAAUAGGUACCAGAUCCUUAAUUAGUGCCGUGAAUCCGGCAGCUUCCAAUGAGUAAUUUGGACUUGGGUAUUGACAAUGUGUGGCCAUGCUUCUACUAUUUUAUUAUUCUUGAAACAUAUAUGAUAUAUUGGACUUUAUACAGGGAAAAAAAAAAAAAAAAGUCUUCACCAAAAAUGAUUCCUCCUAAAAAAUAGACUCCACAAACUAGGUUUAACAGGAAAAUGAUUCUAAUCUAGUAGUUUCCAGCCACAUGAGCAUUUACGUAACAAUAGUAUAGUUGAUAACGACUUUUAUUUUAUUUAUUUUUAAAUAGUUAAAGGGAUAAUUUUUGAGCUUAAAUUUUAUUUUUUUAUUUAGAAACAUUUUACUUUAUUUUUUAAUCAUAAUUCUAUUAUAUUAAUGUUUUAUUUUCUAUUUUUUAAUAUAUAAGGAGAUACUAAAUUUAUGUGAUUAUUUUUUAAAAAUUUAGUAUAUGAAAUUAAAUAAUUGGAUAUAUAUACAUAUAUCAUAUAAUGUUUUUUAAGUGUGAUUUUUGAACUUUUUAGUCAUUUUAUAAGUUUAAGCUUUUGAUUUUUUUUUUUAAACUUUGGUAUUUUUUAUUUUAUAUAAAACUAUUUUGAUUUAAUUUUAUUAAAAAAUAUUGGUAUUAUAAAUUAUUGUAUUAAUUAUUUUUUUAUAUUAUAAUGUAACUGGUAUAUACUAAAAAAUGUAUGCAAGUUCAAUUUAAGUUUCAAAUUAAAAAAUUUCAUUUAAAUAUUUAAUAACUUGUUCAUAAUAAAAAAUUAAACAACAUAAUACAAAUGAAAAGAAACAUAAAAGAAAAAGGAAAAAAUGGUCCUCUCUGUGUGUCACAUUACUAGGUCAUCCUCUUUUUCUAUGACCCUUACAAUAGAAUGGCAUAUUUGUCAAAUCUACUUAUGAAAGUUGGAAUGUUUCUACAUGUGUAGGGUCCAUUGGAACUAAUGGAGGAAAGGCUUAACGUCUAUGUAAAUCACAACGUUGCCUAGGUGGGCAUAGAUCUAGUUGUGUAACAUGAGAUGGUGUGAGAGUACAAUAUAUGCAUUGUAGUCUCUAUGGGAAGAGAGAUAGGUAAUGGUAGGGUGGUAGACGGUAGGGUGAUCUCUAAUAUAAUGACAUUUGAUGUGGUGGCUUCUAAGAGAGGAGAUAUAAGAGAUGGUAGAAUGACAUUUGGUGUAAUGGUCUCUAGUGCAAUGACAUGUGAUAUGGUGACCUAUAAAGAAGAGAUAUAGGUGAUGGUGAAGUGGUAUGUGGUGUAGUGACCUUUGAGAUAGAAAAUAGAGGUAAUGGUAGGUUGGCAGGUGGAGUGGUCUUUGGUGUAGUGACAUCAAUUAUAAAUGUCUCCAAGGGAGGAAAUAAAGGUGAUGGUAGGUAGUAAAUGUUGAGGUGGUCUUUGAUAUGUUAUGCUCUAAGAGAGAAGGUAUAGGUAAUGAUAAUAGGGAAUUUGACAUAGUGGUGUUGGAAAUAAAAAGUGAAAGUGACCGUAGAGGUGAAAGGGCAAGUGUAAAAGCCUCAAGUACGAAUGGAGUAAUUAAUGUGGAUGGUGCUAACAUAGUCUUAGGUGGAUACACAAAUAGUCAUAGUCAUCAACUAGCUUGCCCACCAUCUGUCUUUCUGCUAGUGAUAGGUUACAUCUUAAUAGUAAUGGCCAACAUAAGUGGUGUGGAUCCGAUUUUUUUACGUGUGUCCCCACUCAAUCGACAAGACUUAUUUUUUAUUAGUGAAAAAUUAAUUUUGGAAAAGUUGGAGUCACCACUUAUUUUAUUUUAUUUUAAAAAGGAAAGUAAAACAAGAAAGAGAACUCUAAAGAAGUGACUUCAUAGUUUUGGAAAAGUUAGUCUUAAAAAAUCCAAGUCUUGGUCCGGAGAUCAGGUUACUUAUUGGGAAGAUACCUCUAAGAGGUAAUACCCCUCUAAACCCUAAAGAAGUCUCUAAUGACUAAGUUGAGGAGAAUGUGGUAAUUAAUUAAUUGAUUGAGGGUACCUAGGUAGACUAAGGUGAUUUCAGAAUUAACAUACCAAGCUAGAAAGUCCAAUCAUGAUCAUAAAAGAGAGUCAAAGUAUGUACCUGAACUGCUUCUCAAACGCUAUCAUAAAACAUCAAAGUUAGUAUAGAAAUAUAACACAUAAUAUUUGUUUUAUCCAAGCAAAUAAAGCAUACAUCUAAGCACCCAAGAAUCACAUCAAGUAUGGAUAUAGUCAUCAAUAGCAUACGUGUCCAUAGAACUAUCGAAAGUAAAUGUGGAGGAGCGUAUCUGGACAACAUAGAUAACUUAUAAUGUGCUUCCACAAGACAUGGGGGUUAGAUAAAAGUUAUAAUAAUAAUUAGUAAAUGAAAGAAUUCUAGCAUGUUUGGUAUCUAAAUAACAUAGCAAAAAUGAACAAGAGUACACGAAAACAUCAAUUAUCACACGAGUCAUAUUGGCUAGUAUUUAAUCAAUAAACCAACAAUAAAUGACUAUAAACAUAUAAAAUGACAUAUUCAAAGAGACCCAAACAUAAAGAGCCUAGAACACAAGCUUACACUAAAUUUAGAAAACUAAAACAUGGAAUUUUAAAAGCAUAAAUUAGCAAACAAAUUGAUGGAAACUAAAUUUAGAUAACUUAAGAAUAUUUUUCUUAUCCUUCAAUUUAAAUCAGUAAGCCAACAAUAAAAAAUUAUAGAAACAUGGAAUAUCAAGAUCAAUGGGAUACCUAAACUAUAAUUUUUAAAAGAAAAUAAACUAAGCAUAAUAUCUACAAAGCAACUAAACUAACAUUUUUUUAAAAAUAAAUUAAACAUGACAUUAAUGGAGUAACCAAACUAAAUUAAAGUAAACUAAAAACAUUUAUGAAUUUUCAAACAUGGAAUCAGCUUUCUUAGUAAAUUAAAAUUAUUAAAAUAAAAUCUAAGCUUAAAAAUGAAUUAAAUACUAACUAAAGCAAAUCUAAAACCAAAUAUUUAACACAUAGGAUCAAUUAUAUUAACAAACUAAAAUUUUAUAAGAACACUUAAACCUAAAGUUGAAUUAAAAACUAACCAAUUUUUAAAACUAGAUCUUUAACCCAUAGGAUCAAUUAUAUUAACAAAUAAAUAAUAAAUAAUAAAUAAAUAAAACUCAAACCUAAAGAUGAACUAGAAAUGUACCAAAGUAAAUUCAAAACAAGAUCUUUAACACAUUAGAUCAAUUAUAUUGACUAACUAAAAAAAAAAAAAAAAAACACUCAAACCUGAAACGAUGUAUUAGAAACUAACCAAAGCAAAUUUAAAAUAGAGUCUUUAACACAUAGGAUCAAUUAUAAUCACUAACUUAAAUUACAAUUUUUGAAACAUGAACUAAUUAGUGUUGGAUUAAUUAAACUAAUUAACUAAAAAAAACUAUAAACUAGAAUACGGUGAAUCAAGAAUUCAAAUCAACAAACAUAAAAUAUGGGUACAAUGAAAUGAAAAUCUAUUAAACUAAUAAGACGGAAAUAUGACAAACUCAUGAACCCACAUUUUGAUCAACUAGGAAAUAGAAAUUAAUAGACCUGUAGCAUGGAUACAAUGAAAUGAGAUCAGUUAAAUUUAUUUGCCGAAAUUCUAAAAAACACAUACACUCAAAUAAGAUCUAAAUCUAAGACCAAGCAAAACUCAAACUUUCUCAAUCUAAUGCAAUGAAUCAAAACUAAAAUUAAAUAGAAAUCAAACCAUUUUUUUUUUAUCUAAUAUAAUAAAUCAAAGCUAAAACUAAACAAAAUCGAAUUUUCUUAAUUUAAUAUGAUGAGUCAAAGCUAAAAUUGAACAAAGUUCAAACCUUUAUAUAAUGGAUCAAAGUUAAAUCUAAAUGAAAUCCAUACUUCCACAAUUUGAUAUAACAAAUCAAAAAUAAAACUAGAUAAAAAAAAAGUCAAAGCCUUUCAACUUGACAUAGUGAAUCCAAACUGAAACGAAACAAAAUUUUAACUUUUCCAAUGAAACCCAAUAUAGAAAAAAUUAGCUUACCUUCUUUAGAAUAUAUGUAUGGGCCAUAAAGAAGUCACCUUGGUGCAUGUGUUCCUCACUUUGACGCCAAUGGACGACUUUCUAUGGUAGCAAAUGGAGAUCCUUUUUGGUGGUAACUUGCGUGUGGAAACCUAUGGUACAACCAAUGUCAUCUUUUAUUGUGCGUGUGGACCAAUUUCUUCUCGAGAACUCAUGUGUGUUGUGCUCAAAAUAUGUUGCCUGUGAGAAUCUAUUGGUAUACCCCACAUAUGGUUUCCUUGAGAGAAUCUGUGGUUGUGUGUGGGCGUUUUCUUCAUGACAGCAUGUGGAUGUUCCCAUCUAUGGUAGAUUGGUUGUGAUGCUUUAGUGCAUGGUCUCCAUAGGAAUAGUGUGUUAUGGAAAUUUGGUUUUUUUAUUGGUGCAUGUUGUCUAGACUUUCCCAUAUGCGUGGACUGUGUGUUCAUGCUUUUCUUUUCGGAUGGUCGCCUGUGUUAAUGUGUGGCGGUGUCUACAAUGAAAGAUACAACCCUUUCUCUCCUUCUGCGUGAUAGAAAAGUCAAUCCCCCAUGGUGCGACUAUGUUCCCUCGUCCUUUUUGAAAAAUUUUGGUGUUUUCCCCCCAAAAAAUCCCCUCCAAAAAUCUAAUUAUAAAUGUCUGCUUUGGCCUAAUGUGUGUGCUACUUUUUUUUUCCUUCUUUUUAUGGUUGUGCGUGCUUUUCUUGAUACGUGGCUUAUUUCUUAAGGAUAUGAUUCGCUCCCAAUUGGUGUCUCAGCUGAUUCAUGUCCUUUCAAUGGUCCCUGACAGUGGUGCCAUUUGAUUCGUGUCCAGCUGGUGUCCCUUGAUUGUGGUCCUCAGAAGGGAGUAAUCAAUAAAAUUUAUAACCUAUUACACCAUGUAUUAGGAUAGCCUUAGCUAGCAUAGCAUAGUGGCUCUAGGGUCGUUUAUUGGGAUGAGUUUUCACUUCACAAUUGAUAUUAAUUCAAGAGCUGAAUUGGUGCCUUUUCAUUUCAAGGUUAGCUUUAAAAGAAAACAUAAUCUUUGGUGGAAAAAGGUUUGGUUUUAAACUAACCAAAAAUAGUAACUGAUUUUACUUACAAAGAAAAGUGUUCUUUGGAGUUUAGAUCACUAGGCUCAGGUUCCUCAUACAAAAAGGAGAGUUCCGAUCAUUUGUUUCUUUUCCUCGCAUUAGAGAAUUAACAUAUAGUUAAUUCUCUAACCGGUGCGGUACAUAUGCUUCCCAUUAAUGGGUUCAAACACUAAAUACCUCUCACUGAUGCACCUUGCAAUGGCUCGUGCCUCUCACCUAGCAUUUAUCAUUCAAGGUGAUCUUUAACCUUGGAUUACCCAUCAAAAGCUCGCAAGAGAUAACUAAAGGAUGUCUCCUUAGAGUCCAAAAGCUUACCAAGUGUUGGUUAUUCUAGAAAAUCCUACCUUCAAACCACCUCCCAAAGGCUCGCAAGAGAUAAACAAGUGCAUCUCAAUGGAUGAAGAUCACUUGCCUUACCAAGUUUUGGCCCAGAUGAUUUAAUGACAUUUUAAGUUAACUAAAAAGAUAAAAACCAUUAACGGGUCACACUUUCUCUUCAUUAAAAACUAAAACAACAAAACUUCCAAUUUAUGCAUGAGGAAACUUACCUGGCUUUCUUCACUUCAAGAGAUGAAGAGCCUAGCCACUCAUCAUUUGAGGAAAAAUCCUCAGAGUUUGAUUUGCUAGAAAUAAAAAUAAUGAGAAAACAAAAAUAUAUAUAUGAAAAACAGAGCAAGUUCUCUGUAAUAUAUUUUUCUUCCUUAUACAAAAGGUUGUCUCUAAGAACAAGUUCCCGAGAUCUAUCUGAUUGUAAAUAAAAUUACAACUAUAUAUAAGAGGUUAUUCACCCCUUUGUUCUUUCUUAAAGACUAAGGAAUCCUAUGAUAGGUGGGUUACAAGGAGAGUUUGGGGAUUUAGACAUCAAAUAUCUAAAGCAAAAUAUCUCAAGAUGUUAGUCGGAAAUAUCAGGAAGCUUCAGGAGAACACCGCGACACUGUAUACUGAGAGAAAAACUCUCCGGGUAAGCUCUAUCAAAGGAUCCAGACAUGUCUGACUGGGAAAGUUGAAACGUCCUUCUCUCCCAUCCGGAUGUGAGAUAUCCGGAGAAAGUGAAAUGUCGGUCGGACAGAAUUCUUUCCCCGGGUGGAAUGAGUUGUGUUGCGCGUCGCAAGGGGGACCGUCUGCGUGUACAAGUUGUAGGGACCCCUCUCCCGGAUGACACCGAGCGCGUAAGGCUAUCCGGAUCAACUCCAUUCGGAUUCCCCAAGAGGACAUGUGGCGUGCUCCCCUAUCAGGACUCCCUUAGGGAGAAGCACACGACACUCGUGAACAUCAUACCCGGACGAUAGCAUGUCCUAUCCGGAUGUGUUGUCCGGAUCAUUGACUAAAGUGAGCAAGCCUUGCUACGUCAUUCGGACAGCUUGCCACAUACCAUGUUCCGUCGCCAUCUGAUGGUGUGUCCGAACGCCUUGUCCGGACAUCUUUUGCUCCUUGCAUUCCGGAUUUGCUUAUGACAAAGGACUUCAAAGCUUCGGUUCUUCAUGUUUCUGAGCUUUCCAUUGCUUUGCCAUGGAUUCCAAAGAACUCUCCUUAAUCACGGAUUGCUUUGGUGAUCAAAAAGUUAUCAAAACACAAAAACUUAACAUAGUUUGAUUAGAAUUGAUUGCAAGGGUUCUUAAUAUGUUAAUUGGGUUAAAAGGUGAUAACUACUACUCAAAAGUGUUUAUAAGAAUUAAUUACAAGCUAUGAAAUAACACUUUUUGAGUAGUAAUCAGGAUACAUCCUAGUUUUUCAUGGAAUUGAUAGUGGGUUGUUGUGCAUGAAUGCCACCAUUUCAACUAUGCUGUUGUUAUUUUUAAAAAAAAUAUGGAUUAUGCGCGAGUGGCAAUUCUCCACUAUGGAAAGUGGAUUGCUCCUUCAACCCAUGCAUGGCUACGUAUUCCUAUGUCUUUCUACUUGUGUUUGAUCCUCCAAAAAAAAUUUCGGUUUAGUGCUAGUAGAUUUUAAGUGGUGGAUCCCCAUUUUUUGAAAAUGAAGUGGCAGCCUCCCAUUUCAAGACAAAAUGGUAGCCUGCCUUUAAUCUUUGGAGAAAAAUCUGUGCAUGACCUUUUUUUUUCCCAAAAAAUCCGUGCAUGGUGUCCUUUAAUAUUUGGAGAAAAAUCUAUGUUGGAUCUUUUCUUUUCUAGAAACAUUUGUGUGGUCUUUUUUGUUAGCCCAAGGGUUCUUCUAAUCAAGUUUUGAUGAUAACAAACCAUGGUUAAGUGACUAAUUGGUUUAAUGAUUAAGAAUCUCAAACAUAAAAUCGAAAAUUCAUCAAAGGACCAAAUGGAUACAAGAUCGAGACGCUUGGAAGACUUGUAAUCAUAGGAAACUAAUGUAAGAUGAAUGCAUGAGUGCACUUAGGAUUUUCACACGUUUCAUGCAACUUAGAAAACCCAGUUUAUUCUUUAAAACUUCAUCCCAGUUUAUUCUUUUUAUGGUUGUGUGUGCUUUCCUUGAUACGUGGCUUAUUUAUUAAGGAUACAUCCCAGUUUUUCAUGGAAUUGACAGUGGGUUGUUGUGUGUGAAUGCCACCAUUUCAACUGUGCUGUUGUUAUUUAAAAAAAAAAAAAAUGGAUUGUGCGCGAGUGGCAAUUCUCCACUAUGGAAAGUGGAUUGCUCCUUCAACCCAUGCAUGGCUACGUAUUCCUAUGUCUUUCUGCUUGUGUGUGAUCCUCCAAAAAAAAUUUUGGUUUAGUGCUAGUAGAUUUUAAGUGGUGGAUCCCCUUUUUUUGAAAACUAAGUGGCAGCCUCCCAUUUCAAAACGAAGUGGUAGCCUGCCUUUAGUCUUUGGAGAAAAAUCUGUGCAUGACUUUUUUUUUCCCAAAAAAUCCAUGCAUGGUGUCCUUUAAUAUUUGGAGAAAAAUCUAUGUGGGAUCUUUUAUUUUCUAGAAAAAUUUGUGUGGUCUUUUUUGUUAGCCCAAGGGUUCUCCUAAUCAGGUUUUGAUGAUAACAAAUCAUGGUUAAGUGACUAAUUGGUUUAAUGAUUAAGAAUCUCAAACAUAAACUCGAAAAUUCAUCAAAUGACCAAAUGGAUACAAGAUCGAGACGCUUGGAAGACUUGUGAUCAUAGGAAACUAAUGUAAGAUGAAUGCAUGAGUGCACUUAGGAUUUUCACACGUUUCAUGCAAUUUAGAAAACCCAGUUUAUUCUUUAAAACUUCAAUUUCAUUAAAACCCGAGUUUUUAACUAAUGUACCUUAGGCAAAAUGUUUUAUAAUUGGCUUAAUAAUUCACCUAAAUACAUUUUCUAAGUGUUAGAAAAGAAAGGAAUUAAAAAAAGGUUUUCGGGGCAAAAAAGGCUCAACCGGUCGAGGCUAUGGUCAACCGGCUCAACCGGUUGAGGAACCAAUCGAUCGGUUGUGCUUGUCCGAUCGAAGACCAAUCGAGGGAUGCCAAAAAAUUUCUCUCUCUCCUAGUGGCCUUCUCUUCCCGGUCGAGGUUCGGUCUAGGCAACGGUAACAUGUCAAGCAUUAAAUGCUCCGACGACUAGUGAAUCGGUCGACCCCUAGCCCGAUCGGACGAGGUUGCCUUUUGCUGUUUUUGACUCCCGAGCUUAGAAACCUAUAAAUUGAGAGCUCCACUUCAUUUAUUGAUAAAAGAGAACACUUGCAUUCAAUAGUCUACCUACCUUUUCUUGAUCAAAAAGCUCUCAUUUCCUUCAUAGUGCAUUAAAUCAUCACUUGCAUAUCCUUUAGUGCACUAUUGUGUGUCAUCCUAGCUUUGUUUUGUAUUUGAGCUAUCCUUAAGCUAGGUUGAGGGAUUAUUUCUUAUAAAAAUCUGAGUGUUAAAGCCUUCAAGAGAUUUGAAUCUUGAAGAGAUUGUGUAAGAGCCCAUUGGAGCCGGAGUCCAAGUGUAAGAAGAUUGGAAGCUUGGUUGAAGCUUCAAGUUAGUGGAACCCUCACUCGGUUAGGAGGUUGAGGAGAGUGGACGUAGGUAAGGAAGUGUCGAACCAUUAUAAACCCGAGUUUGAAUUCUCUAACUCUAUCUCUUUAUUUUGCUUAUAUUGUGUUUGAAUUUGUUGUGAUUGAAAAGAUUUUAAAAACCUAAUUCACCCUCCCCCCUUUUGGGUUUUUUUUUCUUAAUUAAGCAUAACCUUUGUUUUCUAAUUUUCUUUUUAGGAAAAUCCAUGCGUGGUAUGUCCAAACUCUCCAAGUGGCAGUCUGCCUUCUUCUAAAAAAUUUGUUUCUAUUUCUUUAUUCGACUACCUUCCAUGUCUUCCUAAUGAGUGCUUGUGCUCAAUGGUCAAUCCCUGGUGGUUGCCUCCUUUUCCCAUAUAUACGUGUUGCAAAAUCAACAUCCCACUAUAUGUGGGUUGCCUCUAUGGCAAGUUCACAUUUCCCACAUGAAACCUAUGAGUUUCCACCAAAAAUUGCCAUGAAAAAGUCUUUAUAUGCAUCUCAUGCAAUAAAAAGUCAAGCCAAUACUCAUCUUAUCUCGAAAAAUAAGUAACCAAAAUCAAGAUCAUGCCUAAGUGAACUAUGCCAAAAGAAGUGUCCAAGUGACCUAUUAUGAAAAAAGUGCCUAAGUGACCUAAGGUGAAUGUGUGUAAGCUGGAAGGUGUCUAGGAUGUUUAGGACAAUGCCUAAGCCUAAAAUAGGGUUGCCAAGGGUCACAAUGGGGUUAGAUAAAUCUCUCAAUCAGAGUCUCCAAGGUGGCUCAUAAAAGAUAAGCUACACGAGUAAUGAUGGGCCACCAGGGAAUUAUUGUAAAGCACCAAACGAACACAUAAUAGGACAUGUGUUAGAAUGAAAAAAUGGAGGGUUUACAAGUGGUCUCAUGGAUGAGCUUGAUAAUUUAAAUGACUCACAUAAUGAACGUAUGUGAUGUUUCUCUCCAAUAACAAGCAAAACAUCACUAGCAAUAUGAUGAAUGUCUCCUAAAUCACUUGAAGUAGUCCUAGCAAAUCAAUUAGAAAAAUCACACAUAUUGCUCUAAUGUAAUAUUAUAUACAUCUGUCAAUGAAUGGGAGAACUAAUGACACAACCAUCAUGUUGAUAUCUCGAACCCUCUAAUCUCAUAUGUAGGUGGGAUCACACUUAGAAACUCAUAACACAGUAAUGACCAAUCUAAGUCAAAAUGUGUUGGUGAUCGGAGGCCCAUGAAUAUGAAGUUCUAGGAUGAUAAUGACAUCUUAUAAAGUAAUGAUCAUCUCCUUAAUAGAUAGGUGAAAUGUGUGUGUCUUAGGACACCAUCUCUCAACAAGACUUGUGAUCAAUCCCCAGUCUAGUGUAACAUGCCUAUUAUGACAUCCAUCGUAAAAUCUAGACUAGAUAAUAUAAGGACAAAUGUGAGGGUUCAUCUCCCUUUCCCACAUAAAUUUAAAAAAUUAUUAUUGACAAGUUAAGACCAAACUAAGUUGCAAAAUAUAAAUAAGUCCAUUAGAUAACAAAUUUAUGUUUUCUCAUUUUCUCAUUUUUAAAGAGAUAUUAUGUGCUUCCAUGUACAUACAUGCUAAAGUCAAUUAUACGAGACUUAUAUCCAUCUUGUAGAACCAAAUCGAACCUAUCUAAUAGAUCCAGAUUAGAAGUAUGUCCUCUAUACUCCAUAUUUAUAACACAUUUAUAAAGAUAAAUGCUAAAAAAAUGUUAAAGAUAUAAAUUUAAUGAACCAUACUUUAUGAUUUUAAUUCUCAAUUAUUGUUCAUAUUUAUAAGAGAAAAGUUAAAAAAAUUGAUAGAGUUUUCCCUCUAUCAUGGACAUUAUCCCAAAUAAAAAUAAAUUGAUUAUGCAAAUUACAUUAAUAUUUGUAACCAAAUGAUCAAUAACUAUCUUGUAUCAAUUUAGUAAAUAAAUUUAAGUAUAUCUUUUCAUUUAUGACUAACAAAUAACUCAUACUUGUCCAAUAAAAGCCACACCUAAUUUCUAAAAUUUUGUCUUCACCUCAAGUGAGUGUUACAUUGAGAAAGAAAAAAUAUGAAAGAAAAAAUGAACACCUUUUUCUUUUAAUAAAAAAAGGCCAUAACGAAACAUUAAAUCUCACUGUUACACCUAUCUUCAAUGGAAACAUGAGGAUGUGAAUGGUGGCGGUGAUAUUCUUUGCUUGAAGCUCAUAAACAAAUAUUCCUUACUAAGCCUAUGCCAUUUAGUAUUUCAAUAGUGGACCCCCCCCCCCCCCCCCCCCCCCUCCUUGCAUUUCAGAUUUAGCAAACUUAGAACCAAAUAACAAAGUGCAUUUGAACCCAUAAAGAAGUAAUGAGACUCUCCUAUAUUGGCAAUAGAAGAAAUUUUUGGAGGUAUAGGAGAUUCACGGAUGAAGAAGUUGGGCCCCAAUUGAGAUAAGACCCAAGAAAAGAUGGGGUAGAGAGGGAUGGUUGGAAAUUGUAAAGUAAGAUUUUCAAAAUGUAGUUGAUGACUAAGAUUUUGACAAUUUAAAAAAGGUUUAAAAAUGUAGUUAGCAAUCGGGGUUUUGUAACAUUUAAAAAAUAAAAUAAAAUCUCAGGCCACAUGGUAGCCCAUGUGAUUCAGAAGCUUGAGAAUUAUUUUAUAAGAAGACUUAAUUUGUGAUUUUUUUAUAACUAUAUUAUUUUUUUUCUUAACACACGAAAAAAAUUAUGAAAUAAGACAAUUUUCCUAAGAAAGCAUGUAAGUGACUCUUGGUUAUUUUAUUUAACUUCUUCUAGUUUGGAGAGGAUUAAUACCUUUGCUUUUACUCACUUGCUUGGAUAUGUACACGUUGUUCAUGUCACUUUUCAUUUAAUUUUCUGAUUAAGGGAAUUGGAACCGUACGUAACUGUCUUUAUUCCCUCUGAAACUUGGACUUGGAGUUGGACUUUCAAUCUCAUCAGUCGUGUUUCCAUAAAAAAGAAGAUGGAUUAACCAAUUUUCCUAUGCCUACUAAUCAUACACAAAACUCCACUUCCAAAUAAAAAGGAAUGGGAUAUCACUUGUUAAUAGUGGCUAAAGACUAUUAAUAACCAUGCAAAGAAAUGUCACAUUUUUUGUUCUACGCAAAUUUUAUUCAUCAACUACUAGAACCAUUUCAUACAAUAGUAGCUUUUCGAUCCUUUGAUAAAUGGACACUUGAUGUGAUAACACCAACUACACCUAUAUAUUCAAGCAAUCAUGCGUAUAUAAUAGUGGAUAUGGAUUACUUCUCUAAAUGGGCAAAAGUUUUGUCAUUCAAGGAAAGUGAACGAGGAAACACAAGUUUACUUUCAUCGGAACUAAUAUUAUAUAUUGAUAUGACUUCCCAUUAUUACUUACGAUGGAAUAUGCUUCCAUAAAAUGGCCUAGAUGAACAAACUAUCCAAGAAGUUUGGGAUCAAAUAAUAUAUAUAUAGUUCAUGUGUGAUUCUUUGGUUGACAACCUUGUUAAGGGGUGAGUGAAGCACUUUGGGCAUACCACAUACUACAUGCUAGACUUCCACCCAAGCUACCCUAUAUUCCUUAUGAACAAAGUAGAAGUUGUCAUCUCUCUUGAAUACCAAAUCCUUUCACCUAAUAAUGCUAUCUAAAAAGGUCUUAAAAAGGAUAAAAAUGCGCAUAUUUGAAUUUUUGAAUUAGGAGUGCUACUUAAAAAGAAGCUAGAUAUACAAUAAUAGAAUGUUAUCAAGCAUAUCUCUUCAAAGUUUUUGACCAAAAAAUAUAUGAUUUCUCAUUUUAGGUAGGAGACUUAGUACUCACUAUUCAAAAACCAAUUAUCAUUACUCAUAAAAACUAAUAGAAAGUUUGGGCCAAAGUAGGAUGGACCUUAUAUUAUGCAACAAUUAUGCCUAUAAAAUUGUUGCAAAAGAGGUUUUAGAAUCAAAUCAAUGAAUGAAAAAUUAUUAAAGCAUUACUAUGCUUGAAGGCUAGUCAUUUUCCCUUAAAGUGCAAUAUUAAGUUGCAUAGUACUAUGUGGAUCCGCAUUUUUCACAUGCGUUCCCACUCAUUGUCGAGACUCACUUUUUAGAAGUGAAAAAUUAGUUUUAUUAAAGUCGAAGUUGCCACUGGGGAUUUGAACCCUAACAAAAGGUUCAAUUUAAGGAUAAAAAUAUCGAUAAUCACAUAUAUAUAUAUUGGUACUUUGAUUUUAUGAAUAUAUUGAAGAAAUAUGGACAAAUAUUUUGACACAAAAUAUGUACAAAAUAAAAAUUAUAUAAAAAGUAAAAAUAAAUAUUUUAAAAUUAUUUUUUUAAAUAUAUAUAUAUAUAAUUUGACAUAUUUGAUAAUAAUAUAUAAGGGUCUCCAAAAAGCCCGUGGCCCGCUUUAGGCCCGGUCCGACCCGACAGGCUAAAGCCCGGCCCAAGCCCGCCGGGCCCAAGCUCGGCCCGAGCCCGUUUAUGGGUGGGCCGGGCCGCGAGCCCGUAGGCCUGCUCCUUUAAAAAAAAACUACAAAAAUAAAAAGUAUUAAAAAAAAUAUUCAUUUCAAAAUUUUAUUCAUUGAAUGUAUAAUUACAUUUGAAAAUGUGGGAAAAGUUUACAUCACUACAAAAUAAAUACAUCCCAACUAGGUUGGCACCUAUUUAUUUGUCAAUCAUCUGUAUUUUUCAACCACAAAAAAUAAAAAUAAAAAUAUAAUAUACAUUUAGUCAUUAUUUUCUGGCGGUGAUGGCGAACUAUCAUGCAUCCAUGAAGAUCUUGAUAAUUUUAAAGAUUCCAUAUCGGUAAGCAUCUUUGUUUCUCGAAUGGAAUCAUACAUCCUUUUAUCUGCUAUUUCCCAAUCUUUCACACAUAUCCCUGCUUUAAUAACAUCUGACGCUAAGUUGCAUCGUUUUUUACUAACUACUCUUCCACCUGCACUAAAAGCAGCUUCUGAUGCAACUGUACUCACAGGAACUGUUAGUACAUCACGAGCAAUUAUAGAAAGCACAGGAUAUUUGUGUUGAUGUGAUUUCCACCAUAUUAAAAUAUUAAAAUCUUCUUGAUCUUCAAAUGAAAUUAUAUCAGUAUUAAGAUAUUUAUCUAAAUCAGAUGUAUUAUUUGGAGAAUUAUUUGUUGUCUUUUUUCGACUUUUCAACAUUUCUAGAGCUCCUUUAUAAAAAGAUGAGGAGUUUGUAGAUGUAGGUGGUAAUUUAAUAGUAUUAAUAUCAUUACCAUAUUUUUCUUUAUAAUAGUUAUAUAAAUUAUAUAAUAAUGAAUUUAUUUCAUUUUUAAUUUCUUCAAUUUUUAUUUGGUCAUUAAAAUAAAUAAUUGUUAACCAUUCAUCCAAAGCUUCAAAUUUCAAUCUAGGGUCCACAAUUAAAGCAAUAUAAAAAAUUAAAGGUAUUUCUCCCCAAUAUUUUCUAAAUUUUUAUAUCAUUACAAAUAUUGUAUCAUUAAAUAUUUCAAAACUUAAAUAUUUUUGAAGUACAAUAAAAAUAUUAGUUAUUUGCGUAAUAACUCGAUUUGAAGUUGGAUAAUAUACACCACAAAAAAUGUUUGUUGAAGUAUCAAAAAUUUCAAAAAGAUCUCUUAAAACAUCCGCAAUAUGCCAAUCAUAAUCAUUUAAUGCAUAAAUAUCUGCUUCAUAAUCAUUGUUAAUUAAUUGUAUUUCAUAUAAUUCGACUACUUUUCUAUAUUUUGUAAUAUUUUCUAAAAGUUUAUAUGUGGAAUUCCAUCUAAUAGCCAUAUCCAAAUUUAUAUUUUUUCUUUUCAUAUUUAACAUUUUGCAACAAUCAAAAAAUAAUUCAUGUUUUGCUUGAAAACUAUUAAUACUAUAUGCAAUGCCUCUAAUUUUUUUCCAAUGUACUAUCAACAUUUUUUAAUCCAUCCUUUACAAUUAAAUUUAAAAUAUGUGCACAACAACGCACAUGAAAUAUUUUAGCAUGAUCUUCUUUUACUUGCCAAUAUCGUUUUAGUCUAUGUAUUGCUGCAUCAUUAUUAGCAGCAUUAUCUAAUGUUAUUGUCAAUAUUUUAUCACGAAUGCCUAAAUCUAUAAUUUCAUCAUUUAUUAAAGAUGCUAUAUUUUUACCACUAUGUGGAGUAUUUAUUAAUUUAAAUAAAAUUAUUCUUUUAUUUAAUUUCCAUUCAUUAUCAAUGUAGUGAACAAUUAUAUAUAAAAAACCAGUAUGAGUUAAAGAUGUCCAAAUGUCAGAUGUUAAACGAAUAUUUCCUUCAAAAUUUGCAAAAUUUUUUUUUAAAAUUUCUUUUUGUGUAUAAAUUUUUUUCAUAAUAUCUCUUUUAACUGUAUUUCCAGAUCAACCUUUAAAUUGAGGAUUAAUACCUCGUUGAAUUGUUCUUGCAAAAUCAUGAGUUUCCAUCAUGUUGAAAGGUUGUUCUGCUCUUAUUAUAUAAUCAAUCAUUUCUUCACAACAGUUAGAUUCAUCAUAAGAAAAUGUUUUUAAAUUUCCACUUUCAUUUUUACUUAAUUGCAUAUAAUUUCUAAUAUCUACAUUAUUUUUAGUUUUACAAUUUUCAUGAUGUCUUUUUAAAUGACUUGUAUCUGCAUUUGAGCCACCAGUAAGAAAUUUAUUACAAAUUUUACAUUUUGCUUUUAUUUUUUUUUUAUUAUUUUCUAAAAUUAUUUCUAUUCUAUCAAAAAAAUUCCAUAUAUUUAAAGUAAAUUUUUUGUUUGAUGAUAUUUCAUCACAUGGACUAGACGAAGAAGCACUUGUCAUAUUAUAAUUAUUGAUAAAAUAUUAUGCCAAAAAUAAUAAAGUAAUAAAUAUAAAAAAAAAUGUAACAAAAAAAAUAAAGUAGUAGGGGUGAAGUAUGUUACUCAAUUAGAGAACCUAUGCAGAAAUUCCUAGCAAAUUUGAACUCUUGGAGCCACCAAUGCUUGUUUUGCACCAUCAACAAUAUUGUAUAAUUUGAGGGAAAAAUAAAAGAAUUUAAAAUAUUGUAGAAUGUGAGAGAAAUAGAGAGAAUUUGAUGAAAAAAUGAAAAGGAAGAAAAUGUAUUUAUAGGAAGGUUAAAAAUAAUAAUAAUAAUAAUAAUAAUAAUAAUAAUAAUAAUAAUAAUAAUAAUAAUAAUAAUAAUUGGCCAUGUGACCGUUGGAGGCUUAGCUCCAACGGUCACAUGGGCUGGAGCUAGGCUCCAACAGUCACAUGACCGUUGGAGCCUUUAAUUUUUUUUUUUAAAAUAAUAUACUUUAUUUUUAUAUAUAUAUAACUAACUCAAUUAAUAAACAUAAAAAGAAUAUAGUUCAGUUGGUUAGAACCUUGAAGUUUAAACAUGAGGGGAGGGGUUUGAAUCCCUCCCUCUCCCUUAGGGGCUUUUUUAAAAGCCAUUUUGGCUUAUUUCAAAAAGCCUGUCGGCCCGACCCGCCCUGCAGCCCGCGGGCCUAGCAUUUUAGCAUGGCCUGGUCUGUUGACUAGUCAAAUGGCUCAUAGGCUCGGCCCGAACUGGGCCGCGGGCCUCUUAUUUACGGACCGGCCCGACCCGGCCCGCCCGUUGGAGACCCUUGAUAAUAUCUUCUAUAUUAAGUUACAUUAUAGUUUAUUUUACAAUAUUAUUAUGAUAAUAUGUCUAAUUUUAAAAUAUAUUUAAUAUUAAAAUUAUGAUCUAUUUUAAUUUAAAUGUAUUCAAUGAUAUCAAAUAAAUAAUAAUAUAUGUAUAAUUCUUUUAUUAUUUAUAUUUAUUAUUUUUAAUAAAUAUAUAGAUUAUAUAAAAAAGACCGGAUAUAUCUUUUCAAAUUUUGUAUCGCUCUCCAAGGAUAUUAGAUGUAUGGGAAUUUGUAUUGCUAUCUACGGAUACGUUGAUAUAUGGGUGAUUUAUCAGGAUAAUUAGAAAUUCUAAUUAUGUAAGCAGGUACGGAGUUCUGUGUCGGUGCGAUCUUGUCGACAACAGCUCCAAAUUGUGCAUCUUGCUCAUAGAGAGUAGCGGAAUGCACCAAUCGUAGGCUCAGAGUACCACUGAGUCGUCUGGCAGAGACCCAACUGAAGGUGCCUGUGUUGUUCCUGAUCUGAUCAGGCUUCAAACUACAAGGUGGAAUACUGGUUCCCCUAUAUCAGAAGCUGGAGAUACCCACCCCAUAUGCUCGUCUGGAUGUGCUCCUACCCUUUGAAGCCUUCUUCCGAGUCAAGUCCGAAUUGAUAAGGCUAGUGAGUUCCCAACCAACUGUACUCAGCAUGCUGCCAGGUGGAGACCCUCCAUAUUUGAUGGCUUCCUAAUAUUAAAAUGCUGACCACUGGUCUUCAUGUUCCACAGGCUUAAUUGUGUCCUUUGCUGAAAGAAUGGAUAGUGAUCCAUUUUAACACAUGAUUCACGCCGUCUUUGCCAUUCUUCAUGGUCUAGCCCUUUUAUAUAUAUGCUUCCUGAACUGUUGCUAUUAAUAAAAUGUGGUAUCUAUCCCGUACACCUUCCUGAUGGCCAGCGAAUGCAGAAGCUACAGAAACGGUUCCAUCUUUUGCUUCCGCCACUUUGGCAUCCUCCAUGAUGAGAUCGAAGGUGAAUAAUCAUAUUCUGGGGAUUUAUGUCCUGGAUAUUCUCAGUAAUGCCCAAUUUCCUGGUGCCGGCCUCAUUUCCAUGGGAACUGAUGGAUAACUUAAGGCUUCUACCAUCUGCGUGGUUCGCUUCUAACACAGGAAACUUCACGGCUAAAAGCAAGAUACCAAGAACAUCAAGGCUGUGACAAAAAUUAGUAUUUUUAACUUGUAGGAAUUUGAAAGGCAACCAACCAUCUAGCUCUGUUCUUAAAGCUCCCAUAGGAGGAUCAGAGGCUGGAUUGCUCAAGAUGAACUCAUCCAUUGUUGCACUUAAAAAGAAUUGGCAUGAAUUGUGGCCGCUCUAAUAGGUUCCCUAAACCAUCAUCCAAGUGGGCUUGCGGAAGGUAGCGAGUUUAAAACACCUAGGGCGAUGAACAGUGGACUGUGAUGCUCACAAAAGAGAAAAGGAAGAAUUCAAUAAUUCCUAAGAAUCCAUUUGCCUGUCAUCCAAAUUUUUAUAUUCUCUUCAGUCUGACGCGUUAUGCCAUAUAUUAAAAAUAGCGGCUUCUUCCAAGCCGAGACAGACUGUGCAAAGUUCGCAAGGCCAAUCAUCACCAUAAUCUGAAGUUGGCCUCCUCAAUCGCAGCUUGUAUCCGAAUGCUCACUUCACGGGAUGGAUUGUAAUGAAAACUAAUCUCAGUCCCAGCUAUGGCAGCAUCCUCACUUGACAGCAUUUUCUGCAUAUUCUAGAACAAAGCAAUAAACCCUCAAAGGCUCCUUCGGAUCAGAGUUAGAAGACUGUCCCUCAGGAACGUGAACACUAUGGUGGUUCUGAUAAGCAGUGAUAUUGCAUUAGAGCCUUUUGGAACAAGAGGAUCUUUUCAGGUGGAAACUGUAAACUGCUUCAUGUUGGGCUGCAACCUUUUCUUCAAGCAAUACUUUCUUUCUGUAUCACGACUUAUGUUGCUUCCGGAGCCAUCCCGUGUGGACUGCCCUUCAGUGAAAGAAUAUGUGUGUUGACAUGUUGGAUUGUAAUCUUUGUUCCACUCUAAUGGCUUUUGGUCCUCCUCUUUCUCUUUAUGACAGAGAACCAUUUAGUGAUCCAUCUCUAUAUUGUAGCAUUGCUGGUGCUUUGCAAUACUACACUCUCACCAAGCAUAACAUCUAUUUUUCCGUGACCAAAGUAUGUCGGUUUAUGCAUGCGCAAACUCUUAUUCAUUGGCAAGUUGUCAAGCGUAUCUCAUGAUUUCCCAAAGCCACAAGUUCUUAUGGUCUUUCUGUUCAAGCUUACAAUGAUCUAUCUUUUCUUGGUUAUACUGAUGUCGAUUGGGCUAGUUGCCCUGAUAACAAGCACAAUACUAGUGGGUACAACACUUUUCCUGGUCCUAAUCUCAUUUCAUGGGCAUUUUCAAAGCAGAAGGUUGUGUCUCACUCCAAUAACGAAUCUGAAUAUAGGGGACUCACUAAUUAAUGUUGUUGCCAAGGUCACUUGGAUUGAAUCUGUCUUACGUGAGUUGCGUGUUUCUCUACCCCAACCACCAAUUUUGUUGUGUGACAACAUUAGUGCUACACACUUGGACAAACCAUGUUGAAAUACACUAUCAUUUUAUCCAUGAAAGGCUUAUGCAUCACACACUCAAAAUUCAAUACACCUCUUCUAUAGACCAACUAGUCAAUGCUAUGACCAAAGCUCUUCCUUCAUCUCACUUGUACAAUCUUCAGUGCAAGCUGAUUGUUCUUCCCAAACCACUCAACUUGAGGGGAGAUGUUAAGCCAAUUUAAUAAAUUGAUUUCUUUUGGUUAAUUUGUUAGAAUCAUUUUUAUUAGAGGUUUGUUUGUACAAUUACAUCCAUUUAUCAGGAGAGUACACGUGUACAACUCCUCUUUUAAUCUCACCAUUGUAUAUAUAUGAUACACGACCUUACUCAGAAUUGCAUAACAUUUCCUCUGCUCAUUCCUUUUCUUCUUUGAAUUUUCCCUUACCUCACUGAUUUUGAUUUAUACCUGGUGUUUUCACCUUUGGUCUCUACCUUUCUAGCCAGUUUUCUAAUUAAUCCGUAUAUGGUAUACCUGUCAACUAAUGAGGAGAAAGAGAAAAGGGGAUUGCUGUUCCACCAGCUACAUAUAAUAAUUAAUUACAAUCAUGGUAAUGGAUCCUGAAAUCCAUCCUUUGUGGAUUUUGUACGGAAUAUUGUUGUUAUGUAUGUGGGCUCACUUAGAUGUAUAUUGCUAGCCUGUCUGGGAAAUGUGAUUGCAGGUCCAGAUUAUGAUGUUGAUAUUAGUGGGAUAAGCAAGAGAUGCAGUUAACACGUAUGUGAUGGACUUGAGUAACUUUUCCAUUUCAGUCCAUUUUUUAAGAUUAUGCUUAGUCUUAUUACAAGGAAAGACCAUAAGAAUCAUGAGUCAUUGGCAAGGUAAUAUCAUUCCCUCUUUACAGGCUUCUUCACCUUUUGGUUUUUUUAAUAUCCAUCAAGAUCUUUUAAUUGGAGGACAAUUACAAGUAUAUAUAUAUGUAUUAAAAGGGGAAAAUAUUAAAACAGGAAAUUUUAGGGAAAAUAUAAUAAUUAUUUCUUCCUUCUUUCCCAUAUAGAACUACACAAAAUAAAACUUUAAUAAUUUUUUCUUAUCUUUUUUAUUAUUAUUUUUUCUUAGAAACAUCCGUGGUCUCACAAGCUUGUAAUCCUAGAUUGUUAGGCUCCUUUAACAGUGCCCCAACAUCGUGGUCCAAUGACAAGCUUCCACGCCUUAAAAUCAGAAAAUGCCAUUAAACUUUAUCAGACAUUACAGUUCAAGACAAAGCUUUCAUUUGCUUAAUGUGAUAAUGAAAUUGUUAAUUUCAUUUCGUGGGCAUCUAAAUUUGGACGAGCAAGACCUCUGAAUUCCCUGUUUUUAUCACCAGCAGAGGAGAUAAAAUCUUAAUGGUGAGAAUCUCCACGUGAAAUUUAUGUGUACUGUCAACAUAUUUUUGUUUAUAUAGUCCAGUAGCUGCAGGAAGUCUAGAUUAUAUAGGUAGCAGUAGCACUAUUUAUAGCACUCGAUAUUCGCUGUAUGAAUACAUUAAACCUUGUUUUCAAUACGCAUCACAAGCAAGUACUAGAUACUACAAGGAGUGACAGUCGCAUCAACAUUUCUUGAUAAUAGCAGUGACUGAUUUAUACACAGAACAGUACUGUACACGUACCAGUCACCAGAGAUAGGAUCUUAUUCCUACAUACGACUCUUAUUGAUCGAAGUCACUCAGUUGGGGUAGCCUGGAGUUGGAGGUUUGUGUGGUGGCUUCUUCUUUGGAGGAGGCUUUAUCUUUGGAGGCAUCAUCUUUGGAGGCAUCUUGUGUGAGUCUUCUUCAGCAUUCUCUACAGGAGGAUGGCCAGGCUUAUGACCCUUAGGUGGUUUGCCAACUGGGAUUGGUGGCUUGUGUCCUGAGAGUGGCUCCUCUUCUUCGGGAGGUUUGCCAACUGACGUUGGUGGCCCGUGUCCUGGGGGUGGCUUGUGUUUUGGGGGUGGUUUCACUCCACCGGGAGGUUUACCAAUUGGUGUUGGUGGUUUGUGCUCAAUCGGUGGCCUCUCAACUGGGGGGCGCUUGGGGUAAUCAGCGAGUGAAGAAGUGGUGAGAACCACCACUCCAAGCAACAACACUAGCAAGUAUGUGGAAGACAUCUUUGAGUUUGGCUCAGAUGGUGUAGAACUAGAAUCCUGGGUGGCCUUUUAUAUUAGUUGGGCCCUAUGCCCGAACGACAAGUGUCAUGGUGACACAUAAAGUGAUGGGGUCGAUUUGGGCCUACCGGAUUUGAAAACUUGGACAAUUCGAGAAGCGUCUCCUGACUCCGGGUUGUAAAGUGAAAGAUUAGGUAUCGACCAUUGAAGUAUGAUCACAACUUUUGGCCUUUGGCUCUCUCUACUGCCGUAUAGCUUUUUUCCUUUGGAUAUUUUUCUUAGCUAGACACAAUUAUUGAGCAGUCUAAUCUCGAAAUGGGAUUAGUAUAGCUUUAAGCAAAUUUAUUAUAGUUAGUGGAGGACUUUUAAGAGUGCAGACGACAUUUAACACAUGCAUGCAGUAGUAUAGGGGACAUAACACUAUUCUUUUUCCAAAGAUUCACAUGAUUUUUAUAUUAUAGUAUUGGCACAUUGUAUGUAGCUGGUUUUGUGGUUAAAAUUCCAUAUGUAGACACUGGCGUUUCUCCAUUUCUCACAAUUGAUGUUUACCUCCACGAUUACUAGAUUAGAUAUACCAAACAAUAACACAUUGUAUAAUCUAUCCGCCCUUCAAAAUCUACUGUAUGAUGAAAUGUUUCAUGUGUGUGUGAAGUGUUAGAAAUGCACUAUAGGCAACAUCAUCUUCUUUUGUCUAGGCUUGGGCCUCAAAUUAUACUCCCAUGCCAUGAUAAAUUUUCAUGUGCAUUCUCUAAAGAAGAGUGUCUUGAAUGUGCCAAAUCAUUUUGAUUGAUUUUAUGAUGUUAAUUGCUCCGCAUAUGGAUGGGUAUGUGCUUUAUUUGCUUAUUCAAUCCACAAUUACCUUGAACUGAAGUCCUAUUGGAGCUCUAUUAUUUUAGCAACGUCCUGUCAAAUAGGCUGCUAACUUGGGGUGGUAUGGACCCAAUGAUCCAUCUUAAUCUUGGGUUGAUUUUGUCUGACUCUAUCUAUCUCAGAGAGAACCAGGAUCACCAGUGCUGGUCUGCUUAAAGAAGACUCAGUACUGGAUUAAUAUUGGUUUGGGUCAAUAGCUUAUAAUGCAUUGAAUGCAGAAUAAACAAGAUCAAUGAAACCCAAAACACACUGCCCACACAACUUCACUCUGGUGUCUGUUAUUCAUCAAUUCUAUUCCCACAUGAACUGGUUCAAGUUUAAGAAAAUGACAACGGAUCCACUGUAUUAACUUGGUUUUGCUUGGUUUUGAGCUAGUUGCCAAACCAGCCAUGAGUUUUACCUCUAAUGUCAAUGAACAAACCCCAAAUGAACAACUGCAACAGCUUAAAGAGAAGGAAUGGAGAUGAAAAUCCCUGUUUCUUCUCAUUCUGGGGACAAAUUAGAACAUAACUACAAAGGUUCUAUUAAUUGACUUACUCUACCAUGAAUUAUGGUUCUUUGGUUUUCCAAAUUUAAAUUGUACAUGAGAUUAUUUUUUUCCUUUAUAUAUAAACAUAUUAAGGUUUUCUUAUUUCGUGGGCAAAUGCGCUAAGGAUGAAAGUCAUUUCAUUUGGCUGCAACAGCAUCUUAUAAUCAACAUGCAUAAGCAGCAGUUUUAAUUGAUCGAUUGAACACCGACUCACAAGAAUAGAUAGAAUGGUACAAGACAGCUCUUAUUAAUUUAUACUCGUUACUCAUUUUAUGUAGCCCCAUUAAGAUGGCUGGCUGGACCACCGAGGUCUGGGGGUGGUGUUGCUUGUGUGAUGCAGCGGGCCGGGCAGACACUUCUCUAGUUGCUUCUAUUUGGAGUUAGAGGAUCAGUCUCUGCCAACCUUGAGGACUCUCUACCUCAGAGGGUCCAGGUGGUGGACUCUGGUGUCGGUAGCUUUGAACUCUCAGUAGACUAGUGUGUCUUAAUCAGUCACUGCCAGAGGCUGGCGUAGGCAGUGACGAUAAGGUGAGACAAAUUACCGAAUAGUCAAUAUCGACUGCACUUGACCAUUAUAGAUUUGUUCUGACAAAAGUGAGAAAAGGGAGAAAAUCGGAUGUUGACCUUUAUAGAAAAAGAUAAGAUUUACUGCAACACAGAGCACUGAUUUGUUACUUGGAAACCAAGUUAUGCUAUUAGCUAGCCUCCAUUAGCAGCAGGGUACCUUGCUGCCUGAUCCUAAUCUGAGUUCCCAAGGUUUCAAUCUUCGUUUGUUAACGCUUCAGGAUUUGGAUAUUUCAGCUUCGUUUCUCCAUUUAGCCAACGCUGCCUGGUUUGGAUUUCAAUCCUCAUCUGGAACAUUCUUUUUUCGGUCUGAUUCAGGAAGUGUUUGGUGAUAGUUGAUUAAAAUUAAACAGUACUAUCAUACAAAUAAAGCUGAUCUAAUUUUGGUGGGCAAUAUACCAACUCAUUUAUUCUUGAAAACACCAUGGGGAAUUGGAGGUCCAUCCGAAGUACUAUUUGAUGGGACUCACAAAAAGAACAGGUGCACAUUUAUGAGAUCCGUGGAAGAGAUAACUAUGACAGCUAUGCAUGUACAACAGAUUUAUGUCGAGUUCACCUCGUAGAUAUUUUGUUUUCAGUGUCGGUGGACCCCAAAAUGGAAAUCGGAAAUUAAGGUUAUAUUUAUUUUUUUAUUUAAUUUUAAAUAGAAUUUUAAUUUUUAAUAAUAUUAAGUAUUAAAUUAUUUUUUUAAGGGUAUUUUAUUUUUAUUAAGUAUUAAAAAGUAAAAAAAAUUAAUAUGUUGCUUUUUUAUUUUAAAAAAAUUAUAUAUUUUAAUUUUUUCUAUUUACUAAAAAGUUUAUAAUAAAUUAUAAAAAAAUAAAAAAAUAAAAAACUUAAAUUCUGAAAAUAAAUUAUUUUUAAUAAAAAAAUCCAAAAAAGCAAACACCACCUAAAUUUGAGAUGACUCAAAAUUUUAUAUUUUUUUUCACCUAAAUUAUAUUCAUAAAUUUAAAAUUAAAAAAUUAGGAAGUUGAAUUUUAUUUUGGAUAAUUGGAAACUACAAGAAAUCAAUAAAAAUAUUUGGAAAAAAAAGAAAAAGAAAAACUAUCUAUAUAUUCACCCCCUUCUAAGAAACAUAACUUUAGUUUUUAACUAUUUUUUAAAAUAAUUUUUGAAAAAUGUUAUAUAAUAUUUUAUAAAACAAAAAAUCUGUUUGACAAUUUGAUAUGUCUUUAACUUAUUUUUAAUAUUUAUAUAUAUAUAUUUUAAAAAUAAUUUUAUAUUUAGAACUUUAUCUUUAAUUAUUAUAUAUAUUUAUAUAAUUAUUUUUUUUAAAACAACUCUUAAAAAAUAAGUGAAAGUAAUUGAAAACAACUCAAAGAUAUUUGAUGAAAACACUCUAAUUUGUAUUUUUGAGAAUAAAAAAAUAAAUAAAUAAAUUUCUAGUUAUCAAAUGUAUUUUUUAAUUCUUUUAUUCUAAAAAAUAGAAAAUCGUUUUUGAAAAUAAUUAUUAAACAACAUUCUUAAAAAUUCACUCGUUACAAUCUAGAUUUAAUGCAAGAAUGAUUGAAGGAGUCCUCCAAUAGAACCCAAAGUUAUAAACAUGAACAAGAAGCCCUAGAAACACCAAAGAUCUCAUAUGGUAUAUAUAUGAGCUUGAUUGAGAACUGUUUUAAAUUCAGUUUUUUUUUUUUUUUUUUUUUUUUGUUUUCAAAGUCAAAACAAGUUUACUUUUAAUUUUUACUUCUUUUUUUUAAUUUUAUAAAUAACAGUUUUUUAAUAAUUUAUUUUGAAAACAUGAUUAUUUUUAAAACUUAUAAUGAAAAUAGGAAUUUUUUUUUUAAUAUCAUGGUUAUUUUCCCUUCUUUUAAGGAGGGCUAUUUUAAAAAUAAAUUUACAAAUAUGAAAAAUGAUUCAAACUAAAGCAGUACAAAUAAAAAACAUUUUUAAGAAAUAUUUAAAAAUAGAGAAAAUUAUUUGAGAACAUUUGAAGUCCUUAAAUAGACUUUUGUUUUAGAAAAGGCAAGAUAAUUAUUUUUGAAAAUUGUUUUCAUAAUGAUAUGCAAAAACCUACGUAAAAACCAUAAUUAUAAUCGGCCACAUAUCAAAUCUACUAAAUAUGAAAAGUAAGUACAUAAUUAUAUUUGACUUAGAUGCAAGGAGGAAAAUGUCGCGAUAUUAUCGCCGAAAUAUCGUGUGUCGAAGGGUAUCGACACGAUUUUUCUUGCAGAAAUAUCGGCCAGUCGAUUUUUCGGGAUAAAUCUCGAGAAAUCGGCAAUUUAUCGCGAUAUAUCGGCGAUUUUUCCUCGAUAUAUCUUCUGGUCAACGCGGGUCAACGGAGUCAACACGCUACAGUGAAAGUCAAAUGUGCUACAAUGUCCCCGCUACAAUCACCUCCCCAAACAAAUUGCCAAAUUGCUUCCGAGGGGAUUUGAACCAGCCUUCUUGCCAUUUGGGCUAACUCGCCCUUAUGAUAUAUAUUGCAUUAAACAUAUAUAUACUUAAAGUCCUUAUAUAAAGAAAAUGUUAAAAAAAUAUUUUAAAGAGCAAAUUAAUUAUAAUUAUUUUAUAAUUAAAAGCAAAAUUUUCUUUUAAUUAAUUACCAAAAAUAUAAAAAUUAUAUAAUUUUCUUCAUAAUGUUUUUAAUAUCAUUAAUAAUUAAUUAAAUAUUAAAAAAUUAUAUAUAUAUAUAUAUAUAUAUAUAUAUAUAUUAUAAUUUAUUUUAUAUUGUUUAAUACAAUUGAAUUAAAUGGAUCAUAUUUUAAUAUUAAUAUAUAUUUUAAAAUUAGACAUAUUGUAAUCAAAUAUCAUAAUAUUAUAUGUAAUUUAAUAAUAAAUGUACACUUAUAAAAUUCAUAUUUUUAUCGAUGCAUACAAUAUUAUUAUCAAAUAUGAUAAAUCAUGUUAUACAUAUAUCAAAAUUUUCAAUAAAAUAACUUUAAAAUGUCUAUUAUACUUCUAAUUAUAUUAUUAUGAGGUUUUCUUUACAUUUUCAUGAGUUUUAAACAAUUUUAAGCACCAAUAUUUUUUUCCAAAAUAUCCACCGAUAUAUCUCCGAUAUAUCCAAUAUAUCUCCGAUAUCUCCGAUAUAUCCGUAAAAUCGAAGUACCGAUAUAUCCGUGAUUACCGAUAUUUUCAUCAUUGCUUAGAUGCAACCUUCUUCCAAAUGACAUACUUUAGUCAAUACUUAUAUUUUUUCGUUUCACUUCUUUGAUACAACACCUCAUGGAUUUAUUGUUUAAUUUAUUUGUAAUUAUAAAACUAUUUUUCAUUUUUAAUAAGACUUGAAUUAAUUUAAUAAAUAUUAUAUAAUUUGAAUUUAUAAUUCUUUUUAUAAAAUCAAAGUAUAUUAAAAAAAAAACAAUUUAUCCGAAGAAAGUUUUUUAUUUUUUAUUUUUUAAAACCGAUUUUAAAAAUAACUAGCUAGACACCCUUAUUUUGAUAAAAUACGAAAUAAAAGUGUAAAAACAACAUGGCCAAAUAGGGGCUUAAAUUUUAUUUUUAAAACAUUUUUUUACACUAAAGUGCAUUUUAAAAACACCAUCAAAACCAACUACAAGUUAUGCUUCUUCCCGUAAUAGAAAUAUUUUAGGCCAAAAUAGAACCUCCCCAAAUAAAGACCCUAUACUAAACUCCUUUUCAUUUUAUUAAUACAAAAGUGGGGAAAAAAGGUCUAUGCUCACCUAAAAAACAUGAAUAUUGUGAAUUCACCAUUUCUAUAAGGAAGUUGAAAACUUCAAAAUUUUAUCAACAAAUUCUCUAAAAUCCUCAAAAUAUAUAGGGCCUGUUUCACAAAGUUUUUUAAAAUUUGUUUUUAUAAAUUGCUUUUAAAAUAUAGAAUAAAUAACAGUUUUUUAGAUUUUUUGAAAAAUAAGAGUGUUUGGUAAGAUGUUUUUUUUUUUUUUUUUUUUUUUAAGAAUUAAAUAAAAAAUAAAAAAAUUGUUUAGAUAAAAGAAUUUGUAUUGUUUUUAAAAACAAUGUCUUACUUUUAUGUUAUAAAAAUUUUAUUAAUUUAAUUUAUAAUAAUAUGAAAUGAAAUUCAAGUUAAGUCUUAUUAAAAAAUACAAAUUAAAUCUAUAAUUAUGCAUGAGUUAAAGAUAAAUAUAUAUUUUUUAAAACUAUAAAAUAAAUUUUCUAUUAUAGUGAAACAAAAAUUACUAUAAAAUAAAAAUAAUUUUAAUAUUCAUUUUUAAUACAAGUCAAAUAAGUACUUUAAUUAAUUUUUUUUAUCAUGAUUUCUUAUGUUUUUUUUUUUUUCUAGAAAUUAUUUUAAGUAAUAUAACUAAUUUUUUUUUUAAUGUUUUAUAAAAAUAAGGAUAUUUGGCAAGUUGUUUUUAUAAAAGGAUUUUAAAAAUAAAUGGAUUUUUUUUUUUUUUAAAAAAAGAACAAAAUGAUUUGUUUGAAUAAAUUGUUUUGAUUUUGUAAAAACAUUUUAAAUUCAAUUUAUAUAAUAUUAAUUAAUUAAAUUAAAUUGAAGUUUUAUUGAAAAUAAAAAUAAUUUUGUAAUUAAAAUUAGAUUAAAAAAUAUAUAGGUUUUAAUAAAUCGUAAAUAGUAAUAUUAUAAUAAAAUUAUAAAUUAUAUUUUUAACAUAAAAUAUACUAUUUAUUACAUAUUAAAAAAAAUAUUUUAUUAUAUUAAUAAUUUUAUGGUAUUAAUGAGUUUAUUAUUUAAGUUUUAAAUUAUUUUUAAAAAUUAAUAAAUUUGUUAACAAAUGCAAUGUACUAAAUGUGGUUUAAUUUGGAGUUAAUUUGUUUAGGGAAAAAAAUAAAAAAUAAAAAUCUUAUGUAAAAGAGAAAUAAUAGAGUGUGUGUGUUUUUUUUUAUUAUUUUUAAAAAUCAGUAAAAAGAACUUUUACUUAUUGCCUAAAAAUUAUUCUCUAUUUUAUUUUAUUUUUUAAAUCUAGAAAUAGAUAACAAUAAUAAAAAAAAUUAAAAAAGAAAAAUGUUUUUUAAAACUCAGACUUAUAAUUGCUUUUGUUUCUCAUUCGCACCCCUGGAUUCCUGGAUUCUAAACACAAAAUUAAGUUGAAUCGUCCAUCUAUCUUGUAAGCCAAGAAUUCACAUAGAAGAAAUAAUCGGAAUUUGAUUUGAUAUCAGAUUUAGAGUGGCUCACUACUCAUGCAUUGUCCCACAAUAGUAAUGCUUUGGGCCGAGAUAAACCCAUUUGUGGGCCCAAAUAAAACCCCUGGUUUGAAAACAUCGAUUUUACAGUGGCCCAAAAGAUUAUCUAUGAGGGGAAGAUAACUUGGAAGUCAAGCAAACACAUUUAUCGCUAACUUUUCUCUAAUUAUAAAAUUAUAACUUGGUCUUCUACACGUCUCACUUAAGAGGCGGAGCCACUUGGCACUACCUUUCCAUAUUGUAAAAGGAGAAGAAGCAGAAGGAGAAGAUUCUUAUGCCAUUCCACACACCAUGGCUAGUACUGCUAUGCUGCUUGGCCCGCCGGCUCUCCGCCAUCCUAAUUCUCCCGCCGGCACUGUCUUUGAAGAUGGGGUCAUUCUAACGGAUUCCCUGAUCGUCCGCACCAGUAAUCUGGAGCUUUCUGAAAAACCGCCACUGGAAUCCCUGGCGUAGUGCUCUGUCAGUGGGGAUAUUGCUAUGGAUUGUUUGGAUUCCCAAGCCCACAAUCUUCAUCUUCCCGGGAAACCGCCGAUGGGCUUAACGGAAAACAAGUCUCCGACCUUUUUGUCUUCCGGGAACCCGUGCUUGGACUUCUUCUUCCAUGUGGUUCCCGAUACGUCGUCUGAUGAUCUGAUCCGACGGUUUGAGUUGGCUUGGGAAUUCAAUCCGCUGACGACGUUAAAACUGAUAUGCAACUUGAGAGAGGUGAGAGGCACCGGAAAAUCUGACAAAGAGGGUUUCUACACGGCGGUUCUCUGGCUCCACGACCACCAUCCCAAAACCCUAGCCUGCAAUGCUAGGGUGUUGGCCAGCUUCGGUUAUUUCAAGGAUUUUCUCGAGAUUCUCUACCGGCUUCUGGAGGGCCCUAAAAUUCGAAGAAUCGAAAAGAAAGACUGGCUGGAUCGAAAAGGAAGGAAGAAAAAUUCCCGGAAAAGGAACUCAAUAUUCAAGCGAGAAAAUAGGCCUGGAGUUGAAUUUCCUGUAGAAGAGAAGGAUGUGGAGUAUAUGGUGGAAGAAUUUGUGGAUAAAGAAAAGGCUAGGGUACUGAGAAAGGAGAGAGAACUUGCUCUUGCCAAAAGAGCCCUGCACAAGUAUUCUACUGAUUCUAAUUAUCAGUUCUUACAUGAUCAGAUUUCAGAUUUAUUUGCUGAACUUCUGAAAUCUGAUAUUCAGUAUUUAAACUCCGGUGAGCUUUACAAGAUUAGUCUCGCAUCCAAAUGGUGUCCCACAAUUGAUUCUUCUUAUGAUAAAUCCACCUUGAUAUGUGAAAAUAUUGCUCGAAAGGUUUAUUCUCGCGAGGAAUAUAUAUCCAGAAUACCAAGGAAUUGAGGAGGCUCACUAUGUUAAUAGAGUCAGGGAUAGGUUGAGAAAACAAGUACUUGUUCCAUUACGUAAGGCCCUGGAGUUGCCAGAGGUUUUCAUGUGUUCGAACCAGUGGGGAUCACUUCCCUACAACCGUGUGGCUUCAGUGGCCAUGAAAUCAUACAAGAGCCUCUUCUCAAAACAUGAUACAGAGCGGUUUGGUGUGUAUCUUGAGAAAGUGCAAACUGGGAAGGCUAAGAUUGCAGCUGGUGCAUUACUUCCCCAUGAGAUUAUAGCUUCAUUGAAUGAGGAGGAUGGCGAGAAAGUUGCAGAGCUUCAGUGGGCGAGAAUGGUGGAAGAUUUAUCAAAGAAUGGGAGGCUCACAAAUUGCAGUGCGGUAUGUGACGUAUCAGGAAGUAUGAGUGGAACUCCAAUGAAGGUGUGUGUGGCUCUGGGGCUGUUAGUUUCAGAGCUCAGUGAAGAUCCAUGGAAAGGUAAUGUAAUUACUUUCAGUGCAAGUCCUGAGCUUCACAAGAUCCAAGGAGACAGCCUUGUAUCCAAGACUGAAUUUGUGAGGAUGAUGGAAUGGGGUGCGAACACUGAUUUUCAGAAAGUUUUUGACAGAAUCUUACAAGUAGCAGUGGAGGGAAAUCUGAGUGAAGAUCAAAUGAUAAAGAGGGUUUUCGUUUUCACUGAUAUGGAGUUUGAUGAAGCUUGUGGGAGGUAUAACUAUUGUGAAUAUGACUAUGAUAUGGAGGAAAUUGAUGAGAGUCAGAAGGCAUCUCAGAAGUGGGAGACAGAUUAUGAAGUGAUACAGCGGAAAUUCCAGGACAAAGGAUAUGGAAAAGUUCCGGAGAUAGUGUUUUGGAACCUUAGAAACUCAUCAGAGACUCCAGUGAUGGCCACAGAGAACGGGGUGGCCUUAGUAAGCGGGUUUUCGAAGAAUCUGUUAGACCUUGUUUUUGGAAGGAGGUGGAAUUCUGACCCCUCAGGAUGUGAUGGAAUUAGCCAUCUCUGGUGAAGAUUACAAGAAACUUGUUCUAUUUGAUUAAGAUAUCAAGAGAUUUAUCAAUAAUAAUAUGUUUUUUUUUUUCUAUGUGAAAUACAUGUAAUAUUAACUAUGGAGUUAUCAAAGUUCUGGAAAUUUAAUUAUUUCUUCUUUUCAAGUUUUGUUUGUCUUUGUUAGGAAUUCCCCUUGGGCGGACCCAGCUGGGGACUUGGAUUGAGGAAGUAAGGAGGCGAAAUUGUGUUCUUCUAUGGACAGAGAAAAAAGAUAAAAAUAAAAAAUAAAAAAGGAGGUUAUUUGCAUUUGGAUGUCAUGUGGUUUCAGGGUACAACUACAAGUUCGAAAUUGUACAUAAUGUGAAAAUUCCUGUGUGGAGAACAGCAUAAAUAUGUAUCUCAGUGUGUUUUGUUUGAGCUAAUUGGCAAAUUCGCUUUAAACAUGGUCACAUGGAUGCAUAUUUAUUUGUGAAAUGAUAGUAGUCGAUUACUUGGUCAGUAAGGUUUGUAUCUCUAACUCCAACAUCUUAUUGUAGUCUUUUAAAAUGUCAAAAGUUUAAUGCUAGCUUGAGAAAUUUUGGAAUGGAGACAUUCUAAACAAAGUUAAUAAUCCAUGAGACUUGGUAAAACCGAUCAGAUGAUGCUUACGUACAUGAAUGCCUUCUUUAAGCCGUAUCCUAUUUUCAUUGAAUGAGACGUGCCAUCUAGUUUUGUUCUUGUCUUGAUUGGAUCAUGAUCCCGGGAAUUGAUUACUGUUCUGAAUUUGCGAAUGUUCAAGGUAUUAGAGAAAGUUAAUAUUAUCGUUAAUUUACAUAUUAGUAUUUAUCUAGUUAUUAUAUAUUAGUUUGAAUUAUAAUAUAAUAUAGAAUUUGAAUCAAGUUUACUAUUAGUUUGAAUUACAAUAGGAAAUAAAGUUUGAAUUAUAGUAUAACUCAAAUAUAUUUGUAUAUAAAUAUCCAUCUUUAUCAAUGAGAAUAGUAAACCAUAUUUUUCUCUAUCUUCUUCUUUCUCUAUAUAUAUGGUAUCAAAGCCUCCAAAUCCUAAACCUAGUCUCAACUUAGAGCAAAUUUAGGGUGCAGGGUUUAGGCCCCGCCUCCCCCAACCCUUACCACAAAUGGUAGUGACCUUGUUAUGCCUAUGUAUUGUCAAUGCCUCAUUUUCUAUGGUCUUCAAUACAAUAUCUAGUUUCAAUGUCUCUUUCCUUACUAUCUCCAAUGCAAUAUAUUGAUUUCAAUAUCUCUUUACAACCAAGAGCUCCAAAUUUUCCUGGUUCAAAUCUACCAUAAUUUUUAUUCUCCUUUGCUUUUUACCAAUAUUAGUUCCCCUAAUUUAAUAUAUAUCUCUUUAUUACCUUCAACUCUACCUCUCUCUUUCUUUAAAAGCUUCCUCAAAGAUUUGAUUGCUUUCUUGCAUGUUUUGGGAAAACAAACAUGCUCAUAUUCUAUUACCUCUACUUGAGAUCUGCCUUAUACUCUACCUUCUUCUUUACCUCCUAUAUCAUCUACUACAUUAGCUUCAAAAACAUUAUUUAGUUUGAUGCUAAAUAAGGCUCCUAAUCCUACCCUUCCUUCAACUAACUUUCUUUUACAAGUCCCUCAAAGUUUUUUUUUUUUUUUUUUUGGAAAUUUGGCUUAGAAAGAUUUCAUUACUCUUACCUAAUCUUUCAACCAUCAAGUCGAAUCCACUUAUCUCUUGAAUCCAAGGAGACUACCCUCCACAAAAACAAGGAGAUUGACCCCCACAAUAACAAAGAGAUUGUCCUCCAUAGAAACAAAGAGAGCUUCCUUCAUGGAAGCCGAAUACAUCGCAAUCUAUUUUCUUUCUCUCAAGAUCAAAUCUCCAAUCGGAGCUCCAUCUUGUGGGGAUAUAUUAGAAAAAGUUAAUAUUAUCCUUAAUUUACAUAUUAGUAUUUAUCUAUAUUAUAUAUUGAAUUAGAAUAGAAUAUAGAAUUUGAAUUAAGUUUACUAUUAGUUUAAAUUACAAUAGGAAAUAGAGUUUGAAUUAUAGUAGAACUCAAAUAUAUUUAUAUAUAAAUAUCCAUCAUUAUCAAUGAGAAUAGUAUUCCAUAUUUUUCUCUUUCCCUGAGGCUUCAGAAUGUGAUCUUGAACAUUUGAUCUUUUGGAUUCUUCUUGUUUCGGUGGUUUAAUAUAAUGGAAUGUUUAAUUAUAGCCUACUUUAUCACCAUGGAUGUGCUCCUGCAGAUUUCUUGAGGGUGAUGGUUAUUUUGUCAUGUUUCUUGAAUGGUUUGCAUCAGCUGCCUGAGCUGUUGUUGCUGGUCACUUUUGCAACCAGGGAAAGAAUCAUGGCUUUGGAGAAGCCAGCUUCUGUUUUUGUUGCCCAGCUGUUAGUUCACUAAGAUUGGGGGUCCUAACAUGUAUGUAUAAUCAUAAGCAAGGAAAUUUUAUGUCUUACGCUAGAUAGGUACCAUGAUAUGAUGUUUGAUUGAUUUAUUAACUCUACCUGUUUCAAAAGGCAUCAACAUUAAUUUUACCCUUUUAACACAUUGGAUUGUUUGACCUUACGAGAUUUUCUAUUUCUGUACUAUUUGAACUGCAAUCGUUAUGGUCCUUAGGUCUCUAAACCUUCGUUUAAAAUAAAAGUAAGGAGCACACAUAGUAAAAGUUAAUUUUGGGUAACUUUUAAAACAAAGAGAAAAGUAAAAGUUGUUUUUGAGAAAAACAUAUAGAAAUUGAAAGAUUUUUUAUUUUGAGAAAAAAAAGUCAUAGAAAAGAAAUAAUAUCCCCAUAUAAGUAGAUAUGAUCUAUCCGAAGUGUAGCUACUCUCCUGGAUUUAUUCUAACAUUUUAAAAUUUUUCUCAAUGGGCAAAGGAAUAUCAAAUCAAGCUUGAGUAGGAUUAAUUUCUUAAUUUUUAAAAUAACUUAUAAUUAAAAUUUUUUGGUGUUUUCUUUUUUGGACAAUUUUUUAUGAAGACUCUGAAUCAUGCAAGAGAUAUGGUUAUUUUAAAAAAAAAAAUAAUUUAAAACUCAAAUACAUAAUCAAUGUCACAAAUUUAUAAACAAAAGGUUUUUAAAAAAUACUAUUAUUUCCCCUCUACACAUAAUUUUACUUUUCCGAUUUAUUUAUUUUUGUUGGAAAACAGUCUUCAAAUCAAGUAAAAUUAAUAUGUUAAAUUUGUUAAACAAAUAAAUUUUAAAAUACAAUUUGGAACUCAAAAAUCAAUUCAAGUAAUGCUAAAAUUCAAAAAAUCAAAUUUGGAAUAAAAUGACUUUGUAAAUUUUUUUACUAAACAAAUGAAUUUUAAAUCAAGUGAGAUUUAAUACAUUGGAUUUUUAUGAGAAUAGUAAUUUUAAAAAUUAAUUUGGAACUCAAAAAUAGACACAAUAAAUACCAAAAAUCAAUGAACCAAAAUUGGUUUGGAAUAACUCCAUAAUUUUUUAUUUAUUUAUAUAUUUAUUUUUUUGUGCACACGAAUUUCUUACUAAGCAUAUUGCUUCCAAAUUGAGAAAAAUUUACUAUUUAGAUUUUUUUAAUGAGUUUAAUGGUAUUUAAAAAUAAUUCAAAAAUUCGAAAAUUGACUAAUUUAAUAUUAUAAAUUCAUAAACCAAGACUAAUUCAAAAUGCAUUGGGGGCUAAGGGGGUUGAAAUUAAUGCUCCAUUUGGUUGUGGCCACCAAUUGGCAAUGGCCACCAAUCAACCAAUCAAGGUGGCUAAGGGGGUUGAAAAUAGGGACAAUGGGGUGGGUUUGGGACAGGACACUCAUAUCCCAUUCCCAUCCCAAUUACACAGUUAUUUCCCAUCCUUAUUCCAAACUUGUGUUGGGGCAAGUUGAUUUGUUCCCAUCUUUGUUAACGAAAUGACUAAUAACCUCAUCCUCUCCUUGUCUUAGAUGUACAUUUUCUCAAAUUUGGUCAGGUAUGAUUGAUUCAAGCCCUAACCUUAAUUGGUAAUGAGUGGAUACCACACCUAAUUGCAUUCUUCUUUCGUUGCAAAAUAAUGAGAUUAUAAUAAUCUAGCAAAUAAGAAAAAAUAGUAUGGAAGUUCAAAUUAACACCAUAACUAUCAAUAAUUUUAAGCUUAUAGAUGACUUAAAUGAUUGAAAACUAAUGCAAAAUACUAAAAAAAAAAAAAAUCAUCUAAAGAAUUCACAAGAGAAUAGAACGAACAAAACCAAAUAGGAACAUGGGUCAACAUUAGUUACAGAUUUUGAUCCCUUUCAAGGCCAAUCUUUGAACCAAGACUUCAUCAAAUCUACUACUUCAAAGGCUUUUGUGUUCUUCUUGAGUUGUACUCUGGAACAAAGACUUCGAGGUGAUGCUUUAGAUGAUUGCAUUACACAUAUUUAGGGUAGGGAGAUUGGAGAAGCUUGAAGAUGCCAACGAUGGGUACAAUUGAGUGGUCAAUAAGAACAAUGUGGCCUAUGACUAGUUUGAUGUCAUGGUAUAGGAGUUUUGGGCAUUGAGGUGAAAGCAAGAGCAACAUGGAAUUGAUUUCAAAGUCUUUCAAUUAGUGUAAAGGAGGAAGAAGAAGUGGUAUUGAUCCUAGAAAUAGUGUUUUAGGUGUUGCAUUAGAGGAAAAGAAAAAGAAAAAGAAGGAACCAUUGGAAUUAGUACGAGUGUGAAGAGAGAAGUGUAUACAUAAGGGGAAGUAAAAGCAAAGUUCUAAAAAUUUAUUUUUUUAUUGGUGGUGUAUGGUUGCAUGAUUAUCCCUAUAAAUAAUAGGAGUUUUUUGGUGUUCUACUAGUAGUUGAAGGAUAAUUUCAUAAGAUAAUAUUUAGAGCGGGGUGGGGUGAGUUGUGACAAAAUCCAUACCCGUCCCAAACAUUGGUUCAGGUUUUUAAAAUAUUUUCAAACUUAUCAUAUACCCAAUUUUAUAUUUCAUACUUGUCCUAAUAGAGACAGGUUAGUCAGGGUUACUUGAGUAGCCUACAAAACUAUCAUCCCUAGUUGAAAUGCUCUUUUUGGCAGUGGCAGCUAGAAGCUCGAUCGAUUGACCUACAAGACUAGUUGUCAUCAUUUUAAAAAGAGUUUUGGCUUUGGUUGUGAGUGCAAUUGAAUCUAAACUAACAUUUCCUUAAUGCAUCUACUUCAAUCCUAAACUUCUUACUUAAGCCUCAAUUGUUGUUAAGAUUUUGGAAAACCCAUUUCCUUAAAUUGUAAAUUUAAGAAAAAAAAAAUUAAAAGUGAGACAUUUCUUGAUUGAAUGUUGUUAAAGGUCCCUUGGAAUUAAGACUUGGUUGAAGCCUUGGAAGAUUAGCAGAACUCUCAACUUAUGUUUGAACCUUGAGGAGAGUGGACGUAGGCCAAAAUUUUGUCAAACCAUUAUACAAAUUGAGUUUGAAUUCUCAUUUCUUGAUUUCUUAUUUAUUUGCUUUUUCUUAUUAUUACUUGAAUUGUCAUUUGCAUUCAUUAAUGUUAAAAUUGGUUAUAAUUAGCCAACACUAAUUCUCUUUCCCCUUCCCUUAAUUUCUUGGGUGUAAACCUAGGUUGGAUUAACUAGAUUUUAUCAAAUCUAUUAAGAUGGUAAAAGAAUAAUUAUUCUUAACAUACAUAAGAUCAUCUUCAAUCAAAUGACUCAUUGGCUGAUAUGUUGAAUUUGCUUAUUACUUGCAACUCAAAAUUGUGUUCUAGUUGAUAUGUCAAGUCCUGAGUGUAUGGACAUUAAAUUUGUAGUACGUGAUGAGUAUUUAGAUGGUCCAAUUCCAAGAAAGUGAUUGAAAACUAGUUCAAGAAAGGUGCAAAAGGGAAUUGUUUUGGUAUUUUCGUUUUUAUUCUUGAAGGUGGCAGAGCUAAAAUUUGAGAAAUCAAGCAAAACAUACUGAAAUUACAUUGAAAGAAAGAAAAUGGGAGUUAAUGUCUUGCAGUACAUGAUAAGGACUUCAUGCAUGUAGUGUGACCCAUGUCUUGGACUGAUGCCACACUCACGGUUACACUUAUACCCUUAGUUCUCUCUUUACUACCUUAGCUAACCUAGAUCAGGUUAUGAGAUAGGCACCUCACCACACCAUUACUUGCCCAUUAAUUAGUGACAUUUUCAAGCAAUGAGGUAACAUGGUGACACCAAGAGGGUAUAUUCCUCACCCCCAACAAGCCUAGACCUGGUCUAAAAAAAAUGGAGAAAAAUGACGUGUUGUUAUGCAGAAAUAUAGCAACCAUGCCUUCCUCAUUACUUAGAUUCAGAAUGUGAAGGUGAAAUUGAGAAACAGAAACUCUUGAAACCAAAAUGAAAAUUGAUACUUUUACGAAGAAUUACAACAACAUUAGAGGAAGACUACAUUCUUCCUCUUUAUUCCUACAUUUCUACACUACUUCUACUCCACUCCAUAUUUCUACAUACAUCUUUAAUCAGUCUUCCCUCCUUUAUAUAGAGCCAUCUUCACACAAAUUCCGCAAGGUAGAAAAGAGGAAUGAAACUUGGAGCAAGGUUCGACUACUGGCUGUAGCUUGUCAAGGCUGAAAGUGAACUUUUUUUCUUGGCUUUUCUGGGCAUAGGUAGUAACUUGUAGGUUCCUUUUUGGAAUGAAAAUGGUACGGCUAGAACAUGUGGCACUCUCUUGUUGGAUGAUGUGUCAAGCAUGUGGCAGCCAUCUAGUGGAGAUUAUGUCAAUUUUGGGAUGGAGAGUUGGCAUCCAAUUGCAAAGAAAUAUGACAUCUACCAACAUGCAAUGUCAACCUAUGUAGAUCAUAUGAAGAUAGAGAGGAAAAAUAUAGAAAUGGAUAUAUAACUAGAACUAGCUUUUUAUUAAAUGAGACGGAGAGCCAACAAUGAAGGAAAAUCAAAAUUUUUGGCUCAUAUCAAAGAAUUCACAUUGUGUUACCCUAGGUUUUCUUAAAACUUACUUUUAUGAUAAUAAAAAAUCAUUAUUGUUUAAUCCUUUGUUUUAAACGCAUGUUUAGCAGGUUGUAAAAUGUAAAUAUCUUUCGAAAUUCAAAUAUGAAGAUAUGACAUCAUUUCAAGCAAUAUAGUCUCUAGGAAUUAAUGUAAAGCUAAAUUAAGGUGCAAUUAAGUUAGUUCAAUGCAUUAUUUUAAGAAACUUGACCUAUCAAAACCUUGUCUUACUUCAAAGCCUCUUUUUCUUUUCUUCCAACUAACAUUUUAAUAAGUGAUCGCAAAAGUACAAAAUUAGAUGAAAUCCAUUUCAAUGGUUAAAAUGAUCAAAUUCAAACUUUUUCUAAGUAUCUUUUAAAAGCAUCAAUAUUGAAAGACAAUUUUAUAUUUAGUCAAAGCUUGGACAGAGCCAAAAAGCACACAAAAAUUUAUAUUUUCUAGCUCUCUACCUUGGAUGGUCUCUUGAUCCUACUUGGAGAUGUGCAUAAAUAAAAGGAUUUGAAAAUGACAAUUGACUAAGUAUGUAGUCAAUCAAUUACUCAUUGAUUGACUAGUUGAUCAAUUAACUUUGCAACAUCAUAUGCAAUCCUAAUAGCUAGUCAUCUAAUCAACUAGGUAGUAAAUCAAUAGGCCAAAAAUAUGUUUAUAAUGACUAUUUUGUACAAAAACCACUUAUAUAGUUAAAUAUAAUGCAUUUCAUUUAUAAAUCUUCUAAUUCUUGAAUAACAAUCCUAUCAUCCUUUGAAAGUUUUUAUUACACCUUUUCUACAUUUGUUCUAAAACUUAUACAUCACCCUUAAUUGUACCAUGAGAACCUAGCAUUUUUUUUUUUUUUUUUGUAUUUCAUCAAAGUUAGCUCUUGUACUCAUUGUUGUAUUAUUUUUAUUGUAACUUAGAGAGCGAGUGUUUUCAAGUGAGUGAAAUUGACUUGUAAAUAUUGUAAAGAUUCAUUGAUAUGUAUCUCAAACUAGGUGUACAAGUUGAAACAUUUGCUAGUAGAUUUUCUCAAGAUUUAGAAUGAGCUUAAGGCUAUCGAAUUAGGUGGGGUUGCGCCAAACCAUAUCACAUCGUUGUUUGCACCUUUUUUUUCACUCUCUUUUACUUAGUUGCUCUAUAUAUAUUGUCUAGCAAUAUCCUAAAGGCUUGAUGGGCUAGGGAGCAUCCCUCUGAAUGAAAAAUUUUCAUUCAAUUCUUAGUUGUAUUACGCAUAUAUAAAAUGCCUCAUUGUUUUAAUGGUAUUCAGUCGUGGCACCACAGAUAUGGACAUCUAAAUUUUAAAAGUUUGAAACUUUUAGCUAAAGAAAAUAUGGUGCUUUGCCUUUUUGGAAAGCAUGUUGAUGAAAUCCAUGAGAAUUGUAUACUUGGAGAGCAACAUCGAGAUAACUUUUUUUUUUUCUUUUUUUAUAAUGCAUUGUUUGUCCAAAUUCCGUACAAAUUAGGCCACCACAUGUUCAUAAUUCUCCCUUCUUGAAUUUGAAAACUCGGACAAUUUGACAAUGCGACACCUAAGUCCGGUUUUUAAAUGCUAAAGUGAAAGGGCAGGUAUGGACCAUUGAAAUGUGAUAACAACUUUUGGCCUUUUCCUUUUCUCUGUAGCCAUGUUGUCUCUUUUUAAUUUCUUUUGCAUGAUUUUCUUACCUAAACAGAAUCAUAGACUUGUUUAAUCUCUAAGUGGGAUUUCAUCCACCUUAAGCUACUGUAUUAUAUCUCGGUGGAGGACAACCGACAUAGAGCACAUGCAAGUGGGUAUAUGGGACAUGAAAUAUCUUCUUAUAAAGCUUGUUUUGCAGUUAAAUUAAUUGGAUAAGUAGACACUGGCGUUUCUAAAUUUCCCACCUAAGAUAAUGACCUUAUCCUUGACUGCUAGAUACACAAACAAUUAUACCUUCAAAAUCUACUGUGAAGUGCUUCAUGUAUGUGUGAAGUAUUAGAAAUUUCUUUCUUGGCAACUUGUUUUUUUCUUUGCGGUCUACUGAUAGGUUUGACUAAAAUUAUAUUCCCUGUCCUGCUAAUUAAUUUUCACGUGCAUGCUCAAAAGAAGAGUAUGACCUUAGUGCACCAAAAUCACUUUCAAUAAUUUGUGAUAAGUUUUUUUGCAUGACAUUAACCUUAUUCAUUUAGAUAAUGUUUAGUUCUCAUAAAUAUUAAGAAAAUGAAAAUAAAUAUUAAGAAAAAUAUUCUUAUAUUUGAUUGUAUUAUGAAAAAUAUCAUAAAAAAUCAAAUAUAAUUAAAAUUAAUUAAUAAUUUAUAUAUUUUAAAAUUAUUUAAUUUUUAUAUUAAAGAUAUAAUAUAAAUGAAAUGAGUUUUAAGUAUUAUAUAAAAAUGAUUUAUUUAUUUAUUUAUAUAUAUAUAUAUAUAUAUAUUUAGUUUUUCUCUUUAUUUUAUUUUCCUUAUGUUUUCCUCACAUUUUCCGGAAUCAAAGAUAGGGAAAUCCACAAUUACCUUCAACUGAGUAGAUUCUAUUGUUUUAGCAAUGUUAGGCUGCUAACUUGUGGUGGUACGAACCAAAUGAUCCAUGUUAAUCUUGGCUUGAUUUAAUUUGGCUCUAUCUCAGAGAACUCAAGGAUCACGUCAACUCUGGUUUCUACUAUUCAGGUCCAUUCCCAGAUGAACUGGUUCAAAUUUGAGAAAAUGGUAACAGACCUUUAGUGAUAUUGGUUUGGAGCCAGUUGCCAAACCUGCCCUGAGCUUUACCACUAAUGUCAAGGGACAAAGCCAUUUGAACAAAAACAAUAGCUUCAAGAGACUGAAUCGUGGAUGAAAUCUGAUCCACAUUUCUUCUCAUUUUGGGAAAAAAUGAGGACUUAACCACAAAGAUUCUACUGCCUCAUAGUGCUUUUCCUGAUCUAAGGUUGGCUCGUUUCCCAAAUUGUGAGGUGCACGUGCCACUCUCACGCUCAGGAGUGUAUCCACGUGGUGGACAUAAGAUGGUGGCUUAAUAUCUGGUGUCGGUGGCUUUACUUUACUAGGAGAGUAGUGUGUCUUCAUCUCAUUCACUGCCAGAGGGUGGCGUAAGCAGUGACGCUAAGGUGGGGCACAGUCAAUAUCAUUUGCAUUUGACCAUUAUAAUUUUCUCCCGGCUUUAAAGUAACCUUAUCGUGAUAAUGGAUUACUAGCACUAGUUCAGAUGACAGUCAUGUUAAAUUCGGACCAUGUUUGUGUCACAUUAUCAGCAACCAUGUGCUUGUGGUUCAUGCUAUCUGCAACUAAACUUGAUAUAUAACCAGGUGAACUUCAAUCUAAAUUCUGGAAGUACUCAUGUGAUAGAUGGUGCCUGUCUGCAGUGAGUGUAUCUAUAAGAGGGAAGGCUUGGCAAAUGUUCAGUUUUCUGGGAAUUCAACAGGGAUCUAAAAUAGAUUGUUUUCUUUGCUGAUUUCAAUGGUUGAAAUUUGAGAAGAUUGUGUCCACAUAACACAACUAUUACUGGUCCUUCUGUUGCAAUUUAUCCUCUAAGGCUCUAACAUGUCUUCCAAUUCCCACUUCCCACUUCCCUGUUACUCCAGGAAAGCUGUUUCUGUCAUUGUGAAGAAGAAAAGAGACUGUACAUAUCGAUGCUUUUAAGUGGACUGGAGAAUUCAUAUCAGGUGGUCUGCAGCCAUACAUGCCACUUUGUGAAGGUUGGAACAGUCAAUCACUAGGCUAUAUUAGUGGGGCCCAGCCACUUCAAUCAAGGACAAGUCUUCAUACUUAAAGUCAAAUUCUGCCUUUAGUCUCAUUAUAAAUUGCUGUUUAAAUAUCAAGCAAACAUUUGUUUAAUGCGAUUAAGACAGCACUAACUCAAUACUUGUUCUAUUUUUGGAUGCAAAUGCUUGAUAGUUUCAUCAUUGGAGGGGAUAAAGGUGCAUUCAUGAUUAUGAAUACUUGUAGUUAUAUUUUCAUUCUCUUUUUUCUCAAUGGGACUUGUUGGCACAAUUUUGCUGUUCAGAAACCUACCUCUCCAUGGAAAAUCAGUUGUGAUUGAUAUUACUGGAUAUAUUCAAGAAAGCUAAAUGUAGAUAGCACAAAAUAUUAUCGACAUAAAUAGCAUUAACAGCGUACGUAUGUCUCAAUGCUCAUCAGCUAUAAGCAAGGGGCAAACACUUACUAUGAGCAACUUACGUCAAAAUUCCGGAAUAGGACAUAGAAGUGACAGGUCAGUAAAUAUAGAACACUGCAUAUGAGUCACAAGAAAGGAAAUUACGGGUACAUAGCAGCUCUUAUUUUACAUCCUACUCAUACUGAUCAAAGUCACUCAGUUGGGAUGGGUGGGAGUGGGAGGUUUGUGGGGUGGCUUGUGCGGAGGAGUUGGCAGCUUCUUUCCAGGACCUGGUUGCUUCUCUGCUGGAGUUGAAGGAGGCUUAAUCUUCCGAGGUGGCUUGUAUGAGUCUUCAGCAUUCUCAGCAGGAGGGUGACCAGGGUUGUGACCACAAUGUGGUGGCUUCUCUCCCUUAGGUGGUUUGCCAACUGGGGUUGGUGGCUUGUGUUCCGGAAGUGGCUUCUCUUUGUGUUCAGGAGGUGGCUUCUCCACUGGAGGCUUGUGUUCAGGAGGUGGCUUCUCCACCGGAGGCUUGUGUUCAGGAGGUGGCUUCUCCACCGGAGGCUUGUGUUCAGGAGGUGGCUUCUCCACCGGAGGCUUAUGCUCUGGUGGUGGCUUCUCCACCGGAGGCUUAUGCUCUGGUGGUGGCUUCUCCACCGGAGGCUUAUGCAAUGGUGGUGGCUUCUCCACCGGAGGCUUGUGUUCAGGAGGUGGCUUCUCUACCGGAGGCUUAUGCUCUGGUGGUGGCUUCUCCACCGGAGGCUUAUGCUCUGGUGGUGGCUUCUCCACCGGAGGCUUGUGUUCAGGAGGUGGCUUCUCCACCGGAGGCUUGUGUUCAGGAGGUGGCUUCUCCACCGGAGGCUUGUGCUCUGGUGGUGGCUUCUCCACCGGAGGCUUAUGCUCUGGUGGUGGCUUCUCCACCGGAGGCUUGUGUUCAGGAGGUGGCUUCUCCACCGGAGGCUUAUGCUCUGGUGGUGGCUUCUCCACCGGAGGCUUGUGUUCAGGAGGUGGCUUCUCCACCGGAGGCUUAUGCUCUGGUGGUGGCUUCUCCACAGGAGGCUUGUGUUCAGGAGGUGGCUUCUCCACCGGAGGCUUAUGCUCUGGUGGUGGCUUCUCGAAUGGGGGAUGCGUAGGGUAAUCAGCUAGUGAGGGGGCGGUGAGAACCACCAGGCCAAGCAACACUACUAGCAAGUAUGUAGGAGACAUCUUUGGGUUUGGGCUCAGAUGGUGCAAAACUAGGAGAAUUGGCUAGCCUUUUAUAGCGGAUCGUACCCAAUAAUGAAAUGACACGUGUCAUUAUGACCCAUGUGUCAUGUGGUCGAUUUGGGUCCUACAGUGUUGAAAACUUCGACAUCCACUUUUUUGGCCUUUUGCUUUCUCUACAGUCGCCUUGCUUUUUCCCUCUUUUCUUUUGUUUUCCUCCUGCCCCAUUCUAUCAACUAAUCACAAUUAUGUAGUUGUUUAAUUCUUAAAUGAGAUAUUAUCCGUCAAUCAUAUUAUCUUUUAUCAAGAGAGAACGGAGUGAAAAGUGGCAAUCCAAAGAAAGAAGAUCCAUAAUGCAGCUGUAAUUUUAUCGUUUACUUUUAUCUCUAGGACCACUGCAUUUUUGUUGAGAGGUGCAAUAAUACACGUCUUUAUCUGCCAUUCAAUGUUUACAGUAAAGAGAGGGCACAAAACUCUUCACUGCUCUGCAUGUGCCCCAAAAAUGCAAUUGGACAAAUUAUGAUUUGCAUGCUAAAAAGAGGCAAAUGAGGUUAAUUAGCACCAAAAUUAUUUUGUUUUCUGGACACCCCGGGGCCCUUUGGUUGGUUUGGGGGUCAGAAAAUGAACAUCAUAGGGGGUUUUUCCCUAAUGUGCAUUUGCAUUUGUAUCUGAUGGCUUUAACUCGCCUUGUUACUACAAAGAAAUUGUCACAGAUAGGAACUUAUUCCAGGCUGAGUAUCUCCGCAUGGACCCUAUAAAAGAAGACAAGUCAUAAUGAACAUCUAACCUUUGUUCAAUUUGAUUCAAUGCCCCUAUUGUGUCCAUCUCACAAAUCUGAAUUAUUAUAUCCAUUGAAUACAUAAAUUAAUGAAGAAAAUAUGAAACCCAAGAUACAUCUCUGCACAACCUCAACCCUGGUUGCUAUGUUUCACUUCUAUUCACAUGAGGAUAUUGAUUACGGAAUAAGGAAACCUAGCAAGGGUUUACUCGGCUCUGGUUUGAUGCUAAUUGCCAAACUUGCAACAAGCCCUGAGUUUGACACCUAAUCGAUGGGCGAAUUAAAAGUCUCCUCCAAACAUAUAUUCCACAGCUUGAAGCUCACAGAAGAUGCUAUACAGGCAGGGAAAAACCUUCAGAGUUAGCUACCAAAGAUAAUUAUCAAGGAGAUAUCACCAAGAGAAUUCCAUGGAGUCUGAAUCAAAGACAAAUUGCUCGCUCGUGGGGGUUCUUACUUAAUUUCUUUUGGGUAUAACUCACUGAGGGCACUGGCUUUGUUAUUUGCAUUUCGCAUUUAGAGUUCUGUUCUGGAAGGUUUGUUCUGGAAACAUAUAAAAGGAGCAUCAUUUUGUUCUAGGGUAACCCAUAGUUGUGAGUGGGUCCAUUUGCAUGCUACUUAGUUGAAAAGUUGGACAAUUUGCUCCGACGCCUACCUCCUGGAUUCCAUGCUCGGAUAAAGCAAGAAUAAUAAAAUAUUUAUAAUUUACAAAUGGGGGAAAGAAAAAAAUGUCAACAACAAACUAGGAAAAAAGAGUAGUAAAAUUUAUGCCACAUGCUAUUGAUAGAAGGGGCAUGUAUUAGAUCCAUCACCAUUUGGUAAGAUUUUAGUAUUAUAUUUUUCAAGGUUCAUUAUUUGAGGGUGUGUUCUUCAUCUCUGUUGCAUUGCUUCUUACUAGGCCCACUGAGGUGGGUUCUUCACCUUUUGUAUAUUCUCUGCACUAGAUCAAUGAGAAAGGGGGAAUUUUGGUGAAUUUGCAGCCGUUGGAUGAUUGAUUCUAGGCUCAGUCCACCAAUGAUGCUCUCUUCACUCUUUCUCAUCUAGUGUCAUUCACAACUAUGUUUUGAUUCAUAUUUGUACUAUCAAAGAUAUCUCAUUAUUCUAGCUCAUUAGGUAGAGUUCCUAAUCUUCCUCCUUUUUGGUCUAUGGACAGUAUUGGCUUCAUAUUAAGAUCAUGUUUCAAUAAUUGCACAUUAAUGAAUGGAUCAUGACCCACAUAAACAGAGUCAGGGUUGAGUCAGUGAACCCUAAAAUUUCACAAUUCUAAAUUUGGGUUCUUUAACAAUGCAGGGUCAAGGACGCGUGGUGAUGAAGGAAAGCUGGUAAGCUCAGUGUUACUUCAAUUCCUGCCAUGUAGGAUGGUGAGGAGAUAUUCACUAUGCAAUUAAUAAUAGACAAUAUUCACUAUGCAAUAAUAAAGCAUAAAUUAAGUUGAAUGAAAAGCAUUUUCUUUGCAAGGAGUUGAUUUUGGUUUCAUAGUUUGUUCAACUGCUAUUUUGGAUAGGAAAGUGUGAGGAGAAGAAAAUAAAAAAUAAAAAUAAAACAAAAAAUAAAAAAUAGAUUUUAUAAAUUCAUUUAAUUUAUUUUUUUUUUAUAAAAAUUAACUAAUUUAAAAUAUAUGUAAAUUUCUAAUUAAUUUAAUUACAUUUUUUUUUUCAGUUUUUCAUAAUAAACCAAAUAUUAGAAAAUUAUUUUUAUUAAGACACCCAAGAUGAGGUAAUAUGCAAUGAAAACAUGAAUUAUAUUAAAAUUCAAAACAAAUUAAGAGAAAUCGGAAAAUAUACAUAGAUAUCUAAACAAAGAAAUUUAAAGAGAAGGAACCACAAACUUUAUUUACAUAAUUUGAAAAUAAAAAACAUAAAACAUACUUAUAGUAAGGAGAAAUUGAAUAUCUUACAAUGGAAGAAGGGAGAAAAGCUUUGAAGAAAGCUUUUGCUUGGAAGCUUACAUGGUGAGAGGUAGAGAAAGGAGAGAGAGAGAAGAAAAUGAAAAAUGAGAAGUGGAGAAAAUUGGAAGUUUUGUGUGCUUACAACUGAGGAUAGAGCCUCCUUAAAUAGCAAAAAAUGGAAUAUUAAAUAGUACCAAUCAGGAGACAAAAUAUUGUUUGCUUUUGAAACCCGUGCAUGAAUAGUAAUCCCGUGAGUGAAUAGUGAAUAAUAAAAGUGAAUAGUAAAAGUCACUUUCUACUAUAGCACUUUAGACUUUUUCAUCGAGAAUCUUACUUUCGGCUGAGUGAUGAUAGCUGAUAGGUUGCUUUGGAUUGUGGAGUCAUAUGUUUGAUGUUUUCGGUGCUGAAACCGCUUAGUUGGAGAAUAAUCUCGUCAGUAGAGCAUCAUGAGAAGCUUGAAUGGAGAGAGCUUAAUGAUGCCAUAUGAUUGGAAGGAAUCCUAUUUUAAUUUCCUUAUUGGAGGGAGAAUACCCUCACAAUCAUCUUCAUUAUCUUGAAGGUAGUUUGAUAUAGAGUCAUCUGACUCAGCAUAAGAGUCCUCUUGGGAGAAGCUUGAACUGCUUUUGUCAAGGAUUUUCUGAAAUUCUUGAGGGGUUUUUGCUAUUGCUAACAUGGUUUGGAGUUGCUGUUUCUUAAGAAGAAACUGUGCAAUAUCAUAAGAUGAUGAAGCUUGUGUAGGAUGCUUUAGGAAAUAUUGCUUUAUUGCUUGUAGUGAGGUAUCAUUUUUCAAGGCAUCCCACCACUUAGACUUGAAAGUCCUUCCAAGGGUUGGAAAGGCUGCUGAUUCAUCUGCUAUAAUGAUAUAAUCCCACUGGACUAUCCAGGCAAGGCCAAAUUCACUAAAAAAGAAUAAUAAUUGGGGAAAACUGAAAGUUCUCUAGGGAUAACAAAAGAACUUUGGAAUAGCUCAAAGCCAUCCAAAAUGGGUUUUGGGAGAAUUUUAAUAGUUGGACCAAAAUAUGUCCACCAAUUGUGGAACCAAAAUGGAAAAGAGGGGAGUUGAUGCUUAGAUGGGAAAUAGAACAUCCCUGAAUGAUGGAAGUCCUUGUUCUGGAUCAGAAAAGCAUUGAACCAUACUCUUUGGUAGUCUCAAUAAUUGAAAAUUUUAGGUUUUGAAGGCUUAGAAAAUUCUCUUGAAAAAUUAGGAUUCCCACCCCACUGCUUAACUGUAAGGAUUUUAUAAAUAUGGUAAGUGGAGAAUGCCAAAUCCAAAUUGCUGAAUUUAUCAGCAUUGUGCUUGAUUUUAACAGAGCCGGUUUCCAUAAGGAUUGCUUCAUAAAAUUCUCUUGUUUUUAAAAGAUCACCAAAGGGAUAAUGAAAAUUUUCAUGAAAAGCUUUUGCUGCAAUAUCUCUAGGGUUUUUAGAGAAAAACUCUUUUUCAAUAACCAAAAGAGGUUGAUUUAAAUCUUUUUGCCAAUAUCUUGCUUUUGCUGAAAGAGGUGUGGGGUUGGCUACCACCACAAUUUGCUUAUUUGAAAAAGAAGAGCUUGAUGCUAAUUCAUUUUGAGAGGGAUUAGCUUUAGUAACCUGCUUAAAGGUCUGAGACACAGUAAUAGUUGGAUACUGAGUAGCCUUGACUGGUUUAGAAGGAUUCGAAGGAUCAUAGUACAAGGACAAAAUCUUAUUAGGCAUAUGGUCAGAAGAAUGAAGCCUUGCUUCUUCUUCUAGCUCAACUUGUUGGCUCCAAAGUAUUUUAUGGGGAGAAGGUUCUUUGCUGGUUUUAGAAGACUAGGAUUCUGGAAGUUUAGGAGCUUGGGUAUUCUUUUUAGGGGCCAUGGUUUCGUGAAUCCUGUAAAAUUCACAAGUUAAGAAAUCAGGGCUCGAAGAAUGUUCUCCUUUAAUAUACUCAAUUUGUAAAUUAAAAUUGCUUAAAAUAGCUUGAUAUAUAGCAAAAAUAUGCUUAGAAGUUAUAUUCUUAACAUCCUUUUGUAAAACUAAUUUUGCAAAUUUACAAUCAACUCUUAAUAAAAACUUUUGAUUCAAAAGAUCAUCUUGAAAUUUUGAAAUGCAUAAAACAACGCUUAAAGUCUCUUUUUUAAUGAUGUUAUGAAUGAGUUGGGUAGUAUUCCAGGUUCUUGAAGUAUACCUAACUAACAUCUCAAGGUUACCAACACUUUGCUUAAGAAUCCCACCAUAACCUAUGUCUGAGGUAUCGAUCCCAACAAACUCAAAGGUUUCUGGAUUGAUAGAGCCUAAACAUGGUAGGGUCUUGACUUUGGACUUAACAUCAAUAAUGAAAACAAUGGUGAAAACAGAAAACUGGUUAAAGUUUUCAUCCAUUAUAUUCUGGAAUUCUGAGGUGCAUUCUUAAGAUCAAAGGGCAUUAUGAACCAUUCAUAAUGUCCAAGAGAUACCACAAAGGUGGUCUUAUUUGGAAUAGGACACCUAAUCCAACUUAAUGUAUCAUUAAGAGGCAUGUAGUUGACGACUAGUCUAGGUGUUCCUUUUUCUGAUUCAACUUGUUCCUGAACAUAGAAGGUUGAACAACUCCAAAGGGACUUAGACUUCCUUAUCAACUUUUUAUCAAGAAGAUCCCAAAUCUCCUUAUCACAAUAGCUUAACAAACCCUUGUUCAUCUGGAUAGGUCUUGAUUUAGUGGGAAUAUUCUUGUCACUAAAGUCUAGUUCAUAAGGUAAUUCUACCUCAUGUUGUUUCCUAUGCCAAAAUGCAUUAGGAAUGUUAGAGCAAACUUCUUCAACAAUCAGAUUAAUUUCUUGCUCAUGACUUUCCUUAGCUUGAAUCACCUGAUCCCUUAAGGUGUUUAUAUUUUUCUUAUUAGGUGGUUGGCAAAUUCAAAAAUAAUUUCCUUAUCUAAGAGCUUUGUUCUUAUACUUUGGUCAUCUACCCACAUGGGAUAGAUGGAGCUUAAAAAGGGGAUUCCAAGGAGAGCUUUCUCCUUAAGAUCCUUAACUAGAAUGAAGGUUUGCUUGAUGCAAAUGCCUUGGUUAUUUAUGUGAGCAUCUGACAGCUUAUACUCAAUGUCAAGCCUUUUACCAUUAGCUCCAAAGAGAGAUUCUUUGGUUUUCUUACAAAACUUAAUAGGACCUAGACCUUCUUGUAGGCAAUUCAAAGCUGUUCCUGAAUCAAUCAAAGCAACAAUAUCAAUGACAAAUUUACUCUUAAUUACUAUAGUAAGGGAGACUUUCCACCUCUGGAAAAUAACCCUACUAACAGUAUUUAAGUAUCCAUCCGUCUUUUCAUCAUUAGCAUGUGAAGAUUCUAGAACCUCUUCAAGGUUUUCCUAGUUAUCAACAAGAUUUUCUAUAACAAUCCUAUUUAUUUGUUCUUGGAGAUCUGAAAAACCUAAGCUUGUGUAUUGUCUUAAAUCUUUAAUUUCCUUCUUAUACUGUCUUACUUCUUCUUGAAGAUCCUUAAUGGUUACGUCUUUGGUAGACUACUGGUUAAAUCUUCCUAAGAUUUCAUUUAAGUUAUAAGAAUUUACUGUCUUCUUAAUCUCUUGCUUAUCGACAAAUUUCUUAAAAACUUCAUAAAGAUCUUGUUUAGUUUUUUCAUCUUCAACUUUCCUUAAAACAUCUAGGACAAGUUCUUGAUCUUGGCUUAUGACAUUUAUAGUCUUAGGUUGGCAAUCACAAUUAUCCUUAAUGUAUUCUUCUUGGUCACUAGAAGUUUGGCUUGAGAUUUCCUCACCACUACUAUCUAGUUGGUUAAUACCAUUUUCAUUAUCUGAAUCAAUCCUUGAUUCAGACUCUGUGGAAUUUAACAUUACUUUACAAAGCAUAUCUUUUAAGUCUUCUGUGACAUUUAAGUUAUUAAUUUUCUGCUUAACCCUACAAUCUUUCUUAUAGUGGCCUAUCUUACCACACUUAAAACAAACUGGCUUAGAUUGUGAAGGAGCUUCUAGCUUUUUAUGGGCUUCUUUGUUCAUCAUUCUUUGGAUGUGCCUUUGUUUCUUAGUUUCAUUCAUCCUAUAGUUGCCAUGAGUUCCUCUCUUGUUGUGAUAGGACUUUUCCUUACUAGGCUUUGUACUUACUUGUUUCUUACGUUGCUUAGAGGGGGGCUUAGUUUCUUUUUGGUUGAAUCCAAACUAGCUACAAAAUGAACCAAACUCAUUCUUGUAGAUCCUUUGUUCAUUUUUCAUCUGUUGCUUAAGCUUAAAGUCAUUGCACAGUUUAAUUGCUUCUGAUGUGACAAUGCUUAUAAUUUCUCCAUAAGAAAGCUUAUCAUAAGGGAUUUGUCCAUUAAACUGUUCCCUUAUCUUAAUCCUAAUCCUCUCAGAGAAAAGUCUAGGUAGUCCUAAGAUGAAUUUUUCUUUCCAAAAAGACUGGUUAUAGUUUGAUCUUAGUAUGACUUUGGUUAGGAAAACUUCUCUAUACCAUCUAAAGUCAUGAAGCUUGGGACACUUAAGGUUGGUUAAGAGAUCUACAAUCUUAUCCUUAAUCUUUGCAGGAUCUCCAAUGAAGUGCUUUGAAAUUGAAUAGAUUAGAGUAGCCACUACAUCCUCUAUAUCUUGUCCAUCUUCAUCCUUAACCACUUCAUUUUCCUCAUUAAUCCUAUAGGCUUUUAGGAUACCAUUUCUAUCCUCAAAGGUGAGAUAAUUAUCCCACCAACCCUAAAGUUGACCUGUAAACCCAACAACAAUUGUUUGAGCUACAGCAUGGCCUGACAAUCUAUUGUUUAACUUAUAGGUUGUACUAACCAUGGUCAUUUCUUGAAGCUUAGUGAGUAUGUUGUACUCAAUCAUACCAUCUAUGUUCCAUUCAUAGAUAGUGUCACUAGUGUAGGAAGCUUGAGUAUGCUGGUUUCUUUCCUCAUACUACAUAUCAGGAAAAGUUGGUCUAGGGUAGUAAUUCCUAGUUCUUGGUUGUUGAUAAUCCUCAUAACUGUUUGGUUAGGAGGUUCCUUAAAAAUCUUAAUUAGUUCAUCAGCCUCUGCUUCAGAACUAAUUUCUCCUUUAACCAUAUUGAUUCUCUUGUGAGAUGGUUGAGGUGUCUCAGAGACAACAAGGCUAUCCUUAACCUUUUGGCUUAUCCUAUCAAUGAGGGCUUGAUCAAUAUGGAGAUUCUCUAGGAAUUUCUUAGAGAAUUCAAAAGGCUUAAAUAAAGACUUAUUAUCUUUCUUAACAAACGUAGUCUUAAUGUAGUCUUGUGUUUCAAUGAUAUCCUCAAACUUGUUGAGUUGAUCGCCUGUAGUCUUAAGAAACAUGUUAGUGUAGUUGUUUUGUUCCAUGAUUCUUCUAACGUCAACAACACUAUCAAUUCCUUUAUUCUUUGGCCUAGUCUUAAAAGGUGAAGCUUUGACUAUGGUUCAAUUAAUGUUCUUUUAUAUCUUAGCUUCUAGAGGGUGGAUGGAUUCUAUGAUAGUAUCGUCACUAGUUUUCCAUAUCUUAGUUUUUUUGGAUGUGUCAUUGACACGCUUACUAGGGUAAUCUAGAUAUUCCUCUUGUUUGAAGAGUUCAAACCAGAUCCAAUACUUAAUGUUCUUCUUUUCUUGUCUUAAGUAUGUGUAGAAUUCUUCUUGGUAGAGGGUUCUAAUGUCUUUAAGGACCUUGCUAAAGAACCAAACUCUCCUUUUCUUAUUGACUUCAGAAUAGAAGUCUUUCCUUAAGAGGUCCUUGUUGAUUCAAAGUCUUCGUUAAUUAGGCUUACAGUGUUAAUCAACUGAGAAUAAGUAGGAGACAUAUCAGGAGAUUCGUCCUGAUGUGAUUCUUGAGUAAACUCAUUUUCCUCCAUGUAAAAGGGUUUGGCCACGUUGGUGUGACUUCUAACACCUGUUAGCUUAAUAUUCUUAGGAUUUGCUGAACUAGAUCCUUCCUCUAUCCUAGUGGUUCUUAUUGGGAUAGAUGAACUUGAAGCUCUAGAGGGCUCAUAAUAUGAAAUUCUAAGGCUGCUAGAAUGAUGAAAAGAGUUGGAGAAAAUUAGAUCUCGUUCUCCAUCAGGAUAUUGAACAAUCUGUUCAAUUCUUUCAGAUCUUUGCUCUAUGGCUGGGACAACAUUAGCAAAAUGCCAAUUUUCUGGAAACUCAACCUCAUUCCACUUGAUUUUCAUGGGGACUAUGAAAUUAGACUUGUUUAUCAUAUCUAAGUGGAAGAUAGUGGUUUCACCCUUGGGACUGGUGCACAAUGCUCCAAAUCCAACGCUUAUGGUCAUGCUCUUAUAGGCAAAUCUGGUGAUGAUGGAAACAUGAUUGUUUCCUUGCUUGAACUUAAAGUCAUGGGUCUUAACAUGAAGGACAACUGAAUCUAAGAUGUUGACAUCUCUUAGUCUAACUGUGAAGUUAGGGAAACACUGGAAAUAAACAGGACCAUCAUUUAAUCCUGCUUGGGUAGCUCCAAUAAUAGAAUCUCGGUAAUCAAGAUGUCUAUUAUCUCUUAAACACAUGACAAUAAAGGUGUUUAGACCUAGUCUUGUCAAGGGCUUAGCUGCAACUUGAAUCAUGCCAAAGUGUAUGAAGUUGUAGUCUCGCUUAUGCUUAUCAAUGGACUUACUAUCCAAGAGUCUUAUGACUUGAUCGUCGUGUUCUAAACUUACUGACAUUUCAGGGGUUUUAAUGGUGUAAUCUGUAAAGAACUUAAAGGUUCCUUUCUUAUAAAUUUCUUGAUUAGGUACCUUGGGUAACUUCCAAUCAUCUAAAUCAUCUUGGAUCUUAGGAUAAUUGAUCUCUUCAUUGUUUACUCUUGAGAAUUUGUGGAUUUCCUAGACAUGGUUCUGAAAAUCAAACUCAUUUUAAGGUUUUAAUCUAGAGCCUAAUAGCAGAUUAACAGACCUAGUGAGUAAUCACCCCAACCCUUUUCCAACCUUAACAAACGCCUAUCUCCAGCUAACAAUGGGCUCAACUCGGCAAGGAUCGCACUCAGGCACACUACUAUCUUUCCUAGGAUAGAUCAAAACACCCAAAACAAACCCGACUUCCUUUUCCUAGGAUAUAUAUAGUAUUUUGGGUUUGAGUAGGAGUUCAUGUUUUGUAUGUAAUUGUAGUCUACGUUGGACUAGGUUGUUUGCUCCUAAUUGAAAUAGGAAUGGUUGGUGUCACAUCUCAUUCAUUUUCUCAUCUAUUUCCAUGUUUAGAUAACUCAAGUAAUCAUAGGAAUGAAAUUAAGAAUGAUUUGAGGGAAAUGAAAUCUCACUUGUAAGUGGGAUCUCAAUUCAUCAUUAAUAGAAGGUAUUUUGAUUACAUAGUGCAAGUUAUUUUUAAAAACACUUUUCAAAAAUUGAAAAACCAAAAACUCUCUUGGAUAAGUUGUUUUUAAAAAGAAUUUUUGUAUUUUUAUUUUGUAAAAAAAAAAAAUAGUAAUUCAAUUUAUAUAAUAUAAAUAGACUUUAAUUUUAUUAAAAAUAAAAAUAAUUUUUUAAUUACAAAUAAAUUAAAAAAUAAAUAUUUGUAAUAAAAUAUGAAUAGUAAUAUUAUAAUAAAAUCAUAAAUAAAUUAAAAAUAUUUUUAAAAACAAAUAAGUUUAAUUUUUUUGAGGUACAAAUGAGCCAAAUUUUUCAUUAGGUACACAACCAACAAUUUUUAUUGGAAACAUUCCUCAAAAAAGAAUUCGUUUCCCAUAUAGCAAAGAUAUUUAUUAUUUAGUAUCUAACCAUCCGUAGUAAUCAUAUCAAUUCUACUAAGUUAUUUAAUAAUUCAUUUAUAUAUAGUACUCAAUUAUGAAUUUUUUUAUUUGAUGUAUAAUUAAUUAAUCAAUGUUUUGAAUUUUGAAUUAUUCUUAAAAUUUAAAACAUUAAUUAUGUCUAUUACUUUUUAUAGUCAUUAUAUAUAUAUAUAUAUAUAUAUAUAGAGAGAGAGAGAGAGAGAGAGAGAGAGAGCUUAAAUUUAUCUUUAAAAAUUAUUAAAUUUAUUAAUAAAUUCAAUACAAAGACUCAUUUGAUUUGAAAUUCAUUUCUUUAGUGAAAAUUUUGAAACUAAAUAGUACUUUGUUUUACUUUGUUUUUAAAUCAUACUCACAAAUAAGUUUUUAUCAUUUAGCCAAAAAAUCUCAAAGAUGUUUCUAAUUUUAUUUAUUUAUUUAUUUGUAAAUGAAAAUAAAAAAUUAGUUUAAACUAAAUAUGCGGAUAUUAUUGUUAAUUUAUUUCAUUUUUUAUUUCCAUUGUUAUUUAACAUUGAAACGGAAACAAAUAAUCAUUCCAAUCUUACAUUCUUAUAUGCAUCUAAACACAAGAAUUGAAAUCACCAAAUUCAUAUUCAAGGCAAAAUAGAAAUGGAAAAAAAAUAUUCAUUUUCAUUCCUCAUUCUCAUGUGCUAAACAUGACAUUAGUUCUACUACCUAUUUCACCAUUCUUCUUGAUAAAUUUGGUAUAUGCAAUAUUGAUCUAAGUGUGAGGUGAAUAAGAAUGAUGAUGGGAUGGGCUUGGAAAUAAGGGCAAAGUUUCUAGGUGCUAUCUAGAGGGGCAACGCGACUUUUUCAAAUUUCGAAUAUUUGUUCUCAACAUAAAGCAAAACUUUACUCACACAAUAGAUAAGACUCUGUUUGUUUUCUUCAUCCACGACUAUAUAAUGUAUAGCUCUUACUCAAGGGAUGAGCUACUUACUAUUAAGGAUUGGGUAAGAUAUUGCCUAAUGGCCAAGAAGGCAUGUCAAAAAAUAAAUCUAAUCACCAUAAAAAAUAAUAGGGGAAAAUUAAUAUAUUAUGAAUGAUGACUUUACUAUUUCUCUAUAUACAUAAUUAUAUAUUUUGAAUUUUCUCACUAGGUAAUGAGAUUCUAAAUCAACUGAAACAUAAUUAAUAAUUUAUAUUUUUAAUGAAUCUUUUAAUUUUUAAAAAUAAUUUAAAAUUUUAAAAAACAAUUCAAUUAAUUACAUAUUAAAUCAAAACAUUUCAAAAUAUUGUGUUUGUAGAUGAGUACUAAAUGCUUGCAUAUAAUAAUAAUAAUAAAAAAAUUGACUCAUUUAGAUGUUAAAAAAGUUAAAUGUUUUUCAUUAUUCAUUUUAAGUAAAAUAUUAUUGACAUUAUUAUUAUAAAAUUAUUAUUAUUCAUUUUUAACAAAAAACAAAAUAAGUUAUUCUUUUACCAAGAUGUCAAUAUCUAUAUUUUUCUAACAUAUAUUAAAAUAGUAUACUUUUCUUUUAUUAAAAAUAAUAAUUAUUAUUAUAUUAUUAUUCAAGUUUUAUUAAAAAAAUUUAUCUUUUAAUUCAUUUGUAAUUACAAAAUAAUUUUAUUUUAUUAAGAAUUUAAUUUAAUUACGCUUUUUUUUUUUAUAAAAAAAACAGUUAUGCUUUUACCAAGAUGUUAAUAUUCAUAUUUUUCUAGCUAACAUAAAUAGAAUAGUACACUUUUUCAUAUAAAAAAAUAAUUUAUGAUUUUAUUAUAAUGUUACUAUUCACAUUUUACUAAAAAUAUUUAUUUAUUUUAUUUAUUUUUAAUUAUAAAAUAAUUUUAUUUUCAAGAAUUUAAUUUUAAAAAAAUAGAAAUCAUUUAUUCUUUUACCAAGAUGUUAAUAAACAUAUUUUUCUAACAUAUACUAAAAUAAAAAAGUUUACUUGUUCAUUAAAAAAUAUAAUUUAUGUUUUUAUUAUAAUACUACUAUCUAUGUUCUACUAAAAAUAUUUAUUUAUAAUUAAAAAAUAAUUUCAUUUUUAAUAAGACUUGAACUAAAUUAAAUUUAUAAUUUUUUUUUAAAAUAAAAUAGAAAAUUAUUUUUUAAAAACAACUUAUUGAAAGAAAUUUUUUAUUCUUUACUUUUAAGAACUGUUUUUAAAAGCAACCUAUAAACCCCUUUGGGUCUGUUUGGCUAUGUUUCAUGCAACUUGUUUUUAAAAAUUGUUUUUUAUUCUUUAAUUUAAUUUUUUUUAAGUUAAAGAAUAAAAAACAACUUUCUAGUGUUUUAUAAAAAUGAGAGCUUUUGACAAGUUGUUUUUAAAAACCAUUUUUAAAAAUAAAAAAUAAAAAACUUAUUUAGAUAAAUUGUUAUAUAUAUAUAUAUAUAUAUAUUUGUAAAAACAUUUUAAAUUCAAUUUAUAUAAUAUAAAUUUAAUUUAAUUUAAGUCUUAUUAAAAAAAAAUUGUUUGGAUAAGUUUUUUUUUUUAAAUAGUUUAUUAUUUUUGUUUUGUAAAAACAUUGCAAAUUCAAUUUAUAUAAUAUAAAUUAAUUUAAUUCAAGUCUUAUUAAAACCAAAAUAAUUUUAUAAUUACAAAUAAAUUUAAAAAUAAUUUUUUUAGUAAAACAUGAAUAAUAAAAUUAUAAAUUAUAUUAUUGUGGACCCUGCAUUUAUGCUCAUGCGCUUCCACUUGUUGGCGAACUCAUUUUUUAUUUGAAAAUGAUUUAUUUUUUUAGAAAAUGACUUAGAGUCGCCACUUAUUUUUGUUUUAUUUUUAAAGGGCAAGCAAAAUAAGAAAGAAAACCCUAAGUGUGACUCCUUAUUCGAAAAAGGUAGUCUGUGUAAAACCGGAUCAGGGUUCAGGGAUCAGGUUACUUAUUGGGAAGGUAUGACAAUGACCGUAGCACUCCUCUAAGUCCUUAAAAACGGGCCUCUACUAAAAAAAAUAAAGUAAUCAUGGCAAUCAGUAAGGAAAUCACUGGAUACCCAGAACAAUUAUGCACAUGUGAGAAUUAAAACAUGCAUAAGAAUGGACAAAGUGAGAGUGGGUGCGUACCUUGACAACGAACCACAAUGCGUUAUCAAGAAAUGGGGUUAGUGCACGAUCAAUGAACAUAAAACACGUCACACAUGUCACUAAGCAGAGUGAGAAAUCAUCAGAUAUUACAAUUCAAUCAAAUUUAUUUUUAGAAGAAACAUCUGUUGAUGUAGAGCCCCUACCAAAGCCUAAUUUAUUUUUGCAUGAAUCAAUUUCAUAAAUUCAAUCGCUUGGAAUUACAGAAUUAAAUUCAUGCUUAUUUUAAAACAUCUUUUUAAAAUCAUGGAAGAUGUGAAAAUGGUUUUCCAAAGAGAAAAUGACAACUGAUUUUAUUGAAAAUGGGAUUUUGGGGACCUAAACGUUAAAGAGGGAUUAGGAAUUGAAAAUUAAAUCAUUUGAAAAUUGAAUUUUUCAAAAAUCAGUUUUGAAAGCAUGCAUGCAAGUAUGGACUGUGAAAGUGGGCCUAGGGAGGGUGGCCAUGCAAAAUGAGGUCAUACACGUGGGCCUUGGGUACAAUUGGGACUACUUUGCUGGUGCCAGUGGUGCUUGCAGCUGUCAUCCAUGAUUUCUUCAUUGGGAUCAAUUUCCAUUCUUACUGCCAAACAUUCCAUAACAAUUGACCAAACUAGUAACCCUGACCUUGCAUGAAAAUGAACGUUACCUAGAAACUCACUGCCAGUGAGAUUCAUUGCUCUUUCAAAAGGUCUCAUUUUCUUUCUCAUCCAAUUGCUUUAAGGAGCAUUCUAGCGUCACGAUUGGUGACUGCGCAUCAUCUAGAGCCUUCUUUCUUCUCAGAAUCAGGUUUGCGUGCAGAGGCCUGUGCUUGUUCAAGGUUGACCUAAAUUCAUCUAGGUUUAGAACCGACCAGUUGAGCUUGGGGAGCAACGACAAGAAUAUCAGUCACUUGCGAAGAGAAAACUCGAGAUCUUUCAAGUAAUGCCUGACAUAGAUUCCUCCAACCUGUGGCCAAUAUCUCAUUCCUUGUUGGCCAGACGCCUAUUAGGGCGUAUCUCAAUCAAUAAUAUGAUUUUUCGUUUGUUCACAAUAAAGACCGGAAGCCAUGGUUGUGAUUUAUGCAGUACAGAAGAAGUUGCCAUGGCUGGUAUCCUUACAAAUUCUGGUGUUUCUGCUAUCUGUUCAAGUGCAAAACACAACAGCUUUAUCAAGUUUGUCCCUAACAACUGAUAUUGAGCCCUCUGGAGGAAACCUUGAUAAAUUCAUAAUCACUUUUGACUCAUGCAUGGGCUGCCCAUCAAAUUUUCCUAGCAACGAGACGACUGCUGUCAUCUACUGCAAAGAGAAUUUCUUCUCGCAAAGACAAGAGGAGUUUAAGAAUACACACUAUUCUGCCAUUUCAUUUCCUCUUUCUCCACAACCAACAUAAACCAUAGUGUCUACAUUAGAGUACUUAGAAAGAGCUUAACUGAUGACCGUUUUUCCACAACCAAAUGCCCCAGGUAUGGCACAAAUUUCACCGAAAACAGAAGGGAAAAGGGCAUCAAGAACACGCUGUCCUGUAAGUAGUGGGGUAUCAGGACUACUCUAGGGAAGUUAUUUCUGUCAUUUUGAAAAAGAAAAAUUAAAGAAUGUACACAUGCUUUCAAGUGGACUGGAGCAUUCUACAUAUCAGGUGGUCUGUAGCCACAUGUGCCACUUUGUGGAAGUUGGAACAGUCGAUCACUAGGCUAUUUAGUGUGGCCAAGCCACGUUAAUCAAGGACAAGUCUUCAUACUUAAAAGUCAAAUGGUGCCUUUAGUCUCAUUACACAUGGCUAUUUAAAGAUGAACUAAUCUUUAGUGUAAUGUGAUUAAGACAGUACUAACUGAUCAAUAUUUUUUCUAAUUUUGGAUGCAAAUGCUUGCUGGCUUCAUCAUUGGAUGGGAUAAAGGUGCAUUCAUGACUCUGAAUACUUGCAGUAAUACUUGCAGUAAUACUUCAUUCUCUUUUUUCUCGAUGAGACUUCUUGGCACAAUUUUGCUUCUCAGCAACCUACCUCUCCAUGGAAAAUGAGUUGCGAUUGAUGGUACUGGAUAUUUUCUAGGAAGCUAAAUAUAGAUAUAUAGCACUCAAUGUCAACGAUAUAUAUAGCAUUAACAGUAUAUGUCUCAAUGCUCAUCAGCUACAAGCAAGGGACAAACACUUACAAUGAAUAACUCACGUCAACAUUCCUAAACAGGACAUAGAAGUGACAGAUCUAUAUAUAGAACACUGCAUAUGAGUCACAAGAAAAGAUAAUACGGGUGCAUAGCAGCUCUUAUAUUACAUAUUACUCAUACCGUUCAAAUUCACUCAGUUGGGAUGGGUGGGAGAAGGAGGCCUCUGGGGUGGCUUGUGCGUGUGAGAAGUGGAAGAAAGUUGAAUGGAAUGAAACUGAAAAACAGGGUAGAAUAGAGGUUUCUUGAAUCUUCUGAAAUCUUUAUUUUUCUGAGAUUUAUUCUCUGUUUUUGUGAGUCGUGACUCUACAUAUAUACAUGUAUUUAAAGUUAGUUAUGCCUUAUAACUAAUUAUCUAACAGUACCAAAACUAAUCAUCUAGUUGCAUGUUUCUAAUUAAUGCUAUUUAGUUACAACUAUAUAUGGCUUAACAUCCUCUCUCAAACUCAAAAGUCUAGCUAGAACAGUGAGUUUGCUUCAUAGAUUGAGAAAUUGUUGAAUAGGUAAGGCUUUGGUAAGAGCAUUAGCAAUCUGGUCAUAAGAAGGAAUGUGUUGAACCACCAAAGUCUUAUUGAGCACCUUUUCCUGAACAAAAUGGCAAUCUAGUUCCACAUGCUUAACUCGAGAAUGAAAAUAGGAUUGGCAGCAAGAAAGGUGGCUGAAAGAUUGUCAUAGAACAAAACAAAAUAGGAGAAUAAGAAGAUGAGAUAGAAAACUCCUGAAGAAGAUGUUGAAUCCAUUGAAGUUCAAAAGCAACAUUUGCUAAGGCCCUAUACUCAGCUUCAUUGCUGGAACGAGACACAACUUUCUGCUUACUGGAGUUCCAGGAGACUAGAUUAGAGCUAAAAAAGAUGCAAUGACCACUUGUACUUCGACGAUCAUCAGGGCAACCAACCCAAUCAACAUCAGCAUAAGCAGUAAGUUGAAAAUCAGGAGAAGAAUAAAAGGAAAGACCAAAGGAAGUAGUGCCCUUAAGAUAAUGCAACAAUCGUUUAACAACUUGCCAAUGAAGAUCAGUUGGUUAUUGCAUGAAUUGGCAAAGUUUAUUGAUAGAGAAAGAGAUGUCAGGCCUUGUAAUGGUACAAUAUUGCAGGGCUUCAACAAUGUUGCGAUAUUGAGAAGGGUCAGCCAAGAGGGAACCUUUAGAGGCAGAUAAAGUGUGAGAGGUAGUCAUUGGUGUAUCAAUAGGUUUAAAAUAUGGAAGACCAGCACGAGUUAACAAGUCCUGAAUAUAUUUGGUUUGGGAAAGAUGAAGAGAAGAUCCUUGCCAACAUACUUCUACACCCAAGAAGUAAUUCAGAAUACCAAGGUCCUUGAGAGCAAACUGAAAGUGUAAAGACGAAACCAUUUGGUGGACUAGCACGGUAUUAAGACCACUAACAAUAAUGUCAUCAACAUAGAUGAGAAUAAUGAUCAUGUCAGUCCCUUUCCGAAGAGGAGCUUGCUUCAGACCCUACAAGGCUUUGCGAAGUUUACAGAAAAAACCGGGUUUAGAAUGAUCAACAAAGCCUGGAGGUUGAACCAUGUAAACCUCUUCUUCUAACUCACCAUUGAGAAAGGCAUUAUUAACAUCUAAUUGUUCCACUAACCAACCAUGAGAAAUAGCAAGAGAAAGAACAAUUCAUAUAGUAGUUGGUUUAACAACAAGGCAAAAGGUUUCAAAAUAAUCAAUACCAUAUGUUUGAUUAAAACCCUUUGCAACUAAGUAGGCUUUAAAACGAUCAAUUGAGCCAUUAGCUUUGAGUUUCAGCUUGUAUAUCCAUUUACAACUAAUAAUGCGUGUAUUAACAGGUUUAGGAACCAAUGUCCAUGUGGAAUUGGUGAGAAGAGCAUCAUACUCAGUCUUCAUAGCAGCUUGCCAAUUAGGAUGCAAUAUUGCUUCUUUGAAAGAGGAGGGUUCGACAACAGUAGUUUGGAUAGCAAGGCUAAAUAUUUUUUUGGGUUUAAAAAUACCAUUUUGGCUACGAGUAACAAUAGUUCGGUUUGGAAGUGAAAGAGGAUCAGUGGAGGAGGCUGGAACAAGGGAUUGUGGUAAAGUAGGAAAGGAAGGUGGAUGAGAUGGAACAAAAUCAGUAGGGACAAUAAUGGGAGAAGAAAAAUUAGGUGGAGAAUGAUGAGGAUUCCUUGAAGAUGGUGUAGGAAUAGAGAGAAUACCAGAAUCAAGAAGUGUUAAAGAAGAGUUGGAUGAUGAUACUGGUUGACAGGAUAAAGACUUUGUUAAAAAUGGAAAUCGAGUUUCAUCAAAUACAACAUGACGAGAAGCAUAUAUCCGAGAGGAAGCCAUAUCCAAACAGAGGAAUCCCUUGUGUUUAGCACUAUAACCCAAAAAACAGCAAACAACAAAUAUAUUUGCUAGCUUGUGAGAAGCAUAAGGGCGAAGAUAAGGAAAACACAAGCAUCCAAAACUUCAAAGAGAUGUAUAAUAAGGUAAACGAUUAUAAAGAACUCCAUAAGGAGAAUUUUGUGAAAGAACAGCAGAGGGAAGGCAAUUUAUGAGAAAAAUGGCAGUUUGAAAUGCAAAUGACCAAUAUUUGAGAGGGUAUACCAGCUUGUAUUAACAAAGAAAGACCAACUUCCACAACAUGACGAUUCUUUCUUUCAACUCUUCAAUUUUGCUAAGGAGUAUAAUGACAAGAGACUUGAUGAAGAAGACCAUUUGUAGCCAAAUAAUUCUGAAAAGCUGAAACUGAAACUCAUCAAAUUGAUUUUUAGUAUCAAAUUUUCUUCAGACUGAACACAUUGAUUUUUAGUAUCAAAUUUUCUUUCAACCAUGGCUUGAAAAUGUUGGAACAUAAGUAAAGCUUCAUCUUUAGUUUCCAAAAGGUACAACCAUGAGAAUAUGCUAAAAUCAUCAAUUAGCAAGAGGAAAUAUUGAGCAUUACCAUUGACAGAAACUAUAGGAGUUGCACCCCAAAGAUCAACAUGGAUGAGACCGAAUGGUUUUAUUGCUCUAGAAGUGGAUAUUUCAAAUGGAAAACGAUGGCUUUUAGCCAACUGACAAGACUCACAUACAGAGUUAUUAUUGUCAUGUUUCAAAGGUAUUUUAUAAAGAGAUAAGAUUUUGGAAACUACAUUAAUAGAGGGAUGACCAAGUCUAUUAUGCCAAAGCCUCAAAGAACCAACGGCUAAAGUACUACUAGUAGAGUAAAAUACUAGUGGAUGACCAACAACUCUUGGUGUAGCAAGAAGUUUAUAGAGACCCUUCUCAAUUUUUCCUUGAAGAAGAGCAAGUCUCGUUUCCUGAUCCUUUACCACAAAAUGAGAAGAACGAAAUUCAAUAAAGGUGCCAUUGUUUGAGUAAAAUCGUUGCACGCUAACUAAGUUGGUGGUAAUAGAAGGAACAUGUAAGACAUCAUUGAAAAACAAAGAACCACUUGAAGAGGCAAGAGAAAAUUUACCAAUAUUUGCAAUGGAUAAACCCUUACCAUCUCCAACAAUUACUUUGUCACCACUGGUAAAUGGAUUAUGGAUUGUUAAAUUGUUAAGAUCAGAUGUGAGAUGAUGGGUAGCCUUUGUAUCAAGAAACCAAUAAGUGUCUCCCAUUGUUGCAGAAGUUGUAGUCAUAGCCUCAGGAUUGUUAGAGGUGGAAUGUUUAGAAUCUUUUGGCUGAUAAUCAGAGUUAAACCGAUACCAGCAUUGUAAAGCGGUGUGUCCGAACUUACAACCGAGAGAAAUAAUCUUUACUUAUUCUCUAAAAACUGUUCUUUAUUCCACACAUUAUUUCUAAAAACUGUUUCUAGAUAACAAUGACAAAAUAGUAUUAGGAAUUUUUAAAAAUAAAAAUUGUUUUUAAAUUACAUGAUCUAUAUCAUUCACAUUUGACCAUUAUAGCUUUGUUCAGGAAAACACUUGAAAGUAACCUUAUCGUGAUAAGAGAUAUAAGUUGGCUGUAGUUUCAAACUGAAAACAGAGGAUGGCAAUAGAAAGCAAAGCAUUAGUUAUCUGCAAUCAGUGGUGAUCAUGCCCCAUGUCAAUUUCGGACCCAUAUCUUAAAACCGUAUAAUUUGCAUUUCAACAUUUCUGAUUUCUCAGAUGUUUCAUACUCCACAGAAGAACAUUGUUUGUGAAAGCAUGCAUUUAUGCUGGAUUUUGGAUGAUGUGGGAACUGGGGCAAGGAUCAUAUGGAAGAGUGGUCGAUUUUUUCUGUACUUUAACAUUUGAAAUAGGAGCAGCACGGGCAUUUGUGGGGCUUAAUUGAUUUUGAAGCCUGAAAUUGCGUUUCUGUCAUUUUGUAAAAAAUAUGGCAGAUUCCAUGCUCUCAUAUGUUUGGUCUGUGGCCAUGUAUAGAUGCCACUUAGUGACCAGUUUGUAACUGUCAAUCAUAGUGUUUUGACUCUGGCUCAACAACAUCAGCCAUUGACGGAUUUUCAUACAUGCAAAUCAAAUAGUCUUCUUCCUCCCUUAGGAAUUUCGGUUUAAAUGUUAUUAAGCAUACAUUUGGCUGACAAUUAUUAACCACUUCAUGAUAUGGUUUCUUACCCUUAAUCAAUGGUUUCUAAGUGAAUAUAUGCAGAAGGAAAUCUGAACUGUAGACAGCAGUAUUGAUAAUUAUCAAUAUUCUUUAUAUAAGAGAAUAAACAACGUCAUAGUGAUCGUCGCCUACAAGAAAGGUACAUUUCCCAACAAGAUGUAGUUGUGACUGGUACAUGGACGUAAUUAACUCGUAGAAAAGGAUAAGACCAGUGCACGGCAGCUCUUAUUUUACAUGCUAAUUAUGCUAACCAAAGUCACUCAGUUGGGAUGGGAGGGAGAUGGAGGUUUGUGCGGUGGCUUGUGGGGCGGAGUUGGUGGCUUCUUUUCAGGAGCUUGUGGCUUUUUCGGAGCUGAAGGAGGCUCAAUCUUAUGAGGCGGCUUGUACGAGUCUUCUUUACUCUCGACAGGAGGGUGGCCAGGGUUGUGACCAUAAUGUGGUGGCUUCUCUCCCUUAGGUGGCUUGCCAACUGGGGUUGGUGGCUUGUGUUCAGGAAGUGGUUUCUCUCCCUUGGGAGGUUUACCAAUUGGGGUUGGUGGCUUGUGUUCUGGGAGUGGUUUCUCUCCCUUGGGAGGUUUAGUGGGUGACUUGUGUUCUGGAGGUGGCUUCUCCACCGGAGGCUUGUGCUCCGGUGGUGGCUUCUUGGUUGGAGGGGGCUUGGGGUAAUCAGCAAGAGAUGGGGGGGUGAGAACCACCACUCCAAGGAACAACACUAGCAAGUAUGUGGGAGACAUUUCUGAGUUUGAGCUGAUCAGAUGAUGCAAAACUAGAAGAAUUACGUGACCUUUUAUAGCAAGUAGCUCCCAAUACCCACAUGACACGUGUUACUGUGACCAUAAAUAUUAUAGGGUCCAUUUGUGCCCUACCGGGUUGAAAACUUGGACGCUUGGCCGAGGACACACCGAACUAUGGAGGACUAUUGACGUGUGAUCACAGCUUUUGGAUUUUUCUUCCUGUGCAGCUGUCUAGCGGUUGGCAUUAUUUUUUUAAUCUUAAAUAAAGGCAUAGUUAUAGAGUACAUUUAUAUAUCUUCAGAUAGCCAUUAAUAUAUUUGAUGAAGAAAGACAAGUGCAUACAACAUGUAUACGGCUUGCUUCAAUCGAGUACAUUUAUGAUCAGUUUUCCAGUGCAAGUAAACCAGUUUUUUGUUCCACAACUAUUUUGGAAUCUUGUUUAUCAGUUUCUAUCAUUAUAAUGUCACAUAGGCUGCAAACUUGGGCACCCAAAGAUCUAGUUGGGCAAAUUUGUUUCAGAAUUUCAAUGGUGGAUUCAGUAAUUGUUAAAAGGUGUUUCUUCAUUAAGGAAAGAGUCCUGUAAAAAUAUUGUUAAAAGGUGUCAUAGAAACUAUAAUAAUUAAAUAACUUCUUUUCCCCGUGGGUGGUGUUUCUUCUGGGGAUACCCAAAAUGAGUUCAGAUUAAAAUUGGUUCGAGUCAAAGCUGUCUCUUUUGUCCAGAAAUCAACUAUUUUGCGCAUUGCAUGAAUCGAUAAAGAAAAAAUGAAAGCCAAAUCACACCUCCCCUGCAAAACCUAAACCCCGGUUGCUAACUUUCUAUGUUUCAGUCCUAUUCAUACAGGAAUAUUGGUUCAAGUUUGAGAAAAAUGGCAACUUACCUAGGGAUUACUUGGUUGUGGUUUGCGACGACUAUUUACGCAACCAACCAUGAGUUUGACUUUAACGUCAUGGGUUGAAGCCUCCUACAAUCGUGUAUGAUAGUUCAAAGCUCGUAGUAGAAAUUAUACAGGAAGGAAGAAACCUCCAAAGCUAGCUCCAAAAGAGAAUUAUCACAUCGAUAGCUCCAGAGAUUCCCAAGGGGACUGAAUCAAAGACAAGUUCCUCACUUUUUCUUCUUUUGAGGCCAAAUAUGAACCAAGGAUCACACGACCUCAUUCAACUUCAUAAGUUUGAUUUCAUGCAGUUGAACACUGGGUGAAGGCCAUGACAAGAAUUGAUUAAAAAAUUCUACCACUGUUUUAAGUAAUGGAAGAUUAUUAUCUCUGAUUGGCACCACAACAGCACAUGCUGCUAGAUCUUUCUAGACACUCCAUGCAAUGAAAGUACAAUGGAUCUUGUAACGAUAGAAACUAAGCCAUGCUACAGUACUAGAUGACGAGGUAAAACUAUUAGACAUGGGUGGCAGCCUAUAUGGGAGGGACACAAGUCUAAUUGAUUUGCAUUUCAGCGUUCUAGAUGGGUAUGUUUUGGAAGAUUUGUUCUGGAAAUACCGCACCAAGUAGGAUUCUUUUUUCUCUUGAGUGGGUCCACUUGCAUGCCAAUUAUCGAGUUGAAAAGUAGAGCACCUACCUCGUGCUCGUGGAACCGAAGGUCAGUGAAGUGGGGCUCCUUUUGGCCUCUUGUGUUUCUGUUCCAACCAAGGCGGCGGAGGGAAAAACAGCAAUAUGUCUCCGCUAAAUAUCAACGCAUGAUAGCGAAUGAGGGAGAAAAAAAGUAAUUGGCAUCUCAAUCUCACAAACUUGGUACAGUAGUGACAUUAAUAGUCUUCCACAUGGUUUUUAUUUUAUUUUAUUUUAUAUUUUAUAUUUUCCAUUUUUUUAUUUUUUUGUAUGUCAAGGCUAAUGAAUAAAAUGCGUUAGCUUGUUUUGUGAUUGGAACUGCAAAUGUCCAAAUUGGAGUUUCUCCAUUUCUCAGUUCGGAUGGUUAACUUUAUAAACAAGAUAUAGGAAACAUGUGAACGUCUUGAGGAACAAUUCGAAUUAUUGAUUAGAACUCCUAGGUUGAGUUCCAAGAUUUAAAUCAGACCCCUCUAGCAGCUUCAGGGGUACCUAGCAAUUAGAACAUAUUAAUGAAGAUUUAGGAUUUAGACUCCGGAAUACAAAUUAAUAUGUAUCUUAUGCUCUGACUAGCUUCCCUGCAUAUGCACAAAAUGGAGAUGACCCAAAAAAUAGCAGAAUCGCCUUAGUUUAUGUGGUUAAGGUGAUUCUCCGGUUAAUAUCCACAUUGGCUCAUUAUGCAAAUCAACUGAGCUAUUUUUUUUUUAAUGUCAAAUAGGAACUCCUAAUUAACCUAACCAUUGGCCUGUGUAAAUUGAUUUCACAUGCACAAUGUUGUAGUAGAAGUCCACAUUUUGAAUUUUAUUUUUGGAAAGGUAAGGAAAAUGAAGCAUUGUGUAAUUAUAAAAAUAACUUCAUUGGAAUUCACAAGGUUCACCCAAAAUGGAGCUACAUCCGUAUUCUAUCUUACAGUAGACUAUAUAGAUUGUACAAUAGUAAAUUGCAAAUACAAUUAAUAAGUCUUGUGUUUCCUUACUAAUAAUCCUUUGACAUAAACAUUGCAGCACUAAGGUCCUCUUGGGCAGACACCUUGCACCCAUGAGAGCACUAAGAGGAAGCAAGGCGGAGUCAUGGGUGCAAUGUCAUGACUUGUUGCACUAAGAGAGGCUUGGUGAUGGCAUAGUGCUGCAGUAGCAAGAAUGUUGCCUUGGCAGGGACACGAUCUAGGGACAGAUGCCAAGAAAGGCUUAGCACUCACAUGAGUUGCACAAAGAUGAAUGAAAUAGAACAUCAAAGAGACAUCUUGGCAAGCUCAAGAAAGACAUGUGGGUUGGUAAAUGAAUGGAUGCAAGAGGCAACAACAUGAGGAGUUUCAAAUGGAUAGGGAAUGAGUCAAAGACAUUUGAAAGCUACAAGUUGGAUUCUAAUUACGAUUGCAAUUUGAGUUUGAGUAGGAGUUUAUAUUAUGAUUGUAAUUGUAGUAUGAGUUGGACUAGGAUUGCUUAUCCCUAGUCAAAAUAGGAGUUGUUCAUGCCACACCCUAUGAAAAGAGUUUGAGUAGGGACUAGGAUUGCUUGCUCCUAGUCAAAUAUGGAGUAGGUGGUGCCACACCUAUAAAAAAAAAAGGGACAACAUGAGAGAGAGAGAGAAUGAAUUCACCAAAGAUAUUGUGGGAGUUUUGCUUUGUUACAUCUUGUAUUAUUAUUUAGAAUAGUAAUAAAAUACAAGUUGGGGCUAGAGCCCCAUAAUCUCGUGUGCCUUUGUGGGUUAUUCUUUAUUUGCCAUCUCGUGUGGAUUGGAUUAGAUUGAUGAGGCGAAAUAUUAUGUGGGAAAUUUAUGUUGGGACACUUACCAUAACCAGGUAAAAUCUACCAAGUCUUUUGUAAUAUCUUCUACAAAUAUUUUAGACCAGUUCUUCACAAAACAUCAUAAUAUGUUUUGUGUUUCUCUUGGAUUUUGAGUUGAAUUGUCUUAGAUCAAUUGAAUGCAUCUCAAUAUUAUUAUCUUGUUUGAAGGCUUGAUGAUUUUCCAUUUAACUUUACUUUCUUUAGGUUAUGCUUGAUUCCUUAAAAGUACUAAGGAAAACAAAAAAUAAAAAAAAAUAAAAAAUGCAGAGGGUUAGGACAUGUGUUAUCUAAUUGUCCUAUCCAAAGAUAUUAAGAAAGUCAUGUAGGAAAGUAAUUGAAAACUAGGUCAAGAAAGGAGCAAAAGGGAAUUGUUUUGGUAUUUUCUUUUUUAUUCUUGAAGGUGGCAGAGCUAAAAUUUGAGAAAUCAAGCAAAACAUACUGAAAUUACAUUGAAAGAAAGAAAAUGGUAGUUAAUGUCUUGCAGUACAUGAUAAGGACUUCAUGCAUGUAGUGUGACGACCCAUGUCUUGGACUGAUGCCACACUCACGGUUACACUUAUACCCUUGGUUCUCUCUUUACUACCUUGGCUAACCUAGAUCAGGCUAUGAGAUAGGCUCCUCACCACACCAUCACUUGCCCAGUAAUUAGUGACAUUUUCAAGCAAUGAGGUAACAUGGUGACACCAAGAGGGUUUAUCCCUCGCCCCAACAAGUCUAGACUCGGUCUCAAAAAAAUGGAGAAAAAUGAGGUGUCGUUAUGCAGAAAUACAACAACCAUGCCUUCCUUAUUACUUAGAUUCAGAAUGUGAAGGUGAAAUUGAGAAACAGAAACUCUUGAAACCAGAAUGAAAAUUGAUACUUUUACGAAGAAUUACAACAUUAGAGGAAGACUACAUUCUUCCUCUAUAUUCCUACGUUUCUACACUACUUCUACUCCACUCCAUAUUUCUACAUACAUCUUUAAUCAGUUUUCCCUCCUUUAUAUAGAGCCAUCUUCACACAAAUUCCGCAAGGUAGAAAAGAGGAAUGAAACUUGGAGCAAGGUUCGACUACUGGUUGUCGCUUGUCAAGGCUGGAAUUGAACUUUUUUUCUUGGCUUUUCUGGGCAUAGGUAGUAACUUGUGGUUCCUUUUUGGAAUGAAAAUGGUACAGCUAGAACAUGUGGCACUCUCUUGUUGGAUUAUGUGUCAAACAUGUGGCAGCCAUCUAGUGGAGAUUAUUUCAAUUUUGGGAUGGAGAGUUGGCAUCCAAUUGCAAAGAAAUAUGACAUCUACCAACAUGCAAUGUAAACCUAUAUAGAUCAUAUGGAGAUAGAGAGGAAACAUAUAGAAAUGGAUAUAUACCUAGAACUAGCUUUUUAUUAAAUGAGACGGAGAGCCAACAAUGAAGGAAAAUCAAAAUUUUUGGCUCAUAUCAAAGAAUUCACAUUGUGUUACCCUAGGUUUUCUUAAAGCUUGCACAAAGCCAAAAAGCACACAAAAAAUUAUAUUUUCUAGCUCUCUACCUUGGAUGGUCUCUUGAUCCUACUUGGAGAUGUGCAUAAAUAAAAGGAUUUGAAAAUGACAAUUGACUAAGUAUGUAGUCAAUCAAUUACUCAUUAAUUGACUAGUUGAUCAAUUAACUUUGCAACAUCAUAUGCAAUCCUAAUAGCUAGUCAUCUAAUCAACUAGGUAGUAAAUCAAUAGGCCAAAAAUAUGUUUAUAAUGACUAUUUUGUACAAAAACCACCUAUAUGGUUAAAUAUAAUGCAUUUCAUUUAUAAAUCUUCUAAUUCUUGAAUAACGAUCCUAUCAUCCUUUGAAAGUUUUUAUUACACCUUUUAUACUUUUGUUCUAAAACUUACACAUGUACAUCACCCUUAAUUGUACCAUGAGAACCUAGCUUUUUUUUUUUUUUUUUUUGUAAUUCAUCAAAGUUAGCUUUUGUAUUCAUUACUGUACUAUUUUUAUUGUAACUUAGAAAGCGAGUGUUUUCAAGUGAGUGAAAUUGACUUAUAAAUAUUGUAAAGAUUCAUUGAUGUGUAUCUUAAACUAAGUGUACAAGUUGAAACAUUUGCUAGUAGAUUUUCUCAAGAUUUAGAAUAGAGCUUGAGGCUAUUGAAAUAGGUGGGGUUGCACCAAACCACAUCACAUUGUUGUUUGCACCUUUUUUUCACUCUCUUUUACUUAGUUGCUCUAUAUUUGUUGUCUAGUAAUAUCCUAUAGGCUUGAUGGGUUAGGGAGCAUCCCUUUGUGAAAAAUUUUCAUUCAAUCCUUAGUUGUAUCACGCAUAUAUAAAAUGCCUCAUUGUUUUAAUGGUAUUCAGUCGUGGCAUCACAGAUAUGGGCAUCUAAAUUUUAAAAGUUUGAAACUUUUAUCUAAAGAAAAUAUGGUGCUUUGCCUUUUUGUAAAGCAUGUUGAUGAAAUCCAUGAGAAUUGUGUACUUGGGAAGCAACAUCGAGAUGACUUUUUUUUUUUUCAUUUUUUAUAAUGCGACACCUAAGUCCGGUUUCUAAAUGCUGAAGUGAAAGGGUAGGUAUGGACCAUUGAAAUCUGAUCACAACUUUUGGCCUUUUCCUUUCUCUGCAGCCAUGUUGUCUCUUUUUUCUUUUGCAUGAUUUUCUUACCUAAACAGAAUCAUAGACUUGUUUAAUCUCUAAAUGGUAUUUCAUCCAGCUUUAAGCUACUGUAUUAUAUCUUGGUGGAGGACUUUUAAGAGUGAAACCGACAUAGAGCACAUGCAAGUGGGUAUAUGGGACAUGAAAUUUCUUCUUAUAAAGACUGCAUGGUUUUUAUAUUAGAGUUGUUGAGGCGCAAUGUAUUUAGCUUGUUUUGCAGUUAAAUUAAUUGGAUAAGUAGACAUUGUCGUUUCUAAAUUUCCCACCUAAGAUAGUGACCUUAUCCUUGACUGCUUGAUGAGAUACACAAACAAUUAUACCUUCAAAAUCUACUGUGAAGUGCUUCAUGUAUGUGUGAAGUAUUAGAAAUUUCUUUCUUGGCAACUUGUUUUUUCUUUGCCCUCUACUGAUAGGUUUGACUCAAAUUAAAUUCCCUGUCAUGCUAAUUAAUUUUCACGUGCAUGCUCAAAAGGAUCACGUCAACUCUGGUUUCUACUAUUCAGGUCCAUUCCCAGAUAAACUGGUUCAAAUUUGAGAAAAUGGCAACAGCCCUUUAGUGAUGUUGGUUUGGAGCCAGUAGCCAAACCCGCCCUGAGCUUUACCACUAAUGUCAAGGGACAAAGCCAUUUGAACAAAAACAAUAGCUUCAAGAGACUGAAUCGUGGAUGAAAUCUGAUCCACAUUUCUUCUCAUUUUGGGAACAAAUGAGAACUUAACUACAAAGAUUCUACUGCCUCAUAGUGCUUUUCCUGAUCUAAGGUUGGUUCGUUUCCCAAAUUGUGAGGUACGUGCCAUUCUCACGCUCAGGAGUGUAUCCACGUGGUGGACAUAAGAUGGUGGCUUAAUAUCUGGUGUCGGUGGCUUUACUUUACUAGGAGAGUAGUGUGUCUUCAUCUCAUUCACUGCCGGAGGGUGGCGUAAGCAGUGACGCUAAGGUGGGGCACAGUCAAUAUCAUUUGCAUUUGACCAUUAUAGUUUUCUCCCGGCUUGAAAGUAACCUUAUCGUGAUAAAGGAUUACUAGCACUAGUUCAGAUGACAGUCAUGUUAAAUUCGGACCAUGUUUGUGUCACAUUAUCAGCAACCAUGUGUUUAUGGUUCAUGCUAUCUGCAACUAAACUUGAUAUAUAACCACGUGAACUUCAAUCUAAAUUCUGGAAGUACUCUUGUGAUAGAUGGUGCCUGUCUGCAGAGUCCAUCAAUUGAAAAAUGGAGUGAGUGUAUCUAUAAGAGGGAAGGCUUGGCAAAUGUUCAGUUUUCUGGGAACUCAACAAGGAUCUAAAAUAGAUUGUUUUCUUUGCUGAUUUCAAUGGUUGAAAUUUGAGAAGAUUGUGUCCACAUAACACAACUAUUACUGGUCCUUCUGUUGCAAUUUAUCCUCUAAGGCUCUAACAUGUCUUCCAAUUCCCACUUCCCUGUUACUCCAGGAAAGCUAUUUCUGUCAUUGUGAAGAAGAAAAGAGAAUGUACAUAUCGAUGGUUUUAAGUGACUGGGGCAUUCAUAUCAGGUGGUCUGCAGCCAUAUAUGCCACUUUGUGAAGGUUGGAACAGUCAAUCACCAGGCUAUAUUAGUGUGGCCCAGCCACUUCAAUCAAGGACAAGUCUUCAUACUUAAAGUCAAAUUCUGCCUUUAGUCUCAUUAUAAAUUGCUGUUUAAAUAUUAAGCAAACAUUUGUUUAAUGCGAUUAAGACAGUACUAACUCAAUACUUGUUCUAUUUUUGGAUGCAAAUGCUUGAUGGUUUCAUCAUUGGAUGGGAUAAAGGUGCAUUCAUGAUUAUGAAUACUUGUAGUUAUAUUUUCAUUCUCUUUUUUCUCAAUGAGACUUGUUGGCACAAUUUUGCUGUUCAGAAACCUACCUCUCCAUCGAAAAUCAGUUGUGAUUGAUAGUACUGGAUAUAUUCAAGAAAGCUAAAUAUAGAUAGCACCAAAUAUUAUCGAUAUAAAUAGCAUUAACAGCGUACGUAUGUCUCAAUGCUCAUCAGCUAUAAGCAACGGGCAAACACUUACUAUGAGCAACUUGCGUCAAAAUUCCAGAAUAGGACAUAGAAGUGACAGAUCUAUAUAUAUAUAGAACACUGCAUAUGAGUCACAAGAAAGGAAAUUACGGGUGCAUAGCAGCUCUUAUUUUACAUCCUACUCAUACUGAUCAAAGUCACUCAGUUGGGAUGGGUGGGAGUAGGAGGUUUGUGGGGUGGCUUGUGCGGAGGAGUUGGCAGCUUCUUUCCAGGACCUGGUUGCUUCUCUGCUGGAGUUGAAGGAGGCUUAAUCUUCCGAGGUGGCUUGUAUGAGUCUUCAGCAUUCUCAGCAGGAGGGUGACCAGGGUUGUGACCAUAAUGUGGUGGCUUCUCUCCCUUAGGUGGUUUGCCAACUGGGGUUGGUGGCUUGUAUGAGUCUUCAGCAUUCUCAGCAGGAGGGUGACCAGGGUUGCGACCAUAAUGUGGUGGCUUCUCUCCCUUAGGUGGUUUGCCAACUGGGGUUGGUGGCUUGUGUUCUGGGAGUGGCUUCUCCCCCUUGGGAGGUUUUUCCAAUGGGGUUGGUUUGUGUUCAGGAGGUGGCUUCUCCACUGGAGGCUUGUGUUCAGGAGGUGGCUUCUCCACCGGAGGCUUGUGUUCAGGAGGUGGCUUCUCCACCGGAGGCUUGUGUUCAGGAGGUGGCUUCUCGAAUGGGGGAUGCUCAGGGUAAUCAGCAAGUGAGGGGUUGGUGAGAACCACCAUGCCAAGCAACAGGACUAGCAAGUAUGUAGGAGACAUCUUUGGGUUUGGACUUAAGACAGUGGAAAACUGCGAGAAUUCUCUAGCCUUUUAUAGCGGGUCGACCCAGUACUCACAUGACACGUGUCAUUAUGACACAUGUGCCAUGGGGUCGAUUUGGGUCCUACAGUGUUGAAAAGUUGGGCAUUUGAGGUGUGAGCACAACUUUUGGCCUUUGCUUUCUCUACAGCCGCCAUGCUUUUCCCUUUUUUCCUUUUCCUUUUGUUUUCCUCCUGCCUCGUGUUCUCAACUAAACACAAUUAGGUUGUUUAAUUGUUAAAUGAGAUUUUUGUCUGUCAAUCAUAUUAUAUCCUAUCAAGAGAGAACAGAGUGUAAUGUAGUACACAUAACACGAGGCAGUAGUAAUUUUAUCAUUUAUUUUUAUAGCUUGGACCACCGCAUUUUUUCUUCUAAAAUAUUCUGUCUUGUUAAGAGACGCAAUAAUACACAAUUUUAUCUGCCAUUCAACAUUUACUGUAAAGUUCUUUUAUCUCUUUGUAGUUCUAGAAAAGUACAAAAUGGAACAUCAUGUAUAUGGUGCCUUCUGUCCUAAAAAAGAAACUGGACAAAUUAUGAACUGCAUGCUAAAAAGAGGCAAAGGAGCUUAAUUCGCAGCAUAAUUAUUUUGGUUUCUAGAGAGCCCGGGGCCUUUUGGUUGGUUUGGGGUCAGAAAAUGAACAUCAUAGGGAUUGUGCCCUUAACUGGCCUUGUUACUACAAAGAAAUUGCCAUAGAAAUUUAUUCCAGGCUGAGUAUCUCCGGAUAGACCCCAGAAAAGAAGAGUCAUAAUGAGAAUCAACCUUUGUUGAGUUUGAUUCCAUGCCUCCAUUGUGUUCAUUUCAUGAAUCUGAUUUGCAUUUAACAUUACAGUUUUGUUCUGGAAACAAUCAAAGGAGCAUCGUUUGCUUCUUGGGUGACCCAUAGUGGUGGGUGGGUCGAUUUGCUUAGUUGAAAAUUGGACAAUUGGCUCCAUCGCCUACCUCUUGGAUUCCAUGCUCGGAUAAAACGACAACAAAUAAAUAUUUAUAACUUACAACUGGGGAAAGGAAAAAAUAGUACUAAAUUCAUGGUACAUGAUAGUGAGAGAAGGGGGUGUUACACUCAGCUAAAGUUCUUUUCUAAAUAUUGCAUGGUGUUUAAUUUUAUGUGUCGGCGCGCGUGUGAAUGGAACCUGCAAAAGUCCAAAUUGGCGUUUCUCCAUUUUCCACAUAGGAUGGUGACGUUAAUAGACAAAGAUACAAUAUCUGUAGACAUUGCUUAAAAAUCGAUGUGAAGUAUUAGAAAUUACAGGCCACUGUACUGGGGGAGCGGCUGCCCCGCCAAAGGAAGAAUGUAGCAAUUUCUUCUGUUAGCCAGGCCUUAGGAUUUAUGCAUGGGAUGCCUAAUAACAAACAGAGAAAAUAUGCUUUUGGGGAAGGUAUCCAACAACAGACACCAUCAUUCAGAUGGUGGGAAGGUAUCCAACAGAUGCCAUCAUUCAGAUGGUAACAUAUAUAUACAUUUAUUAGUGAGUUUUUUUAAUACCUAUAAAAAAAAUAUACACUUUGAUAUUGUGGCUGAAUCCAUUACAUACUCAACUAACCUUGCUCAUUAGGGAUUUGACGUAACAAGGGCAACGUUGCAGUAAAAGCUCGAAACUUUAUGCAGGUGACAUUACAUUUGGUAAAGAAGAGGAAAAUAAGGAAAGCCAUCCAUAAAAGCAAAAUUCCUCAUGGGAUGAAAUUCACAAACUUCAUUUACGUUAGAGUCGCAUCCAGGCAAUUAAUUCCACAUUAGACCGCCUUUUGACAUGUGUACGGAUCUUUUUUCAAAAAUUAUUUAUAAAUAAUUGAUACUUACAAAAAUAAUUUAAGAUUUAUAAAGGAUAAAAAAAUAUUUUCAAAUCUAUGACAAUUUAUAAAAUAUUAAUAAAAAAUUAUCUCUUAAACUUAGUAUAGUUUUAUCGUAUUAAACUUUUAUUUUGAACAAAUAAUUUUAAUCUAAGUUUUAAAUUCUAAAAUUAUUUCCUUAAAAUAAAAUUUUAAAAUUCAACACUUCAAUUGAAAUUGUCUUUUAAAAAAAAUAUCUUCUUAUUUUAAUCCUUAUAAACUAUAGUUGAUUGAAAAUACUAUUGAAGUUCUCUCUUCAAAAAAAGUCUUAUUUUAAUCUUCAUAAAUUGCCCUUGAUUUGAAAAUAAACUUUGGGUUAUCAUAUUUUAAAUAAUAUAUAUAUAUAUAUAUAUAUAUAUAUAUAUAUAUAACAAAUACUCUAUUUUUUUUUUAAAUGAACUAAUUUUAAUUAUAUUUUAUUUUAUUUUUUUAUAUAUUUUUAAUGAUAAACCAAACAUAGAAAAUCAUUUUUCUAAAUAUUUUAAAAUUUCUAAGCAACCAAACAUAAUCUUCAAAAUAAAAGGAGAAUAAGGAGGGACAAGUGAGAAAUGGCGAUUAAAAAAAAGUGUACAAAAGCUCAAUUAAUUUUCUUCUAGUCUUUUAUAUAAAAAAGUAUUGGUAUGUAAAUUAAUAUUUGGAUUUUAAUAGUAUUUUAUUUGUCUUUCUCUAUCUCAUGUAAAAGAGAAUUUAAGAUAUUUCCUAAAGCAAAGCAUUAGUUAUCUGCAAUCAGUGGUGAUCAUGGUCCAUGUCAAUUUCGGACCCAUAUCUUAAAACCGUAUAAUUUGCGUUUCAACAUUACUGAUUUCUCAGAUGUUUCAUACUCCACAGAAGAGUAUUGUUAGUGAAAGCAUUUUGUAACUGUUACUCAUAGUGUUUUGACUCUGGCUCAACAACAUCAGCCAUUGACGGAUUUUCAUACAUGCAAAUCAAAUAGUCUUCUUCCUCCCUUAGGAAUUUCGGUUUAAAUGUUAUUAAGCAUACAUUUGGCUGACAAUUAUUAACCACUUCAUGAUAUGGUUUCUUACCCUUAAUCAAUGGUUUCUAAGUGAAUAUAUGCAGAAGGAAAUCUGAACUGUAGACAGCAGUAUUGAUAACUCUCAAUAUUCUUUAUAUAAGAGAAUAAACAACGUCAUAGUGAUCGUCGCCUACAAGAAAGGUACAUUUCCCAACAAGAUGUAGUGGUGACUGCUACAUGGACGCAAUUAACUCGUAGAAAAGGAUAAGACCAGUGCACGGCAGCUCUUAUUUUACAUGCUAAUUAUGCUAACCAAAGUCACUCAGUUGGGAUGGGAGGGAGAUGGAGGUUUGUGCGGUGGCUUGUGGGGCGGAGUUGGUGGCUUCUUUUCAGGAGCUUGUGGCUUUUUCGGAGCUGAAGGAGGCUCAAUCUUAUGAGGCGGCUUGUACGAGUCUUCUUUACUCUCGACAGGAGGGUGACCAGGGUUGUGACCAUAAUGUGGUGGCUUCUCUCCCUUAGGUGGCUUGCCAACUGGGGUUGGUGGCUUGUGUUCAGGAAGUUGUUUCUCUCCCUUGGGAGGUUUACCAAUUGGGGUUGGUGGCUUGUGUUCUAGGAGUGGUUUCUCUCCCUUGGGAGGUUUAGUGGGUGACUUGUGUUCUGGAGGUGGCUUCUCCACCGGAGACUUGUGUUCUGGAAUUGAUUAAAAAAAUUCUACCACUCUUUUAAGUAAUGGAAGAUUAUUAUCUCUGAUUGGCACCACAACAGCACAUGCUGCUAGAUCUUUCUAGACACUCCAUGCAAUGAAAGCACAAUGGAUCUUGUAACGAUAGAAACUAAGCCAUGCUACAGUACUAGAUGACGAGGUAAAACUAGUAGACAUGGGUGGUAGUUGAUUACUACUCAAAAAGUACUCUUUUAUAGUUUGAAACUAACUGUUUUAAACACUUUUGAGUAGUAGUUAAUAAAUUUUAACUCAAUUGGCACAUUAAGGAACCUAGCAAGGGUUACUAAUAAACUUUUGGCAAGUUUUGGUGUUUUUGGUAGUUAUUCGAUCAUUGAAACAAGCCAAGAAUGAGGGAGAAUUUUGUGAAGUCCAUGGCAAUGCAAGUUAAAGCUCAAAUACACGAAGAAUCCAAGCUUUGGAGCACUACAUAGCCCUUUGCCAAGCCAAUUAGAGAUGCAAGGAACAAAACCAAAGGAAGAAAUCCAACAACCAACAUUUUCGCAUGGUUGUGUGAAAUUUCGCACACCAUGCGAAACCACAAGAGGUAGCCAAAGAAUUUCACAUGGUAUGCGAAAUCUUCUCAUGCACCGACUCCGUUAGAUUUUUAUCUUCAGAUAUUUUGUGUAAUUUCCUAGUUUCUCCUUGUAACCAACCUAGAUAUUUUCUUUUAUAUCUUUUUUUAUAUUUUUUAGGUAACAUCAUAUAUAAGGGGAGAGACAUAAGGAGGAUAUGGAUGUUUUUCAUAGAACACUUGUAAAUUUUCAGUAGUAAGAAAUAUACAAAGCUUUUUGCUAUGCCUUACCUUCUCAUUUUGUUUUCACCUGUCUUUCUAGCCAAACAACCUCUAAGGAUGAUUUCUCAGGGGAUGAGUGGCUAGGUUUUACGUUUCUUGGAGUGAGGGAAGCUAGGUGAAGGACCUGAAUGCAAAGAUGAGAGUUUUCCUUGCUUUAAAUGAAAGUAGUUGUUAAACAUUAAUGGUUUUUAUUUUAAGGUUUAGCUUUAAAUCCCUUAAAAACACCUUGAAUGACCAAUACUUGGUAAGCUUUUCGGAUUCUAUGGAUGCUUAUUGCUAGAUCCAUGGAUGUCUAUUAGUUAUCAUUUACGAGCCUUUGGAAGGUGAUUCAAGGUGAGGGUCUUUAGUGUUUGAAGCCAUUAAUGGGAAGCAAUUACCAUUUUUUCAUGAAUCCUUUGGAUCAAAUCUUAAUUGCUAAAUAUAAAACCGAUUUGGGAAAUAACCAUCCUUUAUGUUAUUAUCCCCAACGCAAGGAGAAGAUCCGGAAUCUUCCCUUUUGUCUAAGGAACCCGAUCCUAGUGACCUAAAGCUCCAAGAGACCUUUUCUUUGUAGUUAACUUCAUUUAUUGUUUUUGCUUAACUUAAAAUCAAUCUUUGCAACCACAAUUCCAUUUUCUUUAAAAGCUAAUUUUUAUAAGGAAAAACACCAUUUUAUUUCCUUCACUAAGUCAACUGUACGAUGAAAACCCAUCCCUGUGGACGAUCCUAGAGCCAUUAUACUAUGUUAGCUAUGCUACCCUAGUGUGAGGUGAUUUAGGUUUUAUAAAUUUUGUUGAUAACACCCAUCUGAGCCAGAAUCAAAUGGCACAACUGAACCAGGGACGAAUCAAAUGGCGCCGCUAUCGAGGAUGGUGCCAAAGUACAUUGACAUGACUUUUGGUGAACACUUGUGAUCUUCAUCACAAGUUUGGUGAUUUUUCUAUUACUAAUUUUUUUCUUUGUUUUUAUUUUAGCUUAUCUUUUAUUUAGUUUUUAGCUAACCUUAACUUUUUCUUAGAAUUGUAUUUCUUCUAUUUUCUUUGUUUUUGUUUCAGUGAUCUUUAGUUGUGCAUGCCCUAUUGGAUAAGAAAUAUUGAGGGAAUACUUGUGAAGAUUGAAAAUCCUCGAGAAACUGAGUUGGAAGUGUGAUUGAACAUCAUGGAUGUUCCACCUGAAGACCAGAAUAGCCAACAUGGUUAAGAGGAUAAUUUCAAAGCAUACCGAUCCAUGAGGGACUGCAUGCAUCCACCUCGUAUGAGUGCACCGUCAUGCAUAGUGCCUCCCACUGAGCAACUAGUAAUCUGACCUCACAUUGUGCCACUCCUACCUACUUUCCAUGGGAUGGAGAGUGAGAAUCUCUACUCGCAUAUUAAGAAAUUCGAGGAGGUUUGUAAUACAUUCCAAGAAGGAGGAGCUUCAAUUGACUUGAUGAGGCUCAAGCUAUUUCCUUUCACUUUGAAGGAUAAGGCUAAGAUUUGGCUUAAUUCUUUAAGGCCAAGGAGUAUCCGAACUUGGACUAAUUUGCAAGCCGAUUUUCUUAAGAAGUUCUUCCUUACCCAUAGGACCAAUGGUUUGAAAAGGCAAAUUUCGAACUUCUCAGCUAAAGAGAAUGAGAAAUUCUAUGAGUGAUGGGAGAGGUACAUGGAAGCUAUUAAUGCUUGUCCUCACCAUGGCUUUGACACAUGGCUCUUAGUGAGUUAUUUUUACGAUGGUAUGUCUUCUUCAAUGAAGCAACUCCUAGAAACUAUGUGUGGAGGAUACUUCAUGAGUAAGAAUCCGAAGGAAGCCAUGGACUUUUUGAGUUAUGUGGCUGAAGUUUUAAGAGGAUGGGAUGAACCAAAUGCUAGAGAGGUGGAAAGAAUGAAGUCUCAACCUAAUGCUAAGGGUGGGAUGUAUGUUUUGAAUGAAGACAUUGACAUGAAAGCAAAGGUUGUAGCUAUGGCAAGGAGAUUGGAAGAGCUAGAAAUGAAGAAGGCACAAAAAGUGGAAGCCAUUUCUGAGACAUCAGUGCAAGCUAUGCCUUGUUCCAUUUGUCAACCUAAUGCUAAGGGUGGGAUGUAUGUUUUGAAUGAAGACAUUGACAUGAAAGCAAAGGUUGUAGCUAUGGCAAGGAGAUUGGAAGAGCUAGAAAUGAAGAAGGCACAAAAAGUGGAAGCCAUUUCUGAGACAUCAGUGCAAGCUAUGCCUUGUUCCAUUUGUCAAUCUUAUGAGUACCUAGUGGAGGAGUGUCCUACAAUUCCAGUAGUGAGAGAGAUGUCUGGUGAUCAAGCAAAUGUUAUUGAUCAAUUCAAGCCUAAUAAAAAUGCUUCAUAUGGCAACACCUACAAUUCAAAUUGGAUGAACCAUCCAAAUUUCUCUUGGAAACCAAAGCUACCUCAAUACACACAACCUGCUCAAGCACCUUAGCAAUCCUCGAAUCUUGAACAAGCUAUUGUGAACCUUAGUAAGGUUGUGGGAGAUUAAAAGUCCAUCAAUGCUCAACUGAAUCAGAGAAUUGACAGUGUAGAGAGUACAUUGAACAAAAGGAUGGAUGAGAUGCAAAAUGAUCUGUCUCAAAAGAUAGACAAUGUCCAAUAUGCAAUCUCAAGGCUUACCAACCUCAACACAGUGCAAGAGAAAGGAAAGUUUAUUUCUCAACCUCAUCAAAAUCCCAAGGGUAUCCAUGAAGUGGAGGCUCAAGAGAGAGAAUCUUCAAAGGUGAGGGAAGUCAAAGCAGUUAUCACCUUGAGGAGUGGUAAAGAGGUUGAUCAACCCACAUCCAAGCCAAAGCAUAAUGAAGAGAGUUUUGUAGAAAAAGAAAAGAGAGGAAAAUAAAGGAAAGAGAAUAGAGAAAAGUACAAAGAAAGAUGACCAUGAGUCUAGUGUGGAUGAAGAGCCCAAGAGGAUAGUGAUCAAGGAAAAUAUGAUGAAGAAACACAUGCCUCCACCUUUCCCCUAAGCUUUGCAUGACAAAAAAGGAACCAAUAAUACAUCGGAAAUUUUUGAAGUAUUGAGGCAAGUGAAGGUCAAUAUCCCUUUGCUAGAGAUGAUCAAACAAGUGCCGACAUAUGCAAAAUUCUUGAAGGACUUGUGCACUGUAAAGAGAGGGUUGAAUGUGAACAAGAAAGCUUUCUUGACCGAGCAAGUGAGUUCCAUCAUACAGUGCAAGUCUCCAGUGAAGUACAAAUAUCCGGGCUACCCUACCAUCUCAGUGAGUAUUGGAGGUACUUGUGUGGAAAAAGCUUUGUUGGACUUGGGAGCAAGUGUGAAUUUGCUACCCUACUCUGUCUAUAAGUAGUUGGGACUUGGAGAGUUGAAGUCAACAUCCAUCACCCUAUCUCUGGCAGAUAGAUCAGUGAAGAUUCCAAGAGAGAUGAUAGAAGAUGUCUUGGUUCAAGUUGACAAAUUCUACUAUCCAGUGGAUUUUGUUGUUCUUGAUACGGAUCCGAUUGUCAAAGGAACUAAUUAUGUUCCUAUCAUACGAAGACCCUUCCUAGCUACAUCAAAUGCAAUCAUCAAUUGUAGGAAUGGAGUCAUGAAACUCACGUUUGUCAACAUGACAUUAGAGCUCAACAUCUUCCAUUUGUACAAGAAGCAUAUCCAUUCAGAAGAAAAAGAAGGUCUAGAGGAAGUGUGCAUGAUUGACACUUUAGUGGAGGAGCAUUGUGAUCGACAAUGCAAGAAGAUUUAGUUGAGAGUUUUGGGGAUCUUGAUGAAGGGUUACUUGAACCCUCAGAUUUGCUUGCUACCCUACUCCAUUGGAGGAAGAGAGAAGAAAUUCUACCCUUAUUCAAUGAGGAGGAGACACAAAGAGCUGCUAAAGAUAAGCCCCCAAAGCUUAUUCUUAAGCCACUACCCACAGAGUUGAAGUAUGCAUACUUGGAAGAAGACAAGAAGUGCACUGUUGUUAUAUCUUUAGCUCUUACCAUUCAUCAGGAGGAUUGUCUACUUGAAGUCCUUAGAAGAAGUAAGAAGGUAAUAGGGUGGCAAAUUUCUGAUUUGAAAGGGAUCAGCCCUUUUGUCUGCACCCAUCAUAUUUACAUGGAGGAUGAAGCUAAGCCAAUUCAUCAACCUCAGAGAAGGUUGAACCCUCACAUGCAAGAAGUGGUGAGAGUUGAAGUUCUUAAGCUACUUUAGGCUGGUAUUAUUUACCCCAUAUCAGAUAGCCCAUGGGUGAGUCCUACUCAAGUUGUGCCAAAGAAGUCGGGGAUCACGGUGGUGCAAAAUGAUAAGGGAAAAGAUGUCUCUACAUGUCUCACUAUAGGUUGGAGGGUGCGUAUCAAUUACAGGAGGUUGAAUGUAGUGACAAGGAAUGACCAUUUCUCGUUGCCCUUUAUUGAUCAAGUGCUUGAGAGGGUCUCUGGGCAUCCUUUUUAUUGUUUCUUGGAUGGCUACUCGAGGUAAUUUAAGAUAGAAAUUGAUGUUGAAGACCAGGAGAAGACCAUUUUCACAUGCCCAUUUAGAACCUAUGCAUAUAGGAGAAUGUCUUUCGGCUUAUGCAAUGCACCCACAACUUUCCAAAGAUGCAUGUUAAGCAUUUUCAAUGAUAUGGUGGAGCAUAUUAUGGAAGUCUUUAUGGAUGAUAUCACCAUAUAUGGAAGUGCAUUUGAUGAAUGCUUGGUCAACUUAGAAGUUGUUCUGAACCGAUGCAUUGAGAAAGACUUAGUGCUUAAUUGGGAGAAGUGCCAUUUCAUGGUACACCAAGGGAUUGUCCUUGGGCACAUCAUCUCCAAGCAAAGCAUUGAAGUUGACAAAGCAAAGGUUGAACUCAUUGUUAAGUUGCCAUUCCCAACAAAUGUCAAAGGAGUAAGGCAAUUCCUUGGCCAUGCCGGGUUCUAUAGGAGGUUUAUCAAGGAUUUCUCUAAGCUUGCAAGGCCUCUUUGUGAAAUAUUGGUGAAGGAUGUUAAAUUCAUAUGGGAUGAUAGAUGCCAAAGGAGUUUUGAAGAAUUGAAGCUAUUUUUGACAACCUCACCAAUAGUGAGGGCUCCCAACUAGCAACUGCCCUUUGAGGUAAAGUGUGAUGUCAAUGACUUUGCUAUAGGAGCUGUUCUUGGGCAAAGAGAAGAUGGAAAACCUUAUGUGAUCUACUAUGCGAGCAAGACAUUGAAUGAGGUGCAAAGAAACUACAUAACCACCGAGAAAGAAUUGUUAGCUGUAGUUUUUGCCUUGGAUAAGUUUCGUGCUUACUUGGUGGGAUCCUUCAUCGUGGUUUUUAUUGAUCACUUUGCUUUGAAGUAUCUAUUGACUAAGCAAGAUGCUAAAGCAAAACUGAUUAGAUGGAUUUUCUUGCUUCAAGAGUUCAAUCUCCAGAUCAAAGACAAGAAAAAAAUGGAGAAUGUGGUAGUAGACCACAUUUCAAGGCUAGCUAUCGCACAUAAUUCCCAUGCUUUGCCCAUUAAUGACGAUUUUCUAGAGGGGUCUCUCAUGUUGGUGGAAGUUGUCCCUUGGUACGCUCACAUUGCUAACUACCUGGUCACAAGAGAAGUUCCAAGUGAGUGGAAAGCACAAGAUAAGAAGCACUUCUUUGCAAAAAUUCAUGCCUACUAUUGGGAAAAGCCAUUUCUAUUCAAGUAUUGUGCGGAUCAGAUAAUAAGGAAGUGAGUUCCUGAAGAAGAGCAACAGGGGAUCCUCAGUCAUUGCCAUAAAAAUGCAUGUGGAUGCCACUUUGCUUAUCAGAAGACAACCAUGAGGGUGCUGCAAUCGGGUUUCUGUUGGCCAUCACUUUUCAAAGAUGCCCACACCAUGUGCAAGAGUUGUGAUCGAUGCCAGAGGCUUGGGAAGUUAUCAUGUAGGAACAUGAUGCCUUUGAACCCCAUUUUAAUAGUUGAUCUUUUUUAUGUUUGGGGCAUUGACUUCAUGGGACUUUUCCCUAUAUCUUUUGGCUACUCUUACAUCUUGGUGGGAAUAGAUUAUGUUUCUAAGUGGGUUGAGGCAGUCCCAUGCAAACACAAUGACCAUAGAGUGGUUCUCAAGUUUCUUAAGGAGAACAUCUUCUCAAGAUUUGGGGUGCCCAAAGCCAUAAUUAGUGAUGGGGGUACUCAUUUUUGCAACAAGCCUUUUGAAACUCUCCUAGCCAAGUAUGGGGUGAAGCAUAAGGUAGCUACACCUUACCACCCUCAAACUAAUGGGCAAGUUGAGUUAGCAAACAAGGAGAUUAAAAACAUAUUGAUGAAGGUGGUGAACACAAACAGAAAAGAUUGGUCAGUCAAGCUCUUCGAUUCACUAUGGUCAUGUAGAACAGCUUACAAGACCAUUAUCGGGAUGUCUCUUUAUCACCUAGUCUAUGGAAAAAAUGCCAUCUCCUUGUGAAAUUGGAAUACAAAGCUUGGUGGUCAAUCAAGAAGCUCAACAUGGAUUUGAGCAGAGCUGGGUUGAAGAGGUUCUUAGACCACAAUGAGAUGGAGGAAUUGAGAAAUGAUGCCUACAUCAAUUCAAAAAUUGUAAAAGAAAAAUUGAAGAGGUGGCAUGAUCAGUUGAUUUCCCGCAAGAAUUUUCAAAAUGGAUAAAGAGUCUUGCUCUAUGACUCUAAACUCCACAUCUUUCCGAGCAAGCUGAAAUCAAGGUGGAUAGGUCCUUUUACCAUUCACCAAGUGCAUUCAAAUAGAGUAGUGGAACUACUCAACUCCAACAACAUCGGGAGCUUCAAAGUGAAUGACCAUUGUCUCAAGCCCUUUGUAGAGUCUUUUUUCUCGCGACAAGGAGGAAUUCAUCCUCCUUGAUCCACAUCAAGCUUGACAAGACCAGUUUUUUUUUAUGGACUUAGUCUUUCUAAAGACUAUCGAGUCCAUAACUUUUUAUUUUAUUUUUUAUUUGAGAGUUUUUCGGUAUUAUUACUUGUUUUGUUUUUUAUUUUUCGUUUUACUUUUAUUUGGUUUGAUUUAACUUAGAUUUUUUAUGAUCAAUUGCAGGGGGGAUUUCAAAUAGAGGAAAAACCAAGAUAAUUCGCACACCCUGCGAAAAUUUCGCAAGGCAUGCGAAAUUUAUGGCUCAUUUCGCAUGGGAUGCGAAAUUUCGCACACCCUACGAACCAAUUUCGCACACUUUGUGAAAAUAAACCAACCCUACGAAAUCAUUUCAAAUACUCUACGAAAUUUUCGCAGAGCAUGUAAAAAAUUUCGCAGACCAAACACCAUUUCGCAUACUAUGCGAAAAUGUAAGGGGUCUACAAAACCAUUUCGCACCUCCAAAGCCAUUUCGCACAUUGUGCAAAAAUGAAAAGUCGCCCUAUCAUCCAUUUUUAAACCCCUUGAGCCCUGAAAUCCCCAUUUCGCAAGCACCCCUGUCCUUGCGAAUCCCUCAUUUUCCUCUGCCACCUUGCGACCUUGUCCCUCUCCAUUUGAUAUCGUGCCCUGCGCACAUCUCAUUUCAAAGACUCGCACUCUGCGCCCUCUCAAAGCACGAACCCAAGGCUCACAUUCCAUUUCCGACAUGGCACAGACCCGAGGAGCCCUUCCCGCCCCUUCAUCGAGACGCACACCAAGGUAGAGAGCCUCUUUUGCUCAGAUGCCAAGUGAUUCUCCAUUUCAGGCCACGGAGGCCCUGCGGAUUCCACAUUCCAAGGGUAGAACAGCCACUGGUCCUUCCUCUUCUAUUCCUCAGCGUAGAUAUGAGACGAGGAGACCACCUACUACACAAAGGGCGACUACUUCGCGCCAUGAGAAUUCGGUACGACACCCUCCUGCCAAGAGGGCCAGGACUUCAGGCCCAGGCGAGUCAUCCAAAGCUUCACAGCCUGAGCCUCCUGCAGAUUCCGAGGUUCCUACUGACAUAUCAUCGGAGUCUAUUAUCAAACGCCCGAUGCUCACAGCACCGCCCAUUGAGGGCAACUCUGAUUGUAGAGCGAGACCUUUCCACUUGGAGCUAUAUUUUAAUUAAGAGGCCAUGCCACAGCAGCCUGAGCUCCAAGACUCUUAUGGCUUACUACAGAGGUACCAUCUUGAGGACCUUAUGACUCCUCGUGAGUUCUUUUAUCCCAGAGUAGCACUAGACUUUUACCAGUCCAUGACUACUCGUGGCGUCCCGAGUCCUACCGCGAUGCACUUCACCAUUAAUGGACGUCAUGGUAUCCUCGAGGCCAGACAUAUUGGAGAGGCUCUACAGAUUCCUUUCGAGCUAGAGGACCCAUCUGUUUUCUGCCAAUGGUCCCCAAUAUCUCAGAGGGACAUGGUCCAUAUUUUAUCCAGGGGGACAUCUACAUAUUCGAUCCUUCUACGGAAGGAGCUUCGACCUGGGAUACUCCUCGUAGAUGUGGUGCUACUUUCCAACCUCUUUCCCUUUUAGCAUUCGAUACAUAGGCGAGGAGCUAUUUUGGACGCUUUAUUCUGUAUAUCAGAGGGCUUCUACUUUGGCCCGCACCACUUGAUCAUGGUUUCCCUCAUCCAUUUUGAGGAGAAGGUCCAUAGAAAGAAGCUUCAGAGGGCGAACACCAUUCCAUUACUAUUCCCGAGGUUGCUCUACUAGAUCUUGGAGUACAUGGGCUUUCCUACUGAGCCUCGGCUUGUGUGCCGCCGCCUUUGUCAAGAGCGAUCCACUCUCGACAAAUGGAAUCAGUUGGCGGGCUAUUCUACACCUCCAGGAGCCCCUCCCAUGGUAGCACCUCUAGUGUCCCCACAGGCAGAGUAGGGCAAGCUCCCGGUAGAGACUGCACCCCUAGUGCCCACACCUGAGGCUACUUCUGCUGUUCCGCCUACGACUCCUACUGUUCCACCAGUUGGUCCUUUUACAUCUGAGUCUUCCAUCAACAUCUCGACUUCGGAGUUUCGCGCCCUUGUGCAUACCUUUCAGACACUCACCACCACACAUACUGCUCUCUUCUAGAAAAUGGCUGAGAUGCGUGCCCAUCAGGACCAGCAGACUACUAUACUCCGCCAAAUUCAACAGCACCUGGGACUUCUGCCUCUGCCUCAGCUUGACCUUCCCACAUCAUCAGAGCCUCUAGCUCCAGUUGAGGAUACUAUUCCACCUGAGGACACUACCACAGUAGAGGUUCAGAUUCCACCACCUCAGGAGGCCACCACAGCUACAUUAGAGGAUGCAUCAUCUCCACCUGAGGCUCCCACUACUUGAUCAUAGGACAUCUCUUUAUCUUAUUGUAUUUACAUAUUAUAUUACUGGAGAUUUGUCUUUGUUUUGAUACUUUAUAUUCUGGCAUUGAAUGUAUUGCCUAAUGAUAUCUCAAUUGUACUUUCUCAUAUUAAUAUAUAGACAUCAAUUUUUUUUAGUAUACUUAGGAUUUUUCUAUUUACUCUACUCAUUACUCUUUUGUUUUUUUUUUUUUACUCAUGUGGUUUCUCCUAUACGACUCAGACUCCAUUUCACUCAGGAGGUACCACUUCUUCCCUUUAUUUUCAAUUGCUCUUGAAACAUUGAGGGCAAUGUUGAUCUUGGUUGGAGGGAGAGUUGAGGAAGGAAGUGAUUACUACUCAAAAAGUGCUAUUUCAUAGCUUGUAAUUAACUCUUUUAAAACACUUUUGAGUAGUAGUUAUCACCUUUUAACCCAAUUAACAUAUUAAGGACCCUUGCAAUCAAUUCUAAUCAAAUUGUGUUAAGUUUUGGUAUUUUGAUAGCUUUUUUAUCACCAAAGCAAUCCGAGAUUGAGGAUAUUUAUUUGGAAUCCAUGGCAAAAGAUGUUUGGACAGGACGUCCGGACACACCAUCGGAGGGCGGCGGAACGUGGGCUGUGGCAGGCUGUCGGAAUGACGUAGCAAGGCUUGUGCACUUUAGCCAAUGAUCGGGAUAACAUAUCCGAAAUUCUGCUCCGCCGACAUUCCACCCGGAUGUCUCACAUCCGGAAUUCUGCUCCGCCGACAUUACACCCAGAUGUCUCACAUCCAAAAUUCUUCUCCGUCGACAUUCCAUCCGAAUAUUUCACAUCCGACGCUUGACGCCGGAUGGGAGAGGAGGGCGUUUCAACUUCCCCGGUCAGACAUAUCCGAAUCCUUUGAUAACGCUUACCCGGAGAGUUUCGCAGCCAUUUUGCACAGUGCCGCGGUGUUCUCUUGAAGCUUCCCGAUAUGUGCGACCGACAUUUUGAGAUAUUUUGCUUUAGAUAUUUGAUGUCUAAAUCCCCAAACUCUCCUUGUAACCCACCAAUUAUAGGAUUCCUUAGUUAUUAAGUUUGGAAAAAUGGUGAAUAACCCCUUAUAUAUAGUUUGCAAUUUUCAUAAAAAAGAUAUGUAGAAUCUCGGGAGCUUGUUCCCAGAGAGACGCAUCCUUUGUACAGUUUUGGAAGGAAGUAAAAUACAGAGCACUUGCUCUGCUUUUCAUAUAUAUUUUUGUUUUCUCGUUCUUUUUAUUUCUAGCCAAUCAAAGUCUGAGGAUUUUUCCUCAGAGGAUGAGAGGCUAGGCUCUUCGUCUCUUGGAGUGAAGAAAACUAGGUAAGUUUCCACAUGCAUAAAUUGAAAGUUUUGUUGUUUUAGUUUUUAAUGAAGAGAAAGUGUGACCCGUUAAUGGUUUUUAUCUUUUUAGUUAACUUAAAACGCCUUUAAAUCACCCGGGCCAACACUUGAUAAGGCAAGUGGUCUCCAUCCAUUGAGAUGCACUAGUUUAUCUCUUGCGAGCCUUUGGGAGGUGGUUUGAAGGUAGGAUUUUCUAGAAUAACCAACACUUGAUAAGCUUUUGGACUCUAAGGAGACAUCCAUUAGUUAUCUCUUGCGAGCUUUUGACGGGUAAUCCAAGGUUAAAGAUCACCUUGAAUGGCAAGUACUAGGUGAGAGGUAUGAGCCAUUGCAAGAUGCAUUAGUGAGAGGGAUUUAGUGUUUGAACCCAUUAAAGGGAAGCAUCUGUACCACACCGGUUCGGGAAAUAACUAUAUGUUAAAUCCCCAAUGAGAGGAAAAGAAACAAGUGACCGGAACUCCCUUUUUGUAUAAGGAACCUGAGCCUAGUGAUCUAAACUCCAAGAAACACUUUUCUUUGUAAGUAAAAUCAGUUACUAUUUUUGGUUAGUUUAAAACCAAACCUUUUUCAUUCAAACAUCUUUAUGUUUUCUUUUAAAGCUAACCUUGAAAUGAAAAGGCACCAAUUCAUAUUUGAAUUAAUAUCAAUUGUGAAGUGAAAACCCAUCCCAGUGAACGAUCCUAGAGCCACUAUGCUAUAGUAGCUUUGUCUUUGCUACCCUAGUUCAUGGUUUAAUAGGUUAUAAAUUUUGUUGAUUACUCCCACAAUCAAAGGAGCACCAGUUGGACAUGAAUCAACUGAGACACUAAUUGGGCACAAAUCAGGAAGUUUUGUUAAUAAUGCUAGGUUAAUUUGUUAAUUUAGUUACUUUCUGCUUAAUUUUAAAAGUUUUCACUUUACUUUCCAUAGUUAUUAAGGAAAAAUUCUCAAAAUGAAAUGGGAGAAAUUGAAUUCUUACAUUUUUACUUGAAUUUUAGAAUUUGUAUUAUGCUUAUUGAAGCUGAUGAAUUAUUGAAACUCCUAUUGAAUUCAACCUUAUUUCUUCCACUUUAAUCUUACCACACACGGUGCACAUUAGGUUCCGAUUAUAAGAGGUGCGUUCUUAGCCUAUUGGAGGUUGGUCAAUUUGUUAAAGUUUGAGAAAGAUCUAGGUUAGGGGAGAGAGAAUAGUCUGACAUACUAUAAUCGAAAACUAAUAAACUUAACACUUAGAUCUUUGUGGAAGAGUAAGGAUUGGACCUUUGGGAGUGGAAAUUCGUUUGAUGCUUAAAUUUGCAUAAUGCUUACACUUUAUAAAUUGUGAUUAGGCAAGAGAUUUGAUGACUCUUGUUCAAGGUUGGGUUUUGCCUCUUUGAUGUUCCAUGAGAGAGUAUAAUCCUCAUCAUGCCACUUGAAAUUUUUUUUGGAGUGAUUAACAUGAUUUUGUAAAUUACUUUACUGUCUAUUUUUUUUUUAUCUCUCCUUCAUUGCUAAUGGACUAGCAAUAUGUCAGUUGAGGGGAGUGAUUACUACUCAAAAAGUACUCUUUUAUAGCUUGAAACUAACUGUUUUGAACACUUUUGAGUAGUAGUUAAUACCUUUUAACUCAAUUGGCACAUUAAAGAACCUAGCAAGGGUUACUAAUUAGUUUUUGGCAAGUUUUGGUGUUUUUGGUAGCUAUUUGAUCAUUGAAACAAGCCAAGAAUGAGGGAGAAUUUUGUGAAGUCCAUGGCAAUGCAAGUUAAAGCUCAAAUACAUGAAGAAUCCAAGCUUUGGAGCACUUCAUAGCCCUUUCCAAAGCCAAUCAGAGAUGCAAGGAAGAAAACCAGAGGAAGAAAUCCAACAAUUAGCAUUUUCGCAUGGCUGUGCGAAAUUUCGCACACCAUGCGAAACCACAAGAGGCAGCCAAAGAAUUUUGCACACUAUGCGAAAUUUCGCAUGGUAUGCAAAAUCUUCUUGUGCACCAACUCCGUUAUAUUUUUAUCUCAAAUAUUUUGUGUAAUUUCCUAGUUUCUCCUUGUAACCAACCUAGAUAUUUUCUUUUAUAUAUUUUUUAGGUAACAUCAUCUAUAGGGGGAGAGACAUAAGGAGGAUAUGGAUGUUUUUCAUAGAACACUUGUAAAUUUCCGGUAGUAAGAAAUAUACAGAGCUUUUUGCUCUACCUUACCUUCUCAUUUUGUUUUCACUUGUCUUUCUAGCCAAACAACCUCUGAGGAUGAUUUCUUAGGGAAUGAGUGGCUAGGUUUUACGUUUCUUGGAGUGAGGGAAGCUAGGUGAAAGACCCGAAUGCUAAGGUGGGAGUUGUCCUUGCUUUAAAUGAAAGUAGUUGUUAAACAUUAAUGGUUUUUAUUUUAAGGUUUAGCUUUAAAUCCCUUAAAAACAUCUUGAAUGGUCAAUACUUGGUAGGCUUUUUGGAUUCUAUGGAUGCUUAUUGCUAGAUCCCUGGAUGUCUAUUAGUUAUCAUUUAUGAGCCAUUGGAAGGUGGUUCAAGAUGAGGGUCUUUAAUGUUUGAAGCCAUUAAUAGGAAACAAUUACCAUUCUUUCAUGAAUCCUUUGGAUCAAAUCUUAAUUGCUAAAUAUAAAACUAGUUCGGGAGAUAACCAUCCUUUAUGUUAUUAUGCCCAACGCGAGGAGAAGAUUCGGAAUCUUCCCCUUUGUCUAAGGAACCCGAUCCUAGUGACCUAAAGCUCUAAGAGACCUUUUCUUUAUAGUUAACUUCACUUAUUGUUUUUUCUUAACUUAAAAUCAAUCUUUGCAACCACAAUUCCAUUUUCUUUGAAAGCUAAUUUUCAUAAGGAAAAUCACCAUUUUAUUUUCUUCCCUAAGUCAACUGUACGAUGAAAACCCAUUCCCAUGGACGAUCCUAGAGCCACUAUACUAUGUUAGCUAUGCUACCCUAAUGUGAGGUGAUUUAGGUUUUAUAAAUUUUGUUGAUAACACCUGUUUGAGCCAGAAUCAAAUGGCGCAACUGAACCAGGGACGAAUCAACAACUUAUAUGGGAGGGACACAAGUUUAAUUGAUUUGCAUUUCAACGUUAUAUAUAGGUAUGUUUUGGAAGAUUUGUUCUGGAAAUACUGCACCAAGUACGAUUCUUUUUGUCUUGAGUGGGUCUACUUGCAUGCCAAUUAACGAGUGGAAAAGUAGGAGCACCUACCUCAUGCUCGCGGAACCGAAGGUCAGUGAAGUGGGGCUCCUUUUGGCCUCUUGUGUUUCUAUUCCAACCAAGGCGGCGUAAGGAAAAACAACAAUAUGUUUGUGCUAAAUAUCAACGCAUGAUAGAUGUUUUUGUUUUUUGGUAUGUCAAGGCUAAUGAAUGAAAUGCUUUAGCUUGUUUUGUGACUGGAACUGCAAAUGUCCAAAUUGGAGUAUCUCCAUUUCUCACUUCGGAUGGUUAACUUAUAAACAAGAUAUAGGAAACAUGUGAACAUCUUGAGGAACAAUUUGAAUUAUUCAUUAGAAGUCCUGGGUUGAGUUCCAAGAUUUAAAUUAGACCCCUCUAGCAGCUUCAGGGGUACCUAGCAACCUAUAGCAUAUUAAUGAAGAUUUAGGAUUUAGACUCUAGAAUACAAAUUAAUAUGUAUCUCAUGCUUUGACUAGCUUCCCUACAUAUGCACAAAAUGGAGAUGACCUAAAAAAAUAGCAGAAUCUAGCUUCCCUACAUAUGCACAAAAUGGAGAUGACCCAAAAAAUAGCAGAAUUUCCUUAGUUUCUGUGGUUAAGGUGAUUCUCCGCUUAAUAUCACAUUGACUCAUUAUGCAAAAUCAACUGAGCUAAUUUUGUUUAUUUAUUUAAUGUCAAAUAGGAACUCCUAAUUAACCUAACCCUUGGCCUGUGUAAAUUGAUUUCACAUGCCCAAUGUUGAAGUAGAAGUCCAUAUUUUGAAUUUUAUUUUUGUAAAGGUAAGGAAAAUGAAGCAUUGUGUAAUUAUAAAAAUAACUUCAUUGGAAUUCACAAGGUUCACCCAAAAUGGAGCUACAUCCGUAUUCUAUCCUGCAGUAGACUAUAUAGAUUGUACAAUAGUAAAUUGCAAAUACAAUUAAUAAGUCUUGUGCUUCCUUACUAAUAAUCCUUUGACAUGAACAUUGCAGCACUAAGGUCCUCUUGGGAAGACACCUUGCACCCAUGAGAGCACGAAGAGGAAGCAAGGCAGAGUCAUGGGUGCAAUGUCAUGACUUGUUGUUGCACCAAGAGAGGCUUGGUGAUGGCAUGGUGUUGCAGUAGCAAGAAUGUUGCCUUGGUAGGGACAUAAUCUAGGGAUAGAUGCCAAGAAAGGCUUAGCACUCACAUGAGUUGCACAAAGAUGAAUGUAAUAGAGCAUCAGAGAGACGUCUUGGCAAGUAAAUGAAUGGAUCCAAGAGGCAACAACAUGAGGAGUUUCAAAUGGAUAAGGAAUGAGUCAAAGACAUUUGAAAGCUACAAGUUGGAUUCUAAUUACGAUUGCAAUUUGAGUUUGAGUAGGAGUUUAGAUUCUGAUUGUAAUUGUAGUAUGAGUUGGACUAGGAUUGCUUAUCCCUAGUCAAAAUAGGAGUGGUUCGUGUCACACCCUAUGAAAAGAGUUUGAGUAGGGACUAGGAUUGCUUACUCCUAGUCAAAUAUGGAGUAGGUGGUGCCACACCUAUAAAAAAAAAGGGACAACAUGAGAGAGAGAGAGAGAGAGAGAGAGAGAGAGAGAGAGAGAGAGAGAGAGAGAAAGAGAUAAUGAAUUCACUAAAGAUAUUGUGGGAGUUUUUCUUUGUUACGUCUUGUAUUAUUACUUAGAAUAGGAAUAAAAUACAAGUUUGGGCUAGAGCCCCAUAAUUAAUCUCGUGUGCCUUUGUGGUUAUUCUUUAUUUGUCAUCUCGUGUGGAUUGGAUUACAUUGACUUAGAGGGCUUCUAAGCACCACCUUUGUGGGUUAUUAUUUAUUUUCCAUUUCUUGUGGAUUAGAUUAGGUUGACUUUGAGGGCUUUUAAGCACCACCUUUGUGGGUUAUUCUUUAUUUUCCAUAUCGUGGGGAUUGGAUUAGGUUGACGAUGAGAAAAAUUAUGUGGGAAAUUUGUGUUGGGACACUUAUCAUAACCAGGUAAAAUCUGCCAAGUCCUUUGUAAUAUCUUCAACAAAUAUUUCAGACUAGUUCUUCACCAUAAACAUCAUAUUGUGUUUUGUUUUUCUCCUGGAUUCUGAGUUGAAUUGUUUCAAGUCAAUUGAAUGCAUCUGAAUAUUAUUAGCUUGUUUGAAGGCCUGGUGAUUUUCCAUUUAACUUUACUUUCUUUAGGUUAUGCUCACUAUAAGAAAAAUGAGAAAUAAUGACGCUUUUUACGCGUUAAGAAAGGCAACAGAUGAUGCUUCUCUAAAGCGUCCUCUUCGGCUCUGUCAUUAUAUGUGUUAGCCAAUAAUGACGCUUCUAGGAAGUGCCAUCUUUGAAUAAUGUUAAUAACGACACUCGUAAAAAGUGUCAUCUUUAAACAUAUUCUGGUCAAAUAAUUUUUACAAAAUUAGUAAUCUUCAAGCCGUUUCUGAAUCAUAUCUGAGCCUAUUUCUGGGGACCAGAAAACCAUCUUUUUUCCAUUCGCCUGAGAGGUCUGAUUAGCAUUUCUGGAAUCAAUCUCUAAACCCAAGCUUCCCUCAUCUACCCAUUUAACCCUCAUGCCCUCCUGUUUGAACAACUUUCCCACUAUAUACACAAAUUUUUUACCUUCUGUUGUUGGUAUUCGACCUCUUCCCAUUCCCAGCACAGAAUCCACCAUUAGUGCCACUUUGUGAAUAAAAUCAUCGAACCAGAUCUUUCGGGCGGAAGAUGAGCUCCAGAGAAAUAAAAUUUUUGGGGUCUUCCCAGCAUGAAAGUCAUAGGUAGCAUUAAUGACAUCAAGAAAUGGGGCACUGUUGAGAAAAAACAUGUUCCCAUCAACCACCCAAGAAUUGUACCAGACUCCAAACACUUCUGGAUUACAUAUGCCUUUACUAAGAUAUAUUUCUUGAUCUCCAUAUCAGAAUCUUGGAGACUCUUCAUUUUAUGAGCUCUGACACUACUGUGAAAUUGGUCCACAUCAAUCACAGGAUGACCCCUUCUAGCAAGAUCAAGCAGGAAGUCUGAAUUCGGGCCCAUAAAAAUGUAGUUCUGAAUAUUGAAACUCUCAAAGUGGCACAACAAAUUCCUUAUGACUCUUUCAGAUGCUCCAAACAGGCUCACAAGUAUAAUGGUAUCCUGUUUUUGCACAGAGUAAAGAAAAUAUCCGAGUUCUUCAAAACUCCUUACAACUAUUCCAGGAUGUACUUCUUUGAAACAGAAAUCGUACCACUUUAGCUUAGUCAGAGGUUGAAUCUAAAAUAACAAAACCCAAACUGAAAUCAAAAUCGAAAUCAACCCUAAUAGAUUUCAGAAACAACAAAUUAAAAGAGUAAAGCACAAAAGGGGGAAAACACAUAUGAAGCAAUCUCCAUACAAGCCCUAACCUUAGAUAAACCCAAAAAAAAAAAUCAAAGCAGAGAGUUACCAUAGAGCAUCUCUGUUUCAAGCUUAGAAAAUGUUUAAUGCCAUUGAUAACUAGUUGGCUAGUGGUGGACUUCAAGCUUCUCUAUUUCGGUGUUAGUAGCUCUCAAUGGCUAUGGUGAGAACAAAGAAAUGAGAGGCUUAGGGUUUGGGAUGUGAGGUUAUUGAUGAUGAUGAGGAUAAAGUUAUGGGCUCUUGGAGGGGUUAGGGAAAUUGAAGAUGGCUGAGAGUAAAGGCUAGGGUUUUUGAGAUAGUUAAUAGCUUUUUAGGGUGUGACUGUCCAUAGAUAGAAGAUAAAUGAGGGUGUGAGAAUUUAUAGAUCUCUAGGUGAUAUGGCGGGUGUGAGAAUGAAAUUUUAGAGGGAAUUGUGUGUUUGGUAGAAAUUUCACACAUGCAUAUAUAAUGUUUCAGAACAUGGCACUUUAAAAAUACGACAAGGAAGAAAUUAUUUAUUGACGCUUAAAUAAAGCGCCAAGGUCUCCAACAUUUUUGCAAUCAAUGACGUUUGUAAAAGGUGCCAUUGAAUAGGAGUGCCAUUGCUUUCCCACAAAGCAUCAUUGUUAAUCAAGCCUUUAAAAAACGCCAAGAUAUGUUGCCACUUAGGUUAAAUAUUGACGCUUUUAAAAAACGCCAAGGAAAAAAACGUCAUUAUUCAUGUUUUUUGUAGUAGUGGCUUGAUUCCUAAAAAGUAAAGGAAAGCAAAAAGUAAAAAAAUAAAAAUGUGGAGAGUUAGGACAUGCGUUAUCUAAUUGUCCUAGUCCCAAAUAUAUUAAGAAAGUCAUGUAGGUUACUUGGAGUAACGAGUCAAGUAAAGCAAGCCUUCUAGUGUUUAAGACAUUAGAUAUUACCGAACUGAUUAUGUCAUUAAUGUAUUGCAUUUGUUGUUUCUAAUAUAUAGAAGAAGAUGAAAUUAUUGGAAUAAGUGGGAAAUAGGAAUAAAUCCAAGGUACCAAAAAGUCACUUUAUCUUAGAUGUUGUUGGAAACAUAAGUGAUUUCACAAUAACGACUAUGAGACAAUCAAGGAUUAAUAAGAUAGACUUUAUAUGAUAUACCUCCCAAUUAGAGCCUAAAAAUAUGGAUGAAGCACUUAGAGAUGAAUCUUCAAUUUUUGUACUAUAGGAAGAAUUAAAUCAAUUUGUUAGCUAUUCUUUGGAUAUUUGAUUCAUCACAAGCUACAAAUCACUUUUGAUGACCAAACACGAAACUAAGAGGAUUGGGCCCAAUUCGAUGCCUAUCAACAAUGAUUUGUAUUCCACCUCAUUAAUUAUUCAAAGUUGGGAAGCUAGGUCUAACCACUUUCUCUACCUGUUCACCCUUAGAGGAGCAGAAGAAAAUUCUAACUUUGGUGCCUAAUGCCUUUGACAAUCUUUCGACAAAGAGAGUUCACUAAUUACUUUGAUUAUUUCUCUGUUGGUCACUGGGGGACAAGACUUUUGUAAUGAAGUCAACUAGAACUUGCCCUUUGAGGGCCAUUCAUGGACGAUAUUACACCAUGAAUUCCCUUAGGUCAUGUUUGGUAUGUGAGAAUGAGGAGUGGAAUGGACAUCUUAUUCAUUUUUUCAUCUAUUCAAAUGUUGGGAUAACUCAAGUGACCAUGAGAAUGAAAUCAAGAAUGAUUCAAGGGAAAUGAAAUCUUACUUAUAAGUGUGAUUUCAAUUAAUCUCUAAUAGAAAUUAUUUUGAAUCAAUAGUGCAAGUUAUUUUUAAAAACAUUUUUCCAAAAUUAAAAAAAUCAAUUUUUUUUUUUUCGAUAAGUUGUUUUUAAAAGGAUUUUUUUUAUUUUGUAAAAAGAAAAUUGUAAUUCAAUUUAUAUAAUAUAAACUAAAUUUUAUUUUAUUCAAAAAGAAAUAAUUUUUUAAUUAUAAAUAAAUUAAAAAUAAAUACUUUUAAUAAAAUAUAAAUAGUAUUAUUAUAAUAAAAUCAUAAAUAAAUUUAAUUUUUUUUAUAAAUAUUAUAAAAAUAUGGAUAUUAACAUUGGAUAAUUGAUUUAUUUUGUUAAAAUAAAAAAUAAUAAUUUUUAAUAUUAUUUUAUGUUAAAUGAAUUUUAAAAUAAAGAAAGUUUAAUUAUUUUAAGGUAUAGAAGAGCCAAAUUUUGCAUUACAUACAUAACAAACAAUAUUUAUUAGAAACAUUUCUCAAGGAGAAUCUUAUUCCAUCUCACAAAGAUACUCGUUUAUUCGAUGUUUGACCAUCCGUAACAAUCAUGUCAAUUCUACUGAUUUAAUAAUUCCUUUACAUUUAUUACUCACUUAUGAACAUGGUAUUGUGAUUUAUUUAUUUAUUUGAUGUAUAAUUAAUUAAUCAAUUUUUUAAAUUUCAAAUUAUUUUUAAAAACUAUUCAUUAAGGAAUUUAAAGCAUUAAUUAUGUCUAUUAUUUUUUAUAGUCAUUAUAUAUAUAUUGAGUUUUAAUUUAUUUUUAAAAAUUAUUAAACUUAUUAAUAAAUUCAAUAUAAAGUCUCGUUUCAUUUGAAAUUCAUUUCUUUAGUGAAAAUUUUGAAAAAAAAAUUGUUAUUUAUUUUACUUUGUUUUAAAAAAAUUGUUUCUAGAGAACAAUAAUCAAAUAAUGGUAUGAAUUUUUAAAAACAAUUUUGUUUUUAAAUCAUAUGCCCAAAUAAUUUUUUUUUAUUUAGCAAAAAACUUUGUUGUAGUAUGUGGCUCAUAUUGAGGGAAAGACAUAUAUGGAGAAAAAUGUGCAAAUGUUGGAGUGGAGCGGAGUGGAAUGACGACAUUUGUCAUUCAAACUUGUAUUUUUAUUGUUAAGGGUGACCGAUAGGUUGGUACGGUUUAGGGGUAUUUUUGGAAUUUCAUUACCUGAGGGUUAGUAUAAAUACCAUUUUAUGUAACCCUAAUUUUACAUAUAAUGUAAGUUUUCUUCCUUGUUCUUGUGGACAUAGGCAAUCCGUCGAACCACGUUAAAUCUGUGUGUUUUUUUUUCUUUUUUCUUUUUCUCUAAUUUCUUCACCAGGAAUCGUUACACUAAGAUCAACAAACUCUCAAAGAUGAUUUUUAAAAUGAAAAAAAUAAUGUAUAGUGUGAGAAUUUUUUAUUUUUUAUUUUUUUAAAAUGAAAAUAAAAAAUUGCUUUAAGGUAAAAGUGUGGAUAUUAUUGUUAAUUUAUUUCAUUUUUCAUUUUCAUUUCCAUUGUUACCUACAAUUGAAAUGGAAACAACUAAUCAUUACAACCUUACAUUCUUAUAUGCAUCCAAAUACAAAAAUUGAAAUCACCAAAUUCAUAUUCAAGGCAAAAUAGGAAUGAAAACAAAUAUUCAUUCUCAUUCUUUAUUCCCACGUGUCAAACAUGACCUCAAAGUUAUAAACAUGAACAAGAAGUCCUUGAAACACCAAUGAUCUCUUCUGGUAUAUAUAUGAGCUUGAUUGACAACUGUUUUAAAUACAGUUUUUUUUUUUUUUGUUUUCAAAAUCAAAACAAAUUUAUUUUUAUUUUUUAUAAAUAGUAGUUUUUUAAUAUUUUUUUUAAACCUUAUUAUGAAAAUAGGAUGUUUUCUAAUAUCAUAUUUUAAUUAUUUUCAAUUAUUUUCCCUUCUUUUAAGGAGGGCUAUUUUAAAAAUAUGAAAAAUGAUACAAAAUAAAGCAUUACAAAUAAAAAUCAUUUUUAAGAAAUAUAUGAAAAUAAUUUGAGAACAUUUGAAGUUCCUUAAUUAAACUUUUGUUCUAGAAAAUGCAAGAAAACUGUUUUUGAAAAUUGUUUUCAUAAUGAUAUGCAUUGAUCGUUUAAAAUUUAAUUACAUGAUAAAAAGACCUAUGUAAAAACCAGAGUUAUAUAAUCAGUCAUAGAUCAAAUCUACUAAAUAUGAAAAGUAAGUACAUAGUUGUAUAUGACUUAGAUGGAGCCUUCUCCGAAUGACAUUCUUUAGUCGGUACUCAUAUUUUUUUGUUUCGUGUCUUCAACAUAACACCUCAUGAUCCUUAAUAAAUCACCUGAAAACUAUAUUAGCACCUUAUUGUUUAAUAUUUCUCUAAAUUUUUUUAUUAAGCAAAUAAAUUCCAAAUUUAAAAUGACAAAUAAAAUUUAUUAAUUUUUAAAAAUAAUUUAAAACUCAAAAACCAAUUUAAUUGAUAUUAAAAGUCAUGAAACUUAAUAAUAUUAGAAAGUCAUGUAUCCAAAUUUAUUUUAAAUGACUUGUUUAAUUUCUUGUUUAUAUAUAUUAUAUUUUUAUAAUUUUUUUUACUAUACAAAUAAAUUUUAAAUUAAACAAAACUUAAUGCGUUGAAUUCAUUAACGAGUCUAAUAAUUUUUAAAAGUUACUUAAAAUUUAAAUACUAAAUCAAUUAGUACCACAAAUUCAUGGAAAAAAAUUGAUUUAUUACUACUAUAUUGUUUCUCUAUUGCAUAGAACCAUUAUUUUUCAAUUUUUUCAUUUGGCAAAUGAACAUCAAAUUAAACAAGACUAAGUGUAUUAAAUUCAUUAAUGGGUCUAGUAAUUUUUUAAAAUAAUUUAAAAUUCAAAUAUUGAUACUCCAAAUUAAACAAGACUUAGGUGGUGUUUGUUUUUUGGUUGAAUAGAAAAAGGUAAAAUAUUUGACUUUUUCUAUUUAGUUAAAAGUAACUUGUUGACAUCGUCCAAUAUAAUUAAAGUAAACCUAUUGAGGGCAAGUUCACUUUAAUUAUGUUGGACGAUGUCAACAGGUUACUUUUAACUCAAUAGAAAAAAUCAAAUAUUUUGACUUUUUUUUUAACUCAAAUAAUAAAUCCAUUAAUACAAAAAAAUUAUGGAUAAUUUGAAACUUUCUUUCUUUUUUUUUUUUUUUUUGCUACACAUAGCUAUAUUUUUAUAAAUUUUAUCAUUAGAGAAAUGGAUUUCAAAUCAAGUGAAACUUUGUAUUGAAUUAAUGGAUUUAACAUUUUUUAAAAAUAAUUUGGAACUAAAAAAAAAAGAUUUAAUUACUAAGAAAAUCAUAGAUCAAAACUAAUAUAUUCUGAUCCAUGAUUUUAUUAUUUUUCCUAUACAUACAAUUAUAUUUUUAUAAUUUUCUCACUAGGUAAAGAUAUUAUAAAUUAAGUGACACAUAAUUAAUAAUUUAAAUUUUUGAAUGAAUCUUUUAAUUUUAGGAAUAAUUUGAAAUUUAAAAAGUUGAUCCAAUUAAUUGUAAAUUAACUUAAAAUAUUAUAAAAUAUUAUGUUCAUAAUUAAGUACUAAAUGUAUAUAUGUAAUGAAAACUUAACUAGUUACAUGUUACAAAAGCCAAAAUUUAUUCAUUCUUUAUUUUAAAUAAAAUAUUAUUAAUAAUUAUUUUUUUUAAAAUAAUAUUUAGUAAUUAUUGUUUUUAAAUUAUUAUUAUUAAUUUUUAAUAAAAAAAUUGCAAAGUUAUUAAUAUCAUUAUAUUUCUAACAUAAAUUUAAAUAGUAUAUUUUUUAAUAUAUAUAUAUAUAUAUAUAUAUAUAUAUAUAUAUAUAUAUAUAUAUAUAUAUAAUUUAUGAUUUCAUUAUAAUAUUUUUAUUCAUGAUUGACGAAAAAUUAUUUAUUGUUUAAUUUAUUUGAAUUGCAAAACUAUUUUUCAAAAUUCAAGCGAGAAAAUAGGCCUGGAUUUGAAUUUCCUGUAGAAGAGAAGGAUGUGGAGAAUAUGUUGGGAGUAUUUGUGGAUAAAGAAAAGGCCAGGGUACUGAGAAAGGAGAGAGAACUUGCUCUUGCCAAAAGAGCCCUGCACAGGUAUUCUACUGAUUCUAAUUAUCGGUUCUUACAUGAUCAGAUUUCAGAUUUAUUUGCUGAGCUUCUGAAAUCUGAUACAGUAUUUAAACUCCGGUGAGCUUUACAAGAUUAGUCUCGCAUCCAAUUCCAAAUGGUGUCCCACAAUUGAUUCUUCUUAUGAUAAAUCCACCUUGAUAUGUGAAAAUAUUGCUCGAAAGGUUUAUCCUCGCGAGGAAUAUCCAGAAUACUAAGGAAUUGAGGAGGCUCACUAUGUUUAUAGAGUCAGGGAUAGGUUGAGAAAACAAGUAGUUGUUCCAUUACAUAAGGCCCUGGAGUUGCCAGAGGUUUUCAUGUGUUCGAACAAGUGGGGAUCACUUCCCUACAACCCUGUGGCUUCAGUGGCCAUGAAAUCAUACAAGAGCCUCUUCUCAAACCAUGAUACAGAGCGGUUUGGUGAGUAUCUUGAGAAAGUGCAAACUGGGAAGGCUAAGAUUGCAGCUGGUGCAUUACUUCCCCAUGAGAUUAUAGCUUCAUUGAAUGAGGAGGAUGCCGAGAGAGUUGCCGAGCUUCAGUGGGCAAGAAUGCUGGAAGAUUGAUCAAAGAAAGGGAGGCUCACAAAUUGCAUUGCAGUAUGUGACGUAUCAGGAAGUAUGAGUGGAACUCCAAUUGAGGUGUGUGUGGCUCUGGGGCAGUUAGUUUCAGAGCUCAGUGAAGAUCCAUGGAAAUUAAGGUAAUGUAAUUACUUUCAGUGCAAAUCCUGAGCUUCACAAGAUCCAAGGAGACAGCCUUGUAUCCAAGACUGAAUUUGUGAGGAUGAUGGAAUGGGGUGCCAACACUGACUUUCAGAAAGUUUUGACAGAAUCUUACAAGUAGCAGUGGAGGGAAAUAUGAGUGAAGAUCAAAUGAUAAAGAGGGUUUUCGUUUUCAGUGAUAUGGAGUUCGAUGAAGCUUGUGGGAGGUAUAACUAUUGUGACUAUGACUAUGAUAUGGAGGAAAUUGACGAGAGUCAGAAGGCAUCUCAGAAGUGGGAGACAGAUUAUGAAGUGAUACAGAGGAAAUUCCAGGAGAAAGGAUACAGAAAAGUUCCAGAGAUAGUGUUUUGGAACCUUAGAAACUCAUCAGCGACUCCAGUGACGGCCACAGAGAACGGGGUGGCCUUAGUAAGCGGGUUUUCAAAGAAUCUGUUGACCUUGUUUUUGGAAGGAGGUGGAAUUCUGAUCCCUCAGGAUGUGAUGGAAUUCGCCAUCUCUGAUGAAGAUUACAAGAAACUUGUUCUAUUUGAUUAAGAUAUCAAGAGAUUUAUCAAUAAUAAUAUAUUUUUUUUCUAUGUGAAAUACAUAUAAUAUUAACUGUGGAGUUAUCAAAGUUCUGGAGGUUUAAUUAUUUCUUCUUUUCAAGUUUUGUUUAUUUAAGGUUUUCUUUGUCUUUGUUAGGAAUUCCCCUUGGGUGGACCCAGCUGGGGAGUUGGAUUGAGGAAGUAAGCAGGCGAACUUGUGUUCUUCUAUGGACAGAGAAAAAAAAUAAAAUAAAAAAAUAAAAAAGGAGGUUAUUUGCAUUUGGAUGUCGUGGUUUGAGGGUACAACUACAAGCUCGAAAUUGUACAUAAUGUGAAAACUCCUGUGUCCAUUGCUGAGAACAGCAUAAAUGAUGGUGAUUUUCAAGUUGUGCCUGGUAUUCUACAGGAUGAAACAAGAAAGGAUCCAGGUGGUAUAUUGAACAAUAUCCCAAUCAUGUUGGUGGCAUCUUUAUUUAGUUAAUGGUAUUCAUUUGGUGGAAGCUGGUUGUUUAUGAUGUUUUUAAUUUUUUUUAACAUGAAGUUCGAUCAAAUACGUAUCUUAGUAUGUUUUGUUUGAGCUAAUUGGCAAAUGCGCUUUAAACAUGGUCACAUGGAUGCAGUUUUAUUUGUGAAAUGAUAAUAGUCGAUUACUUGGUCAGUAAGGUUUAUAUCUCUAACUUCAACAUCUUAUUGUAGUCUUUUAAAAUGUCAAAAGUUUAAUGCUUGAGAAAUUUUGGAAUGGAGACAUUCUAAACAAAGUUAAUAAUCCACAAGACUUGGUAAAACCGAUCAGAUGAUGCUUACGUACAUCAAUGCCUUCUUUAAGCCAUAUCCUAUUUUCAUUGAACGGGAUGUGCCAUCUAGUUUGGUUCUUUAAGCCUCCAAAUCCUAAACCUAGUCUCAAUUUAGAGCAAAUUUAGGGUGCAGGGCCUGCAUGCCUCCCCCUCCCCCUUCCACAAAUAGUAGUGACCUUGCUAUGCCUAUGCAUUGUCAAUGCCUCAUUUUCUAUGGUCUCCAAUGUAAUAUCUUAGUUUCAAUGUCUCUUUCCUUACUAUCUCCAAUGCAAUAGAUUGAUUUCAAUACCUCUUUACAACUAAGACCUCCAAAUUUUCUUGGUUCAAACCUACCAGAAUUUUUCUUCUCCUUUGCUUUCUAUCAAUAUUAGUUCCCCUAAUUUAAUAUAUACUUCUUUAUUACCUUCAACUCUACCUCUCUUUCUUUCUCUAAAAGCUUCCUCAAAGAUUUAAUUGCUUUCUUGCAUGUUUUAAGAAAACAAACAUGCUCAUAUUACAUUACCUCUACUUGAGAUCUACCUUAUACUCUACCUUCUUUCUUUACCUCCUAUAUCAUCUACUACAUUAGCUUCAAAAAUAUUAUUUAGUUUGAUACUAAAUAAGGCUCCUAAUCCUACUCUUCCUUCAACAAACUUUCUUUUUACAAGUUCCUUAAACUUUAUUUUUUAUUUUUUAUUUUUUGGAAAUUCGGGUUAGAAAGAUUCCAUUACUCUUACCUAAUAUUUCAACCAUCAAGUUGAAUCCACUUAUUGCCUAAAUCCAAGGAGUCUGCCCUCCACAAAAACAAGGAAAUUGAUCCCACAAUAACAAGGAGAUUGCCUUCCACAGAAACAAAGAGAUCUCCCUUCACAGAAGCCGAAUACAUUGCAAUCUAUUUUCUUUCUUGUAAGAUCAAAUCUUCAAUCGAGCUCCAUCUUAUGGGGGCAUAUUAGAGAAAUUUAAUAUUAUCCUUAAUUUACAUAUUAAUAUUUAUCUAUUUAUUAUAUAUUGAAUUAAAAUAGAAUAUAGAAUUUGAAUCAUAGUAGAAGUUUACUAUAAGAUUGAAUUACAAUAGUUAAUAGAGUUUAAAUUAUAAUAACUCAAAUACAUUUAUAUAUAUUUGACCUUACGAGAUUUUCUAUUUAUGUAUUUGAACUACAAUCCUUAUGAUCCUUAGGUCUCUAUACCUUCGUGAUGGGCUCCUUGACAUUUCAUAGGUUGUGCUACACAUGCAUUUGAAAUUUAGAGUGCAUUUGACAGUGAUUCUGGGAAGUGUUUUUGGCAUUUCUAACACUUAAAAUUUUUUAUUUUUCAAGUAUUAGAAAUGCUACAAACACUUUUGAAAAUUACUGUCAAACACACUCUUAGGAGCGCAUAUAGUAGAAAACUAGAAAUUGUGGUUUUUUUAGGAUUUACUGUAAUGUCAUUAGGAGGGUAGUAAGUUGAAACUGAGUAUGAAUAAAUAUUUCUUUCUUUGGGAUGUUCUUCUGGUAGGUGCUGAUGAAACUGUUCUUUUUACUGCCAAUGUCACAUAUCAGCCAGAAAUUGAAAAUUUCAGUCAAGGUGUCCUCGGUUUUAGUGGUGAGGAAAGCUAGAAAUUUUAAGGUGAAGUUCUGUUAAAAACCUUAAGUAGCUGGGAUAUCAGGCCUGUUUUGCUUGAAAAAAAAAGUUGCAAGAUAACUCAUAUGCCAAACAGGUUCUGAUAUUGUGAAUCUAUCGGCAGACAUCAGUAAUCUCAUCUUCUGAGAUGGAUGUUGGGGGUGCAUGUGGUGGUGGAGGGGCAAGGUUUCAUUUGGUUUAUUUUGUUGAUGGAUAUUGUCUAGCCCCCUGCGCCAAGUUUGAGGGGUGGUGGGUUGUGAUGGCCCUACAAUUACUAUUAAUUUCUUCCUCUUUUACCGAUUAAAGUGUCCGAACAGUCGAAGUUACCCUUAUGCAUGUCAACUUGAUCACUUACCUCUUCAAUGGAGUUUAUGCUGGUUCAUUUAGGAACUGAUUUUUAUUGUUAUGCAUUCUAUGCUGAUGUUUAGGCCUCUCCAUCAUCACUAUAUACAAAAAUUCUAGGUUGAUACUAUAGGUUGAGAUUUAUUUUUUAAAUAAAAAAUAAUAAAAAUAAAAAUUAUGGUGAUGUUUAGUUGUUUUAUGGAAAAUUUUAACAAGUUAUUUUUGGGCAAGUUUUCAAACAAAAAGAAAAGUAAAAGUUGUUUUGACAAAAACAUAUAGAAAAAAAAAAUCAUAGAAAAGAAAUAAUUUCCCCAUAUUCUAACUUUUUUUAAUUUUUCUCAAUGGGCAAAGGAAUAUCAAAUCAAGUUUGAGUAGGAUUUCUUAAUUUUUAAAAUAACUUACAAUUAAAAAAUUUUGGUGUUUUCAUUUUUGGACAAUUUUUUAUUAAGCAAAUGGACUCUGAGUCAUGCAAGAGAUAUGGUUGAUUAAUGGGUCAAACAAUUUUUUUAAAAUAAUUUAAAACUCAAAUACAUAAUCAAUGUCACAAAAUUUAUAAACAAAAAUAGGUUUAGAGAAGAUCUACACAUAAUUUUACUUUUCUAAUUUUAUUUUAUUUUAUUUUUUUGUUGGAAAAUAGUCUUCAAAUCAUGUAAGAUUUAAUAGGUUAAAUUUGUUAACAAUAAAUUUUAAAUUAUAAAAUAUAAUCUGGAACUUAAAAAUCAAUUCAAGUAAUGCUAAAAAAAAUCAAAUUUGGUAUAGAAUGACUACGUAAAAUUUUUUACAAAACAAAUGAAUUUUAAAUCAAGUGAGAUUUAAUGCAUUAGAUUUUUAUCAAAUAUAGUAAUUUUAAAAUUUAAUUUGGAACUCAACAAUAGACACAAUAAAUACCAAAAAAUAAUGAACCAAAAUUGGUUUGGAAUAACUCCACAACCUCUUUUUUUUUUUUUUGGUGCACACGAAUUUUCUUACUAGGUAUAUUGCUUUCAAAUUGAGAAAGAUUUACUAUUUAGAUUUUUUUUUUUAAUGAGUUUAAUGGUAUUUUAAAAUAAUUCAAAAUUUCAAAAAUUGACUAAUUACUAUUAUAAAUUCAUAAACCAAGACUAAUUCAAAAUGCAUUGGGGGCUAAGGGGGUUGAAAAUAGGGACAAUGGGAUGGGUUUGGGACAUGACACUCAUAUCUCAUUUCCAUUCCAAUUACAUAGUUAUCUCCCAUCCUUAUCCCAAACUUGUGUUGGAGCAAGUUGAUUUGUUCCCAUCUUUGUUGAUGAAAUGACUAAUAACCUCAUCCCCUCCUUAUCUUAGAUGUACAUUUUGUCAAAUUUGAUCAGGUAUGAUUGAUCCAAGCCCUAACCCUAAUUGGUAAUGACUGGAUACUACACCUAAUUGCAUUCUUCUUUCGUCGCAAAAUAAUGAGAUUAUAAUAAUCUAGCAAAUAAGAAAAAAUAGUAUGGAAGUUCAAUUUAACACCAUAACUAUCAAUAAUUUUAAGCUUAUAGAUGACUUAAAUGAUUAAAAACUAAUGCAAAAUACCAAAAAAAAAAGUUCAUAUAAAGAAUUCACAAGAGAACAAAAUGAACAAAAACCAAAUAUGAACAUGGGUCAACAUUAGUUAUGGAUUUGGAUUCCUUUCAAGGCCAAUCUUUGAACCAAGACUUCAUCAAAUCUACUACUUCAAAGGCUUUUGUGUUCUUCUUGGGUUGUGCUCUCAAACAAAGACUUCAAGGUGAUGCUCUAGAUGAUUGCAUUACACAUAUUUAGGGUGGAGAGAUUGGAGAAGCUUGAAGAUGCCAACGAUGGGUACAAUUGAGUGGUCAAUAAGAACAAUGUAGCCUAUGACUAGUUUGAUGUCGUGGUACAAGAGUUUUAGGCAUUGAGGUUAAAGCAAGAGCAACAUGGAAUUGAUUUUGGAGUCUUUCAAUUAGUGUAAAGGAGGAAGAAGUGGUAUUGAUUCUAGAAAUAGGGUUUUAGGUGGUGCGUUAGAGGAUGAAGAAGAAGAAAAAGAAGGAUCUGUUGGAAUUAGUGUGAGUGUGAAGAGAGAAGUAUAUAAAUAAGGGGAAGUAAAAGCAAAGUUCUAAAAGCUAUAUUUUUUUUUAUUGUUGGUGUAUGGUUGCAUGAUUAUCCCUAUAAAUAAUAGGAGUUUUUUUGGUAUUCUACUAGUAGUUGAAGGAUAAUUUCAUAAAUUUAUAUUUAGAGUGGGGUGGGGUGAGUUGUGACAAAAUUCAUACCCGUCCUAAACCUUGGUUCAGAUUUUUAAAAUAUCCUCAAACUUAUCAUAUACCCAACUUUUAUAUUUCAUACUUGUCUUGAUAGAGGCAGGUUAGGCCGGGUUACUUGAGUAACCUACAUAAUUGUCAUCCCUAGUUGAAAUACACUUUUUUGGCAGUGGCCACCAACUGAGCUAGAAGCUUGAUCGAUUGACCUACAAGAUUAGUUCUCAUCAUUUUAAAAAAAGUUUUGGCCUUGGUUGUGAGUGCAAUUGAAUCUAAACUGGCAUUUCCUUAAUGCAUCUACUUCAAUCCUAAAUUUCUUACUUCCUAAGCCUCAAUUGUUGUUAGGAUUUUGGAAAGCCCAUUUCCUUAAAUUGUAAAUUUAAGAAAAAAUAAAAUAAAAGUGAGACAUUUCUUGAUUGAAUAUUGUUAAAGGUCCCUUGGCAUUAAGACUUGGUUGAAGCCUUGGAAGAUUAGUGGAACUCUCAACUUGUGUUUGAAUCUUGAGGAGAGUGGACGUAAGCCAAAAUUUUGUCAAACCAUUAAACAAAUUGAGUUUGAAUCCUCAUUUCUUGAUUUCUUAUUUAUUUGCUUUUUCUUAUUAUUACUUGAAUUGUCAUUUGCAUUCAUUAAUGUUAAAAUUGGUUAUAAUUAACCAACACUAAUUCUCUUUCCCCUUCCCUUUCUUGGGUGUAAACCUAGGUUGGAUUAACUAGAUUAAUUUAUAAAAUCUAUUAAGAUGGUAAAAGAAUAAUUAUUCUUAACACACAUAAGAUCAUCUUCAAUCAAAUGACUCAUUGGCUAAUAUGUUGAAUUUGCUUAUUACUUGCAACUCAAAAUUGUGUUCUAGUUGAUAUGUCAAGUCCCCAGUGUAUGGACAUUAAAUUUGUAGUACGUGAUGGUAAUUAGAUGGUCCAACUCCAAGAAAGUGAUUGAAAACUAGUUCAAGAAAGGUGCAAAAGGGAAUUGUUUUGGUAUUUUCGUUUUUAUUCUUGAAGGUGGCAGAGCUAAAAUUUGUGAAAUCAAGCAAAACAUACUGAAAUUACAUUGAAAGAAAGAAAAUGGGAGUUAAUGUCUUGCAGUAGAUGAUAAGGACUUCAUGCAUGUAGUAUGACCCAUGUCUUGGACUGAUGCCAACUCACGGUUACACUUAUACCCUUGGUUCUCUCUUUACUACCUUGGCUAACCUAGAUCAGGCUAUGAGAUAGGCUCCUCACCACACCAUUACUUGCCCAUUAAUUAGAGACAUUUUCAAGCACUGAGGUAACAUGGUGACACCAAGAGGGUUUAUUCCUCGCCCUCCUCGCCCUCAACAAGUCUAGACUUGGUCUCAAAAAAAUGGAGAAAAAUGAGGUGUCGUUAUGUAGAAAUACAACAACCAUGCCUUCCUCAUUACUUUGAUUCAGAAUGUGAAGGUGAAAUUGAGAAACAGAAACUCUUGAAACCAAAAUGAAAAUUGAUACUUUUACGAAGAAUUACAACAACAUUGGAGGAAGACUACAUUCUUCCUCUUUAUUCCUACAUUUCUACACUACUUCUACUCCACUCCAUAUUUCUACAUACAUCUUUAAUCAGUCUUCCCUCCUUUAUAUAGAGCCAUCUUCACACAAAUUCCGCAAGGUAGAAAAGAGGAAUGAAACUUGGAGCAAGGUUCGACUACUGGCUGUAGCUUGUCAAGGCUGGAAGUGAACCUUUUUUCUUGGCUUUUCUGGGCAUGGGUAGUAACUUGUGGGUUCCUUUUUGGGAUACAAAUGGCUAGAACAUGUGGCACUAUCUUGUUGGAUGAUGUGUCAAGCAUGUGGCAGCCAUCUAGUGGCGAUUAUGUCAAUUUUGGGAUGGAGAGUUGGCAUCCAAUUGCAAAGAAAUAUGACGUCUACCAACAGGCAAUGUAAACCUAUGUAGAUCAUAUGAAGAUAGAGAGGAAAAAUAUAGAAAUGGAUAUAUACCUAGAACUAGCUUUUUAUUAAAUGAAACGGAGAGCCAACAAUGAAGGAAAAUAAAUUUUUUUGGCUUAUAUCAAAGAGUUCACAUUGUGCUACCCUAGGUUUUCUUAAAACUUACUUUUAUGAUAACAAAAAAAAAAAAAAACAUUAUUGUUUAAUCCUUUGUUUUAAACGCAUGUUUAGCAAGUUAUAAAAUGUAAAAAUCUUUCUAAGUUCAAAUAUGAAGAUAUGACAUCAUUUCAAGCAAGAUAGUCUCUAGGAAUUAAUGUAAAGCUAAAUUAAGGUGAAAUUAAAUUAGUUCAAUGCAUUAAUUUAAGAAACUUGACCUAUCAAAAGUACAAAAUUAGAUGAAAUCCAUUUCAAUGGUUAAAAUGAUCAAAAUCAAACUUUUUCUAAGUAUUUUUUAAAAGUAUCAAUAUUGAAAGACAAUUUUAUAUUUAGUCAGAGUUUGGACAAAACCAAAAAGCACACAAAAUCCAAGCGACCAUCUCUAGCUUGGAUGGUCGCUUGAUCUCUAGCUUGUGUACUUGGAAAGCAACAUCGAGAUGAUAUAUAUAUAUAUAUAUAUUUUAUAUAAUAUUGUUUGUCCAAAUUCCCUAAAAAUUAGGCCACCACAUGUUCAUAAUUCUCCCUUCUUGAAUUUGAAAACUCGGACAAUUGGACAAUGCGACACCUAAGUCCGGUUUCUAAAUGCUAAAGUGAAAGGGUAGGUAUGGACCAUUGAAAUGUGAUCACAACUUUUCUCUGUAGCCAUGUUGUCUCUUUUUUCUUUUGCAUGAUUUUCUCACCUUAACAGAAUCAUAGACUUGUUUAAUCUCUAAAUGGGAUUAAUUUCAUCCAGCUUUAAGCUACUAUAUUAUAUCUAGGUGGAGGACUUUUAAGAGUGCAACCGACAUAGAGCACAUGCAAGUGGGUAUAUGGGACAUGAAAUUUCUUCUUAUAAAGAUUGCAUGAUUUUUAUAUUAGAGUUGUUGGGGCGCAAUGUAUGUAGCUUGUUUUGCAGUUAAAUUAAUUGGAUAAGUAGACAUUGGCGUUUCUAAAUCUACUGUGAAGUGCUUCAUGUACGUGUGAAGUAUUAGAAAUUUCUUUCUUGGCAACUUGUUUUUUCUUUGCGGUCUACUGAUAGGUUUGACUAAAAUUAUAUUCCCUGUCAUGCUAAUUAAUUUUCACGUGCAUGCUCAAAAGAAGAGUAUGACCUUAGUGCACCAAAAUCACUUUGAUUAAUUUGUGAUAGGUUUUUGUGCAUCAUGACAUUAGCCUUAUUCAUUUAGAUAAUGUUUAGUUUUUAGAAAGUAUUAAGAAAAGGAAAAUAAAUAUUAAGAAAAAUAUUCUUAUAUUUGAUUGUAUUAUGAAAAAUGUCAUAAAAAAAUCAAAUAUAAUUUAAAUUAAUUAAUAAUUUAUACAUUUUCAAAUUAUUUAAUCUUUAUAUUGAAGAUAUAAUAUAAAUGAAAUGAGUUUUAAGUAUUAUAUAAAAGUGAUUUAUUGAUCUUGCAUAUAUGUAUUUCUUUUUUUUUUCUUCUAUUUUUUUUCUUUAUUUUAUUUUCCUUAUGUUUUCCUCAACAUUUUCCGGAACCAAACAUAGCCUUAGGAAAUCCACAAUUACCUUCAACUGAGUAUAUUCGGUUGUUUUAGCAAUGUUAGGCUGCUAACUUGUGUUGGUACGAACCUGUUAAGCCUAAAGAUGUAAUUAGUUAGGAUAUUCUUUUCCCUCUAGUCUUGUAGCUCCACGUGUAUAGUUGGUUAGGACCUCAUUGUAUAUAAUGCCUGCCCUGUUAUUGUUGAAGACAACAGAGAUAAAUAAUAUUAACAUUUUUCCUCUCAUCUCUCUUUGUUUCCCUCUGUUUUCAUCUCCUCUCUCAUCUUGGUAUCAGAGCCUCCAUGGAUUCUUUCAAAGAAACCUCCGAAUCACCUUCUGCUAGCAUUGUUAAUGUGCAAAACCCAUUAUCUCAGUCAAACAACCUUCCUUCACCAGCAGCCACACCCUCUUUUUCUUUCUUGUCUAUGAAUCAACCUCUCACAGUGAAGCUGGAUAAUGGAAACUACCUCAUCUGGAAGAAUUAGCUUCUGAAUGUCAUCAUUGCGAACAGACUCGAUGAUUUCAUUUAUGGAACUCGACCCUGCCCUCCUUGAUUUCUCAAUCUGCAACAACAAACCCUCACUCCAGAGUACUCGGUCUAGCAGAGAUACAAUCGACUUCUAAUGAGUUGGCUGUACGCAUCCUUGUCCGAAGAUAUAAUGACUCAGAUUGUUGGGUAUUCAACAACUGUGGAGAUUUGGAACGUCCUUAAUCAGAUUUACUCUGCCUCUUCAAUGGCGUGGGUUACCGAGCUUCACACCAAGCUUCAAACGCUCAAGAAAGAUGGACUCUCAGUUGGUGAAUAUAUUCAAAGGCUCAAAUCCAUUUGCAAUAGUCUUGCAGCAAUAGGAGAACUAGUUUCUGAGAAAGACCAGCUUAUCUAUUUGUUCAAUGGAUUAUAUUGUGAGUAUAAUUCUUUUGUUACCUCCAUUCAAAAUCGAUCUGACCAACCAACUAUUGAGCAAAUCCAUAGCCUAUUGCUUAGCUAUGACUUUCGGCUUGAACAACAAAACUCUGUUUCUCUCCAUUAUGCCCAAGUCCGUAUGGCUCAUCUGAACAAGAAACCUUAUAAAUCAACUCCUCAACCUACAUUCAAUCAUAUUCACAUUCAACCUAGAUACUCUUCUCCACCUUUUAAGCCAACCACUAGUCAAUAUCAACCCAGGAUUUUGGGCAAACCACAACCACAACCAUGACAGCCUCAACCUCAAUGGAAACCACAUUUUUCAAUCCAGAAUCAAAAGCCUCAGUGCCAAAUUUGUGGUAAAUUUGGACACACUGCUCUUAUUUGCUUCCAUUGCACAAAUUUGAACUAUUCACCCCAACCUUCUCCUAAAUCUUUCAAUACUGUUCUCACCACAAAUUCCCAGCUCCCUAAUCCUCCAAAAUUUUCUUACCCUACAAUGGCUCAUCCUGCUGCUACGCAUAACACGAUUCCUGAUACAAAUUGGUACAUGGACUCAGGUGCUACACAUCACUUUACUCCGGACAUCAACAUGCUUGACACUGUGACACCAUUUAGUGGUUUAGAACAGGUGACAGUUGGGAAUGGUAAGCAACUCUGUAUCUCACAUCUUGGUACUGCAAAACUACCAUCCUCGUAUUCUCCUCUUGUUCUACAUCAGGUAUAUCACACUCCAAAAAUUUCAAAUAAUCUUAUUAGUGUUAGAAAAUUGUGUUCUGAUAAUAAAGUUUUUGUUGAAUUUUAUGCCACUCAUUUUCUUAUCAAAGAUCAAGUUUCGAAGAGAGUUCUCUUUCAAGGUCAACUUGAUAAUGGCUUAUACAAAGUUCAGUCGUCAUGCUCUCCUUCUACUAUUUCCUUUCAUCCUCAAGUUUUCAUAGCCAACAUCAAGGAUCAAAAUUUGUGGCACAAGAGACUAGGCCACCCAGCUUUAUCUGUUAUUAAUCAAAUCUUGGAUUCUUGUAACAUUGCUCGAACACAGAAAAUUGGUUUUAAUUUUUGUAGUUCUUGUCAAUUAGCAAAAAGCCACAGGCUUCCUUUUUCUCUGUCUCCAUCCAUUGCAGAAAAACCUUUUGAGUUAAUUCAUACAGACCUAUGGGGUCUUUCUCCUGUUCGCUCUAUUUCUGGUGCUCGUUAUUUUUUACUUUUCAUUGAUGAUCAUACUCGUUUUACUUGGUUUUAUUUGCUCAAAACAAAAGAUGAAGCAUAUCCUACUUUUCUCAAGUUUCAAGCUCUCAUUGAAAAUCAAUUUAAUACCAAGAUUAAGGUUGUCCAAUCUGAUUGGGGAGGUGAGUUUCGAUCUCUCUCCAUACUGUUUUCAAAUAUGGGCAUUGUCUAUCGUUUAUCAUGUCCAUACACCUCACAACAGAAUGAGUGGGUUGAGCGAAAAAAUCACCAUGCGGUUGAAAUGGGAUUGUCCUUUCUUGCUCGCUCGGGUAUGCCCUUAUCUUAUUGGCCUUAUGCCUUUCAAACUGCCACUUACCUUAUUAAUCGUCUCUCUACCCCUGUGCUGCACCAUCAAUCCCCUUACUUCGCACUCUAUCACAAAUUCCCAGCUUAUACUCAUCUUAAGGUCUUUGUUCCUCUUGUUUUCCAUAUUUACGCCCUUAUAAUACCCAUAAACUCCAAUACAGGUCACUGGAGUGUGCUUUUCUUGGUUGCAGUUCACACCACAAAGGUUAUCUAUGUCUUGACAUUCAUUCUAGCAGGGUGUAUAUUUCUCGCCAUGUGAUUUUUAAUGAAGAUUCUUUUACAUUCAAGAAUUUGAAAUCUUCUCUCUCUUAGUCUAUUUCUUCUUCCUCUUCUUUAUUAGUUCCUCUGUUCAUUUCCUUGCCUCCCCUCUCCCCAUAUCCUCCUAUUUCUCCAUCUAUAUCUCAUUCUUUUCUCUCUUCUUCUUCUACCUCUAGUACUUGUUCCCCUCUCGUUGCUCCUACCUCUCUUCCUCCCUCUUCACACUUUGUGUCCCAUCUAUUCCACCUCCUUCUCCACCUUCUUCGAGUGUGGACCUGCUUGUACCUUGUGUGAAUACAAAUUUACUUACUUUUUCUCGCACUCACAAUAUUCAUCCUAUGGUGACCAGAUCUAAGGGUUUGUAUCUAUAAACCUAAGUUGCUAUUGAGUGUCUCCAUAGGUUCUCUCACUAAGCCUACUUCCUUUCUUCAAGCUAUUAAAGAUCCUUCAUGGAAGCAAGCCAUGGAAUUGGAGUUUGCUGCCCUUCAACACAACAAGACCUGGCAUCUAGUUCAUUCACCUUCCUCAGGCAAAGUAAUUGGUUGUAAAUGGGUCUAUAAGAUAAAGCUUUAGCCUGAUGGCUAAUUGAGAGAUACAAGGCCCGCUUAGUAGCUUAGGGUUAUCAUCAAACUGAAGGUAUUGACUACUUCGAAACAUUCAGCCUGGUUGUCAAGCCUUCUACUACCGUAUUGUGCUCAGUCUUACUUUUUCCCAGAAUUGGUGUAUUAGACAGCUGGAUGUUCAUAAUGCCUUCUUACAUGGUGACUUAGCUGAAGACGUUUUCAUGGAACAACCACCUGGAUUUGUUGAUCCUCUCUAUCCUACUCAUGUCUGCAAGUUGGAUAAGUCUCUCUACGGUCUUAAUAGUCACCUCGGGCUUGGUAUACUAAGCUGAGUACUUCUCUACUACACUUGGGAUUUGUUACUUCUAAGAAUGACUCUUCCUUAUUUAUUUGUCAUUCGUCUCAUGGGUUACUUCUUGUUCUUGUCUAUGUGGAUGAUAUAAUCGUCACUGGGAGCCACUCUCCUCAAGUUACUCACCUUAUCCAAUAGUUGCAUCAUCAGUUUUCUUUAAAGGAUCUUGGUCAUUUACACUAUUUUCUGGGCUUGGAGGUUCAUCACACCCCUACUGGUAUUCACCUCAGCCAAGCAAAGUAUAUCACUGAUCUCCUUACCCGGGCGGCUAUGUUGGAUGCCAAGCCAUGUCCCACUCCUAUGUCCUCCAACACAUAUCUUUCUCUUCAUGAUGGAGUGGCUCUUGAAAAUGGUUCAGAUUAUUGAAGUUUUGUUGGUGCCCUUUAGUAUUGUACCAUGACACGCCCAGAUAUAGCUUUUGCAGUAAAUAAAGUGUGUCAAUUCAUGCACCAUCCCUCUGAUGUUCACUGGCAGGCUAUAAAACGUAUUCUCCAGUACUUAAAGGGCACAUCUCAUUUUGGUCUCUUCCUACAGCCUUCCUAUGACUUCAACAUCACUUGCUAUACAGAUGCCGACUGGGCUUCCUGCCUUGAUGACAAGUGUAGCACCAGUGGCUACUGCCUCUUUCUUGCCUCUAAUCUGGUUUCUUGGUCAUCUUCCAAACAAAAAGUGGUCUCCCGCUCCAGCGCCAAAUCAGAGUACCGAGGGGUAGCAAAUGGGGCUGCUGAAAUUGCUUGGACUGAAUCUCUUCUUUGUGAACUUUCCACCCACUCGACCUCCCCUCAUUGUCUGUGACAAUAUCAGUGCCACAUACUUAGCUGUCAAUCCUAUUUUGCAUGCCCGCACCAAAACAUGUGGAAAUCGACUAUCACUUUGUCUCGGAACGUGUUCUUCAACGCUCUCUCUCUCUCCAGUUUACACCUUCGGAUGAUCAACUUGCUGAUUGCAUGACCAAGCCUCUCUCCACCCAACGUUUCAUCACUCUACGCUCCAAGCUCACUGUUCUCACUAGACCAAUGAGCUUGAGGGGGGAUGUUAAGCCUAAAGAUGUAAUUAGUUAGGAUAUUCUUUUCCCUCUAGUCUUGUAGCUCCACGUGUACAGUUGGUUAGGACCUCAUUGUAUAUAAUGCCUGCCCUGUUAUUGUAGAAGACAACAGAGAUAAAUAAUAUUAACAUUUUUCCUCUCAUCUCUCUCUCUGUUUCCCUCUGUUUUCAUCUCCUCUCUCAUCUGAACCAAAUGAUCCAUGUUAACCUUGGCUUGGUUUGAUUUGGCUCUAUCUUAGAGAGCUCAAGGAUCACGUCAACUCUGGUUUCUACUAUUCAGGUCCAUUCCCAUAUGAACUGGUUCAAAUUUGAGAAAAUGGUAACAGACCUUUAGUGAUGUUGGUUUGGAGCCAGUUGCCAAACCCGCCCUGAGCUUUACCACUAAUGUCAAGGGAGAAAGCCUUUUGAACAAAAACAAUAGCUUCAAGAGACUGAAUCGUGGAUGAAAUCUGAUCCACAUUUCUUCUCAUUUUGGAAACAAAUGAGAACUUAACUAAGAAGAUUCUACGGCCUCAUAGUGCUUUUCCUGAUCUAAGGUUGGUUCGUUUCCCAAAUUGUGAGAUGCACGGGCCAGACUUCAGAACUCUCACGCUCAGGAGUGUAUCCACGUGGUGGACAUAAGAUGGUGGCUUAAGAUCUGGUGUCGGUGGCUUUACUUUACUAGGAGAGUAGUGUGUCUUCAUCUCAUUCACUGCCGGAGGGUGGCGUAAGCAGUGACGCUAAGGUGGGGCAUAGUCAAUAUCAUUUGCAUUUGACCAUUAUAGUUUUCUCCCGGCUUGAAAGUAACCUUAUCGUGAUAAAGGAUUACUAGCACUAGUUCAGAUGACAGUCAUGUUAAAUUCGGACCAUGUUUGUGUCACAUUAUCAGCAACCAUGUGUUUAUGGUUCAUGCUUUCUGCAACUGAAAUUGAAAUUGAUAUAUAACCAGGUGAACUUCAAUCUAAAUUCUGGAAGUACUCAUGUGAGCGAUGGUGCCCAUCUGCAGAGUCCAUCAAUUGAAAAAUGGAGUGAGUGUAUCUAUAAGAGGGAAGGCUUGGCAAAUGUCCAGUUUUCUGGGAAUUCAACAAGGAUCUAAAAUAGAUUGUUUUCUUUGCUGAUUUCAAUGGUUGAAAUUUGAGAAGAUUGUGUCCCACAUAACACAACUAUUACUGGUCCUUCUGUUGCAAUUUAUCCUCUAAGGCUCUAGCAUGUCUUCCAAUUCCCACUUCCCUGUUACUCCAGGAAAGCUAUUUCUGUCAUUGUGAAGAAGAAAAGAGAAUGUAGAUAUCGAUGCUUUUAAGUGACUGGAGCAUUCAUAUCAGGUGGUCUGCAGCCAUAUAUGCCACUUUGUGAAGAUUGGAACAGUCAAUCACUAGGCUAUAUAUUAGUGUGGCCCAGCCACUUUAAUCAAGGACAAUUCUUCAUACUUAAAAGUCAAAUUCUGCCUUUAGUCUCAUUAUAAAUUGCUGUUUAAAUAUUAAGCAAACAUUUGUUUAAUGCGAUUAAGACAGUACUAACUCAAUACUUGUUCUAUUUUUGGAUGGAAAUGCUUGAUGGUUUCAUCAUUGGAUGGGAUAAAGGUGCAUUCAUGAUUAUGAAUACUUGUAGUUAUAUUUUCAUUCUCUUUUUUCUCAAUGAGACUUGUUGGCACAAUUUUUCUGUUCAGAAACCUACCUCUCCAUGGAAAAUAAGUUGUGAUUGAUAGUACUGGAUAUAUUCAAGAAAGCUAAAUAUAGAUAGCACAAAAUAUUAUCGACAUAAAUAGCAUUAACAGCGUACGUAUGUCUCAGUGCUCAUCAGCCAUAAGCAUGGGGCAAACACUUACGAUGAGCAACUUACGUCAAAAUUCCAGAAUAGGACAUAGAAGUGACAGAUCUAUAUAUAUAGAACACUGCAUAAGAGUCACAAGAAAGGAAAUUACGGGUGCAUAGCAGCUCUUAUUUCACAUACUACUCAUACUGAUCAAAGUCACUCAGUUGGGAUGGGUGGGAGUAGGAGGUUUGUGGGGUGGCUUGUGCGGAGGAGUUGGCAGCUUCUUUCCAGGACCUGGUGGCUUCUCUCCCUUAGGUGGUUUGCCAACUGGGGUUGGUGGCUUGUAUGAGUCUUCAGCAUUCUCUGCAGGAGGGUGACCAGGGUUGUGACCAUAAUGUGGUGGCUUCUCUCCCUUAGGUGGUUUGCCAACUGGGGUUGGUGGCUUGUGUUCUGGGAGUGGCUUCUCCCCCUUGGGAGGUUUUUCCAAUGGGGUUGGUUUGUGUUCAGGAGGUGGCUUCUCCACUGGAGGCUUGUGUUCAGGAGGUGGCUUCUCCACCGGAGGCUUGUGUUCAGGAGGUGGCUUCUCCACCGGAGGCUUAUGCUCUGGUGGUGGCUUCUCCACCGGAGGCUUAUGCUCUGGUGGUGGCUUCUCGAAUGGGGGAUGCUUAGGGUAAUCAGCAAGUGAGGGGGCGGUGAGAACCACCAGGCCAAGCAAGACCACUAGCAAGUAUGUAGGAGACAUCUUUGGGUUUAGACUCAGAUGGUGCAAAACUAGGAGAAUUGUCUUUUAUAGCGGAUCGCACCCAAUAAUGAAAUGACACGUGUCUUUAUGACCCAUGUGUAAUGGGGUCGAUUUGGGUCCUACAGUGUUGAAAACUUCGACAUCCACUUUUGGCCUUUUGCUUUCUCUACAGCCGCCUUGCUUUUUCCCUCUUUCCUUUUGUUUUCCUCCUGCCCCAUUCUAUCAACUAAACACAAUUAUGUAGUUGUUUAAUUCUUAAAUGAGAUAUUAUCCGUCAAUCGUAUCAUAUUUUAUCAACAGAGAACGGAGUGCAAUGUGGCAAUCCAAAGAAAGAAGAUCCAUAAUGCAGCUGUAAUUUUAUCGUUUACUUUUAUCUCUUGGACCACUGCAUUUUUGUUAAGAGGUGCAAUAAUACACGUCUUUAUCUGCCAUUCAAUGUUUACAGUAAAGAGAGGGCACAAAACUCUUCACUGCUCUGCAUGUGUCCCAAAAAUGCAAUUGGACAAAUUAUGAUUUGCAUGCUAAAAAGAGGCAAAUGAGGUUAAUUCGCACCAUAAUUAUUUUGUUUUCUGGACCCCGGGGCCCUUUGGUUGGUUUGGGGGUCAGAAAAUGAACAUCAUAGGGGGUUUUUCCCUUAUGUGCAUUUGUAUCUGAUGGCUUUAACUCGCCUUGUUACUACAAAGAAAUUGUCACAUAUAGGAACUUAUUCCAGGCUGAGUAUCUCCGCAUAGACCCUAUAAAAGAAGACAAGUCAUAAUGAACAUCUAACCUUUGUUCAAUUUGAUUCAAUGCCCCAUUGUGUCCACCUCACAAAUCUGAAUUAUUAUAUCCAUUGAAUACAUAAAUUAAUGAAGAAAAUAUGAAACCCAAGAUACAUCUCUGCACAACCUCAACCCUGGUUGCUAUGUUUCCCUUCUAUUCACAUGAGGAUAUUGAUUACGGAAUAGGGAAACCUAGCAAGGGUUUACUCGGCUCUGGUUUGAUGCUAAUUGCCAAACUUGCAACAAGCCCUGAGUUUGAAGCUCACAGAAGAUGUUAUACAGGCAGGGAAAAACCUUCAGAGUUCGCUGCCAAAGAUAAUUAUUAAGGAGAUAUCACCAAGAGAAUUCCAAGGAGUCUGAAUCAAAGACAAAUUGGUCGUUCGUGGAGGUUCUUACUUUCUUUUGGGUAUAACUCACUGAGGGCACUGUCUUUUUUAUUUUCAUUUCACAUUUAGAGUUCUGUUCUGGAAACAUAUAAAAGGAGCAUCAGUUUGUUCUUGGGUAACCCAUAGUCGUGAGUGGGUCCAUUUGCAUGCUACUUAGUUGAAAAGUUGGACCAUUUGCUCCGACGCCUACCUCCUGGAUUCCAUGCUCGGAUAAAACAAGAAUAAAAAAAUAUUUAUAAUUUACAAAUGGGGGAAAGAAAAAAAUGUCAACAACAAACUAGGAAAAAAGAGUAGUAAAAUUCAUGUCACAUGCUAGUGAGAGAAGGGGUUGUUACACUCACUCGAAGUUCUUUUCAAAAUAUCGCAUGGUAUUUUAUUUUAUGUGUGAGCGCAGUUGUGAAUGGAACGUGCAAAAGUCCAAAUUGGUGACCUUUAAUAAAUAUUUAAAACAAAAAACGAAAAAAAGGAGGGAAAAGGGAUCAGAAAAGAUAAAACAAUGUGUACAAAAGCUCAAUUAGUUUGCAAAUUACUGUUUGGAUUUUGAUAGUAUUUUAUUUGAUGUAAAAGAGAAUUUAAGAUAUUUCCGAAACAAAAGCAUUAGUUUGCUCCAUGUCAAUUUCGGCAUUUCUCAUAUGUUUCACACAUACACAGAAGAGCAUCGUUUUUUAAAGCAUGCAUUUAUGUUGGAUUAAUUUGGAUUUUGUGGGAACUGGGGCAAGGAUCACAUGGAAGAGAGGUUGACUUUUUUCAGUACUUCAAUGGUUGAGACAGGUGAAGGCCUGAUUGAUACUGAAGCCUGAAAUUGCGACUCCGUCAUUUGUCAAAACAUAUGACAGCUUCCAUGCUCUCGUUUGGUUGCAUUGUUCUGUGGUCAUGCAUACAUGCCACUUAGUGAUCAGUCUGUAACUGUCAAUCAUUGGGCUUUGACUGAACAACAUCAGCCAUGUAUAAAUACUUGCAAAUCAAACGGUCUUCUUCCUCCCAUAAGGAAUUUCGGUUUAAUUAUGAAGCAUGCAUUUGGCUGACCAUCAUAAACCACUUCUUUAAAUUGAUGAAUGAUAGUUUUUCAUUCAUUCUUUCAUUCGUUCAUAUACAGAGUAUAUAUAGAGGGUAAUCAUCAUUCUAAGAAUGGGAAAGAAUGAUACAAGGAAAUAAUGAUAUAAAGAAAUAACAACUAAUAUUCUAAUAUCUCAACUUUCCUAAUAUCUAAACAUUCCUAAUAUCUCAACACUAAAUGAUAUAAAGAAAGAAUGAUAUAAGGAAAGCAUUCCUAAUAUCUCAACACUCCUCCUCAAGUUGGUGCAUAGAUGUCAAACAUGUCCAACUUGUCUAAAAAUUUUGAGAACAGUUGACUUGAGACAUCUUUGGUGAGGAUAUCGGUCAAUUGAUCUUCUGAUCGAAUCUUAGGCAAUUCCACAAUCUUAUCAUCCAACUUUUCCUUAAUGAAAAAUCUAUCCAUCUCGACAUGCUUUGUACGAUCAUGUUGUACUAGAUUAUGAGCAAUGUCACAUGCUGCUUUAUUGUCACAAAACAAUCGGAUUGGUUGCCUAGAUAGGUAACCUAAAUCCUAUAAGAGGAGUCUUAGCCAUAAUGCCUCACAAAGUCCUAAAGUCAUACCUCUAAAUUCCGCUUCUGCACUUGAACGAGCGACGACAUUUUGCUUCUUACUUUUCCAUGUCACAAGAUUACCACCUACAAAGGUAAAGUAACCAGAUGUAGAUCGCCUAUCAUCCACUGCACCGACCCAAACAGCAUUAUACUUCUAUACUCUGAUGAUCAACAUUUUUAGCGAACAAAAUUCCCUUCCUAGGAGCAUUCUUCAAAUACCUCAAAAUACGCAUGACUACAUUCAUAUGUUGCUCUCCAGGAUUAUGCAUGUAUUGACUCACUACACUCAAUGUAUAAGCAAGAUCUAGUCUUGUAUGAGCUAAGUACAUUAAUCUCCCCACAAGUCUCUGGUAUCUUCCCUUAUCGAUUGAUACUUGAUUAGGCUCAACACACAAUUUCAGACCUUCUUCUAUUGGUGUAUUAAUAGGUUGACAUCCCGACAUUCCAGUUUCCUGUAGAAGAUCUAAGGCAUACUUUCUUUGAGACAGAAAAAUUCCUUCACUUGAUCGAGAAACUUCAAUCCCAAGAAAGUAUUUCAGACGACCAAGAUCUUUCAUUUCAAAUUCUCUAGAUAGAUACUUUUGCAAAGCUUUUCUUUCUUCAGGAUCAUUUCCUGUAACUACAUGUCAUCCACAUAUAUCAUAAGUGUCGUAAUCUUACCAUGUUGCUUUUUCAAGAACAAAGUGUGAUUUGAAUUACUUUGAUGAUAGCCAAAAGCUCUCAUUGAUUUUGUGAACCUUCCAAACCAUGCUCUCGGGGAUUGCUUCAACCCAUACAAUGACUUCUUCAAUUCGCACACCUUCUGACAUUGCUUUUCUGACACCAUGCAUCCUGGUGGAAGAUCCAUAUAUACUUCUUCAGAUAAAUCGCCAUGCAGAAAGACAUUUUUUACAUCGAACUAUUGUAAUGGCCAAUCUAGGUUUGCAGCUAAAGACAAUAAUACUCGAACUGUGUUGAUCUUAGCUACAGGUGCAAAUGUCUCUGUGUAGUCAAUUCCAUAAGUUUGAAUGUACCCACUAGUCUUGCUUUAAAUCGUUCAAUACUACCAUCUGCCUUGUACUUCACAGUAUAGAUCCAACGACACCCAACUAGCUUCUUUCCUGGUGGACAUUCUACGAGUUCCCAUGUUUCAUUUUUCUGCAAUGAUUUCAUCUCUUCAUUCAUGGUUGCUUUCCACUUUGGAUCAGCUAAAGCUUCCUGCACACUAUUAGGAAUAGCUACAGUAGAUAAUUGAUUUACAAAUGACUUAUUUGAUUCAGACAAACCAUGGUGUGGACCCGCAUUUUUCACGUGCGCCUCUACUCGAUCGGCGAGACUCGCUUUCUAUUUGUGAAAAAUUAAUUUUAGAAAAGUUGGAGUCGCCACCUAUUUUAUUUUUAUUUUGAAGGGAAAAUAAAACAAGAAAGAAAAACCCUAAAAAGUGACUCCAUAGUUUUGGAAAAAGCAUGUCUUUGGGAAACCUGAGUCUAGGUCCGGGGAUCAUGUUACUUAUUGGGAAGGUACCUCUAGGAGGUAGCACCCCUCUAAGCCUUAUGAAGGUCUCUACUAACUAAAUUAAGGGAAGUGUGGCAAUAAAUCGAUUGAUCAUAGAUACCUAAGUAGACUAGGUGAUUUUAAAGUGUGGCAUGUCAAACACAAUCAAAUUGCAAUAAAGGAGAGUUAGGGCGCGUACCUGAACCGCUUCUCAAGCGCUAUCAUAAAACAUCAAUGGUUAAUUUAAAUAAUAUAUCAUCCAGCAUGUAUUUUAUUAGAAAUAAUCAAACAAUGAAACAUGUAUAUCAGAACACUCAAGCAUUAUUAGACAUAAGCAUUAUUUCACUAUUCACAGAAUUCAGAAAGUAGGUGAUAGAGGACAUACCUGGAUAGCAUAGAUAAUUUGUAAUGUGCUUCCUCAAGUUGUAAGGGGUUAGAUAACAAAUAAUAAAAUAUAGAAAUCCUAGCAUGCUCGUUAUCUAAUUAGCAUAGCAAAAGUGAUCACAGUAUACAGAAUCAUCAAUUAUCACAUACAUCUUGUAUAUAAUUCCUAAAAAAAAUAGAUAGACAUGAUUUCAACAAGUGUCAAAUGUGGCAACAAAAAUAAAUUUUGAAAAGAUUUUCUUAUGUAGGGGUUUCACCAAUUCCCCAAAUUAAUAUACACGAAUUUAGCUUAGAAUUAUCCCAUUUAUUUGGGACUACAAGCUUUGAUUCGUGUUUUUGUUCAAAACCAAAAAUUUUUGUUGAAAAUCAAGAAGGAUGCGAACCGAACAAGAUAUGGUUGCAUAUUAUUUUUAAAUAAAUAAAUAAAUAAAUAAAGGAGAUUUUGAUCCUGAGGACUUUAAUGAGUUUUUUUUUUUAAAAUAGAUUUUUAAAAUGAUUUUUUUGAGAAAAGUAUUUUAUUUUAAAAUAAAAGGGAUUAAUUUGGGAAAAAAAUAAAAUAUAAGAAAUAAAAUACCAAACAAAACAAAAAUGAAACCUCAAAGUAAAAUUUUUUUAGUAAUUAACAAAAAUGAUAAUGGUGAUGGUAGAGGGCAAUCUUCAUGAUUUUCCAAUGGCCUCAGAAAGAAAAUCAAAUUAAAUGAAGGAUCACUAACAGGCAAGACAUUCUAAAUUAGACAAACUAACAAAGUAUCAAUUCAUGAACUAACCGCUAGGAUUUUGAAAGCAUAUAAGCUAAGAUAAGGGUGAUCAGGAACUAAUAUUAAUGAUUUUGAAAUAAAAACUAAAAAAAAGGAUCAAUUCGGGUAAGGAACUAAAAUUAUAAAAGUACCUAAACUAAUUAUGACGAGUUUGACUAAAUUAAACUAAAAACAUGAACUUUCAAACAUAGAAUUAAUUUUACUAAUGAACCAAAGCAAACUAAAAAUAUGUACUUUCAAGCAUAGAAUUAAUUUUAUUGAUGAACUAAACUAUAACAAAUAUCUAAACUAAAUAUAAUGAAUCAAAUUAAAUUAAAGCAACUUAAAAACGCAAACUUUCAAACAUAGAAUCAAUUUUAUCAAUGAAUUAAAACUAUAAAUGUAUUUGAACUAAAUAGAUGAAUCAAACUAAAUCAGAGCAAAAUUAAAAAAAAAAAAGAACUUUCUAACAUGAAAUCAAUUUUAUCAACAAAUAAAUGAAUGAAUAACAAGUAAUUAAAAGAAUAGCUACUACAUGAAUAACUGAAUGAAUAAAAUUCAAAUGUUUUCAAUCUGAAGCAAUCAAUCAAAAUUAAAUAGGGAUCAAAUCAAAAUAAUCGAAAUCGGAAAAACAAUAUGCAAUCUUUCUAAAGGUUUAACCAGACAAUUGAAUUAAAAUUAUGAAUAGAAUAAAUUAAUAAACCAAAUCGAAACCUAAAUUGUACCUAAAAAGAUUAAUUAAUUAAACUAAGAAAUCAAAAUCAAUAACAAAACUAAACUAAGGAGUAAAUUAAGACAAGACUAAUUAAAUUAAACUCACAAACACGUUUUAACUAUCAUAUGGAUUAAAACAAAAUUAGCAUGGACUUAUGAAUUACGAACAAAAAUAAUCAAAACUAUUUUAAAAAACUCACCUCUAUUAUAAGAAAAAAUCUGCCUUUGAUGCGUUGAGGUGGCUCCCCUCUCUGUGUGGAUCUCUCUGCUCCCCAGAAAAAAAAUGUCUCUUCCUCCGUUCUCUUUUGUUUCAGCAAAAUAAUAUAUCCCCUGCUGUGGAUCUCUCUACUCCCAGAAAAUAAUAUAUUCUCUCCGUGUCCUAAAGUGGACCUAGGGUGCCUAAGUGGACCUAGGGUGCCUAAAUGGGCCUAGGGUGCCUAAAUGGGCCAAGUGUAUCUAAAUAGGCUUAGGGUGCCUAAGUGGGCCUAAGUCUAAGUGAGCCUAAGUCUAAAUCAAGACUACCAAGGAUCAUAAUAAGGGGUUAGGCAAUCCCUUAACCAAAGUCUCCAAGGUGGCUAAAAAAAAGUAAGUAGUAUGAGUAGCUAUGGGUCACCAAGGAACUACUGUGGAGCAUUGAAAACGAAUUUAAAGACAUGUGCCAAAGGGACAAAAUUGAGGGUCUACAGAUGGUUAGACACAUAGUUGCUCAUGGGAUAUUUGACUUUGGUAAACAAUUCAGAUUCAUAUGUGGGUUUAGGAAUACCUUUAUUAUGACGGUGUGGUAAUCGUUUCAUGAAUGGAUCAGGUUGCAAAUUAAGAACACCCUCAGCAAACAACGAUUGGUUUGGUAUUUCAGUGAAGACAUCUUCGAACCCAAAUUGUUGACCACUCAUAUCCAACUCACCCGCUUCCUGGUUCACUAGUUCAGAUUGUCCAAAUUCAUCAUUCUCAUAGAUAUGAUAAUCAUAAUCGAGAGUCUGAAUUUCCUUAUGGUACUCCCCCUGAAGUUCAGACUUAGAUGAAAAAUACAUCGAAUAUUCAUGAAACAGCNNNNNNNNNNNNNNNNNNNNNNNNNNNNNNNNNNNNNNNNNNNNNNNNNNNNNNNNNNNNNNNNNNNNNNNNNNNNNNNNNNNNNNNNNNNNNNNNNNNNNNNNNNNNNNNNNNNNNNNNNNNNNNNNNNNNNNNNNNNNNNNNNNNNNNNNNNNNNNNNNNNNNNNNNNNNNNNNNNNNNNNNNNNNNNNNNNNNNNNNNNNNNNNNNNNNNNNNNNNNNNNNNNNNNNNNNNNNNNNNNNNNNNNNNNNNNNNNNNNNNNNNNNNNNNNNNNNNNNNNNNNNNNNNNNNNNNNNNNNNNNNNNNNNNNNNNNNNNNNNNNNNNNNNNNNNNNNNNNNNNNNNNNNNNNNNNNNNNNNNNNNNNNNNNNNNNNNNNNNNNNNNNNNNNNNNNNNNNNNNNNNNNNNNNNNNNNNNNNNNNNNNNNNNNNNNNNNNNNNNNNNNNNNNNNNNNNNNNNNNNNNNNNNNNNNNNNNNNNNNNNNNNNNNNNNNNNNNNNNNNNNNNNNNNNNNNNNNNNNNNNNNNNNNNNNNNNNNNNNNNNNNNNNNNNNNNNNNNNNNNNNNNNNNNNNNNNNNNNNNNNNNNNNNNNNNNNNNNNNNNNNNNNNNNNNNNNNNNNNNNNNNNNNNNNNNNNNNNNNNNNNNNNNNNNNNNNNNNNNNNNNNNNNNNNNNNNNNNNNNNNNNNNNNNNNNNNNNNNNNNNNNNNNNNNNNNNNNNNNNNNNNNNNNNNNNNNNNNNNNNNNNNNNNNNNNNNNNNNNNNNNNNNNNNNNNNNNNNNNNNNNNNNNNNNNNNNNNNNNNNNNNNNNNNNNNNNNNNNNNNNNNNNNNNNNNNNNNNNNNNNNNNNNNNNNNNNNNNNNNNNNNNNNNNNNNNNNNNNNNNNNNNNNNNNNNNNNNNNNNNNNNNNNNNNNNNNNNNNNNNNNNNNNNNNNNNNNNNNNNNNNNNNNNNNNNNNNNNNNNNNNNNNNNNNNNNNNNNNNNNNNNNNNNNNNNNNNNNNNNNNNNNNNNNNNNNNNNNNNNNNNNNNNNNNNNNNNNNNNNNNNNNNNNNNNNNNNNNNNNNNNNNNNNNNNNNNNNNNNNNNNNNNNNNNNNNNNNNNNNNNNNNNNNNNNNNNNNNNNNNNNNNNNNNNNNNNNNNNNNNNNNNNNNNNNNNNNNNNNNNNNNNNNNNNNNNNNNNNNNNNNNNNNNNNNNNNNNNNNNNNNNNNNNNNNNNNNNNNNNNNNNNNNNNNNNNNNNNNNNNNNNNNNNNNNNNNNNNNNNNNNNNNNNNNNNNNNNNNNNNNNNNNNNNNNNNNNNNNNNNNNNNNNNNNNNNNNNNNNNNNNNNNNNNNNNNNNNNNNNNNNNNNNNNNNNNNNNNNNNNNNNNNNNNNNNNNNNNNNNNNNNNNNNNNNNNNNNNNNNNNNNNNNNNNNNNNNNNNNNNNNNNNNNNNNNNNNNNNNNNNNNNNNNNNNNNNNNNNNNNNNNNNNNNNNNNNNNNNNNNNNNNNNNNNNNNNNNNNNNNNNNNNNNNNNNNNNNNAACCAAAGGAAGCAUGUUCCAGACGUCGAUGCCACAACCAAAUUUCAGACUUUUUCUUCUCCUCCUUAGAUCCAUCUGCCAUCAAGGCUUGUUGCAACUUAUUUGAAUCCUUUGAUUGCAAGUCCAAGUAUAGAGUUUCCCCCGCUUAAUACGACAACCAAUCGUCUGUCUUGUUUGAAUGUCCUUAAUCACACAAAAUUCAGGCCAAAAAAUGACAAUACAAGAUAAGGCUGCAGUGAUUUGAGAAACUAACAAAAGAUUGUAAUCUAAAGAUGGAACAACUAAAACAGAAUCCAAAUUCAAAGUAUCAGUAAGAGUUAAGGAUCCUUCCCCAAUGACUGGGGUUGUGUUACCAUUGGCUGUGGAAACAAUUUUUUGUGAGGAAGGUCUAAGGGGUGAAACCUGUCUAGAAUCAAAAGUCAUAUGAUCUGUAGCACCAGAAUCAAUUAUCCAUGCACUAUUAAUAACAGGUGUAAAAGUAUUUAAAAACUUACCACAAUGAUCUGUAGCGGCUACUAAUGCAGAGACUUUCUCAACAACAUUAGUCUUUGUUUUUAUUUCGGUAACAGUUGCAAUCAAGGUUUUCUUGGAAUUCUUCUUCCGUUGAUCACGAUUAUUAUCAUUAAUAACAAAGUGUUGAUAGCCUAAACAUGAUCUAAAGGUCCAUGGUGCAAACCCUCGGUUCCUCAUUGUUUUCCUGGUCAUACCAAGAGUUGUUGCUUUGAAAUUGUGGGAUAUCCAGACUGGUGGGAUCAGUUUUAUUGCAGUGAGUGCAUUUGAAUGUUGACUUAUCAAUAUUAGGGCUUGUCUUCGGAUGGUUGAUUGCUGUUGGACUACCAUAGCGACAAAAUAUCCAGGAUUUCAAUUCCAGGGCUCUGAUACCAUCUUCAAAUUGAUGAAUGAUAGUUUUUCAUUCAUUCUUUCAUGUACAGAGUAUAUAUAGAGGGUAAUCACCAUUCUAAGAAUGGGAAAGAAUGAUACGAGGAAAUAAUGAUAUAAGGAAAUAAUAACUAAUAUCCUAAUAUCUCAACUUUCCUAAUAUCUCAAUAUUCCUAAUAUCUCAACUUUCCUAAUAUCUAAACAUUCAUAAUAUCUCAACACUAAAUGAUACAAGGAAAGAAUGAUAUAAGGAAAACAUUCCUAAUAUCUCAACACCACUUCAUGAUAUAUAUAGUUUCUUACCCUUAAUCAAUGGUUUCUAAGUGAAUUUAUAUAGAAAGAAAUCCAAACUGUAGACAGCAGUAUUGGUAACACUCAAUAUUCUGUAUAUAAUAGAAUAAAUAGCGUCACAGUGAUCGUCGCCUACAAGCAAGGUACAAAUACCACAAAGAGUGACCCACAUAGACAUUCCCCAACAAGAUGUAGUAGUGACUGACACAUAGCCACAAUUAACACGUAGAAAAGGAUAAGACCGGUGCACAGUAGCUCUUAUUUUACAUACUACUUAUGCCAACCAAAGUCACUCAGUUGGGAUGGGAGGGAGAUGGAGGUUUGUGCGGUGGCUUGUGGGGCGGAGUUGAUGGCUUCUUUCCAGGAGCUUCUGGCUUUUUCAUCGGAGCUGAAGGAGGCUCAAUCUUAUGAGGCGGCUUGUACGAGUCUUCUUUGCUCUCGAAAGGAGGGUGGCCAGGGUUGUGACCAUAAUGUGGUGGUUUCUCUCCCUUGGGAGGUUUACCAAUUGGGGUUGGUGGCUUGUGUUCUGGGAGUGGUUUCUCUCCCUUGGGAGGUUUAGUGGGUGACUUGUGUUCUGGAGGUGGCUUCUCCACCGAAGGCUUGUGCUCCGGUGGUGGCUUUUUGGUUGGAGGGGGCUUGGGGUAAUCAGCAAGAGAUGGGGUGGUGAGAACCACCAGUCCAAGGAACAACACUAGCAAGUAUGUGGGAGACAUUUUUGAGUUUGGGCUGAUCAGAUGAUGCAAAACUAAAGCAUUACGUGACCUUUUAUAGCAAGUAGCUCCCAAUACCUACUUGACACGUGUUACUGUGACCCAUAAAUAUUAUGGGGUCUAUUUGUGCCCUACCGGGUUGAAAACUUGGACAAUUGGGCAAGGACCCGCCUGACUAUGGAGGACUACUGAGGUGUGAUCACAGCUUUAGGAUUUUUCUUCCUCUGCAGCCGUCUUGCCGUUGGCAUGAUUUUCUUAAUCUCAAAUAAAGGCAUAGUUAUAGAGUUGUUUAAUCUCUAAAUGGGAUUUUAUAUAUCUUCAGAUAGCCAUUAAUACAUUUGAUGAAGAAAGAAAGACAAGUGCAUACAACAUGUAUACGACUAGCUUUCAUGGAGUUCAUUUAUGAUCAGUUUUCCUGUACAUGUAAACCAAGAUCAUAUAUGUUUUUGUUCCACAACAAUUUUGGAAUCUUGUUUAUCCGUUUUUAUCAUUAUAAUGUCACAUAGGCUGCCAACUUGGGCGCUAAAUUAAAGAUCCAGUUGGGCAAGUUCGUUUCAGAAUUUCAAUGGUGGAUUCAGGAAUUGUUUUAUAAGAUAUGCAAAAUAGUAGAGGGAUGAAUAGUGUUUCAUUAAGAAAAGAGCCCUGUAAAAAUAUUGUUUAAAGGUGCCAUAGAAACUAUAAUCAAUAAAUAACUUUUUUUCCCCAUGGGUGGUGUUUCUUGUGGGGAUCAGUGACUGGUUUGAGUCAACGCCGUGUCUCUUUAGUCCAGAAAUCAACUAUUUUAUGCAUUGAAUACAUCAACAAAGAAAAUAUGAAAGCCAAAUGACACCUCCCCCGCAAAAACUAAACCCUGGUUGCUAACUUUCUAUGUUUCAGUUCCAUUCACACAAGAAUAUUAGUUCAAGUUUGAGAAAAAUGGCGACUUACCUAGUGAUAACUCGGUCUUGGUUUGCGAUUUGACUUUAACGUCAUGGGUUGAAGCCUCCUACAAUCAUCGUGUAUGCUAGUUCAAAGCUCGUGGAAGAAGUUAUACAGGGAGGGAGAAACCUCCACAGCAAGCUCCAAAAGAGAAUUAUCACAUUGAAAGCUCCAGUUGAACACUGGGUGAAAGCCAUAACAAGAUUGGUUUUCUAUCGCUCUUUUAAGUAAUGGAAGAUUAUUAUCUCUGCUUGUCACUACAACCGUGCAUGCUGCUAGAUCUUUCUAGACACUUCAAACAGUGAAACCAAGUAUGAUUCUUUUUCUCUUGAGUGGGUCCACUUGCAUGCCAAUGAACGAGUUGAAAAGUUGGACAAUUGGCCACAGCGCGCACUUACCUUCUGGAACCGAAGGUCAGUGAAGUGGGGUUCCUUUUGGCCCCUUGUGUUUCUGUUCCAACCUACUCCAGGAACCGAAGUUCAGUGAAGUGGGGCUACUUUUGGCCUCUUGUGUUUCUGUUCCAACCAAACAAAAAUGGGAGGGAAAAAUAGCAUUAUGCUUGUGCUAAAGAUCAACGCAUGAUAGCUGAAUAAGGGAGAAAAAGGCAUUGCUAUCUCAAUUUCAUAAACUUGAUAAGUAGUGACAUUAAUAGUCUUCCUCAUAGAUGGAUACAUGGUUUUAUUUUAUUUAUUUAUUUUUAUUUUUUUGUUUUAUGUCAAUGCUAAUGAAUGAAGUGCAUUAGCUUGUUUUGUGACUAGAACUACAAAUGUCCAAAUUGGAGCUUCUCCAAUAUAUUUCUCAGUGAGUUAUUGAUUAGAACUCUUGGAUUGAGUUCCAAGAUUUGAAUCAGACCCCUCUAGCAGCUUCAGGGGUACGUAGCAACCUAUAGCAUAUUAAUGAAGACUUAGGAUUUAGACUUAGGAAUACAAAUUAAUAUGUACCUCAUGCUCUGACUAGCUUCCCUGCGUAUGCACAAAAUGGAGAUGACUCCCAAAAAAAUAGCAGAAUCGCCUUAGUAUGUUUUUGUGGUUAAGAUGAUUCUCCACUUUAUAUAUCCACAUUGGUUCAUUAUGCAAAUUAAUCAACUAAGCUAUUUUUAUUUUUUCUUAAAUGUGAAAUAGGAGCUCCAAAUUAACCUAACCAUUGGCCUGAUUGAAUUGAUUUCACUUGCAUAAUGUUAUAGUAGAAGUCCGUAAUUUGAAUUUUAUUUUUGCAAAAGGUAACGUAAAUGAAGCAUUGUAAUUAAAUUUAUUUGUAAUUACAAACUAAUUUUAUUUUAUUAAGAAUUAAUUUAAUUACUCAUUUAAAAUAAAAAUCAGUUAUACUUUUACCAAGAUGAUAAUAUUCAUAUUUUUCUAGUUAACAUAUAUAAAAUAGUACACUUUUUCAUAUAAAAAAAUAAUUUAUGAUUUAUUAUAAUGUUACUAUUCACAUUUUACUAAAUUGAUGGUACAUGAUAGUGAGAGAAGGGGGUGUCACACUCAGCUAAAGUUCUUUUCAAAAUAUUGCAUGGUGUUUAAUUUUAUGUGUCGGCGCGCGUGUGAAUGGAACCUGCAAAAGUCCAAAUUGGCGUUUCUCCAUUUUCCACAUAGGAUGGUGACGUUAAUAGACAAAGAUACAAUAUCUGUAGACAUUGCUUAAAAAUCGAUGUGAAGUAUUAGAAAUUACAGGGCACUGUACUGGGGGAGCGGCUGCCCCGCCAAAGGAGGAAGAAUGUAGCAAUUUCUUCUGUUAGCCAGGCCUUAGGAUUUAUGCAUGGGAUGCCUAAUAACAAACAGAGAAAAUAUACUUUUGGGGAAGGUAUCCAACAACAGACACCAUCAUUCAGAUGGUGGGAAGGUAUCCAACAGAUGCCAUCAUUCAGAUGGUAACAUAUAUAUACAUUUAUUAGUGAGUUUUUUUAAUACCUAUAAAAAAAAAUAUACACUUUGAUAUUGUGGCUGAAUCCAUUACAUACUCAACUAACCUUGCUCAUUAGGGAUUUGACUUAACAAGGGCAACGUUGCAGUACAAGCUCAAAACUUUAUGCAGGUGACAUUACAUUUGGUAAAGAAGAGGAAAAUAACGAAAGCCAUCCAUAAAAGCAAAAUUCCACAUGGGAUGAAAUUCACAAGCUUCAUUUACGAUAGAGUCGCAUCCAGGCAAUUAAUUCCACAUUAGACCGCCUGUUGACAUGUGUACCAAUCUUUUUUCAAAAAAUAUUUAUAAAUAAUUGAUACUCACAAAAAUAAUUUAAUAUUUAUAAAGGAUAAAAAAAUAUUUUCAAAUCUAUAACAAUUUAUAAAAUAUUAAUAAAAAAUUAUCUCUUAAACUUAGUAUAGUUUUAUCAGAUUAAACUUUUAUUUUGAACAAAUAAUUUUAAUCUAAGUUUUAAAUUCUAAAAUUAUUUCCUUAAAAUAAAAUUUUAAAAUUCAACACUUCAAUUGAAAUUGUCUUUUUAAAAAAUAUCUUCUUAUUUUAAUCCUUAUAAACUAUAGUUGAUUGAAAAUACUAUUGAAGUUCUCUCUUAAAAAAAAGUCUUAUUUUAAUCUUCAUAAAUUGCCCUUGAUUUGAAAAUAAAUUUUCAGUUAUCAUAUUUUAAAUAAUAUCUAUAUUUAAAAUACUCUAUUUAAAAAAAAAUGAACUAAUUUUAAUUAUAUUAUAUUUUAUUUUUUUAUAUAUUUUUAAUGAUAAACCAAACAUAGAAAAUCAUUUUUCUAAAUAUUUUAAAAUUUCUAAGCAACCAAACAUAAUCUUCAAAAUAAAAGGAAAAUAAGGAGGGACAUUUGAGAAAUGGCGAUUAAAAAAAAGUGUACAAAAGCUCAAUUAAUUUUCUUCUAGUCUUUUAUAUAAAAAAGUAAAGGAAUUGAAAAGUAUUGAUAUGUAAAUUAAUAUUUGGAUUUUAAUAGUAUUUUAUUUGUCUUUCUCUAUCUCAUGUAAAAGAGAAUUUAAGAUAUUUCCUAAAGCAAAGCAUUAGUUAUCUGCAAUCAGUGGUGAUCAUGCCCCAUGUCAAUUUCGGACCCAUAUCUUAAAACUGUAUAAUUUGCAUUCAAACAUUACUGAUUUCUCAGAUGUUUCAUACUCCACAGAAGAGCAUUGUUUGUGAAAGCAUGCAUUUAUGUUGGAUUUUGGAUGAUGUGGGAACUGGGGCAAGGAUCAUAUGGAAGAGUGGUCGAUUUUGUUCUGUACUUUAACAUUUGAAAUAGGAGAAGCUCGGGCAUUUGUGGGGCUUAAUUGAUUUUGAAGCCUGAAAUUGCGUUUCUGUCAUUUUGUAAAAAAUAUGGCAGAUUCCAUGCUCUCAUAUGUUUGGUCUGUGGCCAUGUAUAGAUGCCCCUUAGUGACCAGUUUGUAACUGUCAAUCAUAGUGUUUUGACUCUGGCUCAACAACAUCAGCCAUUGACGGAUUUUCAUACUUGCAAAUCAAAUAGUCUUCUUCCUCCCUUAGGAAUUUCGGUUUAAAUGUUAUUAAGCAUACAUUUGGCUGACAAUUAUUAACCACUUCAUGAUAUGGUUUCUUACCCUUAAUCAAUGGUUUCUAAGUGAAUAUAUGCAGAAGGAAAUCUGAACUGUAGACAGCAGUAUUGAUAACUCUCAAUAUUCUUUAUAUAAGAGAAUAAACAACGUCAUAGUGAUCGUCGCCUACAAGAAAGGUACAUUUCCCAACAAGAUGUAGUUGUGACUGGUACAUGGACGCAAUUAACUCGUACAAAAGAAUAAGACCAGUGCACGGCAGCUCUUAUUUUACAUGCUAAUUAUGCUAACCAAAGUCACUCAGUUGGGAUGGGAGGGAGAUGGAGGUUUGUGCGGUGGCUUGUGGGGCGGAGUUGGUGGCUUCUUUUCAGGAGCUUGUGGCUUUUUCGGAGCUGAAGGAGGCUCAAUCUUAUGAGGCGGCUUGUACGAGUCUUCUUUACUCUCGACAGGAGGGUGGCCAGGGUUGUGACCAUAAUGUGGUGGCUUCUCUCCCUUAGGUGGCUUGCCAACUGGGGUUGGUGGCUUGUGUUCAGGAAGUGGUUUCUCUCCCUUGGGAGGUUUACCAAUUGGGGUUGGUGGCUUGUGUUCUGGGAGUGGUUUCUCUCCCUUGGGAGGUUUAGUGGGUGACUUGUGUUCUGGAGGUGGCUUCUCCACCGGAGGCUUGUGCUCCGGUGGUGGCUUCUCCACCGGAGGCUUGUGCUCCGGUGGUGGCUUCUUGAUUGGAGGGGGCUUGGGGUAAUCAGCAAGAGAUGGGAUGGUGAGAACCACCACUCCAAGGAACAACACUAGCAAGUAUGUGGGAGACAUUUCUGAGUUUGAGCUGAUCAGAUGAUGCAAAACUAGAAGAAUUACGGGACCUUUUAUAGCAAGUAUCUCCCAAUACCCACAUGACACGUGUUACUAUGACCAUAAAUAUUAUAGGGUCCAUUUGUGCCCUACCGGGUUGAAAACUUGGACGCUUGGCCGAGGACACACCUGACUAUGGAGGACUAUUGACGUGUGAUCACAGCUUUUGGAUUUUUCUUCCUGUGCAGCUGUCUAGCGGUUGGCAUUAUUUUCUUAAUCUUAAAUAAAGGCAUAGUUAUAGAGUUGUUUAAUCUCUAAAUGGGAUUUUAUAUAUCUUCAGAUAGCCAUUAAUAUAUUUGAUGAAGAAAGACAAGUGCAUACAACAUGUAUACGGCUUGCUUCAAUCGAGUACAUUUAUGAUCAGUUUUCCUGUGCAAGUAAACCAGUUUUUUGUUCCACAACUAUUUUGGAAUCUUGUUUAUCAGUUUCUAUCAUUAUAAUGUCACAUAGGCUGCAAACUUGGGCACCCAAAGAUCUAGGUGGGCAAAUUUGUUUCAGACUUUCAAUGGUGGAUUCAGUAAUUGUUAAAAGGUGUUUCUUCAUUAAGGAAAGAGUCCGGUAAAAAUAUUGUUAAAAGGUGUCAUAGAAACUAUAAUAAAUAAAUAACUUCUUUUCCCCAUGGGUGGUGUUUCUUCUGGGGAUCAGUGACUGGUUAGGGUCACCCAAAAUGAGUCCAGAUUAAAAUUGGUUCGAGUCAAAGCAGUCUCUUUUGUCCAGAAAUCAACUAUUUUGCGCAUUGAAUGAAUCGAUAAAGAAAAAAUGAAAGCCAAAUCACACCUCCCCUGCAAAACCUAAACCCCGGUUGCUAACUUUCUAUGUUUCAGUCCUAUUCAUAUAGGAAUAUUGGUUCAAGUUUGAGAAAAAUGGCAACUUACCUAGGGUUUACUUGGUUUUGGUUUGCGACUAUUUACGCAACCAACCAUGAGUUUGACUUUAACGUCAUGGGUUGAAGCCUCCUACAAUCAUGUAUGAUAGUUCAAAGCUCGUGGAAGAAAUUAUACAGGAAGGAAGAAACCUCCAAAGCUAGCUCCAAAAGAGAAUUAUCACAUCGAUAGCUCCAGAGAUUCCCAAGGGAACUGAAUCAAAGACAAGUUCCUCACUUUUUCUUCUUUUGAGGCCAAAUAUGAACCAAGGAUCACACGACCUCAUUCAACUUCAUAAGUUUGAUUUCAUGCAGUUGAACACUGGGUGAAGGCCAUGACAAGAAUUGAUUAAAAAAUUCUACCACUCUUUUAAGUAAUGGAAGAUUAUUAUCUCUGAUUGGCACCACAACAGCACAUGCUGCUAGAUCUUUCUAGACACUCCAUGCAAUGAAAGCACAAUGGAUCUUGUAAUGAUAGAAACUAAGCCAUGCUACAGUACUAGAUGAGGGGGUAAAACUAGUAGACAUCUUUCUAGACACUCCAUGCAAUGAAAGCACAAUGGAUCUUGUAAUGAUAGAAACUAAGCCAUGCUACAGUACUAGAUGAGGUGGUAAAACUAGUAGACAUGGCUGGCAGUUGAUUACUACUCAAAAAGUACUCUUUUAUAGCUUGAAACUAACUGUUUUAAACACUUUUGAGUAGUAGUUAAUACCUUUUAACUUAAUUGGCACAUUAAGGAACCUAGCAAGGGUUACUAAUCAACAUUUGGCAAGUUUUGAUGUUUUUGGUAGCUAUUUGAUCAUUGAAACAAGCCAAGAAUGAGGGGGAAUUUUGUGAAGUCCAUGGCAAUGCAAGUUAAAGCUCAAAUACAUGAAGAAUCCAAGCUUUGGAGCACUUCAUAGCCCUUUGCCAAGCCAAUCAAAGAUGCAAGGAAGAAAACCAAAGGAAGAAAUCCAACAAUCAGCAUUUUGGCAUGGCUAUGUGAAAUUUCGCACACCAUGCGAAACCACAAGAGGCAGCCAAAGAAUUUCGCAUGGUAUGCGAAAUCUUCUUGUGCACUGACUCUGUUAGAUUUUUAUCUUCAGAUAUUUUGUGUAAUUUCCUAGUUUCUCCUUGUAACCAACUUAGAUAUUUUCUUUUAUAUCUUUUUUUAUAUUUUUUAGGUAACAUCAUAUAUAAGAGGAGAGACAUAAGGAGGAUAUGGAUGUUUUUCAUAGAACACUUGUAAAUUUUUGGUAGUAAGAAAUAUACAAAGCUUUUUGCUCUGCCUUACCUUCUCAAGGGAUGAGUGGCUAGGUUUUCUUGGAGUGAGGGAAGCUAGGUGAAGGACCUGAAUGCAAAGGUGGGAGUUUUCCUUACUUUAAAUGAAAGUAGUUGUUAAACAUUAAUGGUUUUUAUUUUAAGGUUUAGCUUUAAAUCCCUGAAAAACACCUUGAAUGGCCAAUACUUGGUAAGCUUUUUAGAUUCUAUGGAUGCUUAUUGCUAGAUCCAUGGAUGUCUAUUAGUUAUCAUUUACGAGCCAUUGGAAGGUGAUUCAAGGUGAGGGUCUUUAGUGUUUGAAGCCAUUAAUGGGAAGCAAUUACCAUUUUUUCAUGAAUCCUUUGGAUCAAAUCUUAAUUGCUAAAUAUAAAACCGGUUUCGAGAGAUAACCACCAUCCUUUAUGUUAUUAUCCCCAACGCGAGGAGAAGAUCCGAAAUCUUCCUUUUUAUCUAAGGAACCCGAUCCUAGUGACCUAAAGCUCCAAGAUACCUUUUCUUUGUAGUUAACUUCAUUUAUUGUUUUUGCUUAACUUAAAAUCAAUCUUUGCAACCACAAUUCCAUUUUCUUUAAAAGCUAAUUUUUAUAAGGAAAAACACCAUUUUAUUUCCUUCACUAAGUCAACUGUACGAUGAAAACCCAUCCCUGUGGACGAUCCUAGAGCCACUAUACUAUGUUAGCUAUGCUACCCUAGUGUGAGGUGAUUUAGGUUUUAUAAAUUUUUUUGAUAACACCCAUCUGAGCCAGAAUCAAAUGGCACGACUGAACCAGGGACGAAUCAAAUGACGCCGCUACCAAGGAUGGUGCCAAAGUACAUUGACAUGACUUUUGGUGAACACUUGUGAUCUUCACCACAAGUUUGGUGAUUUUUCUUUUACUAAUUUUUUUUAUUUUAGCUUAUCUUUUAUUUAGUUUUUAGUUAACCUUAAAUUUUUCCUAGAAUUGUAUUUCUUUUGUUUUCUUUGUUUUUGUUUCAGUGAUCUUUAGUUGUGCAUGCCCUAUUGGAUAAGAGAUAUUGAGGGAAUACUUGUGAAGAUUGAAACUCCUCGAGAAACUGAGUUAGAAGUGUGCUUGAACAUCAUGGAUGUUCCACCUGAAGACCAGAAUAGCCAACAUGGUUAAGAGGAUAAUUUCAACACAUACCGAUCCAUGAGGAACCGCAUACAUCCACCUUGUAUGAGUGCACCGUCAGGCAUAAUGCCUCCCACUGAGCAGCUAGUAAUCUGACCUCACAUUGUGCCACUCCUACCUACUUUCCAUGGGAUGGAGAGUGAGAAUCCCUACUCGCAUAUUAAGGAAUUCGAGGAGGUUUGUAAUACAUUCCAAGAAGGAGGAGCUUCAAUUGACUUGAUGAGGCUCAAGCUAUUUCCUUUCACUUUGAAGGAUAAGGCCAAGAUUUGGCUUAAUUCUUUAAGGCCAAGAAGUAUCCAAACUUGGAUUGAUUUGUAAGCCGAGUUUCUUAAGAAGUUCUUCCCUACCCAUAGGACCAAUGGUUUGAAAAGGCAAAAUUUGAACUUCUCAGUUAAAGAGAAUGAGAAAUUCUAUGAGUGUUGGGAGAGCUACAUGGAAGCUAUUAACGUUUGUCCUCACCAUGGCUUUGACACAUGGCUCUUAGUGAGCUAUUUUUACAAUGGUAUGUCUUCUUCAAUGAAGCAACUCCUAGAAACUAUGUGUGGAGGAGACUUCAUGAGUAAGAAUCCGGAGGAAGCCAUGGACUUUUUGAGUUAUGUGGCUGAAGUUUCAAGAGGAUGGGAUGAACCAAAUGCUAGAGAGGUGGGAAGAAUGAAGUCUCAACCUAAUGCUAAGGGUGAGAUGUAUGUUUUGAAUGAAGACAUUGACAUGAAAGCAAAGGUUGCAGCUAUGGCAAGGAGAUUGGAAGAGCUAGAAAUGAAGAACAUACAAAAAGUGCAAGCCAUUUCUGAGACAUCAAUGAAAGCUAUGCCUUGUUCCAUUUGUCAAUCUUAUAAGCACCUAGUGGAGGAGUGUCCUACAAUUCCAGCAGUGAGAGAGAUGUUUGGUGAUCAAGCAAAUGUUAUUGAUCAAUUCAAGCCUAAUAACAAUGCUUCAUAUGGCAACACCUACAAUUCAAAUUGGAGGAACCAUUCAAAUUUCUCUUGGAAACGAAAGCCACCUCAAUACACACAACCUACUCAAGCACCUUAGCAAUCCUCGAAUCUUGAACAAGCUAUUGUGAACCUUAGCAAGGUUGUGGGAGACUUUGUGGGAGAUCAGAAGUCCAUCAAUGCUCAACUGAAUCGGAGAAUUGACAGUGUGGAGAGUACAUUGAACAAAAGGAUGGAUGAGAUGUAAAAUGAUCUGUCUCAAAAGAUAGACAAUGUCCAAUACGUAAUCUCAAGGCUUACCAACCUCAACACAGUGUAAGAGAAAGGAAAGUUUCCUUCUCAACCUCAUCAAAAUCCUAAGGGUAUCCAUGAAGUAGAGGCUCAAGAGGGAGAAUCUUCAAAGGUGAGGGAAGUCAAAGUAGUUAUCACCUUGAAGAGUGGUAAAGAGGUUGAUCAACCCACAUCCAAGCCAAAGCAUAAUGAAGAGAGUGUAGCAGAAAAAGAAAAGAGAGGAAAAUAAAGGAAUUAGAAUAGAGAAAAAUACAAAGAAAGAUGACCAUGAGUCUAGUGUGGAUGAAGAGCCCGAGAGGAUGGUGAUCAAGGAAGAUAUGAUGAAGAAACACAUGCCUCCACCUUUCCCCUAAGCUUUGCAUGACAAAAAAAGAACCAAUAAUACAUCAGAAAAUUUUGAAGUAUUGAGGCAAGUGAAGGUCAAUAUCCCUUUGCUAGACAUGAUCAAACAAGUGUCGACAUAUGAAAAAUUCUUGAAGGACUUGUGCACUGUAAAGAGAGGGUUGAAUGUGAACAAGAAAGCUUUAUUGACCGAGCAAGUGAGUUCCAUCAUACAGUGCAAGUCCUAGUGAAGUACAAAGAUCCGGGUUGCCGUACCAUCUCAGUGAGUAUUGGAAGGACUUGUGUGGAGAAAGCUUUGUUGGACUUGGGAGCAAGUGUGAAUUUGCUAUCCUACUCUGUCUAUAAGCAGUUGGGAUUUGGAGAGUUGAAGCCAAUAUCCAUCACUCUAUCUCUAGCGGAUAGAUCAAUGAAGAUUCCAAGAGGGAUGAUCGAAGAUGUCCUGGUUCAAGUUAACAAAUUCUACUAUCCAGUAGAUUUUGUUGUUCUUGAUAUGGAUCCGGUUGUCAAAUGAACUAAUUAUGUUCCUAUCAUACUUGGAAGACCCUUCCUAGCUACAUCAAAUGCAAUCAUCAAUUGUAGGAAUGGAGUCAUGCAACUCACAUUUGUCAACAUGACAUUAGAGCUCAACAUCUUCCAUUUGUACAAGAAGCAUAUCCAUCAGGAGGAAAAAGAAGGUCUAGAGGAAGUGUGAAUGAUUGACACUUUAGUGGAAGAGCAUUGUGAUCGAGAAUGCAAAAAGAUUUAGUUGAGAAUUUUGGGGAUCUUGAUGAAAGGUUACUUGAACCCUCAGAUUUGCUUGCUACCCUACUCCAUUGGAAGAGAAGAGAAGAAAUUCUACCCUUAUUCAAUGAGGAGGAGACGCAAAGAGCUGCAAAGGAGAAACCCCCAAAACUUAUUCUUAAGCCACUACCCACAGAGUUGAAGUAUGUAUACUUGGAAGAAGACAAGAAGUGCCCUAUUGUUAUAUCUUCAACUCUUACCAUUCAUCAGGAGGAUUGUCUACUUGAAGUCCUUAGAAGAUGUAAGAAGACAAUAAGGUGGCUAAUUUCUUAUUUGAAAGGGAUCAGCCCUUUAGUCUGCACCCAUCAUAUUUACAUGGAGGAUGAAGCUAAGCUAAUUCAUCAACCUCAGAGAAGGUUGAACCCUCACAUGCAAGAGGUGGUUCGAGCUGAAGUUCUGAAGCUACUUCAGACCAGUAUUAUUUACCCCAUAUCAAAUAGCCCAUGGGUGAGUCCUACUCAAGUUGCGCCAAAGAAGUCUGGGAUCAUGGUGGUGCAAAAUGAUAAGGGAGAAGAUGUCUCUACACGCCUCACUACAGGUUGGAGGGUGUGUAUCAAUUACAGGAGGUUGAAUGCAGUGAUAAGAAAGGACCAUUUCUCAUUGCCCUUUAUUGAUCAGGUGCUUGAGAGGGUCUCUGGGCUUUUUUUUUUAUUGUUUCUUGGAUGGCUACUCCGGGUACUUUCAGAUAGAAAUUGAUGUUGAAAACCAAGAUAAGACCAUUUUCACAUGCCCAUUUGGAACCUAUGCAUAAAGGAGAAUGCCUUUCGGCUUAUGCAAUGCACCCGCAACUUUCCAAAGAUGCAUGUUAAGCAUUUUCAGUGAUAUGGUGGAGCGUAUUAUGGAAGUCUUUAUGGAUGAUAUCACCAUUUAUGGAAGUGCAUUUGAUGAAUGCUUGGUCAACUUAGAAGCUGUUCUGAACCGAUACAUUGAGAAAGACUUAGUGCUUAACUGGGAGAAGUGCCAUUUCAUGGUACACCAAGGGAUUGUCCUUGGGCACAUUAUCUCCAAGCAAGGCAUUGAAGUUGACAAAGCAAAGGUUGAACUCAUUGUUAAGUUGCCAUCCUCAACAAAUGUCAAAGGAGUAAGGCAAUUCUUUGGCCAUGUCGGGUUCUAUAGGAGGUUUAUCAAGGAUUUCUCUAAGCUUGCAAGGCCUCUUUGUGAAAUAUUGGUGAAUGAUGUUAAAUUCAUAUGGGAUGAUGGAUUUGAAAGGAGUUUUGAAGAAUUGAAGCUAUUUUUGACAACCGUACCAAUAGUGAGGGCUCCCAACUGGCAACUGCCCUUUGAAGUAAUGUGUGAUGUCAAUGAUUUUGCUAUAGGAUUUUUUCUUGGGCAAAGAGAAAAUGGAAAACCUUAUGUGAUCUACUAUGCGAGGAAGGCAUUGAAUGAGGCACAAAGAAACUACACAACCACCGAGAAAGAAUUGUUAGCUGUAGUUUUUGCCUUGGAUAAGUUUCGCGCUUACUUGGUGGGGUCCUUCAUCAUGGUUUUUACUGAUCACUUUGCUUUGAAGUAUCUGUUGACUAAGCAAGAUGCUAAAGCAAGGCUGAUUAGAUGGAUUCUCUUACUUCAAGAGUUCAAUCUCCAUAUCAAAGAUAAGAAAGGAGUGGAGAAUGUGGUAGCAGACCACAUUUCAAGGCUAGCUAUCGCACAUAAUUCCCAUGCUUUGCCCAUUAAUGACGAUUUUCUAGAGGGGUCUCUCAUGUUGGUGGAAGUUGUCCCUUGGUACGCUCACAUUGCUAACUACCUGGUCACGGGAAAAGUUCCAAGUGAGUGGAAAGCACAAGAUAAGAAGCACUUCUUUGCAAAAAUUCAUGCCUACUAUUGGGAAGAGCCAUUUCUAUUCAAGUAUUGUAUGGAUCAGAUAAUAAGGAAGUGCGUUCCUGAAGAAGAGCAACAGGGGAUCCUUAGUCAUUACCAUGAAAAUGCAUGUGGAGGCCACUUUGCUUAUCAAAAGACAGCCAUGAGGGUGUUGCAAUCGGGUUUCUGUUGGCCAUCACUUUUCAAAGAUGCCCACACCAUGUGCAAGAGUUGUGAUCGAUGCCAGAGGCUUGGGAAGUUGACACGCAGGAACAUGAUGCCUUUGAACCCCACUUUAAUAGUUGAUAUUUUUUAUGUUUGGGGCACUAACUUCAUGGGACCUUUCCCUAUGUCUUUUGGCUACUCUUACAUCUUGGUAGGAGUAGAUUAUGUUUCUAAGUGGGUUGAGGCAGUCCCAUGCAAACACAAUGACCAUAGAGUGGUUCUCAAGUUUCUUAAAGAGAAUAUCUUCUCAAGAUUUGGGGUGCCCAAAGCCAUAAUUAGUGAUGGGGGUACUCAUUUUUGCAACAAGCCUUUUGAAACUCUCCUAGCCAAGUAUGGGGUGAAGCAUAAGGUAGCUACACCUUACCACCCUCAAACUCAUGGACAAGUUGAGUUAGCAAACAGGGAGAUUAAAAACAUAUUGAUGAAGGUGGUGAACACAAACAGAAAAGAUUGGUCAGUCAAGCUUCUUAAUUCACUAUGGGCAUAUAGAACAACUUACAAGACCAUUCUCGGGAUGUCUCCUUAUCGCCUAGUUUAUGGCAAAGCAUGCCAUCUCCCUGUGGAAUUGGAAUACAAAGCUUGGUGGGCAAUCAAGAAGCUCAACAUGGAUUUGAGCAGAGCUGGGUUGAAGAGGUUCUUAGACCUUAAUGAGAUGGAGAAAUUGAGAAAUGAUGCCUACAUCAAUUCAAAAAUUGCAAAAGAAAAAUUGAAGAGGUGGCAUGAUCAGUUGAUUUCCCGCAAGGAUUUUCAAAAUGGACAAAGAGUCUUACUUUAUGACUCUAAACUCCACAUCUUUCCGGGCAAGCUGAAAUCAAGGUGGAUAGGUCAUUUUACCAUUCACCAAGUGCAUUCAAAUGGAGUAGUGGAACUACUCAACUCCAACAAUAUCGAGAACUUCAAAGUGAAUGGCCACCGUCUCAAGCCCUUUGUGGAGUCUUUUUCUCACAACAAGGAGAAAUUCAUCCUCCUUGAUCCACAUCAAGCUUAACAAGACCAAUUUUCUUGAUGGACUUAGUCUUUCUAAAGACUAUCGAGUCCAUAACUUUUUGUUUUAUUUUUUAUUUGAGAUUUUUUCGGUAUUGUUACUUGUUUUGUUUUUUAUUUUUCGUUUUAAUUUUAUUUGGUUUGAUUUAACUUAGGUUUUUGAUGAUCAAUUACAGGGGGGAUUUCAAAUAGAGGAAAAACCAAGAUAAUUCGCACACCCUACGAAAAUUUCGCAAGGCAUGCGAAAUUUAUGGCUUAUUUUGCAUGGGGUGAAAAUUUUCGUACAUCUUACGAACCAAUUUCGAACACUUUGCGAAAAUAAACCAACCCUGCGAAAUCAUUUCGAUUACUCUACGAAAUUUUCGUAGAGCAUGCGAAAAAUUUAGCACACCAAACACCAUUUCGCAUACUAUGCAAAAACCUAAGGGGUCUGCGAAACCAUUUCGCACCUCCAAAUCCAUUUCGCACAUUGUGCGAAAACCAAGAGGCGCUGUGCGAAAAUGAAAAGUCGCCCUGUCAUCCCUUUUUAAACCCCUCGAGCCCUAAAAUCUCCAUUUCGCAAGCACCCCUGUCCUUGCGAAUCCCUCAUUUUCCUCUACUACCUUGCAACCUCGUCCCUUUCCAUUUGAUAUUGUGCCCCGCGCACAUCUCAUUUCAGAGACUCGCACUCCGCGCCCCCUCAAAGCAUGGACUCGAGACCCACCUUCCAUUUCCGACGUGGCACGGACCCAAGGAGCCCUUUCUGCCCCUUCACUAAGACACACACCAAGGCAGAAAGCCUCCUUUGCUCAAGUGCCUAGUGAUUCUCCAUCUUAGGCCUCAGAGGCCUCGGAGGCCCCGUGGAUUCCACCUUCCGAGGGUAGAGCAGCCAUUGGUCCUUCCUCUUCUACUCCUUAGCGUAGAUACGAGACGAGGAGACCACCUACUACACAAGGGGCGACUACUUCGAGCCUUGAGAAUUCAGUACGAUGCCUUCCUGCCAAGAGGGUCAAGACUUCAGGUCCAAGUGAGUCAUCCAGAGCUUCAUAGCCUAAGCCUCCUGUAGAUUCCAAGGUUCCUACUGACAUAUCACCGGAGUCUAUUAUCAGAAGCCCGAUGCUCAUAGCACCGCCCAUUGAGGGCAACUCAGAUUAUAGAGCGAGAUCUUUCCACUUGGAGCUAUAUUUUGAUCAGGAGGCCAUACGACAGCAGCCUGAGCUCCGAGACUCUUAUGGCUUACUGCAGAGGUACCAUCUUGAGGAACUUAUGACUCCUCGUGAGUUUUUUUAUCCCAGAGUAGCACUAAACUUUUACCAGUCCAUGACUACUCGUGGCGUCCCGAGUCCUACCACGAUUCACUUCACCAUUGAUAGACGUCAUGGUAUCCUCAAGGCCAGACAUAUUACAGAGGCUCUACAAAUUCCUUUCGAGCUAGAGGAUCCAUCUGUUUUUCGCUAAUGGUCCCCAGUAUCUCAGAGGGACAUGGUCCGUAUUUUAUCUAGGGGAACAUCUACAGAUUCGAUCUUUCUACGGAAGGAGCUUCGACCUGGGAUGCUCCUCUUAGAUGUGGUGCUAUGCUCCAACCUCUUUCCCUUACAACAUUCGGUACAUAGGUGAUGAGCUAUUUUGGACGCUUUAUUCCGUAUAUCAGAGGGCUUCUACUUUGGCCCGCACCACUUGAUCAUGGUCUCCCUCAUCCACUUUGAGGAGAAGGUUCAUAGGAAGAAGCUUCAGAGGGUGGACACCAUUCCAUUACUAUUCCUGAGGUUACUUUGCCAGGUCUUGGAGUACAUGGGCUUUCCUACUGAGCCUCGGCUCGAGCUUUGCCGCCUUUGUCGAGAGUGAUCCACUCUCGACAAAUGGAAUUAGUUGGCGGGCUAUUCUGCACCUCCAGGAGCCCCUCCCAUGGUAGCACCUCCAAUGUCCCCACAGGCAAAGUAGGGCGAGCUCCCGGCAAAGACUGUACCACCAAUGCCCACACUUGAGGCUAUUUCUGCUGCUCUGCCUAUGACUCCUACUGUUCCACCAGUUGGUCCUUUUACAUCCGAGCCUUCCAUCACCAUCUCGGCUUCGGAGUUUCGCGCCCUUGUGCAUACCUUUCAGACACUCACCACCACACAUACUCCUCUCUUCUAGCAAAUGGUUGAGAUGUGUGCCCAUCAGGACCGGAAGACUACUAUACUCUGCCAAAUUCAGCAGCACCUAAGACUUUUGCCUCAACCUCAACCUAACCAUCCCAUAUCAUCAGAGCCUCUAGCUCCAACUGAGGAUACUAUUCCACCUGAGAACACUACCACAGUAGAGGUCCGGUUUCCACCACCUUAAGAGGCCACCACAGCUACAUCAGAGGAUGUGUCAUCUCCACUUGAGGCUCCCACUACUUGAUCAUAGGACAUAUCUUUAUCUUAUUGUAUUUACAUAUUAUAUUACUAGAGAUUUGUCCUUGUUUUGAUACUUUAUAUUCUGGGAUUGGAUGUAUUGCCUGAUGAUAUCUCAAUUGUACUUUCUCAUAUUAAUAUAUAGACAUCAAUUUUUUUUAGUAUACUUAGCAUUUUUCUAUUUCCUCUACUCAUUACUCUUUUGUUUUUUUUUACUCAUGUGGUUUCUCUUAUACAACUCAGACUCCAUUUCACUCAGGAGGUACCACUUCCUCCCUUUAUUUUCAAUUGCUCUUGAAAUAUUGAGUGCAAUGUUGAUCUUGGUUGGGGGGAGAGUUGAGGAAGGAAGUUUUGUUAAUAAUGCUAGGUUAAUUUGUUAAUUUAGUUACUUUCUGCUUAAUUUUAAAAGUUUUCACUCUACUUUCCAUGGUUAUUAAGGAAAAAUUCUCAAAAUGAAAUGGGAGAAAUCGAAUUCUUGCAUUUUUACUUGAAUCUUAGAAUUUGUAUCAUGCUUAUUAAAGUUGAUGAAUUAUUGAAACUCCUAUUGAAUUCAACCUUAUUUUUUCCACUUUAAUCUUACCACACACGGUGCACAUUAGGUUCCAGUUAUAAGAUAAAAAACUAUCUCACCCCCUAAACUUAGAAAAAUUUACACUUGGUACCUUUGACAUCGUUUUAAUAGUGUUGGGACACCUUAUAAAAGGCCAAUGAGCCUUUAAAAAAAAAAAAAAAAAAAAAAAGAGAAAGAACAAAGUAUUGCACUUGCCUUGAAACCUGAGCAAGAUCCGAGGGGUAUACAGUGAAAGUCUUUAAAACCUGGUGCCCUAAGCCUUGAUUGGUUGGGAGUCACCGACCUCAAUGCUCGUUAUAAGGGUGAAUAGGUGGAGUUUAACAUAUUGUAGGUGCUUGGGUAUUGAAUUUCAAUCUCAAAAGUCCGGGAAAAAAUCUAAGGAGUUAGUGGUCAAAAGAUCCUUAAAGCUUGAUGCCCUAAACCUUGAUUGGUUGAGAGUCAUUGAUGGAUCCCCGCUACAUGGACAUUUUAGAAAACAAUACCUUUAGCAUUGCACGCCUACAAUGAAAAAAAAAUGUGAAAUAAAAGAGGUGCGUUCUUAGCCUAUUGGAGGUUGGUCAGUUUGCUAAAGUUUGAGAAAUCUAGGUUGGGGGGAGAGAAUAGUCCGACAUACUAUAAUAAAAAACUAAUAACCUUAACACUUAGAUUUUUGUGGAAGAGUAAGGAUUGGACCUUUAGGGGUGGAAAUUCUUUUGAUGCUUAAAUUUGCAUAAUGCCUACUCUUUAUAAAUUAUGAUUAGGCAAGAGAUUUGAUGACUCUUGUUCAAAGUUGGGUUUUUCCUCUUUGAUGUUCCAUGAGAGAGUAUAAUCCUCAUCAUGCCACUUGAAAUCUUUUUGGAGUGAUUAACAUGAUUUUGUAAAUUAUUUUACUGUCUAUUUUUCUUUAUCUCUCUUUUAUUGCUAAUGGACUAGCAAUAUGUCAGUUGGGGGGAGUGAUUACUACUCAAAAAGUACUCUUUUAUAGCUUGAAACUAACUGUUUUAAACACUUUUGAGUAGGUGUUAAUACAUUUUAACUCAAUUGGCACAUUAAGGAACCUAACAAGGGUUACUAAUAAGUUUUUGGCAAGUUUUGGUGUUUUUGGUAGCUAUUUGAUCAUUGAAACAAGCCAAGAAUGAGGGAGAAUUUUGUGAAGUCCAUAGCAAUGCAAGUUAAAGCUCAAAUACAUGAAGAAUCCAAGCUUUGAAGCACUUCAUAGCCCUUUGCGAAGCCAAUCAGAGAUGCAAGGAAGAAAACCAGAGGAAAAAAUCCAACAACCAGCAUUUUCGCAUGGCUGUGCGAAAUUUUGCACACCAUGCGAAACCACAAGAAGUAGCCAAAGAAUUUUGCACACCAUGCGAAAUUUCGCAUGGUAUACGAAAUCUUCCUAUGCACCAACUCCGUUAUAUUUUUAUCUUCAGAUAUUUUGUGUAAUUUCCUAGUUUCUCCUUGUAACCAACCUAGAUAUUUUCUUUUAUAUCUUUUUUUUAUAUUUUUUAGGUAACAUCAUAUAUAGGGGGAGAGACAUAAGGAGGAUAUGGAUGUUUUUCAUAAAACACUUUUAAUUUUCUGGUAGUAAGAAAUAUACAAAGUUUUUUGCUCUGCCUUACCUUCUCAUUUUGUUUUCACCUAUCUUUCUAGCCAAACAACCUCUGAGAAUGAUUUCUCAGGGGAUGAGUAGUUAGGUUUUACGUUUCUUGGAGUGAGAGAAGCUAGGUGAAAGACCCAAAUGCUAAGGUGGGAGUUGUCCUUGCUUUAAAUGAAAGUAGUUGUUAAAUAUUAAUGGUUUUUAUUUUAAGGUUUAGCUUUAAAUCCCUUAAAAACACCUUGAAUGGCCAAUACUUGGUAAGCUUUUCGGAUUCUAUGGAUGCUUAUUGCUAGAUCCAUGGAUGUCAUUAGUUAUCAUUUAUGAGCCAUUGGAAGGUGGUUCAAGAUGAGAGUCUUUAGUGUUUGAAGCCAUUAAUGGGAAACAAUUACCAUUUUUUCAUGAAUCCUUUGGAUAAAAUCUUAAUUGCUAAAUAUAAAACUGGUUCGGGAGAUAACCAUCCUUUAUGUUAUUAUGCCCAAUGCAAGGAGAAGAUUUCGAAUCUUCUCAUUUGUCUAAGGAACCCGAUCCUAGUGACCUAAAGCUCCUAGAGACCUUUUCUUUGUAGUUAACUUCAUUUAUUGUUUUUGCUUAACUUAAAAUCAAUCUUUGCAACCACAAUUCCAUUUUCUUUAAAAGCUAAUUUUUAUAAGGAAAAGCACCAUUUUAUUUCCUUCACUAAGUCAACUGUAUGAUGAAAACCCAUCCCUGUGGACGAUCUUAGAGCCACUAUACUAUGUUAUCUAUGCUAUCCUAGUGUGAGGUGAUUUAGGUUUUAUAAAUUUUGUUGAUAACACCCGUCUGAGCCAGAAUCAAAUGGAACCACUGAACCAGGGACAAAUCAACAGCCUAUAUGGGAGGGACACAAGUUUAAUUGAUUUGCAUUUCAGCGUUAUAGAUAAGUAUGUUUUGGAAGAUUUGUUCUGGAAAUACUGCACCAAGUACGAUUCUUUUUCUCUUGAGUGAGUCCAUUUGCAUGCCAAUUAACGAGUUGAAAAGUAGGAGCACCUACCUCGUGCUCAUGGAACCGAAUGUCAGUGAAGUGGGGCUCCUUUUAGCCUCUUGUGUUUCUGUUCCAACCAAGGCGGCGUAGGGAAAAACAACAAUAUGUCUGUGCUAAAUAUCAACGCAUGAUAGAUGUUUUUUUUUUUUUUUUUGGUAUGUCAAGGCUAACGAAUGAAAUGCAUUAGCUUGUUUUGUGACUAUAACUGCAAAUGUCCAAAUUGGAGUAUCUCCAUUUCUCACUUCGGAUGGUUAACUUUAUAAACAAGAUAUAGGAAACAUGUGAACAUCUUGAGGAACAAUUCAAAUUAUUCAUUAGAAGUCCUGGGUUAAGUUCCAAGAUUUAAAUCAGACCCUUCUAGCAGCUUCAAGGGUACUUAGCAACCUAUAACAUAUUAAUGAAGAUUUAGGAUUUAGACUCCGGAAUACAAAUAAAUAUGUAUCUCAUGCUUUGACUAGCUUCCCUACAUAUGCAUAAAAUGGAGAUGACCCAAAAAAAAUAGCAGAAUCUAGCUUCCCUACAUAUGCACAAAAUGGAGAUGACCCAAAAAAUAGCAUAAUCGCCUUAGUUUCUGUGGUUAAGGUGAUUCUCCGCUUAAUAUCCACAUUGACUCAUUAUGCAAAAUCAACUGAGCUAAUUUUAUUUAUUUAUUUAAUGUCAAAUAGGAACUCCUAAUUAACUGAUUACUGUCGAAAAGUGCUAUUUUGUAGACCUAAUUAUAAGGGUUUUAAGCACCUUUGAGUAGUAAUCAUAUUCAUUUAACCUAAUUAAUUCAUUAAGCUCCUUAGUAAUUAGUUCUAACCAUUUUUAGUGGCAAGUUUACAUGUUUUUCAUCAGCUUAUGAACCAAUUCAAGCAUGCCAAUUGAUGGAGGAGCUACUUGGGCGAGUUAAGCAAGGAUUUUGGACGUUUACAGGCUUGAAUUUCAAGUGGAAACACGAGCACAAGCAAUGGGAACACCAUUUCGCAAGGGGAGGCAAUUCACCUUGCCAAAUGACCAAUUUCGCAAGGGGAUUUUCCUCAUGGUGCAAAAUUUGGUCAUUUCGCACCAUGAAGAAACCACCUUGCAAAAUUUCGCAAGGUGGAUUUAGGCACCUUGCGAAAUGCCAAAUUUCACAAGGUGGCUUUUCACCUUGCGAAAUUUGGACCUUUCAUCUUCCCCCCUUGCGAAAUGCCUUUGAAAUCCCCUGUUUUGAGACGCUGUUGAUGAUAUUCCACUGCCGGUUCUCCAAGAUAUUUUGCUUGACUUUUAGCUUUAUAAAUACCUAUUUUACCCUUGUAAUCAACCAAUGAAAAGGUUGCUUUUGUAAUAGCUCUUGUAAUUUAGCUUUUUAUUGUCUUUAAAUAGAGGUGAAGAGCCUCAGACACGAUCAUCUUGUAACCUGUAACUUUAUAAGUUAUAAGAGCACUUUUGUUCAUACGCUUCUUUUCUCUUUUCUUUCUCAUUUUCUUAGUAGCCAAACAUCCUUGGAGGAUGAAAUCCCCAAGGAUGAGAGGCUAAAACCUUUUAGUUUCUUGAAGUAAUGGAUGCCAUGUGAAGCUCCCGUGUCAGGAUGGAGAUUUCCAAGCCAUAAAUGUAAGUAGCUGAGCGUCAUAAAUGUUUUCAUUCAAAGUAAAGCUUUUAAUCCCUCUGACUUGCUUUGAAUGGCCAAUACUUGAUAACCUUUUGGUCUCAAUGGAUUCUUAUUGUUAGAUCCACUGACGUUCAUUAGUUAUCUCCUACGAGCCAUUGUAUUGCAAGUCGAGGAGAUGACCUAUACCAAUAAAAGAGCAUUUAUGAGGUUCAACUACCCUUUUUGUAAGUUUUCAAGGACUAAAACUCAGUUGUUAAACUCAUACCGGUUCGAGAAGUAAGCAUCACCUUAGUUGCUUCCCCAACUCGAGGUGAAAAGUCCCAAAAUCUCCAUUUUUACACAGUGAGUUAAGCAUGGCUAUCCAAAGCUUUAAGAAACUUCUUUUUCCAUCUUUUAACCUAUUUUCAUGUUAGUUUAGUUUACAACACCUUCAUCUUUUUAUGUUUUCAUCUUAACCUAAUUUUUAUUAAGAAAAGUUCACUCCAUCCUCCGAACUUCACCAGUUAAAGUAAAAACCCUUCCCAGUGUUCGAUCCUAGAGCCACUAUGCUAUAGUAGCUUUGCUACUUUAGUGUAAGGACCUUAGGUAUAAAUUUUGUUGAUACCCUUACAUGCCAAGCUACCAAGAGUCGGGUUAUCAUUAACCUAACCAUUGGCCUGUGUAAAUUGAUUUCACAUGCACAAUGUUGUAGUAGAAGUCCAUAUUUUGAAUUUUAUUUUUGUAAAGGUAAGGAAAAUGAAGCAUUGUGUAAUUAUAAAAAUAACUUCAUUGGAAUUCACAAGGUUCACCCAAAAUGGAGCUACAUCUGUAUUCUAUCCUACAGUAGACUAUAUAGAUUGUACAAUAGUAAAUUGCAAAUACAAUUAAUAAGUCUUGUGCUUCCUUACUAAUAAUCCUUUGACAUGAACAUUGCAGCACUAAGGUCCUCUUGGGAAGACACCUUGCACCCAUGAGAGCACUAAGAGGAAGCAAGGCAGAGUCAUGGGUGCAAUGUCAUGACUUGUUGUUGCACCAAGAGAGGCUUGGUGAUGCCAUGGUGUUGCAGUAGCAAGAAUGUUGCCUUGGCAGGGACACGAUCUAGGGAUAGAUGCCAAGAAAGGCUUAGCACUCACAUGAGUUGCACAAAGAUGAAUGUAAUAGAGCAUCAGAGAGACGUCUUGGCAAGUAAAUGAAUGGAUCCAAGAGACAACAACAUGAGGAGUUUCAAAUGGAUAAGGAAUGACUCAAAGACAUUUGAAAGCUACAAGUUGGAUUCUAAUUACGAUUGCAAUUUGAGUUUGAGUAGGAGUUUAGAUUUUGAUUGUAAUUGUAGUAUGAGUUGGACUAGGAUUGCUUAUCCUUAGUCAAUAUAGGAGCGGUUCGUGUCACCCUAUGAAAAGAGUUUGAGUAGGGACUAGGAUUGCUUACUCCUAGUCAAAUAUGGAGUAGGUGGUGCCACACCUAUAAAAAAAAGGGACAACAUGAGAGAGAGAGAGAGAGAGAAAGAGAGAGUGAAUUCACUAAAGAUAUUGUGGGAGUUUUGCUUUGUUACGUCUUGUAUUAUUACUUAGAAUAGGAAUAAAAUACAAGUUGGGGCUAGAGCCCCAUAAUUAAUCUCGUGUGCCUUUGUGGUUAUUCUUUAUUUGUCAUCUCGUGUGGAUUGGAUUAGGUUGACUUAGAGGGCUUCUAAGCACCACCUUUGUGGGUUAUUAUUUAUUUUCCAUCUCUUGUGGAUUAGAUUAGGUUGACUUAGAGGGCUUCUGAGCACCACCUUUGUGGGUUAUUAUUUAUUUUCCAUCUAUUGUGGAUUAGAUUAGGUUGACUUAGAGGGCUUUUAAGCACCACAUUUGUGGGUUAUUCUUUAUUUUCCAUAUCGUGUGGGUUGGAUUAGGUUGACAAGGAGAAAAAUUAUGUGGGAAAUUUGUGUUGGGACACUUACCAUAACCAAGUAAAAUCUACCAAGUCCUUUGUAAUAUCUUCAACAAAUAUUUUAGACUAGUUCUUUCAGUUAGUGUAAAGGAGGAAGAAGUGGUAUUGAUUCUAGAAAUAGGGUGUGUGUAUUUGAACUACAAUCCUUAUGAUCCUUAGGUCUCUAAACCUUCGUGAUGGGCUCCCUGACAUUUCAUAGGUUGUGCUACACAUGCGUUUGAAAUUUAGAGUGCGUUUGACAGUGAUUCCGGGAAGUGUUUUUGGCCUUUCUUACACUUGAAAAUUUUUAUUUUUCAAGUAUUAGAAAUGCUACAAACACUUUUGAAAAUUACUGUCAAACACACUCUUAGGAGCGCACAUAUAUAGUAGAAAACUAGAAAUUGUGGUUUUUUUAGGAUUUACUGUAAUGUCAUUAGGAGGGUAGUAAGUUGAAAUUGAGUAUGAACAAAUAUUUCUUUCUUUGGGAUGUUCUUCUAGUAGGUGCUGAUGAAACUGUUCUUUCUACUGCCAAUGUCACAUAUCAGCCAGAAAUUGAAAAUUUCAGUCAAGGUGUCCUCUGUUUUAGUGGUGAGGAAAGCUAGAAAUUUUAAGGUGAAGUUUUGUUAAAAACCUUAAGUAGCUGGGAUAUCAGGCCUGUUUUGCUUGAAAAAAAAAGUUGCAAGAUAACUCAUAUGCCAAACAGGUUCUGAUAUUGUGAAUCUAUCGGCAGACAUCAGUAAUCUCAUCUUCUGAGAUGGAUGUUGGGGGUGCAUGUGGUGGUGGAGGGGCAAGGUUUCAUUUGGUUUAUUUUGUUGAUGGAUAUUGUCUAGCCACCUGCGCCAAGUUUGAGGGGUGGUGGGUUGUGAUGACCCUACAAUUACUAUUAAUUUCUUCAUCUUUUACCGAUUAAAGUGUCCGAACAGUCGAAGUUACCCUUAUGCAUGUCAACUUGAUCACUUACCUCUUCAAUGGAGUUUAUGCUGGUUCAUUUAGGAACUGAUUUUUAUUGUUAUGUAUUAUAUGCUGAUGUUUAGGUCUCUCCAUCAUCACUAUAUACAAAAAUUCUAGGUUGAUACUAUAGGUUGAGAUUUAUUUUUUAAAUAAAAAAUAAUAAAAAUAAAAAUUAUGGUGAUGUUUAGUUGUUUUAUGGAAAAUUUUAACAAGUAAAAGUUAUUUUUGGGCAAGUUUUCAAACAAAAAGAAAAGUAAAAGUUGUUUUGACAAAAACAUAUAGAAAAAAAAAUCAUAGAAAAUAAAUAAUUUCCCCAUAUUCUAACUUUUUUGAAUUUUUCUCAAUGGGCAAAGGAAUAUCAAAUCAAGUUUGAGUAGGAUUUCUUAAUUUUUAAAAUAACUUACAAUUAAAAAAUUUUGGUGUUUUCAUUUUUGGACAAUUUUUUAUUAAGCAAAUGGACUCUGAGUCAUGCAAGAGAUAUGGUUCAUUAACCGGUCGAACAAUUUUUUUAAAUUAAUUUAAAAGUCAAAUACAUAAUCAAUUUCACAAAAUUUAUAAACAAAAAUAGGUUUAGAGAAGAUCUACACAUAAUUUUACUUUUCUAAUUUUAUUUUAUUUUAUUUUUUGUUGGAAAAUAGUCUUCAAAUCAUGUAAGAUUUAAUAGGUUAAAUUUGUUAACAAUAAAUUUUAAAUUAUAAAAUAUAAUCUGGAACUCAAAAAUCAAUUCAAGUAAUGCUAAAAAAAAAUCAAAUUUGGUAUAGAAUGACUUUGUAAAUUUUUUUACAAAACAAAUGAAUUUUAAAUCAAGUGAGAUUUAAUGCAUUAGAUUUUUAUCAAAUAUAGUAAUUUUAAAAAUAAAUUUGGAACUCAACAAUAGACACAAUAAAUACCAAAAAAUAAUGAACCAAAAUUGGUUUGGAAUAACUCCACAACCUUUUUUUUUUUUUUUUGGUGCACACGAAUUUUCUUACUAGGUAUAUUGCUUUCAAAUUGAGAAAGAUUUACCAUUUAGAUUUUUUUUUAAUGAGUUUAAUGGUAUUUUAAAAUAAUUCAAAAUUUAAAAAAUUGACUAAUUAAUAUUAUAAAUUGAUAAACCAAGACUAUUUCAAAAUGCAUUGGGGGCUAAGGGGGUUGAAAAUAGGGACAAUGGGAUGGGUUUGGGACAUGACACUCAUAUCUCAUUUCCAUUCCAAUUACACAGUUAUCUCCCAUCCUUAUCCCAAACUUGUGUUGGAGCAAGUUGAUUUGUUCCCAUCUUUGUUGACGAAAUGACUAAUAACCUCAUCCCCUCCUUAUCUUAGAUGUACAUUUUGUCAAAUUUGAUCAGGUAUGAUUGAUCCAAGCCCUAACCCUAAUUGGUAAUGAGUGAAUACUACACCUAAUUGCAUUCUUCUUUCAUUGCAAAAUAAUGAGAUUAUAAUAAUCUAGCAAAUAAGAAAAAAUAGUAUGGAAGUUCAAAUUAACACCAUAACUAUCAAUAAUUUUAAGCUUAUAGAUGACUUAAAUGAUUAAAAACUAAUGCAAAAUCCUAAAAAAAAUAAAAAUCAUAUAAAGAAUUCACAAGAGAACAGAAUGAACAAAAACCAAAUAUGAACAUGGGUCAACAUUAGUUAUGGAUUUGGAUUCCUUUCAAGGCCAAUCUUUGAACCAAGACUUCAUCAAAUCAACUACUUCAAAGGCUUUUGUGUUCUUCUUGGGUUGUGCUCUCAAACAAAGACUUCGAGGUGAUGUUCUAGAUGAUUGAAUUACACAUAUUUAGGGUGGAGAGAUUGGAGAAGCUUGAAGAUGCCAACGAUGGGUACAAUUGAGUGGUCAAUAAGAACAAUGUAGCCUAUGACUAGUUUGAUGUCAUGGUACAAGAGUUUUAGGCAUUGAGGUUAAAGCAAGAGCAACAUGGAAUUGAUUUCGGAGUCUUUCAGUUAGUGUAAAGGAGGAAGAAGUGGUGUUGAUUCUAGAAAUAGGGUUUUAAGUGGUGCGUGAUUACUACUCAAAAAGUGCUAUUUGAUAGCCUUUAAUUAAUCCUUUUUAACACUUUUGAGUAGUAGUUUAGGCCUUUUAACUCAAUUGGCAUGUUAAGGAUCCUUUAAAGCAAUUUUGAUCACUUUGUGCAAGUUUUGGUGUUUUUGUUAGUAUUUUGAUCACCAAAGCAAGUCAAGAAUGAGGAGAACUAUGAGGAAUCAUGGGCAAAGCUUAGAAUUCAAUUGCCAAGAGUGAAUCCGGAUUGCAAGGAGAAAAAGCAAAGAGAAUCUGUCAUGAAGCCUAUUCUUGAUGACAGUCGUAGCAGCCACUUUUGGAGCACUUUCUGAAGUCCAAAUGAUGCAAGCUAUAUACCAUUUCAAAGAUCAGGAAGUCAACAAUCCAAUGCUUCAAACGGUGCGCGAUUCGGAGUUGAAACGAAGAAGUUGCAGCCAUUACAAGCCAGUCACUCUAAAGUGUUGCGGAAUCAGCCUUUUGUUGCGAGAAUUUCGCAGCACUUUUGUACAGUAAGGUGUUUCUCCUUCUGACGAUGCACGAACCAUGCCGCGAGAGGGAAGCUAGGAACUUCAAGAUGGAAGCCAACUUUGCAGCCUGGUGAAGAUAGCUUGGUCUUGCGAAAUAAUUUCGCAGCCCUCUUGGGUGUCUGCGAAAUUUCGCAGGCACCACUUUUUUCCUGCGAAAUGGCUCCGGAAGCCUCCCGAAGCUUGCUACCGACAUUGGGAGAUAUUUUCCAUUAGAUUUUUGUUGUCUAAAUUCCAAAAUACUCCUUGUAAACCACCAAUUACAUGAUUCCUUAGUUUUUAAGUUAGUAAAAAGACCAAAUAUCUAUGUAAUAAUUAGUUUUAUAUUAGUUUGCUAUAAAUACCUCUCGGGAGCAUGUUCUCAGAGAGGAGUUCCUUCUGUAACCAUUUUGGUAAGCAAGUAAAGUCUUUUCUUUCUACUGCCUUACCUUCUCACUUUGUAUUUUCAUUUUAUUUCUAAGUUAUGAAUUCUCUGAGGAGCUUUCCCCAGAGAAUGAGUAACUAAACCUCCAAUUCCUUGGAGCUAAGGUUGCCGGGGAAGGUUCCAAGUGCAAGAAUGCAAAGCUCUGUGGUUUUAGCUAGUAAUGAAGAGGAAGUGAAAUCCUUUAGUGAUUUCAAUGUUUUUAGUUAACUUAAAACACCUUGGAGUCACCUGGGCCAACACUUGGUAAGGCAAGUGAUUUCCAACCGUGGAAAUGCACUAGUUUACCCCUUGCGAGCCUCUGGUAGGUGACUUCAAGGUAGGAUUUUCUGGAAUUACCAACACUUGGUAAGCUUUUGGACUCCUAGGAGACAUCCAUUAGUUAUCUCUUGCGAGUUUGUGAAGGGGAAUCCAAGGUUAAAGAUCACCUUGAAUGGUAAGUGCUCGUGAGAGGCAUGAACCAUUGCAAGUUGUAUCAGUGAGAGAAUUAAAGUGAAAUCUAAUUGAAGGAGUCUCUGUACAUCACCGGUUAGAGAAUUGACUAUAAGUUGAAUCUCUAAUGCGAGGAAAUGAACCAUCUGACCGGAGCUAUGUCUUUUGCAUGAGGAACCACCCCAGUGAACCUAAAUCUCCAAGGAAUGCUUUUCUUCCUAAAUUAUUCCAAACUUCUGUUAAGUUAGUUAGUUUAAGUCUAAACCUUUACCAAUCAAACUUUGUGUUUUAUUUCUUAAGCUAACCGUGAAAUGAAACAAAACCAAUUCACUUGGAAUUGGUAUCCUUGAUUGCUUGCAAAUCAUUCCCAGUGAACGAUCCUUAGAGCCACUAUACUAUAGUAGCUUUGUAUUUGCUACCCUAGUGUAUGGUGUUAUAGGUAUAAAUUUUGUUGAUCACUUCCUCAAUCAAGGAACACCAGCUGAACACAAAUCAGCUGAGACACCAAUUGGGCAUGAGUCAAAUGGCGCCGUUGCCGGGGAAUGAGUGUCAAGAUCAUUGUGAUACCAUUUUUGAGCACUUGUGAUUUUCAUCACAAGUUGGUAAAGUUUCUUUCACUUUACUAAUUUUCAUUCUCUCUUUGUUUAUUUACAAUCUAAGUUUAUCUUUUUAAAAUUUAGUCUAGUUUAAUUUUGCUAUUGUAGCCUUGUUUCUCUUGUUGUCCUCUGUUCUUGUUGUCCUCUGUUUUCAUUUUAGUUGCAGCUGAAUACUAGUUGUGUAUGCCAAAGUGGAUACGAGACAUUGGAGGUAGGCUUAUUAAGUGUGAUACACCUCAGAGAGGAGAAUUGGAAGUAAUCUUGAAUAUCAUGGAGGCUGCACCUGAAGAUCAGCAUAGUCACCAAGGUCGUCAAGACAAUCUCAAUGAAUUCAGAUCAAUGAGGGACCGUAUGCAUCCACCUCGUAUGAGUGCACCAUCAUGUAUAGUGCCCCCUACAGAGCAACUAGUGAUCAGACCAUAUCUUGUUCCACUUCUACCAACUUUCCAUGGGAUGGAAAGUGAGAAUCCGUAUGCACACAUCAAGGAAUUUGAAGAUGUUUGUAAUACAUUCCAAGAGGGAGGAGCUUCAAUUGAUUUGAUGAGGCUUAAGUUAUUUCCUUUUAAUUUAAAGGAUAAGGCCAAAAUUUGGCUUAAUUCUUUAAGGCCAAGGAGUAUCCGCUCUUGGACUGAUUUACAAGCUGAAUUCCUCAAGAAAUUUUUUCCUACUCAUAGAACAAAUGGCUUGAAAAGGCAAAUUUCAAACUUCUCAGCUAAAGAGAAUGAGAAAUUCUAUGAGUGUUGGGAAAGAUACAUGGAAGCUAUAAAUGCUUGUCCUCACCAUGGCUUUGAUACUUGGCUACUGGUGAGUUAUUUUUAUGAUGGUAUGUCCUCCUCAAUGAAGCAACUCCUCGAGAAAAUGUGUGGAGAAGAUUUCAUGAGCAAAAAUCCAGAGGAAGCUAUGGAUUUCUUGAGCUAUGUAGCUGAUGUUUCAAGGGGAUGGGAUGAACCAACUAAAGGAGAAGUGGGAAAGAUGAAGUCUCAGUUGAAUGCUUACAAUGCAAAGGCUGGGAUGUAUACUUUAAAAGAGGAUGAUGACAUGAAAGCAAAGUUGGCAGCUAUGACAAGAAGAUUGGAGGAGCUGGAGCUGAAAAGAAUGCAUGAAGUGCAAGCUGUUGCUGAAGCACCAGUGCAAGUGAAGUUGUGUCCCAAUUGUCAAUCGUUUGAACAUUUGGUAGAGGAAUGCCCUGCAAUUUCAGCUGAAAGGGAAAUGUAUAGAGAUCAAGCAAAUGUUGUUGGACAAUUCAGGCCCAAUAACAAUGCUCCUUAUGGAAAUACCUACAAUUCAAGUUGGAGGAAUCAUCCAAAUUUUUCAUGGAAGGCCAGAGCAACUCAAUACCAACAGCCGGAUCCACCAUCUCAACAAUCUUCAAGUAUUGAACAAAUAAUAGCUAAUCUCAGCAAGGUAGUGGGAGAUUUUGUGGGAAAGCAAGAAGCCACCAAUGCUCGAGUGGAUCAAAGAAUGGACAGAGUGGAUCAAAGAAUGGACAGAAUGGAGAGUAUGUUGAACAAAAGAAUGGAUGGAAUGCAAAAUGAUAUGAAUCAAAAAUUUGAUAACAUCCAAUAUUCAAUUUCAAGGCUUACAAAUUUGAAUACACUGCAAGAAAAGGGAAGAUUUCCUUCUCAACCUAACCAAAAUCCCAAAGGUGUCCAUGAAGUGGAAAGCCAUGAGGGAGAAUCAUCACAGGUGAAAGAUGUGAAAGCUUUGAUCACUCUAAGGAGUGGUAAGAAAAUUGAGCAGCCAACACCCAAGCCACAUGUUGAGAAAGAAGAAGAGAUGAAGAAAGGGAAGGAAAUGGAAGAUAAAGGCAGUGAGAUCAGUGAAGAAAAGAAGGACUCUGAUGCAACAAUGAAAGUAAUUCCAGAGAAGGAGCUUCUGAAGGAAGAAAUGCUGAAGAAAUCAACUUUUCCACCUUUUCCUCAAGCAUUACAGGGGAAAAAGGGGGUUAGAAAUGCAGCUGAAAUCCUAGAAGUAUUGAGGCAAGUGAAAGUUAAUAUUCCACUGCUGGAUAUGAUCAAACAAGUUCCAACGUAUGCAAAAUUCCUAAAGGACUUGUGUACUAUCAAAAGAGGGUUGACUGUAAACAAGAAAGCCUUCUUGACUGAGCAAGUAAGUGCAAUCUUACAGUGUAAGUCUCCUUUGAAGUACAAAGACCCUGGAAGUCCUACCAUUUCAGUCAUGAUUGGAGGAAAGGUAGUGGAGAAAGCCUUGCUAGACUUGGGAGCAAGUGUGAAUUUGCUUCCAUAUUCUGUCUACAAGCAACUGGGACUUGGAGAGUUGAAGCCAACAGCAAUCACUUUGUCUCUGGCAGAUAGAUCAGUGAAAAUUCCAAGAGGGGUAAUUGAGGAUGUAUUGGUUCAAGUAGAUAAUUUCUACUAUCCUGUAGAUUUUGUUGUUCUUGAUACAGAUCCUACUGUAAAGGAAGCUAAUUUAGUUCCUAUCAUCCUUGGAAGGCCAUUUCUUGCAACUUCAAAUGCAAUCAUCAACUGUAGAAAUGGGCUUAUGCAACUCACUUUUGGUAACAUGACACUGGAUCUAAAUAUUUUCUAUAUGUCUAAAAAGCAAAUCACUCCAGAAGAAGAAGAGGGUCCAGAAGAGCUAUGUAUUAUUGAUACUUUGGUGGAGGAGCACUGCAAUCAACAUAUGCAAGAUAAGUUGAAUGAAAGUUUUGUGGAUAUUGAGGAAGGUUUUUCUGAAUCUCCUAAUGGGCUUGCUACUCUACAAAGUUGGAGAAAGAUAGAAGGAAUUCUACCUUUGUUCAAUGAAGAAGAGGAGGCAGCUGUUGAAAAAGAAAUUCCAAAACUCAAUCUGAAGCCUUUACCUAUGGAGCUGAAAUAUACAUAUCUUGAAGAAAAUAAUCAAUGUCCUGUCGUAAUAUCUUCAUCUCAAACCAAGUCUCAAGUGAAGGAUGCAAGCUUCAAAUGGGAUCCGGGCAAACUGAAUCAGGAAGGGCAAAAAGUUUUGAUGUAUGACACAAGACUCCAUAUCUUUCCUGGGAAGCUCAAGUCAAGGUGGAUUGGUCCAUUUGUUAUUCACCGAGUAUAUUCCAAUGGAGUGGUGGACUUAUUGAAUUCCAAUGGCAAGGACAGCUUUAGAGUCAAUGGAUAUCGUCUUAAGCCGUUCAUGGAGUCAUUCAAAUCAGAAAAGGAGGCAAUCAACCUCCUUGAACCUCAAAAAGCCUAAGUGAAAUGGGUUUGCUGGACGUGGUUUUACCACAGUCCAAAAAUUUUUGUAAAUUUUGUAAAUUUUCAAGUUGUUUCCAUGCUUUUAAUCUUAGUUUUUGAUUUUAAAUCAUGUUUUUAGGUGUGUUUUAAUCGUUUUAUAUGAUCCCAGGCGGAAGAAAUUUCAAGGGGAUUGAAAAGAAAAAAAUCGGGUCGAAAUUGGAGCCGAAACAGAGCAAAAACAGGGGAAAAACAGAGCUCUGCGAAAUUUCGCAGGGUGAAGGAAACUUCUGCGAAAUUGGCAUUUUGCUGCCAAACCAUUCCGCAGCACUGUAGAAGCCUCUGCGAGUGUAUUUCGCAAUUGCGAAAGUGGAUUUGGCACACGAGUGCCACUUCGCAGCACAGUGACAUCAAUUUCGCAGCUGCGAAACUCACUGCGAAGUUGCUGCGAAAAUGGCAAGUUGCUGCGAAAUUGGCGUUUUGUUGCGAAACGUAAUCUGACCCCUGGGCUUCCGUUUUUCCUAUUUAUACCUGUCAAAAGUGCUGCGAAAAAGGUUUCAAAAAUUAGAGCACCAUUCUCGCAGCCCUUUCAUCUUCUUCGCCAAGCCACGCCGUCCGUUUCUCCGGUCGUCUUCUCCGUUUAGCAGCGCCGGCCAAAGAUCGAUAGCCCAAAAAUGGCACGAACGCGAGGGGCAAAGUCUUCAUCCCCUUCGAACCGCAAAAGGAGUCUGCGAAAGGAGCCAAGUUCAGGCUCUGUUCCAGAACCUGCUCCAAAGCCUUCGCCGUCGAGACCACAACCUUCUCCAGUGAAGCCGGCGCCACCAAAGCCGCCGGCAAGGCGAUAUUUAACCAGGUCAGGUGGUCAGCCAUUGAAGAAGAAAGCCAGAGUUGAGAGCUCUGAACCAAUCGAUUUGACUGAGCAAUCCCCUGAGAAAUCACCAAAUCCUUCACCGGUACAAAUUCCAGUGCCAUCACCGGUUCCCUCGCCAAUUCCCUCACCAGAAGCAACUCCAAUUCCAUCGCCGGUACCAUCUCCGGCACCCCAAGAAAAAGCUCAGGAGCCUCAAGCGCCAAUUCCAGAGCCCCAAAUUGCAGCUGAAGCACCUCUGGAAGAAGUGAUCCGAAGGCCAAUGCUGCCUCAGCCCCCAAUCGAAGGAAACCUGGAUUGCCGAACUCGGGCAUUCCAUUCUGAGCUUUGCUUCGAUUUAACAGCAUUCAGAGUGAGGCCAGAGCUUGCCCAAUCCUUCCAACUGCUGAGGAGAUAUCAUAUGGAGCAUCUGCUAGCUCCAAGGGAUUUUUUCUAUCCCCGGGUAGUCACGGAUUUCUACCAAACCAUGACAACCAAAGAAGUAAGAAAUCCAACUCUGAUUCAUUUCAUAAUUGAUGGAAGGCAUGGUAUUUUGGGAGCAAGACAUAUUGCUGAAGCCCUGCAAAUUCCUUUUGAGCCAACUCAAUUCGACAAUUUUAAAGCUUGGACAAAUCCUACUGAGUUAGAGAUGGUUAGCACACUAACCAGAGGAGCUGCAAAUCGAUCGCAUUUGUUGAGGGGGGAGCUACCUCCAGUUAUGUUUUUGAUUGAUGCCUUUUUGAGGCAUAAUAUCUAUCCCCUGCAGCAUUGGACCCAAAGAAGGGGAAUUCUCCUAGAAGCCUUGUACAAAAUGUCUGAAGGAUUCUUCUUUGGGCCUCAUCAUCUGAUCAUGGCAGCCCUUCUAUACUUUGAGGAGAAGGUUCACAAGAAGAAGCUUCAAAGAGCAGAUUGCAUUCCACUCCUCUUCCCAAGGCUGCUAUGCCAAGUUUUGGAGCAUCUCGGAUACCCCUCUGAGCCUCAGCAGGAAAGAAAGAGAAUAUGCCGUGAGCCUUUUACCCUUGAUAAAUGGAAUAAUAUGACGGCCUACAAAAUUGAUCAGCCUGGGCAGCCUCAGCCAGCAGCAAGGAGAGUCUCCCCAAGACAUAUACCUGAAGGUAUAACACUUGCUACUCCUGCCAUCCCUCGAGCUCCACCAGCUGCACCUGCUCCAUCACAGCCAUCCACAUCAGCUGAGCCGAGGAUGGCCAUCCCUAUAUCCGAAUAUCGAGAGCUGUGCCGUGCAUUGGAGACUCUUACAGCUUCUCAGAGCAAUCUUGCUCAGGAGUUGGCAGCCAUUAAAGCAUGCCAGGAGCAGAUGUUAGCCUCUCAGACUCAACAAGCUGCCAUCCUAAGGCAGCUUCAAGUCCAUUUCGAUCUGCCACAAGCUGUAGAGCCCUCUAUUCCUACUCCACCAGAGCCACACUCUCAGCCUUCAGAGUCUCAUCCUCCAGAACCCGAAGCACCAGCUGAUCCACCUACUGAGGAGGCAGAUCCUUCUGCCUAGCACCAUCACCCCCCUCAUCAGACAUUAUAUAUAUAUUUGCUGUUUAUGUUUUUAUGCAUGUUUGUUUUGUUUUAGUUGAAAAGAAAUCCCAGUAUUUUGGUACUAUAUAUGGGAUUCCUUGUGUUACUUGUCUUUAGUAUUGUAAUCACAUGAACUCAAAGUAAUACAAGUUGACUAUUUCUUGUUAAAAGUUAGCAUUAAAGUUUCCUUAUUUCCUUUUCUCACAUAUUCUAUUCUUUUUGAAACAUGUGGUUUUCCCCAAUCAAUAUUCGAAUUUGAUAUCAGCAUGGAGGUACCACUUCCUCCCUUUUAUUACAGUCACUCAAAUCACAUUGAGGACAAUGCUCAGUUCGGUUGGGGGGUAUGAGGAAGGAAGUAUUCUAAACCUUUUUGGUAUUGCAAUUAUAUUGGUUAAUUAGUUGUAGAUUUUACUUUUUACUAGUGUUACUCUAUUCUCCAUGAAUUUUGAGGAAAAAUUUUCAAAUUAAACCAAGAGAAAUUGAACUGUUGUUUUUCACUUGACUUAGAGUAUGGAUUAUGCUUACUAAAGUGGUUCAAUUGUUGAAACUUCUACUGAAAUUGAAUUGAGUUCUUCCACUUUAAGCUAUCCACACACUGUGCACAUUAGUUUCCGAUUAUAAGAUGAAAAGCUAUUUCCCUCUUGACUUAGUAUAUUUUUGGGACUUGGUAUAUUUGACCUCAUUUGAUAAAAAUUGAAACACCCUGCAAAAGGCCAAUGAGCCUUUGAAAUAAAGAAAGUUGUUUGCUUGCCUUGAAACCCGAGCAAGGUCUGAGGGGUAUAUGGUGAAAAUCUUUAAAGCCUGGUGCCCUAAGCCUUAAUUGGUUGGGAGUCACCGACCUCAAUGCUCGUUACAAGGGUGAAUAGGUAGAGUUAGCAUAUGGUAGAUGCUUGGGUAUUAGAAAUUCAUUCUUAAAAGUCCGGGGAAAAAUCCGAGGAGUUAGUGGUUGAAAGAUCCUUAAAACUUGGUGCCCUAAACCUUAAUUGGUUGGGAGUCAUCGAUGGACCCCCAUUACAUGGACAAGUCAGAAAGAGUACCCCAUAAAGCUACCUUAAAAAAAAAAAAAAAAAAAAAAAAAAAAAAAAAGAUGAAAGUGUGUUCUUUUCUUAUUGAUUUUGGUCAGUUUGCUAAAGUGUUGAAAAGAGAUAGGUUGGGGGGUGAGAUUAGUAGCAUAUUAUUCUCGGAACCUAAGGAACCAAUACACAUAGAUUUUUGUGGAAGAUUGAAGUUUAGUUCUUAGAAAAUGAAAUGAUUUUAAAACUUCAGUUUGCAUAAUGCACUCCCUUGAUUGACAGUGUUUAGCAUAGGUGUUAUGACUCUUGUUGAGAUUUGGGUUUGUAUUUCUUUAAUGAUUCAUGUGAGAAAUAGAUCAUCAUGCCACUUGAGAAUUAUUUUCCUUUUAGCAUGAUGUUGUAAAUUUUAGAUUAGUUUGCUAUUUAUUUUUUAUUUUCUCUCCUAUAUUGCUAAGGGACUAGCAAUAUGUCGGUUGGGGGGAGUGAUUACUACUCAAAAAGUGCUAUUUGAUAGCCUUUAAUUAAUCCUUUUUAACACUUUUGAGUAGUAGUUUAGGCCUUUUAACUCAAUUGGCAUGUUAAGGAUCCUUUAAAGCAAUUUUGAUCACUUUGUGCAAGUUUUGGUGUUUUUGUUAGUAUUUUGAUCACCAAAGCAAGUCAAGAAUGAGGAGAACUAUGAGGAAUCAUGGGCAAAGCUUAGAAUUCAAUUGCCAAGAGUGAAUCCGGAUUGCAAGGAGAAAAAGCAAAGAGAAUCUGUCAUGAAGCCUAUUCUUGAUGACAGUCGUAGCAGCCACUUUUGGAGCACUUUCUGAAGUCCAAAUGAUGCAAGCUAUAUACCAUUUCAAAGCUCAGGAAGUCAACAAUCCAAUGCUUCAAACGGUGCGCGAUUCGGAGUUGAAACGAAGAAGUUGCAGCCAUUACAAGCCAGUCACUCUAAAGUGUUGCGGAAUCAGCCUUUUGUUGCGAGAAUUUCGCAGCACUUUUGUACAGUAAGGUGUUUCUCCUUCUGACGAUGCACGAACCAUGCCGCGAGAGGGAAGCUAGGAACUUCAAGAUGGAAGCCAACUUUGCAGCCUGGUGAAGAUAGCUUGGUCUUGCGAAAUAAUUUCGCAGCCCUCUUGGGUGUCUGCGAAAUUUCGCAGGCACCACUUUUUUCCUGCGAAAUGGCUCCGGAAGCCUCCCGAAGCUUGCUACCGACAUUGGGAGAUAUUUUCCAUUAGAUUUUUGUUGUCUAAAUUCCAAAAUACUCCUUGUAAACCACCAAUUACAUGAUUCCUUAGUUUUUAAGUUAGUAAAAAGACCAAAUAUCUAUGUAAUAAUUAGUUUUAUAUUAGUUUGCUAUAAAUACCUCUCGGGAGCAUGUUCUCAGAGAGGAGUUCCUUCUGUAACCAUUUUGGUAAGCAAGUAAAGUCUUUUCUUUCUACUGCCUUACCUUCUCACUUUGUAUUUUCAUUUUAUUUCUAAGUUAUGAAUUCUCUGAGGAGCUUUCCCCAGAGAAUGAGUAACUAAACCUCCAAUUCCUUGGAGCUAAGGUUGCCGGGGAAGGUUCCAAGUGCAAGAAUGCAAAGCUCUGUGGUUUUAGCUAGUAAUGAAGAGGAAGUGAAAUCCUUUAGUGAUUUCAAUGUUUUUAGUUAACUUAAAACACCUUGGAGUCACCUGGGCCAACACUUGGUAAGGCAAGUGAUUUCCAACCGUGGAAAUGCACUAGUUUACCCCUUGCGAGCCUCUGGUAGGUGACUUCAAGGUAGGAUUUUCUGGAAUUACCAACACUUGGUAAGCUUUUGGACUCCUAGGAGACAUCCAUUAGUUAUCUCUUGCGAGUUUGUGAAGGGGAAUCCAAGGUUAAAGAUCACCUUGAAUGGUAAGUGCUCGUGAGAGGCAUGAACCAUUGCAAGUUGUAUCAGUGAGAGAAUUAAAGUGAAAUCUAAUUGAAGGAGUCUCUGUACAUCACCGGUUAGAGAAUUGACUAUAAGUUGAAUCUCUAAUGCGAGGAAAUGAACCAUCUGACCGGAGCUAUGUCUUUUGCAUGAGGAACCACCCCAGUGAACCUAAAUCUCCAAGGAAUGCUUUUCUUCCUAAAUUAUUCCAAACUUCUGUUAAGUUAGUUAGUUUAAGUCUAAACCUUUACCAAUCAAACUUUGUGUUUUAUUCCUUAAGCUAACCGUGAAAUGAAACAAAACCAAUUCACUUGGAAUUGGUAUCCUUGAUUGCUUGCAAAUCAUUCCCAGUGAACGAUCCUUAGAGCCACUAUACUAUAGUAGCUUUGUAUUUGCUACCCUAGUGUAUGGUGUUAUAGGUAUAAAUUUUGUUGAUCACUUCCUCAAUCAAGGAACACCAGCUGAACACAAAUCAGCUGAGACACCAAUUGGGCAUGAGUCAGUGCGUUAGAGGAUCAAGAAGAAGAAAAAGAAGGAACUGUUGGAAUUAGUAUGAGUGUGAAGAGAAAAGUAUAUAAAUAAGGGGAAGUAAAAGCAAAGUUCAAAAAGCUAUAUUUUUUUAUUGUUGGUGUAUGGUUGCAUGAUUAUCCCUAUAAAUAAUAGGAGUUUUUUGGUAUUCUACUAGUAGUUGAAGCAUAAUUUCAUAAAUUAAUAUUUAGAGCGGGGUGGGGUGAGUUGUGACAAAAUUCAUACCCGUCCCAAACCUUGGUUCAGAUUUUUAAAAUAUUCUCAAACUUAUCAUAUACCCAACUUUUAUAUUUCAUACUUGUCCUAAUAGAGGCACGUUAGGCCGGGUUACUUGAGUAACCUACAUAAUUGUCAUCCCUAGUUGAAAUACACUUUUUGGCAGUGGCCACCAACUGAGCUAGAAGCUUGAUUGAUUGACCUACAAGAUUAGUUCUCAUCAUUUUAAAAAAAGUUCUGGCUUUGGUUGUGAGUGCAAUUGAAUCUAAACUGGCAUUUGCUUAAUGCAUCUACUUCAAUCCUAAACUUCUUACUUCUUAAGCCUCAAUUGUUGUUAGGAUUUUGGAAAACCCAUUUCCUUAAAUUGUAAAUUUAAGAUAAAAUAAAAUAAAAGUGAGACAUUUCUUGAUUGAAUAUUGUUAAAGGUCCCUUGGCAUUAAGACUUGGUUGAAGCCUUGGAAGAUUAGUGGAACUCUCAACAUGUGUUUGAAUCUUGAGGAGAGUGGAUGUAAGCCAAAAUUUUGUCAAACCAUUAUACAAAUUGAGUUUGAAUCCUCAUUUCUUGAUUUCUUAUUUAUUUGCUUUUUCUUAUUAUUACUUGAAUUGUCAUUUGCAUUCAUUAAUGUUAAAAUUGGUUAUAAUUAACCAACACUAAUUCUCUUUCCCCUUCCCUUUCUUGGGUGUAAACCUAGGUUGGAUUAACUAGAUAAAUCUAUUAAGAUGGUAAAAGAAUAAUUAUUCUUAACAUACAUAAGAUCAUCUUCAAUCAAAUGACUCAUUGGCUAAUAUGUUGAAUUUGCUUAUUACUUGCAACUCAAAAUUGUGUUCUAGUUGUGUCAAGUCCCCAGUGUAUGGACAUUAAAUUUGUAGUACGUGAUGAGUAAUUAGAUGGUCCAACUCCAAGAAAGUGAUUGAAAAGUAGUUCAAGAAAGGUGCAAAAGGGAAUUGUUUUGGUAUUUUCGUUUUUAUUCUUGAAGGUGGCAGAGCUAAAAUUUGAGAAAUCAAGCAAAACAUACUGAAAUUACAUUGAAAGAAAGAAGAUGGGAGUUAAUGUCUUGCAGUACAUGAUAAGGACUUCAUGCAUGUAGUGUGACCCAUGUCUUGGACUGAUGCCAACUCACGGUUACACUUAUACCCUUGGUUCUCUCUUUACUACCUUGGCUAACCUAGAUCAGGCUAUGAGAUAGGCUCCUCACCACACCAUUACUUGCCCAUUAAUUAGAGACAUUUUCAAGCAAUGAGGUAACAUGGUGACACCAAGAGGGUCUAUUCCUCGCCCGGAACAAGUCUAGACUUGGUCUCAAAAAAAUGGAGAAAAAUGAGGUGUCGUUAUGUAGAAAUACAACAACCAUGCCUUCCUCAUUACUUAGAUUCAGAAUGUGAAGGUGAAAUUGAGAAACAGAAACUCUUGAAACCAAAAUGAAAAUUGAUACUUUUACGAAGAAUUACAACAACAUUAGAGGAAGACUACAUUCUUCCUCUUUAUUCCUACAUUUCUACACUACUUCUACUCCACUCCAUAUUUCUACAUACAUCUUUAAUCAGUCUUCCCUCCUUUAUAUAGAGCCAUCUUCACACAAAUUUCGCAAGGUAGAAAAGAGGAAUGAAACUUGGAGCAAGGUUCGACUACUGGUUGUAGCUUGUCAAGGCUGGAAGUGAACUUUUCUUGGCUUUCUGGGCAUGGGUAGUAACUUGUGGGUUCCUGUUUGGCAUAAAAAUGGCUAGAACAUGUGGCACUAUCUUGUUGGAUGAUGUGUCAAGCAUGUGGCAGCCAUCUAGUGGCGAUUAUGUCAAUUUUGGGAUGGAGAGUUGGCAUCCAAUUGCAAAGAAAUAUGACGUCUACCAACAUGCAAUGUAAACCUAUGUAGAUCAUAUGAAGAUAGAGAGGAAAAAUAUAGAAAUGGAUAUAUACCUAGAACUAGCUUUUUAUUAAAUGAAACGGAGAGACAACAAUGAAGGAAAAUAAAAUUUUUUGGCUUAUAUCAAAGAGUUCACAUUGUGUUACCCUAGGUUUUCUUAAAACUUACUUUUAUGAUAACAAAAAAGAAAAAACCAUUAUUGUUUAAUCCUUUGUUUUAAACGCAUGUAAGGUGUAAUUAAGUUAGUUCAAUGCAUUAAUUUAAGAAACUUGACCUAUCAAAAGUACAAAAUUAGAUGAAAUCCAUUUCAAUGGUUAAAAUGAUCAAAAUCAAACUUUUUCUAAGUAUUUUUUAAAAGCAUCAAUAGUGAAAGACAAUUUUAUAUUUAGUCGGAGUUUGGACAAAACUGAAAAACACACAAAAUCCAAGCGACCAUCUCUAGCUUGGAUGGUCGCUUGAUCCCACCUAGAGAUGUGCAUGAGUAAAAGGAUUUGAAAAUGGAAAUUGACUAUGUAGUCGAUCAAUUAACUUUGCAACAUCAUAUGCAAUCCUAAUUGCUAGUCAUCUAAUCAAUUAGGUAGUCAAUCAACAGGCCAAAAAUAUGUUUAUAAUGACUAUUUUGUACAAAAACCACCUGUAUAGUUAAAUAUAAUGCAUUUCAUUUAUAAAUCUUCUAAUUCUUGAAUAACGAUCCUAUCAUCCUUUGAAAGUUUUUAUUACACUUUUUUUACUUUUGUUCUAAAACUUACACAUCACCCUUAAUUGUACCAUGAGAACCUAGCUAUUUUUUAUUUUUUUUUUUGUAAUUCAUCAAAGUUAGCUUUUGUAUUCAUUGUUGUAUUAUUUUUAGUAUAACUUAGAAAGCUAGUGUUUUCAAGUGAGUAAAAUUAACUUGUAAAUAUUGUAAAGAUUCAUCGACAUGUAUCUUAAACUAAGUGUACAAGUUAAAACAUUUGCUAGUAGAUUUUCUCAAAAUUUAGAAUAGAGCUUGAGACUAUUGAAAUAGGUGGGGUUGCACCAAACCACAUCACAUCGUUGUUUGCACCUUUUUUCACUCUCUUUUACUUAGUUGCUCUAUAUUUGUUGUCUAGUAAUAUCCUAUAGGCUUGAUGGGUUAGGGAGCAUCCCUUUGUGAAAAAAUUUUAUUCAAUCCUUAGUUGUAUCACGCAUAUAUAAAAUGCCUCAUUGUUUUAAUGGUAUUCAGUCGUGGCAUCACAGAUAUGGGCAUCUAAAUUUUAAAAGUUUGAAACUUUUAUCUAAAGAAAAUAUGGUGCUUUGCCUUUUUGUAAAGCAUGUUGAUGAAAUCCAUGAGAAUUGUGUACUUGGGAAGCAACACCGAGAUGACUUUUUUUUUUUUUUUAUAAUAUUGUUUGUCCAAAUUCCCUACAAAUUAGGCCACCAGAUGUUCAUAAUUCUCCCUUCUUGAAUUUGAAAACUCGGACAAUUGGACAAUGCGACACCUAAGUCCGGUUUCUAAAUGCUAAAGUGAAAGGGUAGGUAUGGACCAUUGAAAUGUGAUCACAACUUUUCUCUGUAGCCAUGUUGUCUCUUUUUUCUUUUGCAUGAUUUUCUUACCUUAACAGAAUCAUAGACUUGUUUAGUCUCUAAAUGGGAUUAAUUUCAUCCAGCUUUAAGCUACUAUAUUAUAUCUAGGUGGAGGACUUUUAAGAGUGCAACCGACAUAGAGCACAUGGAAGUGGGUAUAUGGGACAUGAAAUUUCUUCUUAUAAAGAUUGCAUGAUUUUUAUAUUAGAGUUGUUGAGGCGCUAUGUAUUUAGCUUGUUUUGCAGUUAAAUUAAUUGGAUAAGUAGACAUUGGCGUUUCUAAAUCUACUGUGAAGUGCUUCAUGUACGUGUGAAGUAUUAGAAAUUUCUUUCUUGGCAACUUGUUUUUCUUUGCGGUCUACUGAUAGGUUUGACUAAAAUUAUAUUCCCUGUCAUGCUAAUUAAUUUUCACGUGCAUGCUCAAAAGAAAAGUAUGACCUUAGUGCACCAAAAUCACUUUGAUUAAUUUGUGAUAGGUUUUUGUGCAUCAUGACAUUAGCCUUAUUCAUUUAGAUAAUGUUUAGUUUUUAGAAAGUAUUAAGAAAAGGAAAAUAAAUAUUAAGAAAAAUAUUCUUAUAUUUGAUUGUAUUAUGAAAAAUAUCAUAAAAAAAUCAAAUAUAAUUUAAAUUAAUUAAUAAUUUAUACAUUUUCAAAUUAUUUAAUCUUUAUAUUGAAGAUAUAAUAUAAAUGAAAUGAGUUUUAAGUAUUAUAUAAAAGUGAUUUAUUGAUCUUACAUAUAUAUAUUUCUUUUUUUUUUCCUUCUAUUUUUUCUCUUUAUUUUAUUUUCCUUAUGUUUUCCUCAACAUUUUCCGGAACCAAACAUAGCCUUAGGAAAUCCACAAUUACCUUCAACUGAGUAGAUUCUGUUGUUUUAGCAAUGUUAGGCUGCUAACUUGUGUUGGUACGAACCUAUUAAGCCUAAAGAUGUAAUUAGUUAGGAUAUUCUUUUCCCUCUAGUCUUGUAGCUCCACGUGUACAGUUGGUUAGGACCUCAUUGUAUAUAAUGCUUGCCCUGUUAUUGUAGAAGACAACAAAGAUAAAUAAUAUUAACAUUUUUCCUCUCAUCUCUCUCUGUUUCCCUCUGUUUUCAUCUCCUCUCUCAUCUUGGUAUCAGAGCCUCCAUGGCUUCUUUCAAAGAAACCUCCGAAUCACCUUCUGCUAGCAUUGUUAAUGUGCAAAACCCAUUAUCUCAAUCAAACAACCUUCCUUCACCAGUAGCCACACCCUCUUUUUCUUUCUCGUCUAUGAAUCAACCUCUCACAGUGAAGCUGGAUAAUGGGAACUACCUCAUAUGGAAGAAUUAGCUUCUAAAUGUCAUCAUUGCUAACGGACUCGAUGAUUUCAUUGACGGAUCUCGACCCUGCCCUCCUCGAUUUCUCGAUCUGCAACAACAAACCCUCAAUCCAGAGUACUCAGCUUGGCAGAGAUACAAUCGACUUCUGAUGAGUUGGCUGUACGCAUCCUUGUCCAAAGAUAUAAUGGCUCAGAUUGUUGGGUAUUCAACAGCUAUGGAGAUUUGGAAUGCCCUUAAUCAGAUUUACUCUGCCUCUUCUAUGGCGCGGUUUACUGAGCUUCGCACCAAGCUUCAAACGCUCAAGAAAGAUGGACUCUCAGUUGGUGAAUAUAUUCAAAGGCUCAAAUCCAUUUGCAAUAGUCUUGCAGCAAUAGGAGAACCAGUUUCUGAGAAAGACCAUCUUAUCUAUUUGUUCAAUGGAUUAGAUUGUGAGUAUUAUUCUUUUGUUACCUCCAUUCAAAAUCGAUCUGACCAACCAACUAUUGACAAAAUCCAUAGCCUAUUGCUUAGCUAUGACUUCCGGCUUGAACAACAAAACUCUGUUUCUCUCCAUUCUGCCCAAGUCCAUAUGGCUCAUCUGAACAAGAAACCUUAUAAAUCAACUCCUCAACCUACAUUCAAUCAUAUUCACAUUCAACCUAGAUACUCUUCUCCACCUUUUAAGCCAACCACUAGUCAAUAUCAACCCAACAUUUUGGGCAAACCACAACCACAACCAUGACAGCCUCAACCUCAAUGGAAACCACAUUUUUCAAUCUAAAAUCAAAAGCCUCAGCGCCAAAUUUGUGGUAAAUUUGGACACACUGCUCUUAUUUGCUUCCAUCACACAAAUUUGAACUAUUCACCCCAACCUUCUCCUAAAUCUUUCAAUACUGUUCUCACCACAAAUUCCCAGCUCCCUAAUCCUCCAAAAUUUUCUUACCCUACAAUGGCUCAUCCUGCUGCUACGCAUAACACGGUUCCCGAUACAAAUUGGUACAUGGACUCAGGUGCUACACAUCACUUUACUCUGGACAUCAACGUGCUUGACACUGUGACACCAUUUAGUGGUUCAGAACAGGUGACAGUUGGGAAUGGUAAGCAACUCUGUAUCUCACAUCUUGGUACUGCAAAACUACCAUCUUCGUAUUCUCCUCCUGUUCUACAUCAGGUAUAUCACACUCCAAAAAUUUCAAAUAAUCUUAUUAGUGUUAAAAAAUUGUGUUCUGAUAAUAAAGUUUUUGUUGAAUUUUAUGCCACUCAUUUUCUUGUCAAGGAUCAGGUUUCGAAGAGAGUUCUCCUUUAGGGUCAACUUGAUAAUGGCUUAUACAAAGUUCAGUCGUCAUGCUCUCCUUCUGCUGUUUCCUUUCCUCCUCAAGUUUUCAUAGCCAACAUCAAGUAUCCAAAUCUGUGGCACAAGAGACUAGGCCACCCAGCUUUAUCUGUUGUUAAUCAAAUCUUGGAUUCUUGUAACAUUGCUCGAACACAGAAAAUUUGUUUUAAUUUUUUAAAUUCUUGUCAAUUAGCAAAGAGCCACAGGCUUCCUUUUUCUCUGUCUCCAUCCAUUGCAGAAAAACCUUUUGAGUUAAUUCAUACAGACCUAUGGGGUCUUUCGCUCGUUCGCUCUAUUUCUGGUGCUCUUUAUUUUUUACUUUUCAUUGAUGAUCAUACUCGUUUUACUUGGUUUUAUUUGCUCAAAACAAAAGAUGAAGCAUAUCCUACUUUUCUCAAGUUUCAAGCUCUCAUUGAAAAUCAAUUUAAUACCAAGAUUAAGGCUGUCCAAUCUGAUUGGGGAGGUGAGUUUCGAUCUCUCUCCAUACCGUUUUCAAAUAUGGGCAUUGUCUAUUGUUUAUCGUGUCCAUACACCUCACAACAGAAUGGGCGAGUUGAGCGAAAAAAUCGCCAUGCGAUUGUCCUUUCUUGCUUGCUCUAUGCCCUUAUCUUAUUGGCCUUAUGCCUUUCAAACUGCCACUUACCUUAUUAAUCGUCUCUCUACCCCUGUGCUGCAUCAUCAAUCCUCUUACUUCGCACUCUAUCACAAACUCCCAACUUAUACUCAUCUUAAGGUCUUUGGUUCCUCUUGUUUUCCGUAUUUGCACCCUUAUAAUACCCAUAAACUCCAAUACAGGUCACUAGAGUGUGCUUUUCUUGGUUACAGUUCACACCACAAAGGUUAUCUAUGUCUUGACAUUCAUUCUAGCAGGGUGUAUAUUUCUCGCCAUGUGAUUUUUAAUGAAGAUUCUUUUCCAUUCAAGAAUUUGAAAUCUUCUCUCUCUCAGUCUAUUUCUUCUUCCUCUUCUUUAUAAGUUCCUCUGUUCAUUCUCUUGCCUCCCCUUUCCCCAUCUCCUCUUAUUUCUUCAUCUAUACCUCAUUCUUUUCCCUCUUCUUCUUCUACCUCUAGUACUUGUUCCCCUCUCGUUGCUCCUACCUCUCUUCCUUCCUCUUCACACUCUGUGUCUCCAUCUAUUCCACCUCCUUCUCCACCUUCUCCGAGUGUGGACCUGCUUGCACCUUGUGUGAAUACAAAUUUACAUACUUCUUCUCGCACUCACAAUAUUCAUCCUAUGGUGACUAGAUCUAAGGUUUGUAUCUAUAAACCUAAGUUGUUGUUGAGUGUCUCCAUAGGUUCUCUCACUAAGCCUACUUCCUUUCUUCAAGCUAUUAAAGAUCCUUCAUGGAAGCAAUCCAUGGAAUUCGAGUUUGCUACCCUUCAACACAACAAGACCUGGCAUUUGGUUCCUUCACCUUCCUCAGGCGAAGUAAUCGGUUGUAAAUGGGUCUAUAAGCUAAAGCUUCAGCCUGAUGGCUAAAUUGAGAGAUACAGCCUGCUUAGUAGCUAAGGGUAUCAUCAAAUUGAAGUAUGGACUACUUCGAAACAUUCAGCCUGAUNNNNNNNNNNNNNNNNNNNNNNNNNNNNNNNNNNNNNNNNNNNNNNNNNNNNNNNNNNNNNNNNNNNNNNNNNNNNNNNNNNNNNNNNNNNNNNNNNNNNAGCUUCAGCCUGAUGGCUAAAUUGAGAGAUACAAGGCCUGCUUAGUAGCUAAGGGUUAUCAUCAAAUUGAAGGUAUUGACUACUUCGAAACAUUCAGCCUGAUUGUCAAGCUUUCUACUAUCUGUAUUGUGCUCAGUCUUACUUUUUCCCAGAAUUGGUGUAUUAGACAGCUGGAUGUUCAUAAUGCCUUCUUACAUGGUGACUUAGCUAAAGACGUUUUCAUGGAACAACUGCCUGGAUUUGUUGAUCCUCUCUAUCCUACUCAUGUCUGCAAGUUGGAUAAGUCUCUCUACUGUCUUAAAUAGUCACCUCGGGCUUGGUAUACUAAGCUGAGUACUUCUCGCUACACUUGGGAUUUGUUACUUCUAAGAAUGACUCUUCCUUAUUUAUUUGUCAUUCGUCUCAUGGGUUACUUCUUGUUCUUGUCUAUGUGGAUGAUAUAAUCGUCAUUGGGAGCCACUCUCCUCAGGUUACUCACCUUAUCCAACAGUUGCAUCAUUAGCUUUCUUUAAAGGAUCUUGGUCCUUUACAUUAUUUUCUGGGCUUGGAGGUUCAUCACACCCCUACUGGUAUUCACCUCAGCCAAGCAAAGUAUAUCACUGAUCUCCUUACCCGGGCGGCUAUGUUGGAUGCCAAGCCAUGUCCCACUCCUAUGUCCUCCAACACAUAUCUCUCUUUUCAUGAUGGAGUGGCUCUUGAAAAUGGUUCAGAUUAUCGAAGUUUUGUUGGUGCCCUUUAGUAUUGUACCAUGACACGCCCAGAUAUAGCUUUUGCAAUAAAUAAAGUGUGUCAAUUCAUGCACCAUCCCUCUAAUGUUCACUGGCAGGCUAUAAAACGUAUUCUCCGGUACUUAAAGGGCACAUCUCAUUUUGGUCUCUUCCUACAGCCUUCCUAUGACUUCAACAUCACUUGCUAUACAAAUGCCGACUGGGCUUCCUGUCCUGAUGACAAGUGUAGCACCAGUGGCUACUGCCUCUUUCUUGCCUCUAAUCUGGUUUCUUGGUCAUCUUCCAAACAAAAAGUGGUCUCCCGCUCCAGCGCCGAAUCAGAGUACCGAGGGGUAGCAAAUGGGGCUGCUGAAAUUGCUUGGACUGAAUCUCUUCUUUGUGAACUUUCCAUUACUCCCCCUCCCCUCAUUCUCUGUGACAAUAUCAGUGCCACGUACUUAGCUGCCAAUCCUAUUUUGCAUGCCCGCACCAAACAUGUGGAAAUCGACUAUCACUUUGUCACGGAACGUGUUCUUCAAUGCUCUCUUUUUGUCCAGUUUACACCUUCUGAUGAUCAACUUGCUGAUUGCAUGACCAAGCCUCUCUCCACCCAACGUUUCAUCACUCUACGCUCCAAGCUCACUGUUCUCACUAGACCAAUGAGCUUGAGGGGGGAUGUUAAGCCUAAAGAUGUAAUUAGUUAGGAUAUUCUUUUCCCUCUAGUCUUGUAGCUCCACGUGUACAGUUGGUUAGGACCUCAUUGUAUAUAAUGCCUGCCCUGUUAUUGUAGAAGACAACAGAGAUAAAUAAUAUUAACAUUUUUCCUCUCAUCUCUCUCUCUGUUUCCCUCUGUUUUCAUCUCCUCUCUCAUCUGAACCAAAUGAUCCAUGUUAACCUUGGCUUGGUUUGAUUUGGCUCUAUCUUAGAGAGCUCAAGGAUCACGUCAACUCUGGUUUCUACUAUUCAGGUCCAUUCCCAUAUGAACUGGUUCAAAUUUGAGAAAAUGGUAACAGACCUUUAGUGAUGUUGGUUUGGAGCCAGUUGCCAAACCCGCCCUGAGCUUUACCACUAAUGUCAAGGGAGAAAGCCAUUUGAACAAAAACAAUAGCUUCAAGGGACUGAAUCGUGGAUGAAAUCUGAUCCACAUUUCUUCUCAUUUUGGAAACAAAUGAGAACUUAACUAAGAAGAUUCUACGGCCUCAUAGUGCUUUUCCUGAUCUAAGGUUGGUUCGUUUCCCAAACUGUGAGAUGCACGUGCCAGACUUCAGAACUCUCACGCUCAGGAGUGUAUCCACGUGGUGGACAUAAGAUGGUGGCUUAAGAUCUGGUGUCGGUGGCUUUACUUUACUAGGAGAGUAGUGUGUCUUCAUCUCAUUCACUGCCGGAGGGUGGCGUAAGCAGUGACGCUAAGGUGGGGCACAGUCAAUAUCAUUUGCAUUUGACCAUUAUAGUUUUCUCCCGGCUUUAAAGUAACCUUAUCGUGAUAAAGGAUUACUAGCACUAGUUCAGAUGAUAGUCAUGUUAAAUUCGGACCAUGUUUGUGUCACAUUAUCAGCAACCAUGUGUUUAUGGUUCAUGCUUUCUGCAACUAAAAUUGAUAUAUAACCAGGUGAACUUCAAUCUAAAUUCUGAAAGUACUCAUGUGAUAGAUGGUGCCCGUCUGCAGAGUCCAUCAAUUGAAAAAUGGAGUGAGUGUAUCUAUAAGAGGGAAGGCUUGGAAAAUGUUCAGUUUUCUGGGAAUUCAACAAGGAUCUAAAAUAGAUUGUUUUCUUUGCUGAUUUCAAUGGUUGAAAUUUGAGAAGAUUGUGUCCACAUAACACAACUAUUACUGGUCCUUCUGUUGCAAUUUAUCCUCUAAAGCUCUAGCAUGUCUUCCAAUUCCCACUUCCCUGUUACUCCAGGAAAGCUAUUUCUGUCAUUGUGAAGAAGAAAAGAGAAUGUACAUAUCGAUGCUUUUAAGUGACUGGAGCAUUUAUAUCAGGUGGUCUGCAGCCAUAUAUGCCACUUUGUGAAGAUUGGAACAGUCAAUCACUAGGCUAUAUAUUAGUGUGGCCCAGCCACUUUAAUCAAGGACAAGUCUUCAUACUUAAAGUCAAAUUCUGCCUUUAGUCUCAUUAUAAAUUUCUGUUUAAAUAUUAAGCAAACAUUUGUUUAAUGCGAUUAAGACAGUACUAACUCAAUACCUGUUCUAUUUUUGGAUGCAAAUGCUUGAUGGUUUCAUCAUUGGAUGGGAUAAAGGUGCAUUCAUGAUUAGGAAUACUAGUAGUUAUAUUUUAAUUCUCUUUUUUCUCAAUGAGACUUGUUGGCACAAUUUUGCUGUUGAGAAACCUACCUCUCCAUGGAAAAUAAGUUGUGAUUGAUAGUACUGGAUAUAUUCAAGAAAUCUAAAUAUAGAUAGCACAAAAUAUUAUCGACAUAAAUAGCAUUAACAGCGUACGUAUGUCUCAGUGCUCAUCAGCUAUAAGCAUGGGGCAAACACUUACUAUGAGCAACUUACGUCAAAAUUCCAGAAUAGGACAUAGAAGUGACAGAUAUAGAACAUUGCAUAUGAGUCACAAGAAAGGAAAUUACGGGUGCAUAGCAGCUCUUAUUUUACAUACUACUACUCAUACUGAUCAAAGUCACUCAGUUGGGAUGGGUGGGAGUAGGAGGUUUGUGGGGUGGCUUGUGCGGAGGAGUUGGCAGCUUCUUUCCAGGACCUGGUUGCUUCUCUGCUGGAGUUGAAGGAGGCUUAAUCUUCCGAGGUGGCUUGUAUGAGUCUUCAGCAUUCUCAGCUGGAGGGUGACCAGGGUUGUGACCAUAAUGUGGUGGCUUCUCUCCCUUAGGUGGUUUGCCAACUGGGGUUGGUGGCUUGUAUGAGUCUUCAGCAUUCUCAGCAGGAGGGUGACCAGGGUUGUGACCAUAAUGUGGUGGCUUCUCUCCCUUAGGUGGUUUGCCAACUGGGGUUGGUGGCUUGUGUUCUGGGAGUGGCUUCUCCCCCUUGGGAGGUUUUUCCAAUGGGGUUGGUUUGUGUUCAGGAGGUGGCUUCUCCACUGGAGGCUUGUGUUCAGGAGGUGGCUUCUCCACCGGAGGCUUGUGUUCAGGUGGUGGCUUCUCCACCGGAGGCUUAUGCUCUGGUGGUGGCUUCUCGAAUGGGGGAUGCUUAGGAUAAUCAGCAAGUGAGGGGGCGGUGAGAACCACCAGGCCAAGCAACACCACUAGCAAAUAUGUAGGAGACAUCUUUGGGUUUGGGCUCAGAUGGUGCAAAACUAGGAGAAUUGGCUAGCCUUUUAUAGCGGAUCGUACCCAAUAAUGAAAUGACACGUGUCAUUAUGACCCAUGUGUAAUGGGGUCGAUUUGGGUCCUACAGUGUUGAAAACUUCGACAUCCACUUUUGGCCUUUUGCUUUCUCUACAGCCGCCUUGCUUUUUCCCUCUUUCCUUUUGUUUUCCUCCUGCCCCAUUCUAUCAACUAAACACAAUUAUGUAGUUGUUUAAUUCUUAAAUGAGAUAUUAUCCGUCAAUCGUAUUAUAUUUUAUCAAGAGAGAACGGAGUGCAAUGUGGCUGUAAUUUUAUCGUUUAGUUUUAUCUCUUGGACCACUGCAUUUUUGUUAAGAGGUGCAAUAAUACACGUCUUUAUCUGCCAUUCAAUAUUUACAGUAAAGAGAGGGCACAAAACUCUUCACUUCGCACCAUAAUUAUUUUGUUUUCUGGACACCCCGGGGCCCUUUGGUUGGUUUGGGGGUCAGAAAGUGAACAUCAUAGGGGGUUUUUCCCUUAUGUGCAUUUGUAUCUGAUGGCUUUAACUCGCCUUGUUACUACAAAGAAACUGUCACAGAUAGGAACUUAUUCCAGGCUGAGUAUCUCCUCAUAGACCCUAUAAAAGAAGACAAGUCAUAAUGAACAUCUAACCUUUGUUCAAUUUGAUUCAAUGCCCCCAUUGUGUCCAUCUCACAAAUCUGAAUUAUUAUAUCCAUUGAAUACAUAAAUUAAUGAAGAAAAUAUGAAACCCAAGAUACAUCUCUGCACAACCUCAACCCUGGUUGCUAUGUUUCCCUUCUAUUCACAUGAUUUGAUGCUAAUUGCCAAACUUGCAACAAGCCCUGAGUUUGACACCUAGUAUCGAUGGGCGAAUUUAAAGUCUCCUCCAAACAUAUAUUCCACAGCUUGAAGCUCACAGAAGAUGUUACAGGCAGGGAAAAACCUUCAGAGUUCGCUACCAAAGAUAAUUAUUAAGGAGAUAUCACAAAGAGAAUUCCAAGGGGUCUGAAUCAAAGACAAAUUGGUCGUUCGUGGGGGUUCUUACUUUCUUUUGGGUAUAACUCACUGAGGGCACUGUCUUUGUUAUUUGCAUUUCACAUUUAGAGUUCUGUUCUGGAAACAUAUAAAAGGAGCAUCAUUUUGUUCUUGGGUAACCCAUAGUCGUGAGUGGGUCCAUUUGCAUGCUACUUAGUUGAAAAGUUGGACCAUUUGCUCCGACGCCUACCUCCCGGAUUCCAUGCUCGGAUAAAACAAGAAUAAAAAAAAUAUUUAUAAUUUACAAAUGGGGGAAAGAAAAAAAUGUCAACAACAAACCAGGAAAAAAGAGUAGUAAAAUUCAUGUCACAUGCUAGUGAGAGAAGGGGUUGUUACACUCACUCGAAGUUCUUUCCAAAAUAUCGCAUGGUAUUUUAUUUUAUGUGUCAGCGCAGUUGUGAAUGGAACGUGCAAAAGUCCAAAUUGGCGUUUUUCCUUUUCCCGUGUAGGAUGGCGACCUUUAAUAAAUAUUUAAAACAAAAAACGAAAAAAAGGAGGGAAAAGGGAUCAGAAAAGAUAAAACAAUGUGUACAAGAGCUCAAUUAGUUUGCAAAUUACUGUUUGGAUUUUGAUAGUAUUUUAUUUGUCCAUCUAUAUUUGAUGGAAAAGAGAAUUUAAGAUAUUUCUGAAACAAAAGCAUUAGUGUAAAACUAAAUUAAGGUAUAAUUAAGUUAGUUCAAUGCAUUAAUUUAAGAAACUUGAUCUAUCCAAAGUACAAAAUUAGAUGAAAUCCAUUUCAAUGGUUAAAAUGAUCAAAAUCAAACUUUUUCUAAGUAUUUUUUAAAAGCAUCAAUAUUAAAAGACAAUUUUAUAUUUAGUCGGAGUUUGGACAAAACCAAAAAGCACACAAAAUCCAAGCGACCAUCUCUAGCUUGGAUAGUCACUUGAUCCCACCUAGAGAUGUGCAUGAGUAAAAGGAUUUGAAAAUGGAAAUUGACUAAAUAUUUAGUUGAUCAAUUAAAUUUGCAAUGUCAUAUGCAAUCCUAAUAGCUAGUCAUCUAAUCAAUUAGGUAGUCAAUCAAGUGUUUGUAAUGACUAUUUUGUACAAAAAACCACAUGUAUAGUUAAAUAUAAUGCAUUUCAUUUAUAAAUCUUCUAAUUCUUGAAUAACGAUCCUAUCAUCCUUUGAAAAUUUUUAUUACACCUUUUUUACUUUUGUUCUAAAACUUACAUAUCACCCUUAAUUGUACCAUGAGAACCUAGCUAUUUUUUUUUUUUUUGUAAUUCAUCAAAGUUAGCUUUUGUAUUCAUUGUUGUAUUAUUUUUAGUAUAACUUAGAAAGCUAGUGUUUUCAAGUGAGUAAAAUUAACUUGUAAAUAUUGUAAAGAUUCAUUGAUAUGUAUCUUAAACUAAGUGUACAAAUUAAAACAUUUGCUAGUAGAUUUUCUCAAAAUUUAGAAUAGAGCUUGAGGCUAUUGAAAUAGGUGGGGUUACACCAAACCACAUCACAUCGUUGUUUGCACCUUUUUUCACUCUCUUUUACUUAGUUUCUCUAUAUUUGUUGUCUAGUAAUAUCCUAUAGGCUUGAUGGGUUAGGGAGCAUCCCUUUGUGAAAAAAUUUCAUUCAAUUCUUAGUUGUAUUACGCAUAUAUAAAAUGCCUCAUUGUUUUAAUGGUAUUCAGUCGUGGCAUCACAGAUAUGGGCAUCUAAAUUUUAAAAGUUUGAAACUUUUGUAAAGCAUGUUGAUAAAAUCCAUGAGAGUUGUGUACUUGGGAAGCAACAUCGAGGUGACUUUAUUUUUUUUUCCUUUUAUAAUGCCACACCUAAGUCCGGUUUCUAAAUGCUAAAGUGAAAGGGUAGGUAUGGACCAUUGAAAUGUGAUCACAACUUUUGGCCUUUUCCUUUCUCUGCAGCCAUGUUGUCUCUUUUUUCUUUUGCAUGAUUUUCUUACCAAAACAGAAUCAUAGACUUGUUUAGUCUCUAAGCUACUAUAUUAUAUCUCGGUGGACUUUUAAGAGUGCAACCGACAUAGAGCACAUGCAAGUGGGCAUAUGGGACAUGAAAUUUCUUCUUACAAAGAUUGCAUGAUUUUUAUAUUAGAGUUGUUCACGUGCAAUGUAUUUAGCUUGUUUUGCAGUUAAAUUAAUUGGAUAAGUAAACAUUGGCAUUUCUAAAUCGACUGUGAAGUGCUUCAUGUACGUGUAAAGUAUUAGAAAUUUCUUUCUUGGCAACUUGUUUUUUCCUUGCCAUCUACUGGUAGGUUUGACUAAAAUUAUAUUCCCUGUCAUGCUAAUUAAUUUUCAUGUGCAUGCUCAAAAGAAGAGUAUGACCUUAGUGCACCAAAAUCACUUUGAUUAAUUUGUGAUAGGUUUUUUUGCAUCAUUUAGAUAAUGUUUAGUUCUAAGAAAAAUUUAUAUAAAAAUGGUUUAUUUAUCUUACAUAUAUAUAUAUAUAUAUAUAUUUUUUUUUUUUUCAUUUUUUUUUCUUCUAUUUUAUUUAUUUAUUUUAUUUUCCUUAUGUUUUCCUCACAUUUUCCGGAACUAAACAUAGUCUUACGAAAUCAACAAUUGCCUUCAACUGAGUAGAUUCUGUUGUUUUAGCAAUGUUAGGCUGCUAACUUGUGGUGGUACGAACCAAAUGACCCAUGUUAAUCUUGGCUUGGUUUGAUUUGGCUCUAUCUCAGAGAGCUAAAGGAUCACGUCAACUCUGGUUUCUACUAUUCAGGUCCAUUCCCAGAUGAACUGGUUCAAAUUUGAGAAAAUGGUAACAGACCUUUAGUGAUGUUGGUUUGGAGCCAGUUGCCAAACCCGCCCUGAGCUUUACCACUAAUGUCAAGGGAGAAAGCCAUUUGAACAAAAACAAUAGCUUCAAGAGACUGAAUCGUGGAUGAAAUCUGAUCCACAUUUCUUCUCAUUUUGGGAAAAAAUGAGAACUUAACUACAAAGAUUCUACUGCCUCAUUCAUAGUGCUUUUCCUGAUCCAAGGUUGGUUCGUUUCCCAAAUUGUGAGGUGCACGUGCCACUCUCACGCUCAGGAGUGUAUCCACGUGGUGGACAUCAGAUGGUGGCUUAAUAUCUGGUGUCGGUGGCUUUACUUUACUAGGAGAGUAGUGUGUCUUCAUCUCAUUCACUGCCGGAGGGUGGCGUAAGCAGUGACGCUAAGGUGGGGCACAGUCAAUAUCAUUUGCAUUUGACCAUUAUAGUUUUCUCCCGGCUUGAAAGUAACCUUAUCGUGAUAAAGGAUUACUAGCACUAGUUCAGAUGACCGUCAUGUUAAUUCGGACCAUGUUUGUGUCACAUUAUCAGCAACCAUGUGUUUAUGGUUCAUGCUAUCUGCAACUAAACUUGAUAUAUAACCAGGUGAACUUCAAUCAAAAUUCUGGAAGUACUCUUGUGAUAGAUGGUGCCUGUCUGCAGAGUCCAUCAAUUGAAAAAUGGAGUGAGUGUAUCUAUAAGAGGGAAGGCUUGGCAAAUGUUCAGUUUUCUGGGAAUUCAACAAGGAUCUAAAAUAGAUUGUUUUCUUUGCCGACUUCAAUGGUUGAAAUUUGAGAAGAUUGUGUCCACAUAUCACAACUAUUACUGGUCCUUCUGUUGCAAUUUAUCCUGUAAGGCUCUAACAUGUCUUCCAAUUCCCACUUCCCUGUUACUCCAGGAAAGCUAUUUCUGUCAUUGUGAAGAAGAAAAGAGAAUGUACAUAUCGAUGCUUUUAAGUGACUGGAGCAUUCAUAUCAGGUGGUCUGCAGCCAUAUAUGCCACUUUGUGAAGGUUGGAACAGUCAAUCACUAGGCUAUAUAUUGGUGUGGCCCAGCCACUUCAAUCAAGGACAAGUCUUCAUACUUAAAGUCAAAUUCUGCCUUUAGUCUCAUUAUAAAUUGCUGUUUAAAUAUUAAGCAAACUUUUGUUUAAUGCGAUUAAGACAGUACUAACUCAAUACUUGUUCUAUUUUUGGAUGCAAAUGCUUGAUGGUUUCAUCAUUGGAUGGGAUAAAGGUGCAUUCAUGAUUAUGAAUACUUGUAGUUAUAUUUUCAUUCUCUUUUUUCUCAAUGAGACUUGUUGGCACAAUGUUGCUGUUCAGAAACCUACCUCUCCAUGGAAAAUAAGUUGCGAUUGAUAGUACUGGAUAUGUUCAAGAAAGCUAAAUAUAGAUAGCACAAAAUAUUAUCGAUAUAAAUAGCAUUAACAGCGUACGUAUGUCUCAAUGCUCAUCAGCUAUAAGCAUGGGACAAACACUUACUAUGAGCAACUUACGUCAAAAUUCCAGAAUAGGACAUAGAAGUGACAGAUCUAUAUAUAUAGAACACUGCAUAUGAGUCACAAGAAAGGAAAUUACGGGUGCAUAGCAGCUCUUAUUUUACAUACUACUACUCAUACUGAUCAAAGUCACUCAGUUGGGAUGGGUGGGAGUAGGAGGUUUGUGGGGUGGCUUGUGCGGAGGAGUUGGCAGCUUCUUUCCAGGACCUGGUUGCUUCUCUGCUGGAGUUGAAGGAGGCUUAAUCUUCCGAGGUGGCUUGUAUGAGUCUUCAGCAUUCUCAGCUGGAGGGUGACCAGGGUUGUGACCAUAAUGUGGUGGCUUCUCUCCCUUAGGUGGUUUGCCAACUGGGGUUGGUGGCUUGUAUGAGUCUUCAGCAUUCUCAGCAGGAGGGUGACCAGGGUUGUGACCAUAAUGUGGUGGCUUCUCUCCCUUAGGUGGUUUGCCAACUGGGGUUGGUGGCUUGUGUUCUGGGAGUGGCUUCUCCCCCUUGGGAGGUUUUUCCAAUGGGGUUGGUUUGUGUUCAGGAGGUGGCUUCUCCACUGGAGGCUUGUGUUCAGGAGGUGGCUUCUCCACCGGUGGCUUGUGUUCAGGAGGUGGCUUCUCCACCGGAGGCUUAUGCUCUGGUGGUGGCUUCUCCACCGGAGGCUUAUGCUCUGGUGGUGGCUUCUUGAAUGGGGGAUGCUGAGGGUAAUCAGCAAGUGAGGGGGCGGUGAGAACCACCAGGCCAAGCAACACCACUAGCAAAUAUGUAGGAGACAUCUUUGGGUUUGGGCUCAGAUGGUGCAAAACUAGGAGAAUUGGCUAGCCUUUUAUAGCGGAUCGUACUCAAUAAUGAAAUGACACGUGUCAUUAUGACCCAUGUGUAAUGGGGUCGAUUUGGGUCCUACAGUGUUGAAAACUUCGACAUCCAGUUUUGGCCUUUUGCUUUCUCUACAGCCGCCUUGCUUUUUCCCUCUUUCCUUUUGUUUUCCUCCUGCCCCAUUCUAUCAACUAAACACAAUUAUGUAGUUGUUUAAUUCUUAAAUGAGAUAUUAUCGGUCAAUCGUAUUAUAUUUUAUCAAGAGAGAACGGAGUGCAAUGCAGCUGUAAUUUUAUCGUUUACUUUUAUCUCUUGGACCACUGCAUUUUUGUUAAGAGGUGCAAUAAUACACGUCUUUAUCUGCCAUUCAAUGUUUACAGUAAAGAGAGGGCACAAAACUCUUCACUGCUCUGCAUGUGUCCCAAAAAUGCGAUUGGACAAAUUAUGAUUUGCAUGCUAAAAAGAGGCAAAUGAGGUUAAUUCGCACCAUAAUUAUUUGGUUUUCUGGACACCAUAAAAAGAUGUUAUACAGGCAGGGAAAAACCUUCAGAGUUAGCUACCAAAGAUAAUUAUCAAGCAGAUAUCACCAAGAGAAUUCCAUAGAGUCUGAAUCAAAGACAGAUUGCUCGCUCGUGGGGGUUCUUACUUUCUUUUGGGUAUAACUCACUGAGGUCACUGUCUUUUUUAUUUGCAUUUCACAGUUAGAGUUCUGCUCUGGAAGGUUUGUUCUGGAAACAUAUAAAAGGAGCAUCAUUUUGUUCUUGGGUAACCCAUAGUCGUGAGUGGGUCCAUUUGCAUGCUACUUAGUUGAAAAGUUGGACAAUUUGCUCCGACGCCUACCUCCUGGAUUCCAUGCUCGGUAAAACAAGAAUAAAAAAAAAUAUAUAAUUUACAAAUGGGGGAAAGAAAAAAUGUCGGAAAAAAUAGUAAAAUUCAUGUCACAUGCUAGUGAGAGAAGGGGUUGUUACACUCACUCGAAGUUCUUUUCAAAAUAUCGAAUGGUAUUUUACUUUAUGUGUCAGCGCAGUUGUGAAUGGAACGUGCAAAAGUCCAAAUUGGCGUUUUUAUUUUUCCCAUGUAGGAUGGUGACCUUUAAUAAAUAUUUAAAACAAAAGACGAAAAAAAAAAGGAGGGAAAAGGGAUCACAAAAGAUAAAAUAAUGUUUACAAAAGCUCAAUUAGUUUGCAAAUUACUGUUUGGAUUUUGAUAGUAUUUUAUUUGUCGUUCUAUAUUUGAUGUAAAAGAGAAUUUAAGAUAUUUCCGAAGCAAAAGCAUUAGUUUGCUCUGUGAUGUCCCACAUCGAAUAGGGGAGAAAGUUUCUGGCGCUAUAUAUGUAGAGGCUCCUCUUAACCAAGUAGAUGCGUUUUAAAACCAUGAGGGCCCCCUUAGGUCCAAAGCGGACAAUAUCUACAUGAUUGGGUGUAAGUCAUUACAAAUGGUAUCAGAGCCGAUCCCCGACCCCGGUGUGGGGGUUUGUUUGGCCCUGUAAGGGGUGUUUGUCUGUUUGACCCCACAAUCCCAUGGGACACAACGAGGACGUUGUGUCUGCAUGGGGGGGCGUUUGUGAUGUCCCACAUCGGAUAGGGGAGAAAGUUCCUAGUGCUAUAUAUGUAGAUGUUUCUCUUAACCAAGUAGAUGCAUUUUAAAAUUGUGAGGGCCUCUUUGGGCCCAAAGCGGACAAUAUCUACAUGGUUGAGUGUAAGUCAUUACAUGCUCCAUGUCAAUUUCAGCAUUUCUCAUAUGUUUCACACAUACACAGAAGAGCAUCGUUUUUUAAAGCAUGCAUUUAUGUUGGAUUAAUUUGGAUUUUGUGGGAACUGGGGCAAGGAUCACAUGGAAGAGAGGUUGACUUUUUUCAGUACUUCAAUGGUUGAAAUAUGUGAAGGCUUGAUUGAUACUAAAGCUUGAAAUUGCGACUCUGUCAUUUGUAAAAAAAUAUGACAGCUUCCAUGCUCUCGUUUGGUUGCAUUGUCCGGUCGAGAGGUGCAAAAAGCAUUCUCUCUCUUCUAAUAGUCUUUUCGUUUAAAUCAAGGGAUUUGCCUUCCCGGUCGAGGUCCAAUAGAGGGUAACGGUCACCUACUAAACAUUAAAUGCUCCAACAACUAGUGAACUGAUCGACCCCAGCUCGACUAGUUGAGGUUACUUUUUGGUUUUCUUGUCUCCCGAGGUUAGAAACCUAUAAAUAGAGAGCUUCACUUCAUUUAUGAGUAAGAGAACACCUAAAUUUAUUUGUUUACCUACUUGUUUUUGCCAUAAAAGCUCUCAUUUCUUUUCUUGGUGUAUUAAAUCUCCAUUUGCAUAUCCUUUAGUGCACCUUUGUGAUUCAUUCUAGCCUUGAGUUGUAUUUAAGCCUUUGUUGAGCUAGGUUGAGAGUUUCAUACUUGUUUAUUGAGUGUUAAAGCCUUCAAGUGAGUUAAAACUUGAAGAGAUUGUGUAAGAGCCCAUUGGAGUCGGAAUCCAAGUGUAAAGGUGAUUAAAAGCUUGGUUGAAGCUUCAAGUUAGUGGAACUCUCACUCGGUUAUGAGCUUGAGAAGAGUGGACAUAGACAAGGCAGUGUCGAACCACUAUAAAAUCUGAGUUUGAUUUCUCUAACCUUAUCUCUUUAUAUUUGCUUCUCUUGUGCUUAAAUUUUUUGUGUUUAAAAAGAAUUUUUAAAAACUCAAUUCACCCCCUUCUUGGGAGUUUUUCUCUUUUAAGAUCAGCUUUUAUUUUCUCAAUUGGUAUCAGAACUAUGCCUCUUGUUUAAGACUUAAUCGUCUAAGAGGAAAUGGCUAAUCCAUCAAGUUCAUCUCACAUUGAAAGUUUUGCAACCAAUAGACUUCUUUUUUUUUUUUUGCGGGAACUGAUUAUCCCUAUUGGAAAACUAAAAUGACUUGGUUUUUACAAUCAAUUGAUUUAGAUGUAUGAGAUGCCAUUGAAGAUGACCUAACUUUUCCUUCAAAACUAGUUGAUGGAGUCAUGGUUCCAAAACCUAAGCAAGAAUGGGAUGAGCGUGAUUGAAGAAAUUUUCAAUUAAAUGCUAAAGUCGUUUAUACUUUGCAAUGCUCUAUGGACAGAAAUGAAUAUAAUAGAAUAUGUCAAUGCAAAUCGGUUAAAGAAAUUUGGAGAUUGCUUGAAAUAACUCAUAAAGGAACAAAUCAAGUUAAAGAGUCAAAAAUCAAUUUACUUGUUCAUAGAUAUGAAUUGUUUUUUAUGAAAGAUAAUGAAACUAUUGUUAAGAUGAUCACUAGGUUCACCAACAUUGUUAAUGGUCUUAAAGCCUUGGGAAAGACCUACAAGGAAUCCGAAAACGUGAUGAAGAUCUUGAGGUCACUUCCAUCAAAGUGGCAUACCAAGGUCACCGCAAUUUAAGAAGCAAAAGACUUGAUCAAGCUACCUUUGGAGGAGUUCAUAGGGUCAUUGAUGACAUAUGAAAUCAAUUUGGCAAAGAAGUAACAAAAAGGUGAAGACAAAAAGAAGAAGAACAUAACUCUCAAAGCUACAACUAAGGAAGAAGAAGUUGAAGAAGAAAAACAAAUUGAAGAAGAUGAAGAUUUAGCCCUCAUCACAAGAAAGUUCAACAAAUUCAUGAGGGGUGAAAGGUUUAGAAGAAGAAGGUUCACUUCUAGAAGAGACUUUUCUAAAAAGGAAUCUUCAUCUAAUGGUGACAAAAAGAGAUGGGAAGAGAAAAGAGACUUGGUGUGUUUCAAGUGCAAGAAACCGGGACACAUUAAAUAUGAUUGUCCUCUCUACAAAAGUGAAGUCAAGAGGAAAAAGAAUAAGGCAAUGAUGGCCACUUAGAGUGAAAGUGAAGAUGAAUCAUCCGAAGAAGAAAAUGAGAAAGAAGUGGCAAACAUGUGUUUCAUGGCAAUAGAUGAACUUGAUGAGGUAAAAUCUAACCUUAGUGAUUAAGAUAUACAUGAUGCAUUUGAAGAAUUGUAUGAGGAUUUUUAAAAACUUAGUUUGAAAAAUAUUUCUCUUAAAAAGAAAGUUCAACAACUUGACAAAGAACUUAGAGAAGUAAAAGAAAAAUUUUCAAAUGUUAAAGUUUCUAAAACUCAUCUUGAAAAAGAAAAUGAGAUUCUAAGAAAGAAAAAUGAAUAGUUGAACUCCUCUCUUUCAAUCUUUUCUUCUAGACAAAAAUCUUUUGAAAUGAUUCUAACUAGCUAAAAAUGUGUUUUUGACAAACAAGGGUUAAGAUUUAAAUCUUCAAAAAAUCAAAAGUAUUUUAAAAACUAUUUUGUAAAGGAAUCCACAAGUGCAAGUCCUUCCACUACUUGCAACUUUUGUGGAAGAGAAUGGCACAUUAGUAGUACGCCCUUUAAGAAAUGGUUCUCAAAAGAAUUUAAAUGCAAAAACUAAAAAAGAUUUGGAUUGAGAAAUCCAAGGUCACUAACCCUCAAGGACCCAAAAAGAUAUAGGUACCUAAAUCAACUUGAGUUUUAUGUUGUAAGGUUCAAAGAAUGAUAAGUGGUUCUUAGAUAAUGGUUGCUCAAGACACAUGACCGGAGAUGAAUCCAAGUUUGCUUUUCUUAAAAAGAAAAAUGGAGGAUAUGUUACCUUUGGAGACAAUGCAAAAGAAAGGAUGAUUGGUCAAGGCAACAUUGGUAAUGGCACAUCCUCUCUCAUUGAAAGUGUUUUAUUAGUAGAUGGUUUCAAACAUAACCUUUUAAGCAUUAGUCAAUUUUGCGACAAAGGUUUUUAAGUGAUUUUUUAAGCAUCUCAUUGCAUCAUCAAGGAUAUUCAAAAUGAUAAAACCAUUUUCAUGGGCCAUAGAUGUGAUAAUGUUUAUGCUAUAAAUAUUUCAAAAUAUGAUGGCCAUGAUAGAUGUUUUUCAAGCAUGCAUGAUCAAAGUUGGUUGUGCCAUAGGAGAUUGAGACAUGCUAACAUAGACCUCAUUUCCCAACUCAACAAAGAUGAACUUGUUAGAGGCCUUCCCAAAAUAAUUUUUUAAAAAGAUAAAGUUUGUGAAGCUUGUCAAGUGGGAAAGUAAAUCAAAAACUCUUUUAAAAACAAAAACUUCAUUUCCACAUCUAGGCCACUUGAGUUGUUGCAUAUGGAUUUAUUUGGUCCCUCUAGGACACCAAGUCUUAGAGGAAAUUCUUAUGCAUAUGCUAUUGUGGACGACUUCUCUAGAUACACAUGAGUCUUGUUUUUUAGUCAAAAGAAUAAAGUUUUUUAUGAGUUUUCAAAGUUUUGCAAUAAGAUUCAAAAUGAAAAAGGUUUUUCAAUUACUUAUAUAAGAAGUGAUCAUGGGAGAGAAUUCGAAAAUAUUGAUUUUGAAGAGUAUUGCAAUGAGCAUGGAAUUGACCACAAUUUUUUGGCUCUUAGAACUCCUCAACAAAAUGGGGUAGUUGAAAGGAAAAAUAGAACUCUUCAAAAAAUGACAAGAACCAUACUAAAUGAAAACAACUUACCAAAAUAUUUUUAGGCCAAAACGGUUAACACUUCUUGUUAUGUUUUAAAUAGAGUAUUAUUGAGGCUCAUACUUAAGAAAACUCCCUAUGAGCUUUGGAAAAACAAAAAACCCAACAUUAGUUAUUCCAAAGUCUUUGGAUGCAAUAUUUUAUAAUAAACACCAAAGACAAUCUUGGAAAAUUUGAUGCAAAAUUGGAUGUUGGAAUUUUCCUUGGUUACUCAACUUCAAGUAAAGCUUUUCGAGUUUUAACAAAAGAACCAUGGUUGUAGAGGAGUCCAUCCAUGUUAUUUUUUAUGAAUCUCCAAGAAAGAGAGAGGAUUGAUGAUGAUUUAGGUUUGAAGACCUCUAUAGGAAGAUUGCAAAUCGAAGAUAGAAGACAACAAGAAGAAAAUGGAGAGAAUCCAAAGAAAGAAGGAUCACCAUUGGCACUACCCCCUCAUCAACAAGCGCAAGGUGAAUCAAGUCAAGAGCUUCCUAAAGAAUGGAAGUUUGUCAUCAAUCACCCACAAGAUCAAAUUAUAGGCAAUCCAUCUAGUGGGGUAAGAACUAGAUCCUCUCUUAGAAAUAUUUGCAAUAAUCUAGCUUUUAUCUCUCAAAUUGAGCCUAAAAAUAUAAAUGAUGUUUUAGAUGAUGAAAAUUGGAUAAUUGCAAUGCAAGAAGAGUUAAAUCCAUUUGAAAGAAGUGGAGUAUGGGAAUUAGUACCAAGACCUUCAAAUCAAAGUGUUAUUGGAACUAGAUGGAUCUUUAGAAAUAAAAUGGAUGAAAAUAGCAUAAUUGUUAGAAAUAAAGCAAGAUUGGUAGCCCAAGGUUUUAAUCAAGAAGAAAUGAUAGAUUAUGAAGAAACCUUUGCCCCCGUAGCUAGGUUGGAAGCCAUUAGGAUGCUACUUGCCUUUGCAUGUUUUAAAGACUUUGUUUUAUAUCAAAUGGAUGUGAAAAGUGCUUUUUUAAAUGGUUUUAUAAAUGAAGAAGUAUAUGUUGAACAACCACCCGGUUUUCAAAGUUUCAACUUUCCUAACCAUGUUUUUAAACUUAAAAAGACACUUUAUGGUUUGAAACAAGCACCUAGAUCAUGGUAUGAAAAAUUGAGUAAAUUUCUUUUGAAAAAAAUGUUUUAAAAUGGGAAAAAUUGACACAACUCUUUUUAUAAAAACCAAAGAAAAUGAUAUGCUCUUAGUUCAAAUAUAUAUUGAUGAUAUCAUUUUUGGUGCUACUAAUGUCUCUCUUUAUGAAGAAUUUUCUAAGUGCAUGCAUAGUGAGUUUGAAAUGAGCAUGAUAGGAGAACUCAACUUCUUCCUUGGACUUCAAAUCAAGCAACUAAAGGAAUGAACCUUCAUCAAUCAAGCAAAGUAUAUAAGAGAUCUUCUCAAAAGGUUCAACAUGGAAGAAGCCAAAACAAUGAAGACUCUAAUGAGCUCAUCCAUUAAGCUUGAUAAGGAUGAGAAAGGUAAAUCCAUUGACUCUAUUAUGUAUAGAGGCAUGAUAGGUUCUUUGCUCUAUUUGACCACUAGUAGACCUUACAUUAUGUAUAGUGUGUGUUUGUGUACUAGAUUUCAAUCUUGUCUUAAAAAAUCUCACUUAAGUGUCGUGAAAAGAAUCCUCAAAUAUUUGAAAGGGACAAUGGACAUAGGCUUAUGGUAUCCUAAGAGUGAUAACUUUGAAUUAAUUGGUUUUUUGGAUGCUGAUUUUGUCAGUUGUAGGGUUGAAAAAUAAAACACUAGUGGCACUUUUCAUUUCUUAAGACACUUACUUGUCUCAUGGCAUAAUAAGAAGCAAAAUUUGGUAGCUUUGUCAACAGCAGAAGCUAAAUACAUAGCAACUGGUUUAUGUUGUGCACAAAUCCUUUGGAUGAAAUAAACACUUAGUGAUUUUGAUUUAUCUUUUGAGCAUAUUCCUAUUAAAUGUGAUAAUAGUAGUGCCAUAAGUAUAUCAAAAAAUCUCGUGCAACACUCUAGGACUAAGCAUAUAGAGAUUAGACAUAAUUUUCUUAGAUAUCAUACACAAAAGGAUGAUAUAACACUUGAAUUUGUAAGCAUAAAAGACCAACUUGCCGAUAUCUUUACAAAACCUCUAAGAACAUUUUGUUGAUAUUAGAGGACAAUUAGGAGUGAUUUCUUUAUGAUCUAAUGUGAUGAAUUCUUGAUGAAUAUACUUUUUGAUUGCAUGAAUUUCAUGUCAUAUAUGCAUCAUAUAGAAAUAUACUUAGAUAAUGGUCAAAUUUCGACCAAAAAUCAAAAUUCCCAUGGCAUUAGGCAUAAAAAUUUUGGAAUUUCAACUGAAAAUGGUAGGAGGAGGAUCACAAAAUGAGAAAGUAUGCAAAAAUUGAAAAAUCAAAACGUUGACCAAGCGGUCAAUCGGACUAGACCGAUCGACUAGUUUGUCGAGAUUUAGGAUUUUUAAGAGACUCCAACGCUUCAAUUUUUGCACCGUUCUCCUCUAUUUCUUCACGGUUUCUCUGAUUUUGUCUUUUAGAGACUAAUUUGAGUGCGUUUUGGAUCAAUUGAAGCAUUUUGGAUUGGAUUUUAGGAAGAUUGAAAGUUAAGGUUUCGGAUUUGGGUCGCCUUCUCUUCCUCUCGCGUGUCACAAUCAGCUUUAGCAUUGUUCUCUUUCCAUUUUCACACACCUAGGGUUUCAGUUGUGAGCAUCUCUCUCUCUUUACCAACCACUACUCCCUUGCUUCUUCCAUAUGGCUCCUAGGCGAGAGUCCGCUACUUCUAGGGCACAAGGCAAGCACCCAACUGAGUCGUCUCAGUCAAAGGCACGUCGAAAAGUGAGAUUUGACAUUGCCUUGUUCAGUUCCAUGGAGGACUACCAACUAUACAAGCAACACUUUGCUUAGAGACGAGUAGUUCCCAAGAGAAAUAUUAAUUUUCCUCAACUUCAGCAUUUCGAAUUUAAGGGUCUAUUUACUAGGAUGGUUGGUUGUCUAUUGUCACAAUUUCGGAGCCGGUUUUCCUGACCUUAGUGCGAGUUUUUUACUCGAGGGCGACUUAUGGCAUGGGUGGCAUGAUCAUUUCUACUGUUGGAGGAGUUGAGAUCUGUCUGGACCCAGAGAGCAUCUGCCAUAUUUUCGAUAUUGCUCUGGUUGGACUCAAAGUAUACAAGUCCAAAAUGUGGCCCAUUGUGCCAGGAUUUGAGCUUAGAGAGGUCAUUCAGAGGAUUUGUGAACUUCCAGACGCCCAGGAGAUGGGCAAACCAUUGCCACACAGUUUGACGGUCAUCAACAGGGUGCUACACCAUAUAUUGUGCUCUAUCUUUCUACCACGAAGUGGACAUUGAGAUGAGGUCUCUUAUUAUGAGGCAUUCCUUAUUGACUCCAUUCUAACGGAGAGACGAAUUCAUCUACUAUGUCAUCAUUCACUAAGCCUCCUCACAGUGACAUACCACCUCAUCAGGCACCUCUUGCUCCUGACCAUGCUCCAUUGAUGGAUUUAUUUACUCAUAUUAGCUCUCUAGGCACUCGCAUGAAGGAGUUUGUUGUAGUUAGUGAUACAUGGUUCUACUCCAUAGAGGAUCGCAUGGAUCAGUAUCAGACUGGCUUCACGUCACAGUUUGAGUAUCUCCAAUAGAGGAUUGAGCAUAUUGAGGAUCACUUGAGCAUGAGAAGAUGAUGGCUUUUCUAUGCUCUGUGUUUCCACCUCCACCUCGUCAACCUUGAUUUCUUAGAGACCCAUUGUUUUCAUUUUGUAAUGUUGCCAAAAGGGGGAGAUAUUUAGGAUCUAGGACUCUAUAGGAGACUUACAUGCAUAUCAUUUUCAUAUCAUUGUUUGGAUCGUACAUAUUGGAUAGUGAUACUUUUUACUUAUAUAUGAUAUGCCUAUAUGUUUCAUGUCUUACAUUGUUUCUUAUUGCAAAUUAUCUCUAACAUGUCUUGAUUAUCUUUUUUUUAACUUCAUAAAUUUUGAUUGUUAACCCAUGAUUGGUUUGAGGGGAAGAUUCUUCUUCUCCUAGAUAACCAAGGUUUGUCAUCAUAAAAAAAUUGGAGAUUGUUAGCCCAAGGGUUCUCCUAAUCAUGUUUUGAUGAUAACAAACCAUGCUUAAGUUACUAAUUGGUUUGAAUUAUAAAGAAUUUCAAGUGUUAAUUUGAAAAUUCAUCAAAGAACCUAAUGGAUGCAAGAUCAAGAUUUUUGGAAGACCUUUAAUCAUAAGAAACAUAUGUAAGAUGAAUGCAUGGGUGCACUUAAGAUUUGCAUAUCAUUUCAUGCAUAUUUGGAAAACACGGUUUAUGCUUUAAAGUUACAUUUCCAUCAAAAUUUGAGAUCCAUCAAAUGAACCUUAGGAAAAAUGUUUUAAAAUUGGCAUAUAAUUUUACCUAAAGACCUUGCCUAAGUGUUAGAAGCAAAAGGACAAAAAAAAUAUAGGUUUUCUGGUCAAAAAUGGUGAACCAGUCAAGGCAUUGUCUAAAUCAGCUCAAUCGGCCAAGGUACCGGUCGAUCGGUUUCCCUUUCCCUGUCGAGAUCUAGUCAAGAGGUACAAAAAUCACAAUCUCUGUCUCUUUCUCUCUUUGUCUAUCUUCCAGUAGUCUUUCCUUCCCGGUCGAGGGAUUUGCCUUCCCGAUUGAGGUCCGAUUGAGAGUAAUAGUCACUUGCCAAAUAUUAAAUGCUCCAACAGUUAGUGAACUGGUCGACCCCCACCUUGCCCAGUUGAGGUUACUUUUUGGUUUUCUUGGCUCCCGAUGUUAGAAACCUAUAAAUAGAGAGUUCCACUUCAUUUAUGAGCAAGAGAACACUUGCAUUUAUUUGUUUACCUACUUGUUCUUGCCUUAAAAGCUCUCAUUUCUUUUCUUGGUGCAUUAAAUCUCCAUUUUGAUAUCCUUUAGUGCACCUUUGUGAUUCAUCUUAGCCUUGAGUUGUAUUUGAGCCCUUUUUUUAGCUAGGUUGAGAGUUUCAUACUUGUUAAUUGAGUGUUAAAGCCUUCAAGUGAGUUGAAACUUGUAGAGAUUAUGUGAGAGUCGAUUGGAGCCGAAAUCCAAGUGUAAAGGUGAUUAGAAGCUUGGUUGAAGCUUCAAGUUAGUGGAAUCCUCACUCAAUUAGGAGCUUGAGGAGAGUGGACGUAGCCAAGGAAGUGUCGAACCACUAUAAAAUUUGAGUUUGAUUUCUCUAACAUUGUCUCUUUAUAUUUGUUUAUCUUGUGCUUAAAUUUAUUGUGUUUAAAAAGAAUUUUUAAAUACCCAAUUCACCCCCCUCUUGGGUGUUUUUCUCUUUUAAAAUUAGCCUUUAUUUUCUCACAAACUAUUGUAGUAUAGUGGUUUUUAGGUGUCAUCCAUUAGGAUGAAUUGUUCUCGGUAAUUAAGGCGUGAAUGAGAGGAGAAUUAAUGAUUGUGAUUAAGUAAAAUUGAUUUGAAAAUUCAUGGUGAAAAAUCAAUUUAACAAUGGUUUCUAAUUGAGAAAAACAAUGAAAUGUGAAAUAAAAUAAAAUUAAUAGGAAAUGAAAUUCUCGAAGUUAGAAUUUUCUAAAAAACAAAUUCCAUGGUGAAUGGAUGUUGAGAUCUAAUUUUCAUCAAGUUAGAUUGAAAACCGAAAUUUUCAUAUAAACUGAUUUUUUAUUUAGUUUUAGGUCUAGAUUUAAUUUCCCUUAAAAUUAGGUUAUUUAAUCCAAGAAAUCAAUUCAAAUCAUAUAUUCAAUUCAUCUUAAAUUAUCUUCCAAUUAUUCACACAAUGCAACUAUUCAAUCUCAUCAAAUCUAGCUUUUAAGAAUUUAAUGAAUCUACCUAGUUUGCAUUGUAAUAGUCAUCCAUGACAAUUUGAAGAGAAAAAUAAUUCAAUUAAUCAAUCACUUGGAUCAAAUUACCUUUGCAAUUAAAGUUCAUUUCUCUAAUUCACCACAGAUUUUGUCUCUAGAUCCUCCUUUCUCAAAGAAAAAUGAGAUUUAGCCACACAUGAUUGGAGAUUUGGUCUCAUAAGGCAUGUUUAGCUAGUGAUAAAAUGAGAGAAAAUAAAGAAAAAUAGAGAAUUCGAUUAAGAAAGAAAAUCUAAAAAAUUCUACAAUUAGAAAUGUCCAAAAAGCUUUUUCAUGAGAAAAUCAAGUUUCUAUUUAUAGGCCAAGGUCAAGUGGACACUUGACAUCAUCUAAGAGGUCUUCCGGAAGCUUCUUCAUCAAGAAAUCUGGAGUUUAAUAAUAAAAUGGUCAUUUCACAAGAGCUCAAACAAUUUCGCAUGAUUAUGUGAAAUAAAAAAUGCAACAACAGCAAUUUACAUCUUCUUGGAGCAUUUCGCAUGACUGUGUGAAAUUUUCACAUGAUCAUGUGGAAUCGACUUGACAACUCUCAUUUAGCCUACAACAUAAUUCCACCUUUUGGUCCAUUUUUCAUAGUCAUGCGAAAUGGAAAUAUUUGAUUUUUAAGUUUUCUUUUGUCAUUUCUUUCAUUUCCUUCUCUUGAUUCCACUUCAACUACCUCCGAAUCCUGGUCCAAACCAAUUGCAUUACUUCUUUCAUUAUGCAUUUGGAUCAUCAUCAACAUUAUUUGUUCUCUUCAAUUUGAUUCAUCUCUUUUGUCACCAAUUUAUCAAAAUCAUACCUUGAAAUGACUCCAAAACUUCAUAAAACUUGUUAGUAACUCUUGCAAGGGCAACAACAUAUUAAUUAAGUGUUUUAGGCAUAGUUACUACUCAAAAGAUGCGAAACUCAUGAUAAUUAUUAUAUAAAAUAUGCUCUUUUUGAGUAGUAAUCAACUUUCUUGCAUAAGCAGACCUUUUAGGGUGGAGUACUAAAGACCAAUAUGCUUGUCCUUGUUGUAAUAAAGAAACUUGCUCUUAUUGAUUGCACCAUGGGAGAAAAUUUUGCUACAUGAGUUAUCAUCAAUUUCUUCCCACCAAUCAUAGAUUUAGACGUGACAAGAGGCCUCUUAAUGGCAAGGAGGAACUGACACUCACACUUAUACAAUUAUCGGGCAUUGAUGUGUUGCAACAAUUAGAAUAACUUACACCAAUUAUGUUGGGGAAGUCACAAAAGGCAAACAUGAAAACUAAAAGGAAAAAAGAAAAAUGUUACAUAUCACCACAACUGGAAAGAAAAAAGUAUUUACUUUCAUUUGCCAUAUUGGAAAGCACUUAUUUUACAUCAUAAUAAUUUAGACAUAAUGCAUAUUGAGAAAAAUGUGUGACAAUAUAAUUGAGACAUUGUUCAGUAUUGACGAAGAAACAAGGACAACCUAAAUAGUCAUCUCGAUUUACAAGCUCUAACUAUUAGAAAUGAGAUUCACCCAAUAGAAAGCAGGACCAAAUUUAUUUUGCUUGCAACAUGCUACUCACUCACCCCAAAUGAGAUUAAGGAAUUUUGCAAGUUUUUGAAAUCAAUAAAGGUCCCCAAUGGCUAUUCUUUCAAUAUCUCUCGUUAUGUGCAACUCAAUGAAAGGAAGAUAUAUGAGCUCAAAUUGUAUGAUUGUCAUGUCCUAAUGCAACAACUUCUCUCACUUGUAGUUCGUGGAGUUCUACAUAAGAAUGUUUGUGGAGUUAUCAUAGAAUUGCGUAAUUUUUUCAAGCAAUUGUGCUCAAAGGUGUUAGAAACAAAUCACUUACACCAACUUGAGAACAAUAUUAUUGUCAUACUAUGUAAAAUGGAGCAAAUAUUUCUUCCAUCAUUCUUUGAUAUUAUGGUGCAUUUACUUGUGCAUCUAGUAAGGCAAAGGUUGCAAGACUUGUGCAAUAUUGUUGGAUGUACCUAAUUGAACGAUAUUGUUAUAAUUUCAUAUGAAUCAUUUAAUUUUAUUUUAUAUUAUGUUCAGUUCAUUAACAUGUACAUUGGUCUACAUAUGGAUGAUGAUAGGUACCUAAGCACUUUAAAGUCAUAUGUGCGUAAUAGAACUUUUCUAGAAGGUUCUAUUGUAGAAAGGUACCUUGCAAAAGAAUGUACAACAUUUUAUUCUAGGUACUUGAAUGAUGUGGAAAUAAAGUAUAAUCACAAUGAUAGAAACUUUGUUGGUUUCAACACUAGAGGAGAUGAAAGGGGUUAUCUUUAAACAUAUUGGACAUGCAUUGGGAAAGCCCAUAUUUCAUUAACUUAGUUCAAAAGAGUGGUCACAAGCACAUUUAUAUGUGUUGACAAAUUGCGAAGAUGUCAUACCAUUCAUUGAGUAAAAAAUUUAUUUGAAUUUUAAUUAAAGCUCUAGUUUAUAUCCUUAAUCAAUGUUUUUUAAAUUCACAAGGAGCACAAGCAAACCAUCAAGGCUAGACCACAUAUACGUGUUUGAGACGUAGAUUUAAUUCAUAACAAGGAAUUUAUCAAGUGGUUUGAAAGACAUGUAAGUAUAUUCCUUAUUAUAAGGGAUUUAUUUCACAUUAUGUUUAUAUUGAAUCCAAACCUAUUAUUGAAUUGUAGGUUGAACAAUUACAUAAUGAAGGUCAUAUAUCUGAACACCUUCUCACAUUAUCAUGUGUUCCAAAUUCAUUAGUUACAUGCUUCAAAUGAUAUAUUGUCAAUGGAUUUAGAUCCCACAUUAAAGAACGUGAUAAAAAAGUUUUUAAAAAAAGACUCAGAAUAAUGGAAUUGUUGUAGUUGCAAAAACGUCAAGCUUUACAAGUGCAUGUGAUAUGAGUCCAAUUAUUAGUGAUGCUCUCUACUAUGGUGUUCUAACUAAAGUUGUUGAGUUACAUUAUCUUGGUGAAAAUAAGGUUGUUUUAUUCGAGUUUGAUUGGUGGGAUGUUACAAAUAUUGGAAAAUUGAUAAAAGAUGAUGAGUACAAUUACACAUUUGUUAACUUUGCAUGAAUUCUAACCACGAACGAACGAUUUGUACUUGCAUCUCCAGCAAAGUAAGUGUUCUAUGUGAAGAAUGCGAAUGAAUCAGAUUGGCAUACUAUCAUGGAGAUGCAACCUCAAGACCUCUAUAAGAUGAACGGGAUAGGAUCCAAUGGUGAUUUUGAACCAUUUCAACAAAGUGAACUACAUGAUCACUAAUAUAUCUCAGAUUUAGUUGAUGAAGAUAUAAUCAAGUGGAACAAAAGUGAUGUUUUAGGACUAAUCAUCCUAAAAAAUAUUGUAGUUUCUUAAAAAAAAAAUGAAAAUGAAGAAGAUAAUUGAACCUUUGUCAUACUUUAAAAAGCAACUAUGCAUUGUUCAUUUUGUAUGUUUUGGUUUUCUUCAUUUAAUUUCCUGAUUUUUGUGAUUCAAUGUCAUAUUAUUGAUCUUGAAAUAUUUUUCUAAUUUUUCAUUCUACGAUGGUUUCAACAAGGAUGACAUCAAGUCAAAAAAGGAAAUGUGGUCCCACACACAAUAUUGCAUUACAGGGAUUAAGGUCAGGGAAGAAGGUAAAAGUUGCAUUUAAUGAGUACAAUCAAUUGGUUAAACAGAAAAAUGGAAAACACUUAUCGAGCUACAUAGGGACACUUGUAUCUAACCAACACAAUGUACCUCUCCAAGCUAGUGAUUGGAAAAAUGUUCCAAAUGAUGCAAAAGAGAAAGUAUGGCCUUUGUUUUGGUAUGUUGUAUUUCUCACUAUAUGAUGUCAUUUCACUGUUAUUCUAUUUUGUGACUAACGUUUGAAUCAUAUGUAAGAAAAAUUUGAAGUAGAUAAAGACUGAAAAGAUUACAUGUUGGGUAUAGCCUCAAAUAAAUAUAGAAGCUAUAAAAAUAUGAUGAAUGCAAAAUACUAUGACCCUUGGCAUAAGGAUGCAUGAGGAGAGGUUAAUACAUAAAUCACCAUUUGUCUCUGAUGUUGAUUGGAAGUGGCUUGUCUCUGAUGCAUAAACCAAAUCCCCCACUGAAUGUUUGAUAUUUGAUAGCAGGAAAAACACACCCGCAGCUAUACACCUCCAUCAUUCAGAUAAUUAUAGUGGGGGAGAUGAUUCAUGGUUGCCCUUAUACCCUUUAUUUGCACCAUCUAUUGAGAUUCUUUAUCAUGGCCAGGUUUUACUGCAGCAAUAAGAUAUGGUGGCAACAAUUUUAUCUAUAGGUGCGGUUCCAGACCGCCUCCAUAGGUGCGGUUCCUGACUGCCUCCAUAGGUGCCUCUUCUUGUAAUGUUUGUUCUGGGAAUUACACUUGAAAGCCUUAUCGUGAUAAGGGAUUACAAACACUAGUUCAGAGGACAGCCAUGUUAAACUUCCACUAUGUUUGUGUCACAUUAUCAGCAGCCUAGUGUUUAUUGGUCAUGCUAUCUGCAACUAAUAUAACCCGGUGAACUUCAAUCUAAAUUCUGAAAGUACUCAUGUGACAGAUGGUGCCUUUCAGCAGAUAUCAUCAAUUUAAAAGUAGUGUGUGUGCCUAUAGGUGGGAAGGCCUUGGCAAAUGUUCAGUAUUCCGGUAAUUCAAGAAGGAUAUAUCUAAAAUAGAUUUUCUUCUUGCCCAUUUCAAUAGUUAAAAUUUGAGAAGAUUGUGUCCACAUCACACAAAUAUUAUUGGUCCUUCUGUUGCAAUUUACCUCUGAACAUGUCUUCCAAUUCCCACGGUCCUGUUACUCCAGGAAAACUAUUUCGGUCAUAUUGAAAAAAAAAAUAUUAAAGAAGGUACACAUGCUUUUAAGUGGACUGGGGCAUUCAUAUCAGGUGGUCUGUAUCCACAUAUGCCACUUCGUGAAAGGUGGAACAGCCUAAUCACUAGGCUAUUUAGUGUGGCCCAGCCACGUUAAUCAAGCACAAGUCUUCAUACUUAAAGUCAAAUGGUGUCUUUAGUCUCAUUACACAUCGCUAUUUGAAGAUUAACUCAUCACUAGUGUAAUGCGAUUAAGACAGUCCUAACUCAAUAUUUGUUCUAGUUUUGGAUGCAAAUGCUUGCUGGUUUCAUCAUUGGAUGGGAUAAAGGUGCAAUCAGGACUAUGAAUACGUGCAGUAAUACUUCAUUCUCUUUUUUCUCAAUGAGACUUCUUGGCACAAUUUUGCUGCUCAGCAACCUACCUUUCCAUGGAAAAUCAGUUGUGACUGAUAGUAAUGGAUAUAUUCUAGAAAGCUAAACAUAGAUAGCAUUCAAUAUUAUCGAUAUAACAUUAACAGCGUAUGUCUCAAUGCUCAUCAGCUACAAGCAAUGGACAAACACUUUGAGUAACUCACAGCAGUCAAAAUUCCUAAACAGGACAGACGUGACAGAUCUAUAUAUAGAACACUGCAUAUGAGUCACAGGAAAAGAUAAUACGGGUACAUAGAAGCUCUUAUUUUACAUAUUACUCAUACUGAUCAAAGUCGCUCAGUUGGGAUGGAUGGGAGAAGGAGGUUUGAGGGGUGGCUUGUGCGGGGAAGUUGGCAGCUUCUUUCCGGGAGCUGGUUGCUUCUUUGCUGGAGUUGAAGGAGGCUUAAUCUUCCGAGGUGGCUUGUAUGAGUCUUCAGCAUUCUCAGCAGGAGGGUGACCAGGGUUGUGACCAUAAUGUGGUGGCUUCUCUCCCUUAGGUGGUUUGCCAACUGGGGUUGGUGGCUUGUUUUCUGGGAGUGGCUUCUCUCCCUUGGGUGGUUUGCCAACUGGGGUUGGUGGCUUGUGUUCUGGGAGUGGCUUCUCCCCCUUGGGAGGUUUUUCGAAUGGGGUGGGUUUGUGUCCUGGUGGUGGCUUCUCUCCCUUGGGAGGUUUACCAAUUGGGGUCGGUGGCUUGUGUUCUGGGAGGGGCUUCUCUCCCUGGGGAGGUUUAGUGGGUGGCUUGUGUUCUGGAGGUGGCUUCUCCACCGGAGGCUUAUGCUCUGGUGGUGGCUUCUCGAAGGGGGGAUGCUCAGGGUAAUCACCAAGUGAGGGGGUGGUGAGAACCACCAUGCCAAGCAACAACACUAGCAAGUAUGUAGUAGACAUCUUUGGGUUUGGACUCAGACAGUGCAAAACUACGAGAAAUCGCUAGCCCUUUAUAGCGGCUCGGACCUAAUACUGACAUAAUAUAAAAUAAAUAUUAUAUUUUAUCAAGAGAGAACAGAGUGUAAUUUUAUCAUUAAUACCGAUCGAGGCCAAAGAAAGAAGACCCAUAAUCCAUUUCCCACAAGCAUACACAAUGCAGCUGUAAUUUUAUCAUUUACUUUUAUCCCUUGGACCACUGCAUUUUUGUUGAGAGACACAAUAACACAUUUUUAUCUGUCAUUCAACAUUUACAGUAAAGAGAGGGCACAAAACGCAAUUAGAUAAAUUAUGUUUUGCCUGCUAAAAAGAGGCAAAUAACUUUAUUUGCAACAUAAUUAUUUUGGUUUCUAGUGACCCCGGGGCCUUUCGGUUGGUUUGGGAUCGGAAAAUGAACAUCAUAGGGGGGGUUGUGCCCUUAUGGGCAUAUAUAUCUGAUAGCUUCAACUGGCCUUGUUCCUAGAAAGAAAUUGCCAAAGAUAUAAACUUAUUCCAGGCUGAAAGUAGAUGAGAGUCAUAAUGAACAUCAACCUUUGUUCAGUUUGAUUCAAUGCCCCCAUAGUGUUCAUUUCACAGAUCUGAAUGAUUAUAUCCGUUGAAUACAUAAAUUAAUGAAGACAAAUAUGAAACCCAAGAUACAUCUCUGCAUAACAACCCCAACCCUGGUUGCUAUGUUUCCCUUCUUCUAUUCACAUGAGGAUACUGGUUAUAAUUGUCAAACUUGCAACAAGCCCUUUGACACCUAACGUCAAUGGACGAAUUAAAAGUCUCCUUCAAACGUCUAUUUCACAGCAUGAAGCUUAUAAAGGAUGCUGACAACCUUCAGAGUUAGCGACAAAAGAUAAUUAUCAAGGAGAGAUAGUUCCAUGAGAAUUCCAAGGAGUCUGAAUCAAAGACAAAUUGCUCACUCAAGGGUUCUUAUUUUCUUUUAGGUACAAAUCUCUUGAGUGUUGUUAAAGAAACACGUCACUGUCAUUUUGAUUUGCAUUUAACAUUUCACUUUUGUUCUGGAAGGUUUGUUCCGGAAACAUAUCAAAUGAGCAUCAUUUUCUUCUUCGGUGACACAUGGUCGCGAGUACGUGGGUCCAUUUUCAUGCCACUUAGUUGAAAAGUUGGAAAGAAAAAACAUGCCAACAAGAAGAUAGUGAGAGAAGGGGCACUUCAAGCCUUUAACAUGAACAAACAGUAAAUAAAAGAUGUUUCUCCACUCAUAAAAGUGUGUUAGAUAGCAAUAUAACGAAUCACAUCCAAAAUCUUUACUAGGCUCAAACAUAAAGAAGACUCAUUUUUAAGAAAAGAUAAAAAUGGCAUUGUCUGAUAGUAUCCAAUACACGAGAUGGCACUUAAUUUGUACAAGAUCUGUCAAUGCUGACGCACAUUUUCUGAUUAAAAAAAAACUGAUCAGUCAAAAGCAAUGAAGAGAAGUGAUGACAAUGAAUGAUGCUUCCAAUAUUUUCACCCCUUAUAGUGUUCUUCAUGAUUCAGAUAUAUAAUUGGAAAUAGAACAACCCUAUGCCAUACAUUCGUCUAAGUAUGGUGUCUAAUUUUUUGUGUCAGCGGUUGCGAAUGGAGCGUGCAAAAGUCCAAAUUGGCGUCUCUCCAUUUCCACAUAGGAAGGUGACCUUUAUUGACAAAUACCCAAUAUUUGUAGACAUUCCUUAAAUAUCAUAACUUCUUGUUGAUUUGAAAAUCAUUUUUCAACUACCAUGUUUUAAUAAAUAUUUUUUAAAAUGUAUUUUUAUCAAAGUCCACCAUGAUGGAUAAUAUUCACCAUGCAAUAAUUAAUAAAGUACAAACUAAGCGAAAUGAAAAGCAUUUUCUUUGCUUUGAGUUGAUUUUGGUUGCAUUGAGUUGAUUUUGGUUUCAUGGUUUUUUCAACUCUUAUUUUGAUUGGAAGAUGUCAAGAAAAGAAAACAUAAAGAAAAAUUAAAAGGGAAAAAAGAAGAAAAAUAAAAAAAAAUAGAUUUAAAAGUUAAUAAAUUAUUUUUUAUAUUUAUUUUAAUUCAUUUCACUUAUUUUUCUUUUACUAUAUAAAAUUUAAAUAAUUUAAAUUUUAUAAUUAAUUUAAUUACAUUUCAUUUUCUUCUAUAUUUAAAUAUUGGAAAAAUAUUUUACUUAAUAUUUUUUUCUUUAAUUUCUUUGGCAUUUUGGGAACCAAACUUAGCCUUUAAAAUAAAAAACAAAAAAAAAAUGAAAAUAAGGAGGGAAAAGUGAGAAAAGAUAAAAACAAUAUGUAAAGGAUUUGAAAAGUAUUAGUUUGUAAUUACUAUUUGGAUUUCAAUAGUAUUUUAUUUGUCUUUCUAUAUUUCAUGUAAGAGAGAAUUUAAGAUAUUCCCCAAGGCAAAGCAUUAGUUACCUGCAAUCAGUGGUGAUAAGGCUCCAAGCCAAUUUUGGGCCCCAUAUCUUAAGACAGUACAAUUUCCAUUUCAACAUUUCUGAUUUCUCAGAUGUUUCACAUACCACAGAAGAACAUUGUUUGUGAAAAUAUGCAUUUAUGUUGGAUUUUGUAUGCUGUGGGGACUGGGGCAAGGAUCAUAUGGAAGAGUGGUUGACUUUUUCUGUACUUUAACGGUUGAAAUAGGAUAAGCACGGGCAUUUGUGAGGCUUAAUUGAUUUUGAAGCCUGAAAUUGCGUUUCUGUCAUUUUGUCAAAAAAAUGGCAGAUUCCAUACUCAUAUGUUUGGCCUGUGGCCAUGUACAGAUGCCAUUUAGUGACCAGUUUGUAACUGUCAAUCGUUGCGUUUUGACUCUGCCUCAACAACAUCUGCCAUUGACGGGUUUUCAUACUUGCAAAUCAAAUAGUCUUUCGUCCCAUCAGGAAUUUCGGUUUAAAUAUUAUUAAGCAUACGUUUGGCUGACAAUCAUUAUCCAGUUCAUGAUUUGGUUUCUUACCCUUAAUCAAUGGUUUCUAAGUGAAUAUAUGUAGAAGGAAAUCCGAAGUGUAGACAGUAGUAUCGAUAACUCUCAAUAUUCUCUAUAUAAUAGAAUAAACAGCGUCAUAGUGAUCGUCGCCUACAAGCAAGGUACAAAUACCAAAACGAGUGACUCACAUAGACAUCUCCCAACAAGAUGUAGUAGUGACUGACACAUGGACACAAUUAACUCGUAGAAAAGGAUAAGACCAUUGCACAGCAGCUCUUAUUUUACAUACUACUUAUGCUAACCAAAGUCAAUUAGUUGGGAUGGGUGGGAGAUGGAGGUUUGUGCGGUGGCUUGUGGGGCGGAGUUGAUGGCUUCUUUCCAGGAGCUUCUGGCUUUUUCAUCGGAGCUGAAGGAGGCUCAAUCUUAUGAGGCGGCUUGUAUGAGUCUUCUUUACUCUCGACAGGAGGGUGGCCAGGGUUGUGAUCAUAAUGUGGUGGCUUCUCUCCCUUAGGUGGCUUGCCAACUGGGGUUGGUGGCUUGUGUUCAGGAAGUGGUUUCUCUCCCAUGGGAGGUUUAGCAAUUGGGGUUGGUGGCUUGUGUUCUGGGAGUGGCUUCUCUCCCUUGGGAGGUUUAGUAGGUGACUUGUGUUCUGGAGGUGGCUUCUCCACCGGAGGCUUGUGCUCCGGUGGUGGCUUCUUGGUUGGAGGGGGCUUGGGGUAAUCAGCAAGAGAUGGGGUGGUGAGAACCACCAGUCCAAGGAACAACACUAGCAAGUAUGUGGGAGACAUUUUUGAGUUUGGGCUGAUCAGAUGAUGCAAAACUAAAGCAUUACGUGACCUUUUAUAGCAUGUAGCUCCCAAUACCCACUAAGUAUUGUGGGGUCCAUUUGUGCCCUACGGGGUUGAAAACUUAGACAAUUGGGCAAGGACCCACCUGACUAUGGAGGACUAGUGAGGUGUGAUCAUAGCUUUAGGAUUUUUCUUCCUCUGCAGCCGUCGUGCCGUUGGCAUGAUUUUCUUAAUCUUAAAUAAAGGCAUAGUUAUAGAGUUGUUUAAUCUCUAAAUGGGAUUUUAUAUAUAUCUUCAGAUAGCCAUUAAUAUAUUUGAUGAAGAAAGAAAGACAAGUGCAUACAACAUGUAUACGACUAGCUUUCAUGGAGUUCAUUUAUGAUCAGUUUUCCUGUACAUGUAAACCAGGAUCAUAUAUAUGUUUCUGUUCCACAACUAUUUUGGAAUCUUGUUUAUCAGUUUUUAUCAUUAUAAUGUCACAUAGGCUGCCAACUUGGGCGCUAAAAGAACCAGUUGGGCUAGUUCGUUUCAGAAUUUCAAUGUGGAUUCAGGAAUUGUUUUGUAAGAUAUGCGAAAUAGUAGAGGGAUGAAUAGUGUUUCAUUAAUAAAAGUGUCCUGUAAAUUAGAAGGUGUCAUAGAAACUAUAAUCAAUAAAUAACUUUUUUUCCCCACGGGUGGUGUUUCUUGUGGGGAUCAGUGACUGGUUUAGGUUCACCCAAAAUGAGUUCAGACUAAAAUUGGUUUGAGUCAAUGCCGUGUCUCUUUUUUCCAGAAAUCAACUAUUUUAUGCAUUGAAUAAAUCAUACAAAGAAAAUAUGAACGCCCGCAAAACCUAAACCCUGGUUGCUAACUUUCUAUGUUUCAGUUCUAUUCACGCAAGAAUAUUAGUUUAAGUUUGGGAAAAAUGGCAACUUACCUAGUGAUUACUUGGUUUUGGUUUGCGACUAUUUACGCAACCAACCAUGAGUUUGACUUUAACGUCAUGGGUUGAAGCCUCCUACAGGAAGGGAGAAAGCUCCACAGCUAGCUCCAAAAGAGAAUUAUCACAUUGAUAGCUCCAGAGAUUCCCAAGGGGACUGAAUCAAAGACAAGUUCCUCACUUUUUCUUCUUUUGAGGCCAAAUAUGAACCAAGGAUCACACAACCUCAUUCAACUUCAUAAGUUUGAUUUCAUGCAGUUGAACACUGGGUGAAGGCCAUGACAAGAAUUGAUUCAAAAAUUCUAUCACUCUUUUAAGUAAUGGAAGAUUAUUAUCUCUGAUUGGCAUCACAACAGCACAUGCUCCUAGAUCUUUCUAGACACUCCAUGCAAUGAAAGCACAAUGGAUCUUGUAACGAUAGAAACUAAGCCAUGCUACAGUACUAGAUGAUGAGGUAAAACUAGUAGACACGGGUGGCAGCCUAUAUGGGAGGGACACAAGUCUAAUUGAUUUGCAUUUCAGCAUUAUAGAUAGGUAUGUUUUGGAAGAUUUGUUCUGGAAAUACCGCACCAAGUAGGAUUCUUUUUCUCUUUAGUGGGUCCACUUGCAUGCCAAUUAACGAGUUGAAAAGUAUGAGCACCUACCUCGUGCUCGUGGAACCGAAGGUCAGUGAAGUGGGGCUCCUUUUGGCCUCGUGUAAACUUGAUUCAGAAGUGAAGUUAAUAGUCUUCCAUUCAGAUGGAUACAUGGGAAUUUUUCUCUUUUAUUUAUUUAUUUAUUUUUUUUUUGUGUGUGUAUGUCAAAGGAUAAUGAAUGAAGCGCGUUAGCUUGUUUUCUGACUGGAACCGCAGAUGUCCAAAUUGGAGUUCCUUCAUUUCUUACUUAGGAUUGUUACAUGUAUAAACAAGGUAUAAGAAAUAUGCCAACGUGUCUUGAGGAGUUAUUGAUUAGAAAUAACAAGUCACCCGACUGUAGAGUUCCAAGAUUUGAAUCUUCAGACCCUAUAGCAGCCUCUGGGGUACGUGGCAUCCUAUAGCAUAUUAAUGAAGGCUUUUUCGAUUUAGACUUCACAAUACCAAUUAAUAUGUAUGCACAAAAUGGAGAUGACCCCAAAAAAAACAGAAUCGCCAUAGUUUAUGAGGUUAAGGUGAUUCUCCACUUAAUAUCUACAUUAGCUAAUUAUGUAAAUCAAAUGAACUUCUAUUUUUCCUUUUUUUUUUUGGUUUAUGUCAAAUAGUAGCCCAUAAUUAACCCAACCAUUAGCCUGUUUGAAUUGAUUUCACAUGCACAAUGUUGUAGUAGUUCAUAUUUUGAAUUUUAUUUUUACAAAGGUAGUUAAGGAAAAUGAAGUAUAAUAAUUAUAAAAGCAGACUAUAUACACUACAAUAAUUGUUAGAAUGGUAUCUCAAAUUCUAAUUUAAAAUAUUAUUUUUUGUAAAAGAAAUAUUAUAUAGAAUAUUUCCUAAUUUUAUAAAUGAUUAUAAUUAGAUCUUUAUAAAAUAAGGAAAGUUGGUAAGAAUAUCUUUAUAAAUAUUUUAGGUCAUGAGAGAAAGAAAUGGGAUAAAAAUGUGAUGAAGAGGUGAAAUAAGAGAGUUGAUUAGGAUAUAGAUGUGAAGAAGAAAGGGAUUCAAUAUAUAUAUAUCUUUCAAUUACCACAUUAAAACCCUGUGAACCUUUUAUAUGGUUUACUUUAUUUUUAUAUUCCUCCUUUAAUAUAUUUACAUUAAUGCUUCCAUUGGCACAACAAUAACGAAUUACAAAUACAAGCAACAAGUCCCAUGUUUUAUUACCAAAAGCAGGUAAAAUCCACCUAAUAUAUUACAAUAUAUUCAUCCAAUAUUUUAGACCAAUUCUUCACCAUAAAUAUCAUAAUGUGGCUUUUGUUCUUUCUUAAAUUUAAAUUGAAUUGUCUUAUAUCAAUUUGUUUGUGAUUUUUUCAUUAACUUCACUUUCAUUUGGUUAUCUUUGGUUUUUGAAAAGUAUUAAGGAAUUAAUUAACAAAAUAAUGUUAAGAAAAAUAAUUUUCUCUCUUUUGAUUUUGAUUUUGUAGUAGAAAAAUAUAAUUAAAAUUAUUUAAAAAGUAUGUAAUUUUAAAUUAUUUAAUAUUUAGAUAAAAAAAAUAAGUCUAAUGAGUUUAAAAUAACAUAUAAAAAUAAUUUAUUUAUUUUAAAUUUAUUUUUUAUUUUCCAUUAUGUUCUCUUUCUCUUUUACUUUUUCAUAUUUUUUCUUACGAAGAAUCAAACACAACCUCAUAUUAUAUGUCAAGUGUUUGUCUAUAUUUGAGCAAUGUUAGAUACGGCCAUGGAUUCAUCAAACUAAACUGAUUUUAAUAGAUACUUCACAAAUUGAUUUAUACACUAAAUCAUUGGAUAGCAAUGAUGCAUUGGAAUUAAACGUAGGAUGAAGCUCGAAGAACACUGUUUGUGUAACAACAUAUUUAUGAAAUUAUGCAAAGGAUGAGCUUCGGGGUAGUAGUACAAGGUCAUUAAUGGAGAGCCGUGUUAAACCUUGAUUGUGAUUGGAUUCCGUUAUCAGCAACAGCAACCUUGUUUGUAACCUUGAAAGUCAUUCUGUCCACAUCGAAACUCCAAUUUGACGUUUGUAAUUACCAUUCCUGGAGUGUUCCUUGAUUGAAAUUUAAAUAAUAAUUGCGGCCCACAAGGAAUAUUUUCGAUUCUGUGGGAAUUUGACAAGGUUUGUUAGAGAAGACUGGUGACAUGUUGACUUCAAUGGUUCAAAUAGGAGACGUAUGUGGAUUUGGGGGGUUUAAUUGAAACUGAGUCCCUAUGGCUUUUUAAUAUUUGCAUUGAGCAGUCUCCAUGUGACUUCCUAAUUCCCACCAACCCUCCUGUCCAUGCUGUGAAACUAAAUUGUAAUUUAUCAGCCUUUGUCAAUGGUUUCUAAAUUAAAGAUAUAGACCAUGCAUGUACUUUAAUAAAAGCAAAUCUAAAGUGUAGAUAGCAGCAAUGGUGACACCCAAUAUUCUCCAUAAAAUAGAAUUAGAAUAAGCAGUGUUACAUUGUUCAUGAUCACCUACAAGCAUACAAGAACUUCCAUGAAUAACUCAUAGCAAUUGCCAACAGGGCGUCGUAGAGACUCAUACAUAGAACACUAUCCACCCAGAGGAAAGGACAAGACCAGUGCGCUGCAGCUCUUAUUUUUCACAUGUAUACCACCACUCGUAAUAACCAAAUUCACUCAGUUGGGAUAGGUGGGAGAUGGUGGUUUGUGGGGUGGCUUGUGGGGAGGAGUUGGAGGAGGCUUUAUUUUCUGAGGCGGCUUGUAUGAGUGUGCAGGAGGAUGCCCGGGAGUGUGACCAUAAUGUGGUGGCUUCUCUCCCGUAGGUGGUUUGCCAAAUGGGCUUGGUGGCUUCUCUCCCUUAGGAGGUUUACCAAUUGGGGUUGGUGGCUUGUGUUCUGGGAGUGGUUUCUCUCCCUUGGUAGGUUUGCCAAUUGGGGUUGGCGGCUUAUGUUCUGGGAGUGGCUUCUCUCCCUUGGGAGGUUUGCUAAUUGGGGUUGGCGGCUUAUGUUCUGGGGGCGGCUUCUCUCCCUUGGGAGGUUUGCCAAUUGGAGUUGGCGGCUUAUGUUCUGGGAGUGGCUUUUCUCCCUUGGGAGGCUUGCCAAUUGGGGUUGGCGGCUUAUGUUCUGGGGGUGGCUUCUCUCCUUUAGGAGGUUUGCCAAUUGGAGUCGGCGGCUUAUGUUCUGGAAGUGGCUUUUUUCCCUUGGGAGGUUUGCCAAUUGGGGUUGGCGGCUUAUGUUCUGGGGGUGGCUUCUCUCCCUUGGGAGGUUUGCCAAUUGGAGUCGGCGGCUUAUGUUCUGGGAGUGGCUUCUCUCCCUUGGGAGGUUUUGUUGGUGGCUUGUGUUCUGGAGAUGGCUUCUCCCCUGGAGGCUUGUGCUCCGGAGGUGGCUUCUGAAAUGGCGGGGGCUUGGGGUAAUGAGCAAGAGAUGGAGUACUGGUGAGAACCACCAUUCCAAGCAACAAUACUAGCAAGCAUGUGGGAGACAUCUUUGAGUAGUUGUAGCUAAGAUGGCGCAACACUGUAGGCAUUGGGUGGCCUUUUAUAAAGGGCUGGACCCAACAGCCAUAUGACACGUGUCAUGAUGACAAAUGA